Molecule: long non-coding RNA, 183145 nt
Filed under: Lactuca sativa (garden lettuce)
Lineage: Eukaryota; Viridiplantae; Streptophyta; Magnoliopsida; Asterales; Asteraceae
Source: RNAcentral
AUGAAGCGACAUGAACCAGGCUUGUCAACACACCAUGACCACAUCCUUUUACUGUCAUAACUCUGAGUAAAGGUAGUUUUUCAAGUGAGACUUCAACCAGAUUAGGACAAAAUAGAAUAAGAAGCUUUUUAAGGCAUGGAAACACUGCUGCAUCUACAACCCCAUUGUUAUUGGUUGACCAUACCUCCCAUGUUGGCAUACUAUCAAAAGUCAGAAUUUCAAGGGAAGGGAAUGCAACACCUGUUCCAAGCAACUCCCAACCUACAACUUUCACCUUACUCAUCUUCCCAAUAUACAAGUCCUUAAGUGAUGGUAGUUGCCCAAGUUCUGGUAGAGAUGUACAUUCUUCACACCCAUAUAUCGACACGUGAGUCAACCCAAGAAAUGAAGGAUCGCCAACCCAAUUAGGAAACUCUCUACCCGCAUAUGACACAAUUUCAAGCUUCUUCAAACUAUCAGCUUGAGGCUUCAGGUCAGUAAGGACCUCAUUAUCAUGUGUCUGCUUUCGAAAAACGUUCAACUCAGAAUCUCCAAAACUCACAGCAAACUCCAACAUACUAAGCCUCUUUUGCAAUAACCCAUAACCCCAAUCCAACUCUAACUCAGUAAGCCUCUUUUGUGAUAAUUGUGAGCCACGUGCCUCCUUUUCAUUUUGUACAUUGCCCAGCCCCCAAAUGGAAAUUUUCCCAUGGAGAUUUUGCAAGUUUUUAAGCUCGGUUAUUGCAAAUCCGUUUUCACCUCCAAUUAUGAUCUUGGAGAGAGUUUGUAGGCCUUUCAACUCACCAAUCCCUAAGGGCAUCUUCUUCAAACUUGGAGUAUUCCUAAUGUCCAAAUGCCUCAAGUUUUUAAGCUUUAAGAAGCUGUUGGGCAACUUAGUUAAACUUUCACAGCCAAAAAGGAUCAAUGUCUGGAGAUUAUAAAGAUUGCAGACAUUUUCUGGUAAAAGCUUGAUAUCAGUUCGAGAUAAAUUCAGAUACCGCAAGUGCUUUAGACUGCCAAUGAAUUCGGGUACCUCGCUUAUGCCAAGAUGACUCAAACUUAGGACCCUUAACAAUGGAAACUCCUGAAGUAAGUUCUUCAGGACCUUAUUCGAUAAGUAGAAUCUUUGCCAACUUUUUAUCACCCCAACAGAUACCGCUAAUAAUGUUCUCAAACUUUUAGCUCCUUUUAGUGGCUCGAACCUUGCGGAAACCAUAUAUUGCUCACGAACAAAUGACAAAUGGCGGUACUUUUCAAAUGAUUCAUCCCUAUAUUCUUUCUCCGCCCCAAUGUCUACCCUUGAAAAAAACUCUCCAGCAACAGAUGUGGCCAAGUCACUCAUGAGAUCAUGCAUCACAAACAACGAUCUGUCAUUUGGUGCAGGUUGAAAAAAUGACCUUGACCACAACGCAUUAAAAUACUCGAGACCCAAGCGUUCCAUUGUCUUGUUUGUCGUUGAUUGCAAAAAACCUUCUGCCAUCCACAACAUAAUCAACUUCUCCUUGUCAAACUCAAAGUCCUUGGGGAACAAGGAGCAGUAUGCAAACAACUGCUUCAAACAUGGAGAGAGAUCAUGGUAGCUUAAUCUGAGAGCUGGAACAAUCCCAUCUCCCUUUUCUAGACUCCAUAUCUCACUAUUCAGCACUUCUUUCCAGUCUUCCUCAUCUAUUUUUGUCCUUAAUAACCUCCCAAGUGCUUUCAAAGCCAACGGCAACCCAUUACAUUUUCUGACAAUACAUUCACCAUAUGGUUUAAGUAUCGGAUGUGAAUCAAAGUUUUUAUCUCCCAAUGCAUGCUGACAAAAUAAGGAUAAAGCACUUUCAUCAGAUAGAAUAGGCAAAUGAUAAGGUUCAUUGUUACCAAGUUGGGUUAACAACGACAUCUUCCGGGUCGUCAUGAUAACUUUACUUCCGGGUGCCCCUGCAAGAAAUGGCCCUGCUAGGAUUUCCCAAUCCGUAUAGCUUUCACUCCACACAUCAUCUAAAACAAGCAGAAAUCGCUUAUUUGAGAUCUUCUCUCUUAAAGCUACUUGAAGUAGAUUUAAAUCCUUAAAUUCUUGGUUGCCCCCGCCUAUUGAUUGAAAAAUAAUAUUGCUUAUAUUGAAGAUAUCAAACUCAUCAGAAACACAGACCCACGCCAUGAGUUCAAAAUGAUCCUUCCCUUGCAUUUCAUCAUACAAAAGUCUAGCGAGAGUGGUCUUACCUACCCCACCCAUACCAACUAUGGGCACGAUGCUAAAGUUUCUAUCACAUGGUUCAUAUAGCUUGUGGAUCAAAGCAUCCUUUUCAUCUUUGCGUCCAAUAAUACUAGAUGCAUCUACCAGAGAGGUCUCUAACCUUCUAUUUCUAUGUUUUGGGCUUUCACCUAUCACACUCAAACCAAGCUUAUAUUUUUCCUCAAACAGUUCUUGUAACUUGAUGGUGAUAUUUCCAAACUUGUCAUGCAUUCUAGCACUUGGUAAGAGCUUUCUUACCUUGCUUGAGGUUCCGGAUUCCUCUGUGAACUCACGAUGCAUAGCUUCCGUUGACAAUUCGUCAAGUAGAUCGUCUAUGUCGUAAGCCAAAUGUUGGAGACUAUUCAGCCAUUCUUUAACAGCUUCCUGACGUAUUUCCUUCUGAGAAGCAUCAUUAAGCAGAUCUUUGAUCUUGAUUAAUGAUAUCUUUAACUUCUCCACGUCGUCGGCAUCAAUUUUCUUGAAACGAGCAAACUGCUUGAAGGCUUCGGAGGCCAGCUUGUCACAGAACAAAGAGUACAGGGCAGAAAUGAUUCCAGCCAUUGCUUACGAUGAAGGCGUAGGUAUGAAUGAUAGAGAUGAAGAUGAAUUGAGCGUGACUUUUGAUUGAAAAGAACGAUCCAAGUUGUCCAUUGUUUAUUGGUCAACGCCUUUUUGCCACCGCUUUACUUUUAAAUAGUCCAGCGGAUCGUCUAGACGAAAUUUCAUAAAUAAUCCCUUAGUUUAUCAAAUAUUAUAAUUUUAGUUCUAGCUUUUUUAUUUGUAUCAAUUGGGUCGGUGUUGUUUUCAGUUUUGCAAAAGCAAUCCAUCUUCUGUUCGAUCUAACCGGUCUAUAGUUAGAUUGUUCUUUAUGACAUUGUACCGUUAAACCAAAUUUGCAAUUAAUUAUUUAUUAGAAUAAAUUACAUGAAUCGUCUCUUAUUCAAGUGUGAAAAUACAUGUUUAGUCUCUCUUUCUAAAAAUUAACUCGGACUAUCCUUGCAUUUUUUUUUUCAAUCGGGUCUUCCCAGUAGACAUAAAAUGACUAAAACAUGUUAGUUUUCAUUUGCAUUAAGUAGUUUUUAAAUUAUUAAGACAUAUACUAAAAUAUGCUUAAGCAGAAGCAACUUAUAAGACCUUAAACUCUACACUACUCAAAGCAAGAAAGGAGAAGGAAAAGCGCCAUGGUGGUCUCGGUUUUUUAAGAUGAAAAAUAAAAAAGAAUAACUAGUUCAAGCCUCCUACCUCCUUUAUAUACUCAUAUACUUAGAUGAAAGUUGAUUCUUUCAUUUAAUGGGAUCAUGAUUUACAAGCAACUCAUGAAGUAUAAGAACAUAAAAGUCAAAGAAACAACCACCAUGUCUCACUAAACAUGGAGUAUGAAAAGAUUAUGAGUGGAAUCCACAUCAUCACUCUUAUAAAUAUAGACAAUAUAUAAAAUUGUCUUUUAUAAGUCAAAUAUUAUGUACAUUGUUGGGCUGAAGAUAGUUUUGAUGUUGCGUCUUUUGGGCUCGUUAGUUUAGCCUUGUAUUCUCCGGGUUGGGCCUGUCCAACCGAGAGUCUUUUAUGUAUUGUAUAUAAGUUAAAUGCUUGCAUGCAUAUUAGGUUAAGAUUGCAGAGAUUAUCGAAAUAGGGAUUCAUCAGAGUAUAAUAUUUUUCCUGUAAUCGUUCUUGUAAUCUUCUAAUCCUUUACAGUUGAUGUUCUUAAUCGAGCUCUUCUAAGGAUUUUAUUUAAUCAUUCGACACGAUUGAUUCAAGCUGUUUGUUCUUAUUAUUGUGUUUUUACUAUUUCAUAUUCAUAUACUUGUUCAAGAUCUAAUCGAUCUUCGUAGAUUAAAAGUUGUAUUAAUCCCAUCAUACAUAACAUUAUAAUCAUACCAUAUGUCGUCCCAAAAACCAAGGUAAACAUUUUUCAAAUUUUAAAAUGAAUUAAAAUCCAUUUCAUAAAAGUUAAACACCAUAAAUUCAUUCUUUUACCAAAUGGAGUCAAAAUCAAAGUAUCAAAUAAUAAAGUCUACUGGAUAUUGUGUAUUGUCACACCGUCGCCUUGCCUUUAUCUUCAGAAGUCCCUGAAACAUUUAAAUCCACAACGGUAAGCCAAAGCUUGGCGAGUUCCCUACAAUACCUCAGAUAACAAUAAACAUAUAAUGCAUCCACACAAGGUUAGAUUGCCACAUGGGUGUAACACCCUGUUUCAGAUUGUUUUGUGAUUCAAGAUCAUGGACCGCGAUUUAAUUAUAUGUAGGCUUUGGGGAUUUUAAAGAAGUAAGCUUUGGACUUUAUUGAAAGAUGUUAUUGCUGGUAAUGGGAUCCAGACCUAUGAAUCGUGUAUUCGAAACUGAGGAUAGACUGGGGAAAUAUGUGUCAGGCCGCUUGGGUAACGCCCCAUUUCUGGUAUGUAAUUUAAUUGUGCAUUUUUCAGUUUUCAAGAGGAACUCGACGAGUCAGUAGCCCGACUCGUCAAGUAGAGACGGGAUUUUGAGCAUGUUUAAGUAGGCAACUCGAUGAGUCCAUAUUCGUGGACUCGGCGAGUCCGCCUGUCUGGAAGAAACCCUAAUUUCAAGGGUUUGCACCCUAUUUAAACAACUUUUUGGGGCUCAAGUCAGCCCCCAUCACUUCCAGAACACUCCUCUCGAAACCCUAGCAUUCCUUAUACCUUUUGAGUAUAUUUUGUGUGGUUCUUUGAAGAUUUGGAGAGAAGAAGGAAGGUAGAUCCAAAGGAAAAGAAGAAGAUUAAAGAUCUUGAGUCCAUUUAGAAGCUUUGAGAGGUAUAACUCGAACAUCUACUGUUUCCAUGCUUAAAUCUCCAUUAAAACCCCAAUAUAAUCAUUUCUAGGACAUUUCUUAGCUUGUUAGUGAAUAGAGAGCUCAUAUGAGCAAAAGGACAUCAGAUCUAGUCAUAAUCGAGCUCUAGAAGCUCAGAUCCACUGCCUUUAUUGAGUCAAAUUCGUAUGCAAGCCUAGAUCUACACUUUGAAUCCAUUUAGAUCCCUUUAAACUCUUGUAUAUGCAUGCAUGCAUGUAAAGUUGGAAACUUUACGUGUAAAAACCACCCUAGGAACCCAGAUCUAUGAGUUGAAUGUGUUGGAAUCGAUCAAAAUUGGUUGUAUGGUAUUUGCAUGCAAGCGACUCGGCGAGUUGUUCAUCAGACUCGACGAGUCGAGUCGCGAGUCCCCAAUUUUCCCCCUUUUGAUUUAAUUGAGUGGAACCAGUGAGUUAGAGGUGGACUCGGUGAGUCGAGAGCCGGACUCAAUAAUGGAAAGACUCGGCGAGUAAAUUCCCUAACUCGACGAGUCCAAGGCAAUCUUAUUGCCUCAAGAACAGACUCGACGAUAUGAUGAANACCAGAGUGUUCUUAUGAUGAAGGAGAACUCGACGAGUUGUUCAUACAACUCGGCGAGUCAGAUGAAAAUAGACUGAUUAUUCGCAUCGAAGAGGAACUCGUCGAGUCUAUGCCAAACUCGACGAGUAGUAACGGACAGGAAUUAAAAAUGAGAGCAUGGACACGACGAGUUGGCGUCCCAACUCGGCGAGUCAGGUCAACUGUAUGUUGACUUUGACCAUAGUGUUGACUUCCUCCAGGGGUAAGAUAGUCAUUUUACCCUCAGAUUAGUUAUCAGUAUUUGAUUGAGUGUGUUUAUGGGAAUUAUAGCCGGGGAGAUACCGGAGCAGCAGCAGAGAGUUCCCAAGUAGAUUUUCAGCAGCCAGCUUUCGAGGUGAGUUUCCUUCCAGUAGGAACGAGUCUACGGCCAUAAUGCCAGCUUGUUUAGUUAGCAAUGGUUCCGGACUUCGGUCCGAUGCAGUAGUUCAGGGUGCUUGAUGUCUUUGUGAUUCAAGCAUGUCUUUGUGUUAUGUGUUCCGGACUUCGGUCCGAUGCAGUAUACAGUAUAUGUGUUUAUGCUAGUUGAUAUGUGUUUAUGCUAUGCUAUGAUCAGUCAGUUCCGGACUUCGGUCCGAUGCAGGGGACAAGGUCCCAGUCAGUUCCGGACUUCGGUCCGAUGCAGGGGACAAGGUCCCAGUUAGUUCCAGACUUCGGUCCGAUGCAGAGGGCAAGUCCCUGGUUAGUUUCCGGACUUCGGUCCGAUGCAGUUUCCAGACUUCGGUCCGAUGCAGUUUCCGAACUUCGAUCCGAUGCAGUGGGCAAGGCCCAGUAUGUGCUUUAUAUAUUAUUGUAUGGUAUGUGGUAGUUUGGGGGAGCUCACUAAGCUUUGUGCUUACAAUUUUCAGUUUUGGUUUCAGGUACUUCCGCUAGCAAAGGGAAGAGCUCGGGAUGACGGCAUCGCACACACCACAGCCUCAGUUUUAUCCUGGGAGUUUUAAUUGGAUAAUGUUAUGAUCGAUACAAUUUUUGUUUAGACACAGUUACUAUGAAAUUUGAGUUACUCAUUUAAUGGUUUUUAUUAUUUAUGAUAUCCGAUGAUGUGAUUUUAGUAAUAUUAAAACAGAAAUUUUUGAGUUGUAUUUUGGGUCAUUAUAAGCUGGUAUCAAAGCCUUGGUUUGAGGGAUUUAAGCACACUUACGGGUAUCACUAAACUCAAACUAAGGAAAUAGUAAAAGGUUUUUGAAAGAAAAAUGUUUUCAAAAGAAUUUUUGAAAAAGAGACUUAAAAAUAAAAGAGUUUUGAAAACGAGAAAAAGGUGUGGUGCAUGCAAUCAGCCAAGCUCAAGUAAGUACUCCCAAAUUACCCAUACAAGUUUACAUUAUGAGUAUCUGUUUCAGUUUCAGUAGAACAGCAUGCUAGAAUAGGACUAAGGAUCUAGGGAGAUGCCUUAUGCGCCUGCUAUAUGUGUUUCAGCUUUAUGAGAAUUGCAUGCUAGUACUGAGUAGACAGUAGUAGGAUAGCCUGUUUAGGUUAUGCCUGAUAGUAUGAGCUUAGCAUUGUAUGCUAGUACAGUUUCUUUUUAUGAGGAUAGAGUUGCUUGAGUAGUUUCCUGUGUUCAAAUGCUGCUUGCUUUGUGCUUUGUGGGACUCUGAGUAAUGGGAGUUAUCCAUUAGGUGAAUACAUCACAUCGCAUGUGAUCAGGGUUGAAUAAUCUCAGAGUGUUGGAUUUGGCCCUACUACGAAGCUCUUGUUUCCAUGCUUAAAUCUCCAUUAACACCCCAAUAUAAUCAUUUCUAGGACAUUUCUUAGCUUGUUAGUGAAUAGAGAGCUCAUAUGAGCAAAAGGACAUCAGAUCUAGUCAUAAUCGAGCUCUAAAAGCUCAUAUCCACUGCCUUUAUUGAGUGCAAUUCGUAUGCAAGCCUAGAUCUACACUUUGAAUCCAUUUAGAGCCCUUUAAACUCUUGUAUAUGCAUGCAUGCACGUAAACUUGGAAACUUUACGUGUAAAAACCACCCUAGGAACCCAGAUCUAUGAGUUGAAUGCGUUGGAAUCGAUCAAAAUCGUUUGUAUGGUAUUUGCAUGCAAGCGACUUGGCGAGUUGUUCAUCAGACUCGACGAGUCGAGUCGCGAGUCCCCGAUUUUCCCCCUUUUGAUUUAAUUGAGUGGAGCUAGUGUGUUAGAGGUGGACUCAGUGAAUCGAGAGCCGGACUCAAUAAUGGAAAGACUCGGCGAGUCAAUGCCCUAACUCGACGAGUCCAAGGAAUUGUUCUUGCCUCAAGAACCGACUCGACGAGUUGUUCAUACAACUCGACAAGUCUCAGACCAGAGUGUUCUUAUGAUGAAGGAGAACUCGACGAGUUGUUCAUACAACUCGGCGAGUCAGAUGAAAAUAGACUGAUUAUUCGCAUCGAAGAGGAACUCGUCGAGUCUAUGCCAAACUCGACGAGUAGUAGCGGACAGGAAUUAGAAAUGAGAGCAUGGACUCGACGAGUUGGCGUCCCAACUCGGCGAGUCAGGUCAACUGUAUGUUGACUUUGACCAUAGUGUUGACUUCCUCCAGGGGUAAGAUAGUCAUUUUACCCUCAGAUUAGUUAUCAGUAUUUGAUUGAGUGUGUUUAUGGGAAUUAUAGCCGGGGAGAUACCGGAGCAGCAGCAGAGAGUUCCCAAGUAGAUUUUCAGCAGCCAGCUUUCGAGGUGAGUUUCCUUCCAGUAGGAACGAGUCUACGGCCACAAUGCCGGCCCGUUUAGUUAGCAGUGGUUCCGGACUUCGGUCCGAUGCAGUAGUUCAGGGUGCUUGAUGUCUUUGUGAUUCAAGCAUGUCUUUGUGUUAUGUGUUCCGGACUUCGGUCCGAUGCAGUAUACAGUAUAUGUGUUUAUGCUAGUUGAUAUGUGUUUAUGCUAUGCUAUGAUCAGUCAGUUCCGGACUUCGGUCCGAUGCAGGGGACAAGGUCCCAGUCAGUUCCGGACUUCGGUCCGAUGCAGGGGACAAGGUCCCAGUUAGUUCCAGACUUCGGUCCGAUGCAGAGGGAAAGUCCCUGGUUAGUUUCCGGACUUCGGUCCGAUGCAGUUUCCGAACUUCGAUCCGAUGCAGUGGGCAAGGCCCAGUAUGUGCUUUAUAUAUUAUUGUAUGGUAUGUGGUAGUUUGGGGGAGCUCACUAAGCUUUGUGCUUACAAUUUUCAGUUUUGGUUUCAGGUACUUCCGCUAGCAAAGGGAAGAGCUCGGGAUGACGGCGUCGCACACACCACAGCCUCAGUUUUAUCCUGGGAGUUUUAAUUGGAUAAUGUUAUGAUCGAUACAAUUUUUGUUUAGACACAGUUACUAUGACAUUUGAGUUACUCAUUUUAUGGUUUUUAUUAUUUAUGAUAUCUGAUGAUGUGAUUUUAGUAAUAUUAAAACAAAAAUUUUUGGGUUGUAUUUUGGGUCAUUACAAGUUGGUAUCAAAGCCUUGGUUUGAGGGAUUUAAGCACACGUACGGGUAUCACUAAACUCAAACUAAGGAAAUAGUAAAAGGUUUUUGAAAGAAAAAUGUUUUCAAAAGAAUUUUUGAAAAAGAGACUUAAAAAUAAAAGAGUUUUGAAAACGAGAAAAGGGUGUGGUGCAUGCAAUCAGCCAAGCUCAAGUAAGUACUCCCAAAUUACCCAUACAAGUUUACAUUAUGAGUAUAUGUUUCAGUUUUAGUAGAACAGCAUGCUAGAAUAGGACUAAGGAUCUAGGGAGAUGCCUUAUGCGCCUGCUAUAUGUGUUUCAGCUUUAUGAGAAUUGCAUGCUAGUACUGAGUAGACAGCAGUAGGAUAGCCUGUUUAGGUUAUGCCUGAUAGUAUGAGCUUAGCAUUGUAUGCUAGUACAGUUUCUUGUUAUGAGGAUAGAGUUGCUUGAGUAGUUUCCUGUGUUCAAAUGCUGCUUGCUUUGUGCUUUGUGGGACUCCGAGUAAUGGGAGUUAUCCAUUAGGUGAAUACAUCACAUCGUAUGUGAUCAGGGUUGAAUAAUCUCAGAGUGUUGGAUUUGGCCCUACUACGAAGCUCUUGUUUCCAUGCUUAAAUCUCCAUUAAGACCCCAAUAUAAUAAUUUCUACGACAUUUCUUAGCUUGUUAGUGAAUAGAGAGCUCAUAUGAGCAAAAGGACAUCAGAUCUAGUCAUAAUCGAGCUCUAGAAGCUCAGAUCCACUGCCUUUAUUGAGUCAAAUUCGUAUGCAAGCCUAGAUCUACACUUUGAAUCCAUUUAGAGCCCUUUAAACUCUUGUAUAUGCAUGCAUGAACGUAAAGUUGGAAACUUUACGUGUAAAAACCACCCUAGGAACCCAGAUCUAUUAGUUGAAUGCGUUGGAAUCGAUCAAAAUCGUUUGUAUGGUAUUUGCAUGCAAGCGACUCGGCGAGUUGUUCAUAAGACUCGACGAGUCGAGUCGCGAGUCCCCGAUUUUCCCCCUUUUGAUUUAAUUGAGUGGAACAUGUGUGUUAGAGGUGGACUCAGUGAGUCGAGAGCCGGACUCAAUAAUGGAAAGACUCGGCGAGUCAAUGCCCUAACUCGACGAGUCCAAGGCAAUCUUCUUGCCUCAAGAACAGACUCGACGAGUUGUUCAUACAACUCGACGAGUCUCAGACCAGAGUGUUCUUAUGAUGAAGGAGAACUCGACGAGUUGUUCAUACAACUCGGCGAGUCAGAUGAAAAUAGACUGAUUAUUCGCAUCGAAGAGGAACUCGUCGAGUCUAUGCCAAACUCGACGAGUAGUAGCGGACAGGAAUUAGAAAUGAGAGCAUGGACUCGACGAGUUGGCGUCCCAACUCGGCGAGUCAGGUCAACUGUAUGUUGACUUUGACCAUAGUGUUGACUUCCUCCAGGGGUAAGAUAGUCAUUUUACCCUCAGAUUAGUUAUCAGUAUUUGAUUGAAUGUGUUUAUGGGAAUUAUAGCCGGGGAGAUACCGGAGCAGCAGCAGAGAGUUCCCAAGUAGAUUUUCAGCAGCCAGCUUUCGAGGUGAGUUUCCUUCCAGUAGGAACGAGUCUACGGCCACAAUGCCGGCCCGUUUAGUUAGCAGUGGUUCCGGACUUCGGUCCGAUGCAGUAGUUCAGGGUGCUUGAUGUCUUUGUGAUUCAAGCAUGUCUUUGUGUUAUGUGUUCCGGACUUCGGUCCGAUGCAGUAUACAGUAUAUGUGUUUAUGCUAGUUGAUAUGUGUUUAUGCUAUGCUAUGAUCAGUCAGUUCCGGACUUCGGUCCGAUGCAGGGGACAAGGUCCCAGUCAGUUCCGGACUUCGGUCCGAUGCAGGGGACAAGGUCCCAGUUAGUUCCAGACUUCGGUCCGAUGCAGAGGGAAAGUCCCUGGUUAGUUUCCGGACUUCGGUCCGAUGCAGUUUCCGAACUUCGAUCCGAUGCAGUGGGCAAGGCCCAGUAUGUGCUUUAUAUAUUAUUGUAUGGUAUGUGGUAGUUUGGGGGAGCUCACUAAGCUUUGUGCUUACAAUUUUCAGUUUUGGUUUCAGGUACUUCCGCUAGCAAAGGGAAGAGCUCGGGAUGACGGCGUCGCACACACCACAGCCUCAGUUUUAUCCUGGGAGUUUUAAUUGGAUAAUGUUAUGAUCGAUACAAUUUUUGUUUAGACACAGUUACUAUGACAUUUGAGUUACUCAUUUUAUGGUUUUUAUUAUUUAUGAUAUCUGAUGAUGUGAUUUUAGUAAUAUUAAAACAAAAAUUUUUGGGUUGUAUUUUGGGUCAUUACAAGUUGGUAUCAAAGCCUUGGUUUGAGGGAUUUAAGCACACGUACGGGUAUCACUAAACUCAAACUAAGUAAAUAGUAAAAGGUUUUUGAAAGAAAAAUGUUUUCAAAAGAAUUUUUGAAAAAGAGACUUAAAAAUAAAAGAGUUUUGAAAACGAGAAAAGGGUGUGGUGCAUGCAAUCAGCCAAGCUCAAGUAAGUACUCCCAAAUUACCCAUACAAGUUUACAUUAUGAGUAUAUGUUUCAGUUUUAGUAGAACAGCAUGCUAGAAUAGGACUAAGGAUCUAGGGAGAUGCCUUAUGCGCCUGCUAUAUGUGUUUCAGCUUUAUGAGAAUUGCAUGCUAGUACUGAGUAGACAGCAGUAGGAUAGCCUGUUUAGGUUAUGCCUGAUAGUAUGAGCUUAGCAUUGUAUGCUAGUACAGUUUCUUGUUAUGAGGAUAGAGUUGCUUGAGUAGUUUCCUGUGUUCAAAUGCUGCUUGCUUUGUGCUUUGUGGGACUCCGAGUAAUGGGAGUUAUCCAUUAGGUGAAUACAUCACAUCGUAUGUGAUCAGGGUUGAAUAAUCUCAGAGUGUUGGAUUUGGCCCUACUACGAAGCUCUUGUUUCCAUGCUUAAAUCUCCAUUAAGACCCCAAUAUAAUAAUUUCUACGACAUUUCUUAGCUUGUUAGUGAAUAGAGAGCUCAUAUGAGCAAAAGGACAUCAGAUCUAGUCAUAAUCGAGCUCUAGAAGCUCAGAUCCACUGCCUUUAUUGAGUCAAAUUCGUAUGCAAGCCUAGAUCUACACUUUGAAUCCAUUUAGAGCCCUUUAAACUCUUGUAUAUGCAUGCAUGAACGUAAAGUUGGAAACUUUACGUGUAAAAACCACCCUAGGAACCCAGAUCUAUUAGUUGAAUGCGUUGGAAUCGAUCAAAAUCGUUUGUAUGGUAUUUGCAUGCAAGCGACUUGGCGAGUUGUUCAUCAGACUCGACGAGUCGAGUCGCGAGUCUCCGAUUUUCCCCCUUUUGAUUUAAUUGAGUGGAGCUAGUGUGUUAGAGGUGGACUCAGUGAAUCGAGAGCCGGACUCAAUAAUGGAAAGACUCGGCGAGUCAAUGCCCUAACUCGACGAGUCCAAGGAAUUCUUCUUGCCUCAAGAACCGACUCGACGAGUUGUUCAAAAAACUCGACGAGUCUCAGACCAGAGUGUUCUUAUGAUGAAGGAGAACUCGACGAGUUGGUCAUACAACUCGGCGAGUCAGAUGAAAAUAGACUGAUUAUUCGCAUCGAAGAGGAACUCGUCGAGUCUAUGCCAAACUCGACGAGUAGUAACGGACAGGAAUUAGAAAUGAGAGCAUGGACUCGACGAGUUGGCGUCCCAACUCGGCGAGUCAGGUCAACUGUAUGUUGACUUUGACCAUAGUGUUGACUUCCUCGAGGGGUAAGAUAUUCAUUUUACCCUCAGAUUAGUUAUCAGUAUUUGAUUGAGUGUGUUUAUGGGAAUUAUAGCCGGGGAGAUACCGGAGCAGCAGCAGAGUGUUCCCAAGUAGAUUUUUAGCAGCUAGCUUUCGAGGUGAGUUUCCUUCCAGUAGGAACGAGUCUACGGCCACAACGCCGGCUCAUUUAGUUAGCAGCGGUUCUGGACUUCGGUCCGAUGCAGUAGUUCAGGGUGCUUGAUGUCUUUGUGAUUCAAGCAUGUCUUUGUGUUAUGUGUUCCGGACUUCGGUCCGAUGCAGUAUACAGUAUAUGUGUUUAUGCUAGUUGAUAUGUGUUUAUGCUAUGCUAUGAUCAGUCAGUUCCGGACUUCGGUCCGAUGCAGGGGACAAGGUCCCAGUCAGUUCCGGACUUCGGUCCGAUGCAGGGGACAAGGUCCUAGUUAGUUCCAGACUUCGGUCCGAAGCAGAGGGCAAGUCCUUGGUUAGUUUCCGGACUUCGGUCCGAUGCAGUUUCCGAACUUCGAUCCGAUGCAGUAGGCAAGGCCCAGUAUGUGCUUUAUAUAUUAUUAUAUGGUAUGUGGUAGUUUGGGGGAGCUCACUAAGCUUUGUGCUUACAAUUUUCAGUUUUGGUUUCAGGUACUUCCGCUAGCAAAGGGAAGAGCUCGGGAUGACGGCGUCGCACACACCACAGCCUCAGUUUUAUCCUGGGAGUUUUAAUUGGAUAAUGUUAUGAUCGAUACAAUUUUUGUUUAGACACAGUUACUAUGACAUUUGAGUUACUCAUUUUAUGGUUUUUAUUAUUUAUGAUAUCUGAUGAUGUGAUUUUAGUAAUAUUAAAACAAAAAUUUUUGGGUUGUAUUUUGGGUCAUUACAAGUUGGUAUCAAAGCCUUGGUUUGAGGGAUUUAAGCACACGUACGGGUAUCACUAAACUCAAACUAAGUAAAUAGUAAAAGGUUUUUGAAAGAAAAAUGUUUUCAAAAGAAUUUUUGAAAAAGAGACUUAAAAAUAAAAGAGUUUUGAAAACGAGAAAAGGGUGUGGUGCAUGCAAUCAGCCAAGCUCAAGUAAGUACUCCCAAAUUACCCAUACAAGUUUACAUUAUGAGUAUAUGUUUCAGUUUUAGUAGAACAGCAUGCUAGAAUAGGACUAAGGAUCUAGGGAGAUGCCUUAUGCGCCUGCUAUAUGUGUUUCAGCUUUAUGAGAAUUGCAUGCUAGUACUGAGUAGACAGCAGUAGGAUAGCCUGUUUAGGUUAUGCCUGAUAGUAUGAGCUUAGCAUUGUAUGCUAGUACAGUUUCUUGUUAUGAGGAUAGAGUUGCUUGAGUAGUUUCCUGUGUUCAAAUGCUGCUUGCUUUGUGCUUUGUGGGACUCCGAGUAAUGGGAGUUAUCCAUUAGGUGAAUACAUCACAUCGUAUGUGAUCAGGGUUGAAUAAUCUCAGAGUGUUGGAUUUGGCCCUACUACGAAGCUCUUGUUUCCAUGCUUAAAUCUCCAUUAAGACCCCAAUAUAAUAAUUUCUACGACAUUUCUUAGCUUGUUAGUGAAUAGAGAGCUCAUAUGAGCAAAAGGACAUCAGAUCUAGUCAUAAUCGAGCUCUAGAAGCUCAGAUCCACUGCCUUUAUUGAGUCAAAUUCGUAUGCAAGCCUAGAUCUACACUUUGAAUCCAUUUAGAGCCCUUUAAACUCUUGUAUAUGCAUGCAUGAACGUAAAGUUGGAAACUUUACGUGUAAAAACCACCCUAGGAACCCAGAUCUAUUAGUUGAAUGCGUUGGAAUCGAUCAAAAUCGUUUGUAUGGUAUUUGCAUGCAAGCGACUCGGCGAGUUGUUCAUAAGACUCGACGAGUCGAGUCGCGAGUCCCCGAUUUUCCCCCUUUUGAUUUAAUUGAGUGGAACAUGUGUGUUAGAGGUGGACUCAGUGAGUCGAGAGCCGGACUCAAUAAUGGAAAGACUCGGCGAGUCAAUGCCCUAACUCGACGAGUCCAAGGCAAUCUUCUUGCCUCAAGAACAGACUCGACGAGUUGUUCAUACAACUCGACGAGUCUCAGACCAGAGUGUUCUUAUGAUGAAGGAGAACUCGACGAGUUUGUUCAUACAACUCGGCGAGUCAGAUGAAAAUAGACUGAUUAUUCGCAUCGAAGAGGAACUCGUCGAGUCUAUGCCAAACUCGACGAGUAGUAGCGGACAGGAAUUAGAAAUGAGAGCAUGGACUCGACGAGUUGGCGUCCCAACUCGGCGAGUCAGGUCAACUGUAUGUUGACUUUGACCAUAGUGUUGACUUCCUCCAGGGGUAAGAUAGUCAUUUUACCCUCAGAUUAGUUAUCAGUAUUUGAUUGAAUGUGUUUAUGGGAAUUAUAGUCGGGGAGAUACCGGAGCAGCAACAGAGAGUUCCCAAGUAGAUUUUCAGCAGCCAGCUUUCGAGGUGAGUUUCCUUCCAGUAGGAACGAGUCUACGGCCACAAUGCCGGCCCGUUUAGUUAGCAGUGGUUCCGGACUUCGGUCCGAUGCAGUAGUUCAGGGUGCUUGAUGUCAUUGUGAUUCAAGCAUGUCUUUGUGUUAUGUGUUCCGGCUUCGGUCCGAUGCAGUAUACAGUAUAUGUGUUUAUGCUAGUUUAUAUGUGUUUAUGCUAUGCUAUGAUCAGUCAGUUCCGGACUUCGGUCCGAUGCAGGGGACAAGGUCCCAGUUAGUUCCAGACUUCGGUCCGAUGCAGAGGGAAAGUCCCUGGUUAGUUUCCGGACUUCGGUCCGAUGCAGUUUCCGAACUUCGAUCCGAUGCAGUGGGCAAGGCCCAGCAUGUGGUUUACAUAUUAUUGUAUGGUAUAUGGUACUUUGGGGGAGCUCACUAAGCUUUGUGCUUACAAUUUUCAGUUUUGGUUUCAGGUACUUCCGCUAGCAAAGGGAAGAGCUCGGGAUGAUGGCGUCGCACACACCACAGCCGCAGUUUUAUCCUGGGAGUUUUAAUUGGAUAAUGUUAUGAUCGAUACAAUUUUUGUUUAGACACAGUUACUAUGACAUUUGAGUUACUCAUUUUAUGGUUUUUAUUAUUUAUGAUAUCUGAUGAUGUGAUUUUAGUAAUAUUAAAACAAAAAUUUUUGGGUUGUAUUUUGGGUCAUUACAAGUUGGUAUCAAAGCCUUGGUUUGAGGGAUUUAAGCACACGUACGGGUAUCACUAAACUCAAACUAAGUAAAUAGUAAAAGGUUUUUGAAAGAAAAAUGUUUUCAAAAGAAUUUUUGAAAAAGAGACUUAAAAAUAAAAGAGUUUUGAAAACGAGAAAAGGGUGUGGUGCAUGCAAUCAGCCAAGCUCAAGUAAGUACUCCCAAAUUACCCAUACAAGUUUACAUUAUGAGUAUAUGUUUCAGUUUUAGUAGAACAGCAUGCUAGAAUAGGACUAAGGAUCUAGGGAGAUGCCUUAUGCGCCUGCUAUAUGUGUUUCAGCUUUAUGAGAAUUGCAUGCUAGUACUGAGUAGACAGCAGUAGGAUAGCCUGUUUAGGUUAUGCCUGAUAGUAUGAGCUUAGCAUUGUAUGCUAGUACAGUUUCUUGUUAUGAGGAUAGAGUUGCUUGAGUAGUUUCCUGUGUUCAAAUGCUGCUUGCUUUGUGCUUUGUGGGACUCCGAGUAAUGGGAGUUAUCCAUUAGGUGAAUACAUCACAUCGUAUGUGAUCAGGGUUGAAUAAUCUCAGAGUGUUGGAUUUGGCCCUACUACGAAGCUCUUGUUUCCAUGCUUAAAUCUCCAUUAAGACCCCAAUAUAAUAAUUUCUACGACAUUUCUUAGCUUGUUAGUGAAUAGAGAGCUCAUAUGAGCAAAAGGACAUCAGAUCUAGUCAUAAUCGAGCUCUAGAAGCUCAGAUCCACUGCCUUUAUUGAGUCAAAUUCGUAUGCAAGCCUAGAUCUACACUUUGAAUCCAUUUAGAGCCCUUUAAACUCUUGUAUAUGCAUGCAUGAACGUAAAGUUGGAAACUUUACGUGUAAAAACCACCCUAGGAACCCAGAUCUAUUAGUUGAAUGCGUUGGAAUCGAUCAAAAUCGUUUGUAUGGUAUUUGCAUGCAAGCGACUCGGCGAGUUGUUCAUAAGACUCGACGAGUCGAGUCGCGAGUCCCCGAUUUUCCCCCUUUUGAUUUAAUUGAGUGGAACAUGUGUGUUAGAGGUGGACUCAGUGAGUCGAGAGCCGGACUCAAUAAUGGAAAGACUCGGCGAGUCAAUGCCCUAACUCGACGAGUCCAAGGCAAUCUUCUUGCCUCAAGAACAGACUCGACGAGUUGUUCAUACAACUCGACGAGUCUCAGACCAGAGUGUUCUUAUGAUGAAGGAGAACUCGACGAGUUUGUUCAUACAACUCGGCGAGUCAGAUGAAAAUAGACUGAUUAUUCGCAUCGAAGAGGAACUCGUCGAGUCUAUGCCAAACUCGACGAGUAGUAGCGGACAGGAAUUAGAAAUGAGAGCAUGGACUCGACGAGUUGGCGUCCCAACUCGGCGAGUCAGGUCAACUGUAUGUUGACUUUGACCAUAGUGUUGACUUCCUCCAGGGGUAAGAUAGUCAUUUUACCCUCAGAUUAGUUAUCAGUAUUUGAUUGAGUGUGUUUAUGGGAAUUAUAGCCGGGGAGAUACCGGAGCAGCAGCAGAGAGUUCCCAAGUAGAUUUUCAGCAUCCAGCUUUCGAGGUGAGUUUCCUUCCAGUAGGAACGAGUCUACGGCCACAAUGUCGGCCCGUUUAGUUAGCAGGGGUUCCGGACUUCGGUCCGAUGCAGUAGUUCAGGGUGCUUGAUGUCUUUGUGAUUCAAGCAUGUCUUUGUGUUAUGUGUUCCGGACUUCGGUCCGAUGCAGUAUACAGUAUAUGUGUUUAUGCUAGUUGAUAUGUGUUUAUGCUAUGCUAUGAUCAGUCAGUUCCGGACUUCGGUCCGAUGCAGGGGACAAGGUCCCAGUCAGUUCCGGACUUUGGUCUGAUGCAGGGGACAAGGUCCCAGUUAGUUCCAGACUUUGGUCCGAUGCAGAGGGCAAGUCCCUGGUUAGUUUCCGGACUUCGGUCCGAUGCAGUUUCCAGACUUCGGUCCGAUGCAGUUUCCGAACUUCGAUCCGAUGCAGUGGGCAAGGCCCAGUAUGUGCUUUAUAUAUUAUUGUAUGGUAUGUGGUAGUUUGGGGGAGCUCACUAAGCUUUGUGCUUACAAUUUUCAGUUUUGGUUUCAGGUACUUCCACAAGCAAAGGGAAGAGCUCGGGAUGACGGCGUCGCACACACCACAGGCUCAGUUUUAUCCUGGGAGUUUUAAUUGGAUAAUGUUAUGAUCGAUACAAUUUUUGUUUAGACACAGUUACUAUGACAUUUGAGUUACUCAUUUUAUGGUUUUUAUUAUUUAUGAUAUCUGAUGAUGUGAUUUUAGUAAUAUUAAAACAAAAAUUUCUGGGUUGUAUUUUGGGUCAUUACAAGUUGGUAUCAAAGCCUUGGUUUGAGGGAUUUAAGCACACUUACGGGUAUCACUAAACUCAAACUAAGGAAAUAGUAACAGGUUUUUGAAAGAAAAAUGUUUUCAAAAGAAUUUAUGAAAAAGAGACUUAAAAAGAAAAGAGUUUUGAAAACGAGAAAAAGGUGUGGUGCAUGCAAUCAGCCAAGCUCAAGUAAGUACUCCCAAAUUACCCAUAGAAGUUUACAUUAUGAGUAUCUGUUUCAGUUUCAAUAGAACAGCAUGCUAGAAUAGGACUAAGGAUCUUGGGAGAUGCCUUAUGCGCCUGCUAUAUGUGUUUCAGCUUUAUGAGAAUUGCAUGCUAGUACUGAGUAGACAGUAGUAGGAUAGCCUGUUUAGGUUAUGCCUGAUAGUAUGAGCUUAGCAUUGUAUGCUAGUAUAGUUUCUUGUUAUGAGGAUAGAAUUGCUUGAGUAGUUUCCUGUGUUCAAAUGCUGCUUGCUUUGUGCUUUGUGGGACUCCGAGUAAUGGGAGUUAUCCAUUAGGUGAAUACAUCACAUCGUAUGUGAUCAGGGUUGAAUAAUCUUAGAGUGUUGGAUUUGGCCCUACUGCGAAGCUCUUGUUUGAGUCUAACCAUUGUGGCGACGAGUCUUUUACUCGAAGGAUUAUCCGAGCCUCGUCAGAUGUGAUGGUAUUCAGGUGAUGACUAAUUGGUAUUACAAGGAGGCCUUCAGCGGCUGAGGGCUGGUUUUGGUCGAGUCAGAGAUUUCCCUAGGGCAAGCCUAGGAUGAGAGUAGGGGUUUCAAAAAAACCCGAACCCGAUUAACCCGACCCGAACCCGAACCCGAAUAAGGUAAUUAGGGUCGGGUUUAAUAGGGUCAGAACUCUUAAUCGGGUUAUUCAGGUUAACCCGACUAACCCGGAUUAUUAUUAGGGUCGGGUUUAGGGUUGAUUUUUUCAAAGCAAUUCGGGUUUCGGGUCAACCUGAAUAACCCGAUUAAGAAUUUAUUACCAAAACUUUUUUUUUAUUGCGUUGAAUGACAUGAAUUCAAGAUGCCAUGAGAUUUUAAAAGUAAUACAUAUUUAUUAUUUAAACAAACCAGGUAGUAAAAUUACUAUGUAUAGAGAUGUAUAAUAUGACAUAACUUUCCUCUCUUCUUAAUGCAGUACGGUUGUGUUGUAACAGUUUUACGAAUUUUAUUAACUGUUUACGUUACUAAUAUGGUAAAAGAAACUCCAAAAAUUCAUAUCGUAUACCAACUUUACAUUUUAAGUUCCUAUACAUGUGGAUUAUAUAUAAAAAUGGCACAACAUAAAUUCAUCUUACAUUUCAACUUCAACCCGACUAACCCGAUUAACCCAACCCUAAAACCCGAAACUCGGUUAGCCCGAACCCAGCUAACCCGUACCUUAUUAGGGUCGGGUUUCGGGUGAAUAUUUUUUCUAGAAAAACCCGACUAACUUGACCUGUUUAACCCGAAACCCAAUCGGGUUAACCCGAUUAACAGCCCUAGAUGAGAGUAGCAGAGAUCAGUAGCAGUAGUAGUGACUUGGUGGAGUCGAAGCAGUUCUUGAGGAAGGUACAGAUAGAUGUGGAAGGAGGUAGGGGCCCAUACUACUGGAAGCAGAGGAUCUGUACUUGAAUCAAGGAAGGCUGAGAUGAGACCGGGAAACCUAUAGUAGUAGCGAUCCCUUGAGAUAUAUCAGUGUUUCUGACGUUUAUCGUAAUGUGUUUUUAGAAUGGUGGUUUUACGCCCAAGACCAGCAGGAAACAAUUCAGGUGCCGGGGAGGGAUCAGGAUCAGGCUCGGGAGCCGAGCAGUUAGAUGAGCAGACUAGGGAUUUUUUCACUUUAGAGGUUACCCGUAUCAUACUUGAGCAGACUCUGGUGAUCUUUGGUUCGAUCAAGGAGGGUAUCUUAGAGUUGAUGGAUGAGAAGUUGAGCACGUUCCGCGCUGAGGUGGCGGCCAUGAUGGGGUCGCACACACACACCUUCAGGGAGUUCCGAGCUUGUGGAGCUCCAGACUAUCAUGGGGCGCGGGACCCCAUUGCGAGUACCAGGUGGUUGGCAGACGUUGCCAACGCUUUCCGCACGAGCAGAUGUCCCGAGGGGGACAAGGUCAAAUUAGGAUCCUGUCUUUUGAAGGACAGGGCACGUGACUGGUGGGAAGAAGUUGGGCAUGUCAUCGGGGAUGACGCAACGCUUGAGGCCAUGACUUGGGCUAAUUUUACUACCAGGUGUGACAUCCCCAUUUUCAUGGCCAGAAAAGACCGAUUUUGUUUAUGCUUUAUAAAAAUCAGAGUUCUUCUUUUAAUAAAAAUGUUGCGGAAUUUGUUCCCAGAAAAACACGAUAAAUACGUUAUUAAAACAUUUUCGAAGAAACGUAUUUUAUUCAUUUUAAAACGUUUGGGAUGUCAUCGUUAAUACAGAAACAUAAGCAUAAACAGAACUUACAUUUUCGAAGAAACGUAUUUUAUUCAUUUUAAAACGUUUGGGAUGUCAUCGUUAAUACAGAAACAUAAGCAUAAACAGAACUUACAUUUAUUUACACUAGUGAUUUACAUCUCUUUAAAUAUCUCAGUGUAAUGUGACUUCAUAUCAACACCUAUGAUAUAAAUAAACUGAGUGGGUCAGGUUGGGAAACUUGGUGAGUACAUGGGGUUUUCAACCCAUAAUUAUAUAAUUAUUAUGUUUAAACAAUCAAAUAAUCAACCCAAUUACCCAUCCCCAUUAUCUUCUUUACUCUUAAGGAUUUAUCCUAAGAGUCAUCUAUCCUACAUUCGUUUAUUCCUAAGUCCCUUACUUCCAGGGUUAUAGGACUGGCACUAAAUCCAUGGCUGCCAAUGUUCGUUCGUAAAGCACUAAUUCCAUAGUUGCUAUGGUCUACUCAUCGGGUACUAAAUCCAUAGCUACCAGUGUUCAAUAGGUACUAAGUCCAUAGCUACCAAUUCCUAACAGGUACAAAGUCCAUAGCUACCAGCAUCUAAGUAAUAGGUACUAAAUCCAUAGCUACCAAUUCCUAACAAGUACNAAUCCAUAGCUACCAAUUCUUAACAGGUACUAAGUCCAUAGCUACCAGUGUUUGUCCAAUAGGCACUAAGUCUAUAGCUGCCAAUGUAUACUCUCAUCAUCUUAUAUCUCUCAUCAUUCAUCUACCCAUGUCAUACCCAACAUAUUCGUAUAUAUAAAAUACAUAUACAGUUUAAAUCAUUUAAAACAUGUAUAAAACGUUCAUCCAGCAUAGACAGCAAGUACUCAAAUAAUAUGCACACUUAACAUGUAAUUUAUAUAAAAUACUUCAUAUCUAUGUGUAAGAUGAAAGUAACUAUGCACUCACCUGAGUAGGUGGUGACUCAGCACUCGGACAGCGCUUCGAUACUCUUAAAACAAUUUUCCUUCGAUAAAACCUAGUACCAAUACCACUAGGGUUUAGUCUAACGAUAACCGCGACAAAUUAAUAGUCUGACUAUUAUUAUUAUUAUACAAGCGUUAAUAACACUCAAUAUAACUCAUAAUAAUAGCCCAAAUAAUUAUUUUAAAGACCUAAUAACAUUACUAUAUAGAAACAUAAGCUACGCUAAAGAUAGGGUAAGCGUAGCUCACUUACAUCGGGUUUUCUCGAAAAUCGAGCUUUGCUUGAGUAGCGUUUCCGAGCCAAAAUACCCUUUUUCUCGGGACUCCGGGAGCCUCGGGGCUUCCUUCGGGUGCUAGGGGUUUACCUAGGCUUUAGGGGGCUUAAGGGAAGUUAGAGAGAGAAAGAAUGUUGGAGAGGUGUGAAGAGAAGUGAAUGCCCGACACCACUAUUUAUAGGGGUGCUGACUGACCUACUUGCCGAGUAGGAGGACCUACUUGCCGAGUUGGUGCAUGUGGCAACCUUCUGGUGGUGCCACGUGUCCAAUUCUGGUUGUGCCACGUCACCCCUUAUCGCGUAUCAGCCUUCAAACUUAGAAAAAUCAUAACUCUUGCAUACGAGCUCCGUUUUCGAAGUUCUUUAUAUCCACGCGUAGGUAAAAUCAAGAUCUAUAACUUUCGUUUAGACUCCGUUGGCUAAUUCUGGACCGGUAUCAAAUUUAACAAUAGGAGGCGUUUAGACUGUUAAAUGACCUCGAAGAAUUCGUAACUCCUUCAUACGGAGUCCGUUUUCGUCCAUCUUUUUACCGUUGAGUUCCUAUUAAUGAGAUCUUCAACUCUCAUUUAGGUCGCAUAAGCCAAAAACCGCUCGAACUAAAAUUCGAGUUUCGGGCUGUACAUUGCUAAGCCGAAUCUUAGAAAAAUCAUAACUUCUUCAUAUGAAGUCAGAUUUGGGCGUUCUUUUUAUGGAUUUUAUCGGUUUAACAUAUUCUAUGACUUUCGUUUAGAUCACUAAGGCUAAAUCUCGCUCUAUCGUAAAUUCACUUUUUACGCUUCCCGGUGCCGUGCCGGUUCCGUCGCGAAACUUCGAGGGUCAUAACUUCUUCGUUAUAACUCGGAUUUCGGUGUUCUUUAUAUGUAUGGAAACCUUGUGACAUACACUAAAACUUGGUUCAAAUUAUUUAUUCUAAAUAAUCUUUUGUCGAAAUGACAUUUUCGACCCCUAUUAUCUCUAAAUUGACUAGCCCGGAUCUACGGGCGUUACACCAGGUUCAGAGCCGAGUUUGCACCAGUUAUUGAGGUGCAACAGUUAGCCAGAGAGUUCCAUGAUAUUACUCAGACUACAGAGAUAGUGGCAGAGAUUACUGCCAAGUUCAGGGAGAGGGCUCUUCUUGUUCCUCAGUACGCAGCUGAUGAGGAAAUGAAGAAGGGCCGAUAUCAUGAGAUGUUGCGGAAUGAUAUCUGCCAGUUUGUGAGCCGGUCCAGCUGUAAAAUGUUGGAUGAUAUGAUUGCAAGGGCUCAAGAGAGAGAUUGAUUUAGAGAUGGAGAGGAAGAGGAAGCCAGAGACAGUAUCUGGCACAGGGAGUUCGGACAAAAAGCCCAAGGUAUCAGAUCACAGAUCUAGAGGACAGCAGAGCCAAAUUCGGUGUGGCAAGUAUGGGAGAUUGCACGAUGGGGCAUGCAAGGCAGGGAGUCCAGGUUGCUACAAGUGCAGCCGGAUCGGACAUAUGAGCAGAGAUUGUACAGCUACUCCCACCAUUACCGCAACAUCUGAUCUGAUUUGCUUCCAUUGCAAUCAGAGGGGACAUAAAAAGUCCCAGUGCCCGAACUUAGCAGCAAUAGGGAAGGUGUCAGCACCUGCCCCUGCUACAUUGAGGAUUACGGACGGUCGUUAGGGCUGGGCCGAGGCGCCAGUGGCGAAGAGUAGAGCUUUUCAGAUGACAGCAGAGGAGGAGCGAGCGACUCCUGACGUGGUGACGGGUAUGUAUUUUCCUUUUAUCUCUGCAUUUAUUAUUGAUUGUUUCUAAUGUUUUAUGUUUGCGUAUAGGGUCGUUCUUAGUGAAUGACAUUUUAGCUACAGUGUUAUUUGAUUCGGGGGCUACCCGAUCAUUUGUCUCUCUUGCGCUUAGCAAGUGGUUUAGCAGAGCUCCAGGGGAGCUGGAUUGUCCACUCGAGGUGGAGGUAGCCGAUGAUAGGACCGUCGGGGUCGUGAGAGUGCACAAUGCAUUCUCGCUGCAGCUAUUCGAUGAGCAGUUUUCAGUAGACCUGGUCCCUAUUCCUUUGUGAGGGAACAAGGUCAUAGUAGGCAUGGACUGGCUGAGCCCCAAUGGGGCGAUGAUUGAUUGCGAGUUGCAGCAAGUGAGGGUUUGCACUCCCAGCGGGGGAGAGUUAGUGAUUCAGUACGAGAGGCCACAGCGCGGACCGAUUCUUUUUUCAACAGCUAGAGCGAGACGCUACUUCCAGCAGGGUUGCGCAAGGUUCAUCGUCUACGUUUUGGAUGCUCGGGAGAAGGGCAAGGUGACAGUCGACGAUGUACCGGUAGUGCGAGACUACCCGGACGUAUUCCCGGAGGAUCUGCCUGGGAUACCUCCGGAGAGACAGGUUGAGUUCAAGAUUGACUUGGUUCCUGGUGCGACUCCUAUAGCUAAGGCAUCGUAUCGGUUGGCUCCUCCAGAGAUGCAGGAGUUGUCUAAGCUGCUGCAGGAGCUGCUAGACAAGGGUUUCAUCAAACCGAGUAGUUCACUAUGGGGAGCCCCGAUCCUGUUCGUGAGAAAGAAGGAUGGGUCGCACCGUAUGUGCAUAGAUUACCGGGAGUUGAACAAGGUAAUAAUGAAGAACCGUUACCCACUCCCGAGGAUAGACGAUGUUGAAAGAAAAACUUUGAGACACACUUGAACAAAAGUUAGAACAAGUAUAUUGUGGAAUAGUUAAUCUCGAAGGAUCUAAUAACUCAACAAUAAUAUUUAAGUUAGAUGAUUAGAGAGUUAGUUGCGGAAAAUAAAUAAAUGAAAAUGACAACAAUUGUUAUAUCAAGUAUACACGUAAGUUGAUUCAUAACGAGGAAUGCAUUCAAGCCAAGUUAAUAAGUGAGAUUAAACCUAGUGAUUAAGUCACAAAGGACUUUCUCCGAAGAUAGAUUGUAACCAGUUAUGAGAGAAUAUGUAAUGUGAAUAAGUAAGAAAGAGAUAGACAGGAUAAAUCCAGAGAUAUAUAUAUUAGAAAUUGAUAGAUGCGUAUGUGUUACAAAGAGAAUGAGCUCUAUUUAUAGAGACUCAAGAGUUACAUCAGACUCACUCUCUAAGAGUAGCCAUGAAAGGCAUACUGGACAAUAGAGAGGAUUGUAGUAAGACAAAACAAACUGAAUAAUAAAGAGAGAUUGCGGUUCGUUCAGACUUCGGUUGCGGUGGCUAGGAAGAGAUCUUGACUGCGGGUGAACUUAUAACUGCGGUAGCCAAAAAGUUCAAGAGGGUCACUUUUUAUGAUUCAACAAUUUCCCCCUAAGUGACCUCUUUAACUUCCGAUCAUCUAUCAAGUUGAAGAUACUUGAUCAAAAUCCACCAAAACUUCCUGAUGUUCUCCAACCUGGUGAUCCUUCUCAAAAUUUCGAACUUGACCUCUACGGUAGUGAACUUAGAUUUUUCAACUGCGAUUUUGCAGAUGUCAAGUUGCUUCCUGGUGAGCCGAUGCAUGGCAGUUAUAGGAAUGAAGUAUUUGACAUUGUCGGUCUUCCUUUUGAAAAUGAUGCCAAGAUCAGGGAAGUUGGUUGCACCUAAUGAUCUGUCUUCAAAACUUUUGGUGGGCAUUGGUGCGGGGUUGAGCGGUGGCAGAUCAAACUUCUUGGAAAUGAUGGGAUGGAUGUCCGCGUCAAUUUUGGCAAAAUCACAGACAGUUCCCUUCAAGAAGAUGUUGGCCCUUUCAAGUGCAAUCUUCAUCUUCGGAUGCUUCUUUGUUUUGUUCUGAAACACCUUUGCGAUGAGAAAGACUUCCUCCGGAUUCAUGCAAGGGAAGUCCGCCUGGGAGCAAACAUAGUCAUGUCCCCUUCUGGUGAGGGUAUACUGGAUGAACUCUGCCUUCAUAAACUUCCGAACUUUGAAGUUUAUGACUGAGGAUGGUGUGUCGUUGGACCAUAUAUGUUGUAUGGGAGAGGCAUGCUUAGCAUGAAAGCGACUUAGUCUUUCAAAUUCCAUCGGCAGUCGUUGGGCUUCGGGAAGGCUGAGAUCAAAAUACUCAAACACUGUGAAGUAUUUGGAAUUUGGGGAGAUUGGAACAUCCCAGUAACCAUCCGGAGGGGGUUCAACAUAAGUGAUGUGCGGUCUGUAAUCUUCAUCCAGCAGCCUGCGGUGAGGAUUGAUCCAGGAGUUUAUCAAGGAUUCAUCGAUUGAAGUAUCAAAACAACAUUCAUUCCAGAUGAUCUCUGCAAGCUUAGAUGCCUUCCAAUAUUUUUUCUUUUGAGCUAUGGCAGGGGUAUCAUUUGAGCUCGGAGAUGACAUGAAAUCCGCAAGGUUUUUGAUAUGAGGGGGAGUCUUUGGUUUUUCUGGAGUGUUUUCAAAUGGCGGUGGAGAGUUGUGAGGUGGAGUGUGAUGGGAUGGUUGAGGUGAAGGUUGUGGUGUAGCAAUAUUUUCAGUAGGGAUAGGUGAAGUUUGAUGUUGUGAGAUAGAUUGAUUGGAGUGAUGGAAUUCUUAUUCGUUUCCCCCUCUAGAGGAGUUUAGACUCGGAGCCUCCUCAAGCCAUUGACGAAGGCCAUCAACUUUGGCAAACACUUCUUGGAAUUUGGCAUUAACGGCUUCGGCCAGUUGUUGAUUGUUGGGGAUAGAGGGGUUGAAGAGUAGCUUGUGGAUCUCCUUGAUGAGAUGAAGAAUUUCAGGACCAUGGAAAUUUGCAGUCAAAGAACGCUGUAGACGGUUGAUAGUCGAAUGAAGAACGGAGAUUGCAGACUCAUAAGUUGUGUGAGUCUCAGCGAUCAGUUUUUCAGAGUUGGAGGCUUGAUCACCCAGACGUUUUUGCCGUCUGGUUCGGGGAUGUGACAUAAAUAGUAGUGAGCGAAGCAUCGAAGGAGGCAAUAUGGUUGAAGAAGUUCAUUGGAGACCUCGGAGUUGUACCAACCAUAUAGGAGCCUCUAACGUCCCAAAAUUCAAGACUAAAAUUUCUUUUAUAAAACAUCACUUAAAACAUAAUUUUCAAUCCAUAACAUAAACAGAGUAUUAAUUUCCAAAACAUAUGUUCGUUAUCAGAGUAAAACAUCCCAGGCUGUCUAAUCUAUGGUGUGUGCCAUGCGAUCACCCCGAGCUCUUCCCUUCGCUACCGGAAGUACCUGAAACCAAAACUGAAAACCUUAAGCACAAAGCUUAGUGAGUUUCCCCAACCUACCACAUACCAUGCAUAACCACAUAUUGCACAUACUGGGCCACGCCCGCUAUUCAGGGCCUCGCCCCCUACCUCGGGCCUCGCCCGCNCCCCCCCCCCCCCGGGCCCCCCCCCGCCACACCCCCCCCGCCGCUCCAGGCCCCGCCUGGCUUCGAGCCCCGCUCGGACACAAAUCUGUUUCACUUAGGCCUUGCCUAUCACUGGGCCUCGCCCUCUAACAUAUAAUAGCACAUAAACAUAUCACAACACAUAAGCUAAAUAUAUACUAAUGGAUCUUGUCCUAAGGCCUCACCUAUCCUGGGCCUUGCCCUUGUCCUGCUACUGAUGAGCCAUGGAACCCCAUCCACGCUCCGACUGAUAGUGAGUUACGGGCCCAUCCCACACUCACUCUUUNUCGCCCCUGUUCUACUGCUAAUGAGAUGUGGAACACCAUCCACACUCUGCUAUUGGUGAGAUAUGGGACCUCACCCACACUCACCUCCCUACCAGGCACAUACAUGUAUCACACAGACAACAAGUAUAAACUAUCACAUAAAUCAUUCCUUGGGCACCCACCCGCUAUCAUUGGACCUCGUCCUGAAUAUCAUACUAGCAUACUGUGCCUAGGUCUAACCCCCGGGUCUUCUACUCAUAACUACAUGGGUCGACAUUGUGGCCUUAGACCCAUUCAUACAAAGGGAAACUCACCUGCACUUGCUAAACUUGCCGAUAACCCCUCUAGCUGCUGCCCGGUAACUCUCUGAACUCUGCUCCACUAGCUCCCCGAGCUACCAAUAUCAAUGCAACACUUAGUCUAACUGUUCUCCGAAAGUCAACUAAGUCAACUCUGGUCAAAGUCAACCUUCCAGGUCAACCCUACUCACUGAUUCUACCUACUAACUCGCCGAUUUCAUAUGCUCAGAGUCCUUCCAUUCGCGACUCGACUCGCUGAGUCAGUCCAUGACUCGCCGAGUCCACCGAUUUCCGAGUCCUGACCUGUCCAACUCACCGAGUCCCCACUCAACUCACUGAUCCAAGUCUUAACUUGAAGGGUUUGGGAUUUCGCGACUUGACUCGCCGAGUCCAAGAACAAACUCACCGAGUCCAAGGCAAUCUUCAAUAGACUCGCCGAGUUGUUCUUCCAACUCGCCGAGUCCACCCGUGUGACUCGUCGAGUCUCUCCAGUUCUUAAUCCAUUCAGUGGCUUUUCGAGCCAUGCAGGGGCUCCAAAUAAUAGAUCCAUACUUCCAAAGCCUAUUCCUCACGUAAAGUUGCAAACUUUACGUGUAGCUAAGGAGAUCUAGGCCCAAAACACUCCAUACUCUGGUUUAAGACAACCAUGCUUCACCUACACCCCCAAGACUGAUACUUUAUGACUCUCUAGGCCAGAAUACACUUAGAUCUGAAGUAGCAACUUCAUAUCUAGACUUCUAACUCCAAUUGGCUCUUGGACAUGGCAUAAAAGCCCCAAAUAUCAUGACAACAAGGAAACUAUGAGCAAAGGAGUGAAGGUAAUGACUUCUUACCUUUAAAUGCUCUGAAAAGUCACACCAACACUAGAUCCAAGGCUUCCUCUUGCACCACUAUGAACUUCCUUCUCUUCCAAGCUUCAAAUCACAAUACCAAGGCUAGAUCUUUGCUCAAAAACGGAUAUGGUGGCUAGGGUUCGAGGUUCUGGAUGAGGGAAGUUGUAAAGGAACCCUAAGGAAGAGAAUGAGGUGCUUAAAUAGUGCACAAAGUCCCGAAUUUAGGGUUUCACUCUUCAGACCGGACUCGCCGAGUUCAUUCUCCGACUCGCCGAGUUGGUCACUUACUCCUCGACCCGGAUCCCGCUCGGACUCGCCGAGUUCCUCCUUCGACUCGACAAGUCGGCCCUUUAACUUAGGGUUUUCCUUUCCUUUCUUGGUCUUUCUGAUUAAGGGUGUUACAGAGCCUGUGGAGAUUUUCUGUAAUAACGAAUGAGUGAUUGCCUUAACUGUUACACCCCCGAACCAGAACGGCGGAAACGUCCGGAGGCGGGUGACGUCAUUAUGAUGUAUCAUAACAAUUGAAUAUAAAUGAAACAUAGCAAAUACAAACAUCAUACAUUAAGAUAACAAACUUACAUUGUAUUACAUCAUGUUUAUGUUCUCAAAUUACACAAAAGAGACAUUAGUGAGUAAGUUCCAAACUACAACAAAAUAAUCCUGAAGUUCGCGCCCCCAUUAACCUGCUUACUGAUUUCCUGAGAAUACAAGUCGUUUGAAAAGCGUCAAGAGGGUAUCGUCAGAGGAGAACCUAGCAGACCCCCUCACAAAGGGUCUAAGCAGGGUUAAGCAUUACAACAUGCGAGGAGCAUUGGUCUGAAGGACGAUAUUAGUUUUAGUGAUUAGAUAGUUGCUUAGAAAGUUGUAAUAGAUAAAAUGUAAUUGACAUUUGAUGAUUAAAAAAAAGGAGUUUUAUUUAUGAGUAAAGUUACUAUCUUGUGUCAAUUAUUUAAUAUUGCUUCACUUUUGCAUGUUUUGACUUCCUGGAUAAUAGGAUUAUUCGAAUUAUCCACAGUCAACGAUACUUUGGAAGUAAGUUAUGAGGUUAGACUGUCAUGAAUUGGUUUGUAGAUUGUCUAAGUGUUUAGACAUAGCAAAGGUUUGCUGCAACGUUCAUGAGUACUUACAAAAUAAGAUUUGAGUAUUGGAUUAAAACCACACUCAUUUGAAUCACUUCAUGGAAUUUAUCACGAGUGAUUGUGAGACGAUAAUAUCGUAUAAUCUUUAAACCGAGAUAUGUGAGUUGUUGUUUACAAGUUGGUUGUGCAUUGAUAAUGCGUAAACACAUCAGUAACUUGAUGUUAUAAAACAUGUUGCUGUGUACGAUUUGAUGAGUAAAUAGUACAAGCAUAUAAGUCAAAGUCUAUAUGUUCCUUUUAUCCUAAGAGGGUAAAAGCGAUAUCUUAGGCCCCUCGAUGAUUUUGUGUUGACUUAUGUGUCGGGCCUUGUUAGGACUGAAUUGAUGUGUUUAAUCAAGUUCUAUGUCAAACAAAUCAGAAGUCGGGAAACAAACUAUUGGACAGUGACAAUGAUUAUGUUCCAUGUCUUUGUCCACAUGAUAUCUUGCAAAACGGAGGAUUAUAUGAUCCCUUAUCUAAAGGACGCGUCAUUGACUAGGUCAAAGUUCGACAUCGGCUUUUGAGAGCUACGAUUGCUAACCGGAUUUUGAAGUGGUAUUUAUAGUUAUAGUUAUUAGACUUAUCCAAGUGGGAGACUAUUGGAUUAGGUGUCUCAGCCCAUAACUAUAAUUGGGAUGUACUUGACCCAAUGGUAGCAUGGUCCUUUUGGGUUGCCUUCACCAUAACAAUUUGAUAGGAUGAAUUAUGGAGAAAGAGGUUAAUUGUGAUUUAUUAAUGUAUUAUAAGAAUAAUAUAUUAAACUGAGAAAUCAUAUUAUUUAAUUAGUAUUGAUUAGAAAUUAAUUUGUAAUUAAUUCGGUGUUCAAAAGAGACUGAUUAAAUUAUAGGUUGAUGUUGCAAUUAUAUGAUAGUUGCAAGUUGGGCUUGUGGAUUCCUACGAAGGGGUGGACGAAAUUCUAUGUGUAGCCCACAUAGAUUUCGUCUAAAGGGGGGCUUUCUGGAACGAUAUAAUCGAUUGUUUAAGGCUUAAGCAAUUAGAUUAGGGUUUUACCUGAAACUCUAGCAACUCAGCUAUAUAAGGAACCCAUUGGCUUCUUGAAAUCGACCAAUGCAUCAAUCAAGAGAACCAUAUCCGAUUUUAGAGCCUCACCAUCUCUUUCAUAUUCUUCCAAUUGUUACUUGGUGUUUGUAACUCAAUAGAGGUGCAAAAUUUGAGGCACUAAGCUCUUGAACGUUAAGAUCUAUAAGCUACAAGGAAAAGGUAUUCAUCUAACUUUGUUUUAUGUUAUAAAUCUCGAAAAUUGUAUGCUAGAUAGGUUCAUGCUUUCGAUAAUUGAAAUUUCAUGUAUAACUUGAGAAAAACCUAGAUCCAAAGCAUUAGGGUUGCAUGUACACCAUAUGAAUGUUGUAAUGCUCAAAACCCAUCACGAAAAUCCUAAGGGGUAUAAGUCUAUUUAUAAUAUACUACAAGGGUUCUCUGGAUAACCCUAAUCUAAAUAUAAUAUUAAUAUUUCAAAUUGGUAAUUAACCAGCUCCUUAAUUAUCCACGUGGGAUAAUCUACAAACCCUAGAUUAUCCAUAUAGAAUUCGUCUACCCUUUCCCUAGGAAGGUUCUACAACCUCUUGUUCAACUAUUGAACAAUAGCACUUUAGACACUGCACUUUUAAUUAUUUCUUUUAAUCCCAAAAUUAAUUCCAUUUAAUUUCUUAUUAAAUAUUGCUAUUUCUAAUUAAUAUAUUAUUCUUAUAAUAUAUUAACAAAUCAUUAAUUUCAGUUUAUUAAUCAAAUAAUAAAUCCAACCUCUCUCUCCAAAGGUCAUCAUGUCUAGUUGUUAGUUUUGAGAGCAACCCAAAAGGACUGUGCUACUAUCAAUUUAAGUAUAUAUCAAUUAUAGUUAUGGUCUUAGACACAUAAUCCAAUAGUUUACAUGGAAUAGAUCAAUAAAGUUGGCAACUUUAUGGUCUCUAAGGGUCCCUUGAGAAUUAAAUCAUAUGGAUCUGAAGUUUAGUUGUGAUUUAUGAAUCUUGCAUGUGUUUGUGUAAGGAUAGUUUGGUUAGUUUUGUAUGUACUCUUCGUAUGUUUUGAUAUCUAUUUUACUAAGGCAUUUUAUAUGAAGCUUUGAUGUCUAUUCCUUAGUAUAUUUUUUUGUACGCUUUUACUCUCAUAUAAAUAGGAGUCUUUACUAGAGUUAGAUAAGGUUUUACAGUCUUAUCUACUUUUGUACUCUGUAAACCUAAAGCGUAAUAUAGAGCUGAAUCACGAUCUUAUUUACAUCGGUGUUAAAUAUUUCAUUCAAUUUCUGAUUACUUACUCUGAUUCAGAUUCAAACUCGAUUCUUAGAUUCUACAAUUGGUAUCAGAGCAGGAAUCAUAUCUCUGAUCUAAUUUUCAUCUUUUCAAAAGUUUUUGAAUCAAUUUUUGGUUUAAAAGUUUCCACACUUUUUGAAAAGUGAAAAGUUCAUUGGAUCUAAGUUUGUGAUUCGAUUCUACACUUGAAUUGUUGAAUUGAGUGUUCUCCUAGUUGUUUCAAUUUGAAUCAACUAGUUUGUUGUUAAAAAUCUCAAGUUUUCUUCAAAUUCUCAAAGUUUUCUUUCGUACAACAAUGGCGUCAUUCACUUAAUUCCAUGACUUCAUUCUCUCAUUUGUUGGAAUCAUCACAAAAAAAUUCCAAUGCUAAUUCCUGAGUAUUACGAUCAGUGGGCUGAUCGUAUUGAGGAUUAUCUCAAUGGUUUCGAUGAAGAACUGUGGACUUUUAUUUCUAGUAAUAUCAAUCCUCCAUCAAAUGUUCAACCACUUGGAGCGUCUUCUGCAAGUUCUGGAGUAGAGAAUCAAACUCAACGUAUGAAAAAGAUGGAGAAGAAAUGCAUGAGAGAGCUGAGAGGAGCUUUGCCUCCAGUUGUUUACAAUUAUGUGAGUAGUUGUAAAACUACAAAGGAAAUCUGGAACAACCUAAAGGAGAAAUUUCAAGGAAGUGAGAAGACAAGGGUUAAUUCUGUGAAACAAUGUUUGGUGGAAUUGAAAGACUUCAAAUAGAAAGAAAGUGAAACAAUAGAGGCGUAUUACGAUCGUCAGAAUGAAUUGAUCUGUCGAUGCAAUCGAUAUGGAAUCACCAGAUCAGUCAUGGAGUUCAAUCUCAUCUUUGUUAUGGGUCUGAGAAAGGAGUGGCGAAAUGUCAGCAUGAUGGUCAAAAAUCAACAAAGCUUUGAUACGUCAACUUUGAAUGAUAUGUACAAUCAGUUAAAAUCACACGAAAAUGAAGUGAACGAAAUUGCUGAAGAAACGAAGGCAAGCUUGGGAGGACCAUUAGCUUUGGUUUCAACAAUGACUGAGAAAGAAGUUCAUGAGAAAAGUGAUAUUGAUGGAGAAGAGGGAUUCAUCAUGAAUUCUAGUGAUGAAGCAAUAGCAUUUUAUUCAAACAAUUGAGUCAAAAAGUUCUUCAAAAAGCCAUUCAAUUCGAAGAUCAAUUCAUCUGAGAUCAAAGGAAGUUUUGUGAAUAAAACUGCAAGGGAUGAGAAAAAGAAGGAGGAGAAGAAGGAUGCAAAGAAUGUUGAGGGAAAGAUUGAGAAGAAAUUGAAAGGAGAUACUGGAGUAGACUGUCACUACUGUAACGGUGCCAAUCAUUUAGCCAAUGAUUGCAUGUUGAGGAAGAAAUAUGAGAAGAAAAAUAAGGUAAAAGAUAAAGCUUACUAUGCUGAAAGACUGGAAGAGGUUCGUGCGAAGGCAAAGAAAUUGUCAUUGGUUGCCAUGGGAGAACAAGAUGAUGGUGGAACUUAUCAAGUCUGGUCAUCUGGAUCAGAUGAUGAGGAGAUGCGAAAUCCAACACAUUGACUAAUGUUUGCGAAGAUUGAGGAGGAAUCGGAUGAGGAAGCAUACGAAGUUAAAAGAAGAUGCUUCGUAUCAAAGGAUGCAGACAAAUCUCCAAUGACAACAAAGGUACGCAACAUUCUUGAAUCUUUUAAUAUUCCAGUACAUGCUUAUAAUUUUGAAUUGGUAUCUUUUGAUGAAACUGUUACUUAUUUUGAUUCAAUUGUGGUGUCUGCUAGCAAUGAGGCUAAGAAGCUUUCUAUAUAGUUGUUAGAGACAGAGAAGAAGUUCGAAUUGAAAAACACAAAAGUAGAUUGUUUAGAACUUCAAAUUAUAAACAUUAUGAUUGAUAGGGAUAAUUUGGCAAGUGAAAUAAAAUUGUUGUUAGCACAAAGAAACAUUUAUUGUAAUUCAGCUAAAAGAUUGUAUGGGAAAUUAACAGAAUUGCAUCAUUCUUGUGAGAUAAGUAAAGAACAACAUAGAAAGUUAUUGCCUUUUUUAGCUUACGAAAGAGCUAAGGUAGAUAAUAUUUCGUAUGAUUGUGAGAAAGAAAUAGUUGAAUUUGACAAAAUUCCUGAUGAUAGAUAUAGAUAUGGAAUAGUCAAAGUAGAUGAAUGUCUUGUGCUAAUGAAUUAGUUGAAAUUGUAAAUGAUACUUUGACUAAGUCUGAACAAAUUCACAUUUUGAAAAAGACUGAAACUUCAACAUCUGAUGUUCAAUCUAAUUUUGCUGAUAUUGAAGAUAAUUCUAAUAAUAUCAAUGAAAUUAGUGAUCUUGAGGAUGUUUAUUGUUCUCAGUUGUCUAUUACUAAUGUUGCAUCUUCAUCUAAAGGGAAAGAAAAAGUUAAUGAUUUGUUGGUUAAGAAUGAUACUAAUCAACCCUCAACUUUGGAAGUUUAUGAUUUGGACUUCGUGGAAAUCAGAGACGGUCAAACAGAUGAUAGUGAUGAUGAAAAAGAUGAGCAACAUUCGAAGGAAAAGGUAUUUUCAAAGAGUGAAAAAAUUCCUCGAAUUGUAGUUGACCAGGUGUAUGGUGAUACACAAAAGUAUGAAAAAGUGUUGAAAGAACAAGGCGCUCUUUAUCUUGAAACAAAUACUGUGGUGUAUCCAAUUUUCAAGUGUUCAGAUGAUGUCGUGUUUCCAAACCAAGUGUUCGUAACAACUGGAAAUAUUGAAAAUGUUAUACCAGAAUUCAAGAAAAUGGUGGAACAAGACAAUUUGAAAACAUCAGAUGAAGGGUUCUUCACAAAUCAAAGCACAGUUGAAAAGAACCUAACGCAGAAUUCAUAUGUUUUCCAAAAACAAAAAUCUCAGAGAAAAUGGGUUGAAAAAUCAAAACCUGAAAAAGAAGUCACGAAACCAAUUUUUGAGGAAACAAAAAGUGGAGUCAAAUUAAAUUCAAAAGAAUUUAAAGAACAAAUUGAAAAAUUUUCAAAAUAAAAUAAUGUUUCAAAAUGACAAGCACGAAAGAAAAUAUUUUGGCAAACAAUCGAGUCUAGAAAAACGUCAACUGAUUUGUCAAAAACAGUUAAGUCUGUGAGUUCAAACCAUUAUUUAGACAAAAAGAAAACUCCUGCUUAUUCAAGCAAAAAUGUGUCUGAAUCAACGUCCUCAAAAUAUAUUUUCAAAGUGAAAAAAUCAUCUUUUUCAAAAGUAAACCAAGUUUAUAUUCCAAAAAUUCAUACUAAGUUUGAAGUGAAAACAACCCCAAAGUUUUCGAAAGUGUCAAAAUCCAACAUUUCAAGCAAGAUUUCUGAUAAUUCAUUGAAUUUUAAUUCAACAAAGUUUUUUUCUCCACGUCAACAUUUUAAAUCAACAGUUGAUACUUCCUAUGCUGAAUCAUUUGUCUCAAAACCAAAAAUUGAUUUUGUUCCUCAAAAGCCAAAUUUUCCUAAUCAUACGAAGAAACAAACAUUGAAAGCUUCGCAUGAAAAAGGGAUCACUUCACGAAAGAAUAUUGAUCACUGGCUCGAAGGAAGAGGAAGAAUUUAUCAAUCAAGUAAAUAUUCGAAAGAUCAAAUCAACGAAGCUUAUGAGAAGUAUGUAAAUACUUCUUAAAAUGGCAGUUCGUCAUCAAAGGAUUCGAAGAUUGUGGUAAAAGCAUGGAAACCAGUCAUAAAAGAGAAGACUGAACAAUCACAAACUCAGAAUCCGAAGGGUGAUAUAAGUAAUCAUACGAAACAAACAAAACUUUAUGUUUCAAUCCCUACAAAUGAAGAUGUGGACAUUAUUAAUAGUCUCAAAACUAAAGUUUGUGAUUUACUCAACAAUUAUUCUUUCAAAUCAUUGUUGAAAUGUAAUUUCCAAGGACCCAAAAAGCCUUGGGUACCUAAAUUCUUUCAAUGAUCGCAGGUACUUUGUGAUGAGCAAUAUGAUAAUAAAUGGUACAUCAAUAGUGGUUGCUCUCGUCACAUCACUGGGAAGAAGGAGAAUCUUAGAGACUUUCGAAGCUUGAAAUAUGUUGGAGUUGUUAAAUUUGGUAUUAAUCAAAAGUGUCAAGUCAAAGGAUAUGGGAAAAUCACGAAUGGAAAAUUCACAGUGAAUCGAGAUGCUUAUGUUGAAGGUUUACAACACAACUUGAUAAGUGUAUCACAACUUGUGGUAGGCACUGGAAAUCAAAUAUUUUUUAAUGAAGAAGGAAGCAUUAUUUCGAAUGUUUACACAAAAGAAGUUUUUUUGAAAUCCAAAUGGAAGGGUGACAUGUUUACUUUGGACAUCAAUCCAAUUGUGGGUAAACCUGUUGUAUGUCUUCUUUCAAAAGCAACAUCAGAUCUGAGCUGCCUUUGGCAUCAAAGACUUUCACAUCUCAACUUCAGAAAUAUCAACAAACUUGUUGUGCGAGAUUUGGUAAGACGUUUACCUGUACUUAAGUUUGAUAAUGAUUCCUUAUGUGCAGCUUGUGAAGUUGGCAAGCAACAUAAAUAAGGUCAUCCGAUCACAAUUGAUUCAAAAAUUGUCGAACCACUGGAGCUUAUACAUAUUGAUUUAUGUGGUCCUUCGACUGUUUCAAAUCUCAACAACAAACGAUAUAUCUUAGUUAUUGUUGAUGAUUUUUCCAAAUUCACGUGAGUUUACUUUCUCAGAUUAAAAUCCAAAGUGGUACAAAUCAUGAUUGACUUCAUCAAGAAAAUGGAACUAACCUUGAAAAAGCUUGUUCGCAAAAUCAAGAGUGAUCAUGGAACUGAGUUUAAGAACAAUGUUCUUGAUUCAUUUUUAGUGGAAAAAGGCAUUUCGUGUUUUACACAAAAAUCGAUCUUUAUGGGAAGCUGCAAGAACUAUGUUGGCAUAUGCGAACUUACCACAAUAUAUUUGGGCUGAGGCAGUUUCCACUGCGUGUUUUACACAAAAUCGAACUUUCAUUCAUCGACGUUUUAAUAUUACACCUUACGAAAUUAUAAAUAAUCGGAAACCAAAUGUGAAAUUCUUUCAUGUCUUCGGAUGCAGGUGUUUUAUUAUGAAUCUCAGGGAUAACCUUUCGAAAUUUCAAGCUAAAGCUAAUGAAGGGAUUUUCCUGGGGUAUUCGCAUAAUUCAGUGGCAUAUCAUGUAUUGAACAAGCGUACACGAAAAGUGGAAGAAACUUUUAAUCUUAUGUUUGAUGAUUAUUAUAUCAAACAAUCACAACAACAAUUUCAAAAUCUUCCAAUUUUGAAAGAAAAUCAAGAUGAAUCUGAACCAAUGCAAAUCUUGGAUAUUGAUUAUGAUUUGAUAUUUGGACUUUUAGAUCAUGCUGGAAAUGUAGAAAAAAAAGCUCAUGAUAAUCAUAUUCCUGAACAUUCAAAGCUUACUAAUGAUUCAACAUCAUCUCCUCAAGAAAUAGGCGAAAGUAUUCAAAAUGAUCCAAUGGAGGGGGAGCAUUUGGAUUCGAACACUCUGAUGGAGGGGGAGCAUUCUUUCGAGGGGGAGAAUGAGAGAGAUAAUGCUGAUACUGAUGGGGAGAGAUUAAAUGCUAACGGUGAGGAGGAGCUAUUACAAAAUAAUGAAAAUUAUCAUGAUGUUAAUGAUGUUUGUUCAAUUGCAGGUUCAGAUAAUGAUGAGUUGUACGAAGACGCACCUUUGGAUUUCGAUCCAGCUUAUCCACCAAUGGACAAAUGGAUAAAAGAUCAUCCGAAGGAACAAAUAAUUGGAAAUCCAAAAGAGGGAGUUUUAACAAGGGCUCAAAUUCGUACAAAGAAUGAGGUAUUAAAUACUCAUCAAGAGUUUUGCAUUUUUAAUGUUUUUAUUUCUAAAAUUGAACCAAAGACAGUAAAGAUUGCAAUGGAACACUUAGAUUGGGCUGUUGCAAUGCAAUCCGAACUGUCUGAAUUUGAAAGAAAUAAAGUUUGGAGAUUAAUUCCUAAGCCAAAUGAUGUUUCAUUUGUCGAGUUAAAAUGGAUUUUCAAAAACAAAACUGACAAAGAUGGAAAUAUCAUUCGAAAAAAGCCAGACUUGUUGUUAAGGGAUACUCUCAACAAGAAGGAAUUGAUUACGAAGAAACUUUUGCCCCUGUCGCAAGACUCGAGGCAGUUUGUAUAUUUUUAUCUUAUGCAGCUCACAAAGACUUUGAUGUUUAUCAAAUGGAUGUGAAGUGUGCUUUUCUGAAUGGAGAGCUCGAAGAAACUGUCUAUGUGGAACAACCUCCAGGUUUUGUUAACGAAGAACAUCCUAAUUAUGUUUAUAUUUUAGAUAAGGCAGUUUAUGGUUUGAAACAAGCACCACGAGCCUGGUAUGCAACUAUUACUUCAUUUUUGAAGCAAUCUAAAUUUAAACAAGGAUCAGUUGACCCCACAUUAUUUCAUAAGAAAGUUGGGAAUCGUCUGAUGCUUGUUCAAAUUUAUGUUGAUGAUAUUAUCUUUAGAUCAACUGACCCUGCUUUGUCUAAAGAAUUCGAAGACUUGAUGAAAAGUUAGUUCAAAAUGAGCAUGAUGGGAAAAAUUAAUAAUUUUCUUGGUCUAAAUAUUCGUCAAAGCAGAGAAGGAAUCUUCAUUAACCAAGAAAAGUAUACGAAGAAUCUGCUAGAGAAGUUUGGAUUAACGAAUAGCACAAAGUUACGAGUUCCAAUGGAAACUGGGAUCAAACUAACUCCUUUGUUAGAUAAACCUACAGUUGAACUUACUUUAUACAGAAGCAUGAUUGGAUUUUUACUUUAUUUAACUGCUAGUAGAACUGAUAUCAUGUUUUCUGUAUGUAAUUGUGCUAGGUAUCAAGCAAAUCCACGAGAACCACAUCUCACUUGUCACACCCCGAAACCGAUGGUGGAAACAUUUCGGGGUGGAGGAUGUCAUGUAAAGUAUCAUAACCAAUAUACAUAGUAAGCAUGGUAAACACAACCAUUACAUUACAUAGGAAAUUUACAUUUGUUUGAAAAGCAAAGUAAUACAUGUUUUAUCUAUACAUUAGUAUAACAAAAGUAAAGACGAGACUGCUAAAAUGCUCCAUCUUCUCCAAAAAUUUGCGGGAUACCUGUCUAACGUUGACCUGAGAAUACAAGCAAUUUUAGAAAUAUCAGCAUAAAGCUGGUGAGUUCAUAAGCGGUUUGUUUCUGUGAAAGAAAAAUGUUCCUUUAAGUUUGUGAAAAGUUGUUUCCAAGAAAAUCCCAUAUUUUGUUAUAAAAGAAGUUUGGUUAUCCAUUUGUUAAACAACCUAUCUAUGAAAAGUUAAGUUAUCCCAGGAAAAACCCUUAUUUUCCUAAAAAGUUGAUGGUUGGUUGUCGAUUCGGAAUGAAAUGUACAAGUAUCUACCAUACUUGUAGCGUUUAAGUAAAGUUUCCCUGAAAGUUUAGUUAUCCUUGGAAAGUAUAUUAGUUCUAACACGUAUAUAAAACUAAUAAGUAGGUUGUGAACUAAUACCUAAGGGUAUUACUGAUACCCUCUAGUAAUCAAAACAAUUAUUACUUUGAGAUUAGUUCACUAGGUUCAUUAUUACUAACAAGUAAAUCUCCGUUAUCUAAAUUGCGAGUUCCAUAAUCAUACAAUAGACUAGAUAUGGCAAUAAGAAGUCCAGUAUCAUCUUAUGACUUUUGUCACCCGUAGACCUGUCGGUCCCACUGUAGCUAGCAGCGAGGUGCGGGGUAGUCAGCCCCGUAUAGAUCUAUACACUCAAGUCACGCUCUCCAUCCAGGAGAUUCUGGUUACAGAGGCGAUCCUCCACUCGCGUAUCUCUGUGGAGUAUUUCAGAGGACAUGUCUCCAAUUUUUAAGAUUAACGAAUUUACAAGUAAUAAUGCGGAAAAUCCUGUUUUAGAUUCUGGUUACAAAGGUGGUCCUCCACUCGCGUAUCUCUGUGGAGUGUUUCAGAGGACAUAUCAAAAGUUCUAAUCUAAUGCUUUUAACAGUAAUGAUGUGGAAAAAUCAUUUGUGAAAUAUAAAAUAUAACAUUUUAUAUCGAGUUCACAAACAGUUUGAAAACUAACUCUACAAGUUAAACGGUUGGUUAAUACGGUUUCCAAUGUUAAAAACAUAAGGAAUAUGAAACAUUUCAAAUGAAAUAAUAAGUUUGAGUACAAUAUAUCCUUGUACUUUUGCUUGUAUUCCCCCCNNNNNNNNNNNNNNNNNNNNNNNNNNNNNNNNNNNGGGGUAUGAACUCACCAGACGAGAAAUGUGCCGGUUAGGAUGCUAAGUGUCAGUUCGGGGCUUGAACACGCGCGAGGUUCCUAUGUAACAUAAGGAGAUACAUAAUUGUAUCUAAUUAGACGUUGAACUACUAAUUAAUUAAGAAAAUACACUCCGAGGCACGAAAACACUUUAUCUCAACUGUUAAGAAUGAUCCAGGUUGCAUCUAAAGGUGUGUAGGGCCUAGAUAAGGAGUUUACUCUUCAAGAGUAAACCCUUAUGGGUGUUUACGGUCCAAAGACCAUAUCCCCUUGAUUUUAUGGCCAUAAAAUCAUGGUUGGUGUGUUCUUGGAUGUUUAAAGGUCUUACAAUGCACAAGGGAAGGUUCUACGGUUGAAUCAAAGGCUUAGGAAGUGAUCGGGACUUGAAUUGACCUUGGAAAAGGGGUUUACUGUUCUUGAAGGACCCUUGGGGAGUUUACUACCGUAAACACAUGAGUUUAUGGUCGUAAAAUCAAGCUUGGUUCAUUCUUCAUGCGUUUUGGUGGUUGUAGGUUAAGCAUACAAAGUUCUAGACCCAAAUAUAAGCAAUUCAAGGUGUUAAGGGCACUUAAACACCCUUUAUAGGUGUUUACAGUUUUGGGAGACCUUCCCAAACCAUAAACUCAAGUGUUGCUCAUUUGGGCAUGUUUUGGUGCAUCACAUGAAGGAAUACAAGGUUCUAGGCACUCAUGGAAGCUUUUGGAGGUGUUUAAGGGGCAAUUUAACACCUUAAAAGGUGUUUAUGGUCCAUGAAGGUGUGUUUAUGGUCCAAGAAUGUUCUUGGACCAUAAACUCACGUUUGCUACUCAACUGACAUGAUUUUGGUGUUCUAAGCUCGUACAUGCAAGUCCUUAAGUCUUUGCUAAACACUAGAAAGGAUUUUGAAGGGUUUUGGGGCUUCAAAACCCCCUUUAAGGGAGUUUACGGUUUUGGGAGAUGUUCCCAAACCGUAAACACAAGUUCUUGAGUGUUUUGGAUGAUUUAAACAUAGAUUUGCAUGCUUAACAAGUUAAACAACAAGCUAGGAUAGAUUACUUAUGAUUUUUGGAGUUUGAAGGGGCGUUUUUGGAUCAAAACUCGAGUUUUAAAGAGAGAGUAUAGAGAGAAAGUUAUGAGGAGGUGGGAAAAAGCUUAAAUGAAGUCAGUCAGCCUUUAUAUAAGGCUUGAGCUUGUAGCCAAGUGGGAAUCCACCCAAUACCGACGUUAAACGGGGGUUUACAAUUUUACCCAAUUAUAUUGUCGUAACCCGACUUAGUUGUAACUAAAACUGUUCCAAAUGAAUAUCGAGGGUGUUUUAACGUGUUUCUAAUGUGUUCCGACACUUAUGAAGUCAAAAUAAAAGUCCCAAUUUAAUUAACUUAAUCCAAAAGUUAACAGAAAAUUUUAAUAAAAAUAAAUUUUAUUAACGGAAAUGGAAUACAGUGACGGAAUAAAUUUAGAGUUGUCACAUCACUGUUGUAAAGAAUAUCCUUCGUUAUCUCAAAGGAACUUCUUCGCUAGGAUUGUGGUAUCCUUCGAAUACAGGGUUCUUUACUCAAGCAUAUUCAGAUGCAGAUUUGGGAGGUUGUAAUCUUGAUAGGAAAAGCCCAAGUGGAGGAUGUCAAUUACUCGAUGGUAAGUUAGUGAGCUGGCAAUCGAAAAAGCAGACAUGUGUUUCAAUCUCAACGGAUGAAGCUGCAUAUGUUGCUGAUGCUGCUUGCACCUCACAGAUAAUAUGGAUUCAAAGUCAAUUACGUGAUUAUGCAAUUAACAUGAAAAAGAUUCCUUUAUAUUGUGAUUCACUAAGUACAAUAAGAAUUUAUCAUAAUCAUGUGUAACAUUCAAAGACGAAACAUAUAGCUCUUCUUUAUCACUUCAUCAAUGAUCAUGUGGAGGAAGGAAAUAUUGAAGUACAUUUUGUGAAAACAACGGAUCCGUUGGUUGAUAUUUUCACAAAAGCUUUGGAUGAAAAAUCGUUUGCAGGGGAUGAUUGAUGGAAAUUCAAUUCCAUGCGAAAAAGACAAACAAUGAUUACAAGAAAACAACAAAGAAAAAUCAUUAAGUAUUCAGAGGUUACUGUUCACAAUCAACUCUUCAAAUGCUUCGAAUUCGUGUUAUUGGUAUUUAAAAAAAACUUCGAAUAUUUGCAACGAGUACUUUUAAUUGUUUUGUUCUUAAUUUUUGAAAAAUUUAAAAACAUCAAAAAGAUUUUCUUAUUAUUUUGUUCUUCUUUGUUGAAAAAUCAAAAACAACAAAAAGAUUUUGUUUUGUUUUUUUUAAGUAGGAUGUUGCAGAUUUUCAUGAAGAUACGAAGUGGACAAGGCUUACAGUUCUAGGGUGAGGUACAUUUUCAUUCUAUUCUUUGAAUUUUAAAUUUUUUAACUAGUUAGGAUGUCCCUAGAAGCAUGCUGCUGCAUGUUGUCCGAAGCCUCAAAAUGACUCAAUGUUUGAAAGCCUUAAUGAAAUUUUCAUACGAAGAUUUCUUCCCAAUUAGGCUUACAUUCGUAUUAUUCUACCUUACUCUUCUCACAUGAGUUAGGAGUUUUCUGUUUGGUCCAAUAUAACAGAGGUACAUGUUUCUUCGUAUACAAAUCUUUUUCAUCUUAAAGUUCUUACACCAUCACACACGAAGACAUAUGUCCAAGAGGUUGCUGAUCAAACCAAUCAAAACUUAGAUAUAUCACAAAUCUGUGUUUAUGAUCAGACAUCAUGAGACCAUGAUGGAAGUGAAACCCAAUUUAAUCAACCUUUAAGGAAUUAACGGGGAACUUAGUUCCAAAUUUUAACGAAACAUUUGUUUCUGUACCUUCGUUCGAAACUCCAAAUCAUAUUCAAUUCUUAUGUGUGGUCUUGAUCAAGCAUUCGAAACACAUGAUGUUUGUUACCCAACAGGAUCCAGAAUACAAUUUUUCUUGAAUAUGAUUUCAGAGUGAGUUUUAUCUGAAAUUCCUUGUUACUUAAAAGUUUUUCAAAGCAAACUUGUCACUGACUACACUGGUCAAACAAGUAAUUUCUGUUACAAUUACUCACCUUAUGUUUUGGUUGAUAUGUAACAAAAUUUAUUGAACCACCUCAAAAGCCUUUUAAAAGAAGCCCUUCGAUACUUAUUCACAAGUAUUCGAUUGUAAAUCACGGGAAAAUACACAAGCUGUUGAUUAUCUCUCUUGAUAAUUAACGAAGCAAUCUUUGCCCGGGGUUUAACUGCGUUCGUGUCAAAUUGAAUUUUUGACAUCACUAAAUAUCCAAAAAAAUUUAGUUUGCUUCUUAUCUUUAUUCUUUGACACACUUGACACACACGAAAUCCUUGAGGUUCUGAGUAAUACCAACUCAGGCUGAUGAUUUCAAAAAUCUGGCAAAUGAUUUUACUUUAAAACCAUAAAGUAAAAGACCCUUGACUCCAUCCGAAGGGUUCCGACGGUUACUAUUCUAUUGGGGCAAACAAUCCAGGCUGUUUGAAGUGACUGUUUGAAUUCUGUGCGGGUUUUGAGGAGAUGUGACAGUUACUUUAUCACACAUGGUUACUUUUUCAUCAUCACGACGCGGGUUUCACGGUGACACGUCACAGAUCAUUAAAUGCUUAUCCCGCUUUGAUUUCAAAAUUCAGCGUUACAUAUAAAAGGGGAUUCAAGGGUUCAUUAUCAGUUUACGCUUUCAUAUUCCCAAAUUUUCUCUGAUAAACAUCCAACUCUCAAACCCUAACAAUGCCGAUUGCUAAUCCUGAUGCAACUUUGUCUCAUACCACUAAUGAUGUAACUUCAUUGCCGAUCAUGUAGAUUCAAGGAACAAAUUAUCAAGUUGAAACCAACGUGUCUCACUAUCCUGAAGAAUUGAAAAUGCUUAUCGUUGCUUUGAAAAGUUCUGUUUUAUCCAAAGCCAUGUUCAACUCAUUCUCUGUUCCUCUCUCAUGGUUGUCUCAAGCGGGAUCAACAGCAACUUACUCUAAAGCCUUGGAUUCAAUUUUGUUUAAUCUGGUAUAUGAUAAGAAGGUUAGACUUUCCAAGAAGCUUUUCUGCCAAAUUCUCAAGAUACCUAUUUCUCCGCCAUACGUCUCUUCUACAUUCCCACAAAUUGUUCAUAUGUUAAAUGAAAUGGGUCAUCAACCCCAGUUGACAAAGAUUAGUGAUUUCAAGAAGUCAGGACUUCCGAGUGUAUGGAAUUUCUUGUUCGGAAUUUUUCUUAGAUGCUUAACCGGAAAAACUGUUGGGUUGGAUAAAGGGCGGAUGGAAGUUUAUGCAAUGGUUGCAGGUCUAUACUAUGAUCUUCAGGUCGAUUAUUCUACUCAGUUAUGGAAGGAGCUCUUGAAAAAAUAUAAAGAAUACGAAUGCUAUUAAUGGCAUUUCGUGUGCCCGUUAUUGGAGCUUGAUCUUACAGUAUUUUUAUGAGAAAGAAGGAGUUUUGGUACCAGCAAAUGAAGAAAAUGCGGUAUUUCAUAUAUAUAUUUGUCUGAAGGAUGCAGCUGACGAUACAAAUGAAUUCCCAUUUGUUGCUCGCAUUCUGGAUGCUAUGCUGAAGAGAGUUGAUCCCACCAACACCGUUCUUAUUACUUAUUUGCAAAACAUUGAUACUUCUGUUGAAACUGGGGUUCUAUUGGCUAGAGAGGAAGAGAAGAAAUCAAAACGUUCGAAGAAGGUUGUUGCUGAAUCUUCUACGAAAUCUAUUAAAGAAUCUACAUCUAGACCUGGCAAUGGGGCGGGUUUGGAGCGAAUCGACCUUGAUCCAAACCCUUUUAACAAAUUUCAAAACCCUAUCCAAACCCGCUCCGUAACCCGCAGGGUUUUAAAUAAUCAAACCCAUACCCUUAUCCACCGAAUCAACAGAUAUCCAAACCCGCCUCGUAACCCAUAAGUUUUUUGAAUAAUCAAACACAUUUUACUUAAAUCAUAAAAUCACAUUUAUUAAAUAAAACUAAGUUUUGAUUUAGAAAACACAUUAUGUACUCGAGGACUUUCUAUUGGAAUUAAAAUCAUUAUUUUAGUUACUUCCAGUUGGUUUUUGAUCGUCGAUUGCAUUGAUAGAGAAUAGCAAUUACAAACUUUCUUCUGGUUGAUAAAUUACCUUAUUGAUGUAUAAAUGAAAUUGGUGAUUACAUGAUGAAAUAUAAAUGAAAUGAAAUCAUGACUCUUGGGAGAAGACUGGAAGUCUACAAGUUAAGUCCUCGAGUCCUAUGUAAAAACAAUUUAGUCUUUAGCCUUUUCUCUUUGGACUUCUGAUUGGAAUUUAUUGUAAACUUUAGGUAAUAUAAAAUAUAAAUUUAUAUUUCCAAAAUUUAUAUGGGGCGGGUUAUAAACGGAGCGGAUCGGUGAUGAUCCAUACCCAACCCUUUUAAUAAAAGGGUUAGCGGGUACGGGUCGUUAACGGGUAAACGGAUCAAAAACUAUGCUCCAAACCCAUAUAAUAGUUAAGGGUUUGGAUCGGAUCAGGGUCAAAACCCGCUCCAUUGCCAGGCCUAUCUACAUCAGCAAAGAGUCCAAAGAAAGUACCAAUCUCGGAGCCUGAGCCAAUCCAACCAAAUGUUGAUAUUGCUGACACACCUGCGACUAAAAAGGAAAUUAUUCCUUCAAAGACUGGAGUUUUUAGAAGAAUCAAGAUAAAUUCUAAGCACAAGAGUCACUCACCAUUGACCAAUGUUGUUCAUAAACCACAGGUUUCGCAUCGAGUCAUUUUUCGUGAGAUUCCUGCCCCUGCAUCACCGUCUUCUAAUAAGCGAAGGGCAACAGACAUGGCCAAACAUAUUUCAAAAAAGAAGACGAAGGGAAGAGUGUUUAUUUCAUCCGAAUCUACAGCUAAUGAAAUUGAAACCAUUCCAGAGACACCAGAAGCUGAUCUUCAAAAAGAUACUGUAAUACCACCCGAAGUUUCGAUUGCCAAGACAGUUUCUGUGGAGGCACAAACUUCUGACAUUAUUGUAAACAUAUCUAAUAUGGAUGCAAGAGUCACAAUGGGUGAGGAUGCUUUGCAUGUUGAAUACAAAGGUAAAUCUUCGGAUGUUACACCAGACACAGUUGUUUCUUUAUCUUCACAGGUUACACCUAUCAUUCCAACAACAUCCACAACCGAUUCUCCUACUUUUGCAACUAUUAUUCAACAACCAUUCAUAUCUCUGUUUUCUUCACAAUCAAAUGAUCCACCUACCACUACUUUUCCAAUCAAAGAUUCUUCUUUCAUGGAAACAGAACACGACUCCGAAGGUUUUGGCGGAACCUUUGAAAAUUUAGAGUUUAAGGAAGAAGAGACAUACUUUCCAGAUCAUAUGCUAAUGACAAUGAAACAGUUCAAGAUAUUGAAUACCAAACUCAAUUCAAUUCUUCAGUCUCAGGCAGAUCUUGGGGGAGGAAAUUUUGUAACAAGUCUUGAAGUUGAUGGUAUGCUGAAGAUUAUUGAAGGAAGGCUUUCUUCGAAAGUUUCUGGCAUGAUUAAGGAUUCUGAGUCUCGUCUUCUCGACAAAAUUGACAUUUAUGAUCAGAAUAAUGAGCUGAGGUGCAAUGCUCAGAAAUCUACAUUUAAUGGUGAUCUGAAGUCGUUAAAAUCAAUUGCAAAGGAACGACAUAUUUUUUUUAUUCAAGAUGUGAAGAAGGUGAGAGAAGAUGUCAAUUACAAACUCCAAGAACUGCAUCAAGAUAUGGAGAAAGAGAUUGCAAAUGUUCGUACUGAAUUUGCAUCUCUAAAUCAAAAGGUGGGUAUCAUCUGCGAUGUUGUUACUAAAUUCGCAAAGUUGUACGAAAGUUUGAGUCCUCAAAUUACUCAACUUUCUACAAAUGAGAAUAAAAAUUUAAUGGAGGUUUUUUCAAUGCUAAAGGAGCUUAAAGCUUUAUCUUCUGCACAUGCUUCGUCUUCUUUACUCUCUUCUGAAGAUCUUAUCAACAAAUUUUCCAAAUUCAAAGCCUUACUUAUUCAGCAGUUGGCUCCUCUUUCCAGAAUAUCAAGCCUUCUUCCUACGAUGGAUGCCCCACCUGCUAGCACAGGGGUGCAAGGGGGAGAAAAGAAAUUCGAAGGUACGAAGGGUAGUGGUGAAGAUGCGAAGGUUGUGGGUAAGAUGUUUCCUUCCAAAAUUCCAACUUCAAAACCAGUGAUAGCAACUGCUGGUCCUAUCACUUCUACAAUUGUUAAAACUGUGCCAAUUACAAGACCAAUUUCGAAAGGUAUUGUGAUUGGUAAAUCUAUUGAUACUGGUAGAAGAGAAGUGAUAGAGGAAUCAUGUUCGAAGGCAAGGGGAAAGUCAAUUUUAAUUGAAAAAUCUAAAGAUGAAAAGAAGGCAGAGGCUGAUGCAGAAGUUGAGAAGAUAAGGAUGAUACAAAGCAUCAUGACUCAGAGGGCCAGUGAUCCUCCUGGUAUGAACAAGGGUGAUCCAUCGAAGAACUACAACUAUGAAACAAUUGAAGCCAAGGUUGCAUUCAAUCACAUGUAUUCGUUUGAGAAGAAGCCUAAACAGAGUUAUAUUGUCACGAAUACGGAUGCAAGCCAAUUGGUCUUUCCAAUUAACGAAAUGAUGUUCAUCAUGCCUCAAUUCAAAGCUGAAAGUAAAUUCAAGGAGAAGGAUGAAGGCACACACAUGAAGAUAAGAUUUCAUGCGGUUCUUGCCAAGCCUGCAGAAGAAGUGUGGUCCUUAGUCAAGAUCAAGAAGGUCAUCAGUAUAAAGAAGGAUGUGGUCUUCAAAAACACAGUCCAAAACAUUAAGUAUAUUGUAACCAGGGCAAAUGGAGAUUUGUGCGAGUUUACAAUAGCAGACUUUCCUUUGAUGAACUUGUAUGAUCUUAUACAAGUUGCAUUACUGCUGAAGGAAAGAUCAUUUUCAUAUCUUCAAAACACUGAGCCUAACGAAUACAAGCUGGGAGUUACUCACAUCAAAAUUUUUAUCGAGAAUUAUUAUGAAUGUCUGGCAAUGACAGAUGUGGAUUUGGCUACAACAAAAGGUCUGGAAAUUACAUCACCAAUGGCUCCUUCGAAGACUCAAGCUGACUUGAAGAAAUAUGCUGAUGGUGAAAUAUGCUUGAAGCCUUUUGGCUUAGUCUUCUUUGGGAAGGACAAGUCAGGAAAGUCUAAGAGAUUUUUGUUCCAUGCAAGUGAAGUUGAAAGAUAUUCUACUUCGCAAUAUACGAACUUAAUUGUUCGUAUGAACCAUUGAAAGAAGAAUAAUGAAGGUGACAAGAAGGAACUUAAAAAAAUUAUCUCUUGGUAUACUGAGAUACGAAGAGUAAUGUUGUACUCCAUUCAACUUCUUACAAACUGAAGUCUUCAACUCUAUUUACAAAGGGGGAGAAUGUAAGGGUAGUUUGGUUGUAAAGAGUCGAAGUUUUGUAUGUACUCUUCGUAUGUUUUGAUAUCUAUUUUACUAAGGCAUUUUAUACGAAGCUUUGAUGUCUAGUCCUUAGUAUAUUUUUUUAUACGCUUUUACUCUCCUAUAAAUAGGAGUCUUUACUAGAGUUAGAUAAGGUUUUACAGUCUUGUCUACUUUUGUACUCUGUAAACCUAAAGUGUAAUAUAGAGCUGAAUCAUGAUCUUAUUUACAUCGGUGUUCAAUCUUUCAUUUAAUUUCUGAUUACUUACUCUGAUUCAGAUUCAAACUCGAUUCUUAGAUUCUACAGUUUGGAACCAUUUCUUGCCAUUAGAUUUGAGUAGGGUUUAGGACAUAAAUGUAAGAGUUAGGUUUGAAAGUUGUAUGGAUUAAGAACAUUUGAGCUUGGUUUAUAGCUCCAGGACGUUCUUACGACGUGAGACAUGAGGUCUAGGUUGUAUGGAUUAAGAUUAUUGUAUUAAUUAAUUAAAAAGCUUGAAUAUUAAUUAAAUCCUAGAGAUUAAUUGAAUAUUCUAGAAGUUUCUGGAGCAUUGGAAUGGACGGUGCCUACAUGACCUUGGAUAGAGAUAUAGCAGGUUUUGAAUAUGAUAAGAUAGAUUGUAAGAGUUUAAAACCCUUGGUUAUUUGCAGCCUAUACCCCUAUUGGUUGUUUUUCCAUCUCAUAAUCAUCCAUAUGCUCCCCUUCUCUCUUAUAUACGAAAUUCAUAACUCCUCGCCUAGACUUACUGGAUUUCAUAUAAACCCUAAUUUAAGGUUUCUCCUUGUUAGCUUUUGGUGUUUCUGACUUGACUACAUUUGAGGGAAACCAUCAGACGUCACUGAUCUGUUCUUUACGGUCAUCGAUCUGCAGAGUUGUAUCAAGGAAAGAGUGGCAACGAUUGAUUCUUACGUCGUAAAUCACUAGAUGUUGCUUAGAAACCAUCAUACACCUAACCCUAAAAUCGUCGUUACCAUUUUCAUUUUGCAAACCAUACAUGGGGUGGGGUGUUGACUUAAGAGGGUGGCUGUUUUUUUUUUUUAAUUAAAAUAAUAAGAAAUUAAUUAAAAAAAAGGAAUCAAUUAAAGACAUAUUUGUCAUUUCAAGUAUGGUAUGGACCAAAACCAUGAAAAAAAAAAAGAUAACAAUUAGGACCAAAACCACAAAAAGAAUCCAAACUUUGACGACUUUUGCACCAAAUUUUUUUGGACAAAAACCACAUAAUUUUGACAACCACAAUAAGAGUUUAUAAUUUUAUCAAAUUUAUAACAUAAAAGUUAAAACAAGAGUCGGAUAAAGAGAAAUAAGAACCAUGCAUCCACACUAAACCUGCACUACAAAUGGCUGGAUAUACUUGCGAAGAAGCAUAUGCACAAAUCAAUGCAUCACUUGGGAAGGUAAAAUGAAUAAUGCCAAUUUUGCACUCACAUUUCUAUGCUGAGAUGUGAAAUUGUAACAAAAAUCUAUAAUGAAGAGGAAUAGGGAAAAAAAAUCAUGCAAAUAACACUCAACCGGAGUUAGAUAACAUGAAACAAGUUUUUACAUGCUGAUCUAUGAACUGAACUUAAAAUACAUUGAUCGACUGUACAUGCUUCUUCANGAAGCAACUGUUUCAUCACCAACACAGAGAUCUCGCUUUUGUAACCUUAAUCAUCACAAACAACAGUUUUUCCCUUGUUUCUUCUGCUGUUUUUCUGUUAUCAGAAUUUAGAAACAGUUCAUGUAAGUUAUAUAGUAUAUUAGUAUUGUAUAAAAUAAGUUGUAACUUAAGACAGUAUAGUGUAAUCAAGAUAUCAUUCCUAUGUUAGAUCCAGUUGUAAUCAGUAAAGUGAAGAUGAAAUUCAUGUAUUUGUUUUCCUGCAAUUGUAACUGUUUCUACUUUGUACUGUAAAGUCUAAUAAUUGAAGCAGUGAUUAAAGAUUCUAUCACUACAAAUAUUAUUCAGCCACAACCAACAGAAUGGUGAAAAAUAUUUGGUGGGAGCAUCAAAGUGCAACUAUUUUGAAAACCAUGGACAAUUAUGAUAACCCCCACACAUUUCAAAAUUGGCUGAAAUGAAUAAUUACUUUCAUUAUUGUAUUAAUGCACCCCUUCAUCAAUCGAUUGCUCCUAGUGUCAUAGAGUUAUGGAAACUACUCAAAAUUUUAUACUUACAGAAAGCCUUUGCAAAGAUACAUUUAAAAAAAAAAAAAACAAAUUAAAGACAUUCAAACAAGGAACAAGAAUGUCAAUAUAUAAUGUGAAAAGAUUAAGCAACUACAUGAGCAAUUGAAAUCAGUGAGCAAUUUUGUACCUAAUUGAGAUUUAGUUCUCAAAAGGAUAGUUGGACUAGUUUUCCAUUAUCAUUGUUCAACUUGACAGGUGUCAAAAUAUGUUUCUCAUCUCACAUACAAGCCUCAGUAACUAAUUCCAAGUAACUAAUAGCAAGUGGUAUUUCACCUCUACAUCUAAAUAAGAUUUUCACAAAUUCAGAACAUGUAAAAAUGAAAUCAACAGAAGUUGUUCAUUCUGAAAUGACUAAUGGAUACAUUAUGUCAAGUAAUUAUACAAGCACAAUUUAGCAAAUAUUUUACCAAAUAACAAAAGAACAGAGAAUUGAACAAUGACUCAAUGAGUCAUAAACAAUAAAACACAUCUCAUGGUCCCCCCCAAAGAAAUAAGCUAAAAAGAAAUACCAAAUAUGGUUUUAAAGGAAAAACUAUGCAACAAAUAAAUAUAUGGAAGUGAAAGAUAAAUAGCAUUUCUGUUCACAAUAAUUUCACAGAUAUACAAUAAUAUUUAGCUGUGUCAAAAUCAAUCCUACUAGAUGAGAAUUCCAUCCACUAAACCUUAAUGGGUUUAAUUAGUAUUAAUUCCGUUUAAAGAUAUUAUUAUUAUCAUCGUCAUUCCAAAUGGAAGUUGUGUAAUUUUAACAGACAACAAGUCUACACACCAACCCUAGUUCACCAUUUAUUUUGGAUAUCCGAAUGGAAUGAUUUUUUAAUUUCAAAGUAUUUGACUUGUUAACCAAUUUAAUUCAUUUUGCAGUCCAUUGUGACACUUCCAUGUUGACAACCCUAGUCAUAUUAAAUCAGUAAGCAUACCACGUUAACAAAAAAGUAUUGAGUCCCAAAUAGAACUUUUAUUGUAAAAUAUGCUUGGAUUAAGGUGAUAAUAUUUAAAUUUUUUGUUUGACUGAAAGUUAUUUAAUUUACACAUUAUGAAACAAAAAGAAGUUAAAAUACAUAGAGAAGGACGCACCUUCAAAUUAACAUAAAGUCAUCCCCAGAGGCAGGGGAUUAGAGAGACGACUGGCCAAUACGAGCCUCCUAUAUUAAUCUUUGUUUUCAGAUUUGGGCAUUCAAAAAUUUUCAAACUCACAAGCGAAGGCAACAACUUUUCUGGUAGAUCCAUCAUCUUUGGGCACUUGUCAAUGCUGAGAUGCUGGAGGGAGGUGAGGUGUUGGAGUCCCGUUGAAACUGAUUCCAAUUUCUCAAAUCUUUCUAUCCAAAGAGAAGUAAGAGAUGAAGGAAAAAGACCGGACAACCGACUAAAAUCAGUCACAUCUUCAUAUGGUCCGCCAUAUAGAUGUAGGUAACCAAGUGAGGUUGGAAAACUCUGUGGGCCCCACUCUGACAUGGGCUUCUUCAACCCUCCUAUGGUAAGGUAACACAGUUUUGGAGGCCAAAGCCCACCAGGAAAGGAAGCAUCCAUACUUGUACAGUUUUUUAUUUUCAAAUGUGUUAACAAGGCAAGAUUCGGCAACUCAUGGUCAGGAAAUGGAAAUGACUCUAGACUUGGACACUCUUCUAUUACGAAUGCUGUCAGUUGGAUGAAGUACUUCAAUUCAUUCAUCGAUUUAAGUUUCUUGCAGUCCCCGAUGAAAACUGACUUGAGCUUCUGCCCUCCUCCUGUUGGGAAAGACACAGAUGUAAUUGAAUCACAGGUAAAAAUAAACAAUGACUGAAGACUAUCUGGACAGCUGCAAUGCUGUAAGCUGGCACAACCAUAUACCCACAACAACCUAAGAGAUGUUAGGUUGCUCCCACAAUUAUCCUCCUCUUUCUCUCCUAAACUCACCAAAUUUGAACAAUAACGUACCUCCAACCUCCUUAAAUUCGCAAGAAGCUUACCUGCCUCUGCUUCAGAUUCCCACAAGUAUCUUAUUUCACUACACCUUUCUAUCGUUACUUCUUCAACUUCCCCAAGAUACUUCAUAACACCUCCCCACACCUCAUGAGUAAGACCUGAAAUAUCAUGUAAUAUCAACUUGGUGACUGAUGAAGCGACAUGAACCAGGCUUGUCAACACACCAUGACCACAUCCUUUUACUGUCAUAACUCUGAGUAAAGGUAGUUUUUCAAGUGAGACUUCAACCAGAUUAGGACAAAAUAAAAUAAGAAGCUUUUUAAGGCAUGGAAACACUGCUGCAUCUACAACCCCAUUGUUAUUGGUUGACCAUACCUCCCAUGAUGGCAUACUAUCAAAAGCUAGAAUUUCAAGGGAAAGGAAUGCAACACCUGUUCCAAGCAACUCCCAACCUACAAUUUUCACGUUACUCAUCUUCCCAAUAUACAAGUCCUUAAGUGAUGGUAGUUGCCCAAGUUCUGGUAGAGAUGUACAUUCUUCACACCCAUAUAUCGACACGUGAGUCAACCCAAGAAACGAAGGAUCUCCAACCCAAUUUGGAAACUUUAUACCUGCAUAUGACACAAUUUCAAGCUUCUUCAAACUAUCGGUUUGAGGCUUCAACUCUGUAAGGACCUCCUUAUCAUGUGUCUCCUUUCGAAAAACGUUUAACCCGGUAUCACUAUGACACAACCUAAGCCUCUUUUGCAAUAAUCCAUAACCCCAAUCCAACUCCAACUCACUAAGCCUUUUUUGUGUUAAGUGUGCAUCGCAUGCCUCCAUUGCAUUUUGUACAUUGCCCAGCCCCCAAAUGGAAAUUUUCCCAUGGAGAUUUUGCAAGUUCUUAAGCUCGGUUAUUGCAAAUCCGUUUUCACCUCCAAUUAUGAUCUUGGAGAGAGUUUGUAGGCCUUUCAACUCACCAAUCCCUAAGGGCAUCUUCUUCAAACCUGGAGUAUCCCUAAUGUCCAAAUGCCUCAAAUUUUUAAGCUUUAAGAAGCUGUUGGGCAAGUUAAUUAAACUUUUACAGCCAAAAAGGAUCAAUGUCUGGAGAUUAUAAAGAUUGCAGACAUUUUCUGGUAAAAGCUUGAUAUCAGUUCGAGAUAAAUUCAGAUACCGCAAGUGCUUUAGACUGCCAAUGAAUUCGGGUACCUCGCUUAUGCUAAGAUUACUCAAACUUAGGACCCUUAACAAUGGUAACUCCUGAAGUAAGUUCUCCAGGACCUUGUUUGAUAAGUAGAAUCUUUGCCAACUGUCUAUCACCCCAACAGAUACCGCUAUCAACGUUCUCAAACUUUUAGCUCCUUUGAGUGGCUCGAACCUUCCGGAAACCAUGUAUUCCUCACGAACAAAUGACAGAUGGCGGUACUUUUCGAAUGAUUCAUUCCUAUGUUCUUUCUCCGUCCCAAUGUCUACCCUUGAAAAAAACUCCCCAGCAACAGAUGUGGCCAAGUCACUCAUGAGAUCAUGCAUCACAAACAACGAUCUGUCAUUUGGUGCAGGUUGAAAAAAUGACCUUGACCACAACGCAUUAAAAUACUCGAGACCCAAGCGUUCCAUUGUCUUGUUUGUCGUUGAUUGCAAAAAACCUUCUGCCAUCCACAACAAAAUCAACUUCUCCUUGUCAAACUCAAAGUCCUUGGGGAACAAGGAGCAGUAUGCAAACAACUGCUUCAAACAUGGAGAGAGAUCAUGGUAGCUUAAUUUGAGAGCCGGAACAAUCCCAUCUCCCUUUUCUAGACUCCAUAUCUCACUAUUCAGCACUUCUUUCCAGUCUUCCUCAUCUAUUUUUGUCCUUAAUAACCUUCCAAGUGCUUUCAAAGCCAACGGCAACCCAUUACAUUUUCUAACAAUACCUUCACCAUGUGGUUUAAGUAGCGGAUGUGAAUCAAAGUUUUUUUCUCCCAAUGCAUGCUGACAAAAUAAGGAUAAAGCACUUUCAUCUGAUAGAAUAGGCAAAUGAUAAGGUUCAUUGUUACCAAGUUGGGUUAACAACGACAUCUUCCUGGUUGUCAUGAUAACUUUACUUCCGGGUGCCCCUGCAAGAAAUGGCCCUGCUAGGAUUUCCCAAUCCGUAUAGCUUUCACUCCACACAUCAUCUAAAACAAGCAGAAAUCGCUUAUUUGAGAUCUUCUCUCUUAAAGCUACUUGCAGCAGAUUUAAAUCCUUAAAUACUUGGUUUCCCCCACCUAUUGAUUGAAAAAUAAUACUGCUUAUAUUGAAAAUAUCAAACUCAUCAGAAACACAGACCCACGCCAUGAGUUCAAAACGAUCCUUCCCUUGCAUCUCAUCAUACAAAAGUCUAGCGAGAGUGGUCUUACCUACCCCACCCAUACCAACUAUUGGCACGAUGCUAACGUUUCUAUCACAUGGUUCAUAUAGCUUGAGAAGCAACGCUUCCUUAUCAUCUUUGCGCCCAACAAUACUAGAUGGAUCUACCAAAGAGGUCUCUAACCUUCUAUUUCUAUGUUUUGGGCUUUCACCUAUCACACUUAAGCCAAGCUUAUAUUUUUCCUCAAACAGUUCUUGUAACUUGAUGGUGAUAUUUUCAAACUUGUCAUGCAUCCUAGCACUUGGUAACAGCUUUCUUACCUUGCUUGAGGUUCCAGAUUCCUCUGUGAACUCACGAUGCAUAGCUUCUGUUGACAAUUCGUCAAGUAGAUCGUCUAUGUCGUAAGCCAAAUGUUGGAGACUAUUCAGCCAUUCUUUAACAGCUUCCUGACGUAUUUCCUUCUGAGAAGCAUCAUUAAGCAGAUCUUUGAUCUUGAUUAAUGACAUCUUUAAUUUUUCCACGUCAUCGUCAUCGAUUUUCUUGAAACGAGCAAACUGCCUGAAGGCUUCGGAGGCCAGCUUGUCACAGAACAAAGAGUACAGGGCAGAAAUGAUUCCAGCCAUUGCUAUUGUGAAGACGUAGGCCGGGAGCACUUGAAAUGUAUGAAACUAUGAAAGAUAGGAUGAAGGUGUAAUGAGUGGAUGGAAAUGGACGAUUCGAAACCCUUGUUUAUAGAGAUAAAGUCGUCUAUUGUUUUGGUAAACGUCUUUUUGUAAAUGUCUUUCUGUAAAUGUCUUUUUACUCAUGUAUUCCUUUUUCAUUUUCAAUUGAAAAAGUAAAGCAAAAUAAAUAAAUAAGUAAAUAAAUAUAAUUGGAAAAACAAUUGAUUUUGUAUUUAUUUUUUUCACAUAAACUAUUUAUGUUGAAAAAAGCUAUGGAAUUAAAUUGUUUUAACAUUGAAUAACAAGAAAUAAAUUUAGGUUUAGAACUAAAUAUUAAAAAGAGAAAUUAUGAAUGUUCCAUAGAUACUAAAAUAAUGGGUUGUCUUCUCGAGAUAAUUAUAUAUAUAAUAAAAGCACAUGAUGUAUGCGUAUGAUAGGUACCCGAGUUGGGUACUCUUCAAAAUUUGGCUGGCUCGGUUUUUGGAUUCCAACGAGGUUAACCCAUCCACGAAUCCAUCGCCUCUUUACUUCACGUGUUCAAUCUAUUUCUCUCACAACUGAUGAUUUGGGUCUGUAACUGCUCCACCACCUCGCCACCGCUUUAAUAUCUUUUAUGAACGGACCACUUUCCUGCUUCGUUCUCUAUUUAGGAUUAGAAGCGGCUUGGUUGCUGGAAUUCAGUCACCCCAAUCCCCCUUUAAACAAGAUAUUGCAACGGCUUCUCACAUUCGAUUUAGAAGUCAUCGCCUCCUGCGUUUCACCUAUAUCAACCGUCAACUUUGAAUUUCGUCUGUCGUCAUCGGUCAAUAAACCCCAUCUUUAGUUGUCAUUCUCCGCCCUAAUCCACCUCAACCCAUCGUCGACUCUGAUCUUACUUUUGAUCAGGUUAGAAGUUGUUAAAUGACUGAAGAAGUCGACAACGGAAGUCUUCAUGAAAUCCAAGGUUUAAUUUUUUUUCAAUAAUUGAAUCCAUGGCGGACAAUCGAAUAGAAAUUUGAAGGCAGGUUAUGGGGUUUGUAAAAUUUUAACUAAAAGAUUAAAUUUUACAAGUACUGCCUACAAGAAGAACCUGUUUAUCCUGAGAACUCAAGGUCGAGAUCCUCUCGAGGGGAAAUGAUGUGAAGCACAUAGAUGAUUAGAGAGAAACAUUUAUGGACAAGUAGGAGAAAGACAAAUGGGGUCAAAAGAGGCCCAACUUAAAACCGGCAUAACUUUUCAUCUAUUUUGUGUUACCAGAAAAAAGAACCCUAUGAUGCUAACCAUGAAGUUCACUCCAAAGUUGAAAAGCAAGAAAAUUAUGAAAAGUCCUACGCAAGUGUGUUGAAAGGAAGUUAUUAUGCUGCAAAGGAUACGGAAGAUAUGGUGGAUGUCAUGGAAAUCGCUUCUGGUGAUUUUAUUGUAGAAAAAAGAAAACUAGCAUGUCUGGUAAAGGCUAGAUACUUUCAUAAAUGGGAGAAUUUCAUAUAUGCCCUUCUUAAACAUCAAAAUAUCAUAUUUACCCAACUUAAUUUCUAAAUAUCAUAUUUACCCUUCAUAAAAUUUCUAAAUAUCAUAUUUACCAUUCAUAAAAUUUCAAAAUAUCAUAUAUGUCCUUUUUAAACAUCAUAAUAUCAUAUAUACCCUUCUUAAAUAUCAAAAUAUCGUAUAUGCACUUUUAAACAUCAAAAUAUCAAUGAUAAUAUCUAAAAUAUUCUUCAUCUACAACAUUAUCAACAAAAAAAACUAAACAAUCAAAAUAUACAUUCUAUAGAGAGAGUUGAAGAUGAAUAUUUUUGUUUGUGAAGAGGACGACAAUCCAACAAUUUAGAAGUUUACAUUCCAUUAUCAUAGACGUAAGGAUAAUAUCGUUAAAAUUUUUAAUUAUUAUAGUAAUUUUAAGUUAUAAAAAAUGAUUAUAAAAUAUUAAAAACAUUAUAAAAAAGGAUUUGGGCAAAUAUGAUAUUUUGAAGGUUUAUGAAGGAUAAAUAUGAUAUUAAGAAAAUAAGCUGGGCAAAUAUGAUAUUUUGAGGUUUAAGAAGGGUAUAUAUAUAAUUCUCCCUUCAUAAAUUGCCUAACCUCUGUAUACCAUGUUUUGAUGAGGGCUUUGAUGAUUUUCAUAUUCGCUAUGUCGGGAGUUUGUGGGUGAUGUUGGAGUUCAAGACAAAGGAAGCAUGUAAAAACUUUAUGUCAAAUGAUGCAAUUGAUCAUUGGAUCAUUGAGAAGCAUGCAUGAGAUAGGAAUUUUAUUCUUACGGAUCGAAUUGUAUGCGUAGAUAUUGAAGUUCCUAUACGUGCUUGGAGUAAGUCGACAUUUAGGAAGAUUGUGGCCAAAUGGGGAACUAUUUGUUCAUCUUGAUGAUUGGUUAGGUGAAGACAUUUACAAGAAUCGUGUUAGUAUUUUGACUAGUUUUUUUUGGAAUCAUUUCGGAGUUAAUGUAUAUUAGAGUGGAUGGUGUGGUGUUUCCAAUAAGGUUCAAAGAAGCUCCUGGCUGGAAUCCUUCGUUCUCAUCUGGUCUUAGCAAAAAUGAAAUGGGUGUAGAUAAGGAUCAAAUUUUAAUUGAAGAGGGUGAAAGUAAUUUUUCACUGCAUGACAAAGAUGAAUGUUCAGAUGACCCUUUUGGUGUUUAUGAAACGUUAGAAAAAUGGAAAAUGAAGAUUUAAUUGCUGAGAAAUUAGAAAAACCAAAAAAAAAAAUUCUGUCAGGGGGCAUUUUCGGAAUAUUGAGGCAGAAGAACCUGAUGCAUCUGUUCAGGUUUCGAUUUAGCAAAAUGCUGUCAAAAAUUCUACAUUGGUUCAGCAGAAUUUUGCUCGUCCAAAUGCAACUUCACCAGAACUUGAAGCUUCGUUGCCAUCAGCAUUUGUACAACAUACAAAUGUUGUUUUUCCUACGGUAGUUUCUGUUCUACCUCUUCCAUCGAAAGUCUAUUCGGAACCGAUUUCUGUCUGUACACCUGUGAAUGAUCUGAAACAGCAUAGACCUGAAAAUAGUGAAGCACCAUUGGGUUUUUCAGGGGGUUUCGGAAAAUUAUCGAGAGUGCAAGAUUCAGAGGAGGAUCUUUCACAUCCUCCAGGUUUUUCUGAUCCAUGCCACUCUAAUUUUGGUGGUAAUCAAAAUAUUUCAGAUGCUUCUUUUAAUAAUCAAUCAUUUCUAAUUGAAUUGAAAAAAACCAUGGACAUGGGUGAAUCAAUGGGCUAUGUUAUGGAAGGGUGUUUUGAAAGGGUGAAAGAAAUUAUUGAAGGUCACGGGAUGUGUAUUAAUAAUCCAUGAAUUGUCUUUCAUUAAACAUUCAAGGAGCCGUUUAUGUAGAUAAGCGAGGGCGGGUUAGAAAUUUAUGUCAUCUUCAUAAAGUAAAUUUUCUAGCCAUUCAAGAAACAAAAAUGGAAGUUAUGGAUUUAUUGUCGGUUCGGUCGUUUUGGUGGAGUGAUUCUUUUAUGCAUGCUUUUUCUCCAUCUCGUGUAGGUUCGGGUGGUAUUCUAGCUGUUUGGAACCCGCAUUUUAUUUCUCAGAAACAGAUGAUUAUUGGUGAUUGGUUUGUUGUUGUUGAGGCUGUUUGGACGCGGUUGGGUUUGGAUGUUAUGUUUUUUGUUAUUUAUGCGCCCCAAGGGGCUGUUUGUAAAAGGAAUCUGUGGGCUAACAUUUUAGAGAUGGUUGUUUCUUUUCUGGGAGAGUGUAUUCUUAUGGGCGAUUUUAAUGAAGUUCGGGAUGAGUUGGAGCGAUUGGGGUCUCGUUUUAAUUCGAUGAAUGCUAGAUAUUUUAAUGAUUUUAUAGAAUACGCUGAUUUGGUGGAUGUUCCUUUAGGAGGGCCGAAAUUUACUUGGAGCGAUAGAUGGGGUUCGAAAUUUAGCAAACUCAAUAGAUUUCUUAUCACGGAGGGUUUAUUGCAUAAUUUUCCUCAUAUGACGGGCUUGGUUUUGGAAAAGAAUUUACUAGAUCAUCGUCCCAUUAUUUUGAUAGAGCAACCUGUUGAUUACGGUCCUACUCCUUUUCGGAAUUUUCACUCUUGGUUUGAAUUAGAUGAUUUUGAUGGGAUAGUACGUGGCUCUUGGUUGCAAUUGGUGGUUGGGUUGGUGGAUAUGAACCCUUGGUGUAACAUCCCCCUCUGACACGUAUCACAAUAUUCUCCACUUUAGGCUCCCUACACGAAAACUUCCUAGGGGGGAUGUUACAAAUGGUAUCAGAGAUGGUGCACGGGUCGAUGUGUUCGAUGAGGAAGUCGAACCCUAUAAUGGGCGGUGAAGGUGGGUUAUACCUGAUCCCAGAUUGGCUUGGAAGGAGAACGAAACAUUUCCUUAGAAGGGGUGUGGAUAUCUUCCUUGUCACAACACGUUUUAAAGCUGUGAGGGCAGCAGAUCCCAUAAGAACUCUAAAGUUAAGUGUGCCCGAGCAAGAGCAAUCCAGGGAUAGGUGACCCCCUGUGAAGUUUUCGUGUCGGGAGCCCAAAGCGGACAAUAUUGUGAUACGUGCUAGAGGGGGAUGUUACACUCGGGUUAUUUUUAAGAAGAAACUUCAGCUUCUUAAGUCUAAUCUGAGGGUGUGGAAUUCUAGUUCUCGACUCCAGCUAUCUACCAAGAGGAAAGAGUUACAAGUUAAGAUCGAGGCCCUAGAUGGGAGUCUUAUGAAUGAUGUUGGUUCGGCUCGUUUGAGAGAGCAACAGAUCACUCUUUUAAAGGAGUUGGUGAAUAUGAAUCAUCUUUCUCAUAUUAACCUUGUGCAAAAAGCUAAGAUCAAGUAGAGCAUAGAGGAAGAUGAGAAUUCAAGUUUUUUUCAUGGUAUCCUCAAUCGUAAGCGACGACAACUUACAAUUUGGGGUUUGUUGAUUGAUGGGGUGUGGGUGGUUGAGCCAAAGCGAGUGAAGGAGGAAUUUCGUAGUUAUUUUGAGUCAAUGUUCUCAAAGCAGAGUGGGUGGCGACCUAAGAAUGAAGCCCAUUUGUUUAGAACUCUUUAUUUUAUGCAAGUUCAUCAUAUUGAGGCUCCUUUUACUCAUGAGGAAAUCAAAAGGGCUGCUUGGGAUUGUGGUUCGUCUAAAGCUCAAGGACGUGAUGGUUUUACAUUUAGUUUCCUUAAGUGAUAUUGGAAUCUGGUAGAAGAUGAUGUGGUGGCUUUCGUGUUCCAUUUUUACCAACACUCUUCCAUUCCGAAGGGGUGUAAUGCUUCUUUUUUUAUUGUGAUCCCAAAAAUUAGAGACCCGAAAACAACCUUGGAUUUUAGACCUAUUAGUCUCAUUUGGUGCCAAUAUAAAAUUAUUGGUAAAAUUUUGGCUAAUAGGUUAGGGAUGUGAUUGAUAGUCUUGUUAGUUCGGAGUAGUCAACCUUUAUUAGAGGAAGACAUAUUCUUGAUGUUCGGUUUCUCCUCAAUGAGGUGGUGGCUUGGAGAAAGGCUUAAAGAAAUCCAUUAAUGAUGCUCAAGGUUGAUUUUCAGAAGGCUUAUGAUUCUCUUUCUUGGGAGUAUCUUCUUGAGAUUAUGCAACUUAUGUUGGAUUAGGUGUCUAAGCCCAUAACUAUAAUUGGGAUGUACUUGACUCGAUAGUAGCAUGGUCCUUUUGGGUUGCCUUCACCAUAGCAACUGAUAGGAUGAAUUAUAGAGAAAGAGGUUAAUUAAUGAUUUAUUAAUAUAUUAUAAGAGUAAUAUAUUAAUUGAGAAAUUAUAUUAUUUAAUUAGUAUUGAUCAGAAAUUAAUUUGGUGAUCAAAAGAGACUGAUUAAAUAUAAGGGGACUGAUAAUGCAAUUAUCUAAUAGUUGCAUGUUGGGCUUGUGGUUGCCUUGUGGAAGGGGGUGGAUGAAUUCUAUGUGUAGCCCACAUAGAUUUCUUCUAUAGGAGUCCUUCUGGAAGGAUUUACUGGACUGCUUAAGGCUUAAACAGUCAUAUUAGGGUUUUACCUGAAACCCUAGCAGCUUAGCUAUAAAUACACCCCAUGGCUUCAUGAAAUCGGCCCUAUGCUUUCUUAGAGAACCCUAGCCGACUUCUAGAGCUACCCUUCUCUCUUUUGUUCUUCCUUGUUGCUAGUGGUGUUUGUGACUCCAGUAGAGGUGCAACAAUUGAGGCACUAAGCUCUUAAAGGUCAAGAUCAACAAGCUACAAGAAAGAGUAUUCUUCUUACUUUGUUUAAGUCAUCAAUUUCAAAAAUUUUAUGCUAGAUUAGGGUUUAGGCUUUAGAUAAUUUAUUGCAUGUAUAACUUGAGAAAAACCUAGAUCCAAAGCAUUAGGGUUGCAUGUACACCAUAGGAAUGUUUUAGUGCUUAAAAUCGAUCAGUGGUAUCAGAGCUUAAGUGUUUUUUGGUUAUAUUUGAUGGCAUGGUUAAUUGUUCAAAGCUGAAAGCAAUCGAACUCUGGACUCUGCCAAAUGAACUCAACGAGUCUAAUGUGGAACUCGACGAGUUCAGGCAACUCAACGAGUCCAGGGCUGACUCGAUGAGUUGAGUCGUCUGUUGGUAGAUUUUUCAGAUUUCAAGCUUAAAUUAGAUUUUUCUGAUAUGGUAAUGAAUAUGCUCAUCUAAUUGAAAGAUAAAUGUCAAAUUUUAAGAUAAUUUUAAGAUUAUAUGAUAAAUUAAUUAUUUGUAAAAUUUGAUUGAAUUUAUCUUACCAAAUAAAAUUGGAUUAGGUCAAAUUUUGAUAAAGAUAAAAUUAUAUGAUUAUUUUAAUUAUUUUAAAAUUUGAACUAGAAGUUCUGAAAAGUUUAAAUACUUGUCCUUAAGUUUUGGAAUUUAAAAUUUGAUUAAAAGGUUUUAAUUAUGAAAUAUUAUAUUCUAAAACCCUAGUGUUUUAAAAGUUUAAAAUACAACUCUUAUACUAUUAUAAUAUUAAAAGCUUAAUACUUAUGUAUAUGUAUAAGAUGAGUCAGUCUUACCGUUAGUAGGCCUCAUUCACGAAGCCAAUCUAUAAGGGGUAUAAGGAAACUGCCUAUAAAAUGGCUGUUGAAUGGGUGUCCACUCUCACACACCGCUUCCUUGAUUGGUGAAGGGUCGUUAGCCGAACGGGUAGGAUAGGACAACUAAUUCUUCAUUAAUAAAUUAAUAAGUAUAAUGAAUAUUAUAAAGUAACUUAAUGUUUUUAUAAAUUCUCAAUCUUAGUUAAUUUAGGAAAAUGUGAAAAUGAUGCUAUUCUAUGAAAUUACACAUUGCACCAUGCCAAGUCGUUAAUGGAGCGUGUGUGGCUAAUCGGCACACUAACUUGGACUAACAAGGGUGGCAAAGGGUAGCUCGAGAAUUAUCAUAGAUCAAGGGAGCGUGUGUGGUUAACUAACACAUUGAUUAGGUGACAAAUGACUCGAGAGUGCCAAGCUAAUUUGCAUGGUUAUUCACACCUUGUUUGUGAUCCUCGGUAUCCCAGUCACAAACUUGAAGGGCAUAAUCGAGAUUAAACAUGUCAUUGAACAGUUCAAUGAAUCUCAAAAGAAUAUAGGAAUUUCAUUUCAUUUAAAACCUAAUUCUUAAUUUCGUUUUUUGUGGUGGAAUUGGUAAAUCGUCAUUUACCUACCUUCAAAUAUUUGCAAUUGGAUUUCGGCAUCCCUCUUCCAAAUUGUGAAAUAUUGUGUUGGGUACGAGCCUUAAUAUUUCAUUUGGGUGUUAUAUUAAGGAUUCUUUAUCUAAUUUAAACUUUGUUCUUUUUCUUUUCAAUGUUUGGACCAAACAACACUUCUAGCUUAAACUCCAACUCAUCUAGCUCAUUUUCUCUCAUGAACAUUUAUGCGAGGGUCACCUUUGAUGGAUCCAACUUCAAUGACUGGAUUCGCAACAUUCGAAUGGCAUUACGCUAUGAAGAAAAGGAAUAUAUUCUCGACAACCAACUCAACGAGAUCAAUGAAACUAAAUCUACUCCUAAACUGAUAACUGAGUAUAAGACCCAUGAGAAGGACGCAACAAAGGUGUCGUGUAUCAUGGUCACCACUAUGACUCCUGCGCUCUAGCGGUUUUACGAGGACUACUGGCCUUAUGAGAUGUUGCAAGAACUGAUGGAAAGGUACCAUCAAAGUGCACGUCAAGAGAGGUACUGAAACAUCCCAAAAACACAGUCUGAAAAUUUCGUUUUAAAUCGGUAAUAAAACCAUAUUCAUCAAACGUCAUAUAAGAAUCAUAAACUACAUAUCUCAAAAUAUCAUAACAACUGUCAAAUAUAUCAGAGUAUAAACACCCCAGGCUGAACAAAUGGUGUGUGCACUGCAAUCUUCCCGAGCUCCUCUUUUGAAAACUGAGUACCUGAAACCAAAACUAAAACUGUAAGCAUGAAGCUUAGUGAGCUCCCCCAAACUACCACAUACCAUACAAUAACAUAUAAAGCACAUACUGGGCCUUGCCCACUGCAUCGGACCGAAGUCCGGAAACUGCAUCAGACCGAGGUCCGGAACUGACCGGGUCCUUGUCCCCUGCGUCGGACCGAAGUCCAGAACUAACUGCAUCGGACCGAAGUCCGGAACUGACUGGGACCUUGUCCCCUGCAUCAGACAGAAUUGUGCGGAACUAACUGCAUCGGACCGAAGUCCGGAAACUGCAUUGGACCGAAGUCCGGAACUAACCAGGGCCUUGCCCUCUGCAUCGAACCGAAGUCCGGAACUGACUGAACAUAGCAUAUCGUAACUUAUCAACUAGCAUGAAUACAUACACUGCAUACUGCAUCAGAACAGAGUCUGGGAUACAUAACACAAAACAUGCUUGAAUCACAAAGACAUCAAGCACUCUAACUACUGCAUCGGACGGAGGUCCGCAACUAACUGAACAUAGCAUAACAUAAUCAUAAAGUAUAAUAUAAACACAUAUACCUCAUACUGCAUCGGACCAUAGUCCAGAACACAUAACUCAUACCAUGUAUGUAUCACAAAGACACCAAGCAUACUGAACUACUGCAUCGGACUGUAGUCUGAAACUACUGCUAACUAAACGGGUCGGCAUUGUGGUCGUAGACCCGUUCCUACUGGAAGGAAACUCACCUCACACUACUGAAGUCCUGUAGACACAACCCCACACUGCUGAAGUUCCGCAGACUCAACCCCAGCUGCUAGAUGAUAGAUUCCUAGAUUACUACAUUACCCUUAGAUUGGCUUACCCAAGCCCAAGGCCCAAUCCAAAAGCCCAAAGUCAACUAGGGAUCAAAGCCUAACAUAUGGCCCAACUUUCCAAAUUAGGCCCAAACCUCUACAUGGACUUCCCUUAAGGCCCAAUUGUUCAGUCCAGUCCAACAUGUCUCAUUCUAAGGGCCCAAUAUCAUACAACCAUCUAGGCCCAAACUAUGGCCCAAUUUUCCAAAUUGUGCCCAAUCCUUCAUAUGGGCCUUACUCUAAAGCCCAACUAAUUACUCUAGUCCAUUUGAUUAUUCUUGGAUGGCCCAACACAAACCCCAAGUGAAAUUAGGGUUUCACAUAAAAUGACGAUUAAGGUUAAGUGUUUCUUACUUAACCCGUUAAGGACUUAAUCCGUUAAGUCCUUUACUCUACUAGAUAAAUGAUAUGGAGAAAUUGGACUUAAUACACAUGUAAAUUCAGCCAUUUCCGUACAUUAUAUUAACUUGAUAUCCUCAUGCAUAAUUUGAUAUCUGCUUUAAUUCCCAUAUCGAUUCAAGUAUCAAAAGAUACUUCAACUUCAUGUUUAUAUAACAACACUUGAGGUUACCUAAGGGAAACCCAAGUACCCCGAAACAAAUUUGGGCCACCUGAAAAUUUUUUGGGAUACCCCUUUACUUUAACUCUGGCUCUGCCACUGCAUCCAUAUACUUAGAAUUACUAUGUAUAUAUAAUAGGUGUGUUGUGAUAGUAUCUAUAUAUGUAUUAACUUUGGAUGGUUAAAUCCAAAGAUAUGCAAUAUACCAUAUAACGGGUAUGUUAUGGUAGUAUCUAUGUAUGUAGUAACUUUGGAUGAUAUAAAUCGAAUGUGGUGAAAUAUACCAUAAAACAAUGUCUUAUGGUAGUAUUUACUAUUUAUGUAUACGGUGCAAUAGAGAUUUAGUAUCAUUAGGUGUAAGGUGACAUAUAGUGUACUACAUAAUGCCUAUUUUGUGACAUUAAUCGGAGUAUUGAUGAUCCUUAUAAUGGCUCUCAAGGCAAUAUCCAUUCGAUGUAAAAUGCCAUUGGUGUUGAUAAAUAUUUAAUAUUAUGGUGGAUAUUAUUAGGGGACGUUGUAGUGAACCUUCAUGGCAAAAUACAUUAUUGAUAAUUGUGGAGUUACUUUGAAAGAUAUUGGGAGGUGGGACUUGUAUAUUAUUAGUUAAUUUCGUGUAAUUAACCAUUGCAGAUAUUUGAGGAAAUUAUGUAGUAAUAUUUAAUGAGUAUUUACUGAAUAGUUUGAAAGGCGCUUUGGAGUUUUAUUGAGUUGUUGAAUAAACUGAUAUAAUCGAUAUAUGGAGUUAUUAUAUGUAAUGUUGUCGAUGUUGCUUACUAAGCUCUUUGUAGCUUACAUUUUUAGUUAUUGUAUACCUAUAAGGAAACUCAUUAAAGAAAUGAUGAAUUAUAGAAGAGAGGUAGUAAUAUCUGGCUCGUAUCAUUGUAUUUGUAAUUCUUUUAUGCGAUCUUUUUGAUAACUAAUUGUAUUGAAUUGUUAUUAAAAUAUACACCAAGACGAUUUAUAAAUUGAAAUUUUUUAGGGGUUUUAUACUAAACUCUUUGUAUAAGAUGCUCUCUUUGUGCACCUCGAGACUCUAGUAGAGUCGGCUACAAUUUAAAACACACACACACACACACACCUUGCACCCAUCGACUUCAUCAAGUUCUUAAGGUUUUCUGUAUACCAGAUUCAAAUAUGGUUUUACUAAGAUGAUUCAACUAGCAUCUAAAAUGUGUAGAUAUUUUUAAAAUCAAUUUCUGUGCUACCUGGGAUAGAUUUAACUAAUAUUCUCAGUUGUGUUAUUGGUUCAUCGUUUAAGUAACAUGAUUUAGUGAACCAACACAGAGUUACUAGAAUCCCUAAUUCUCAGAGUUAAUUUACAAGUUUGUUUCAAUAUAUUCUCCAAGCGAAGUGAUUGCAGAUUCCCACUCCUUUAGCAUGGAUGAAGAGCAGUUGCCUAACCAUAAAUUCAUAAACAAGAUGGAACUAUAUGACUGUUAAAAAGAUUUGCUUCUUAAUGUUCACAUCAUAAUCUGUUCCUAUAACUGAUGUCUACUUGGAUCUGAGCCCAUUUAUUUCAACUGUUGUCAAAAUGUAUGUUUAGUCAUACACAUGUCAUAUAAUACAAAAUUUCUGUAGUGAGCUAUAUGUUCUAAGUAGCCCACAAAGAUUAGCAUUAUACAGAACUUGUGUUGUGUAUGCUAGAAAACACGUUUAAAAUGUACAAAACUGUGGUUAACAAUGCAGAAAAGUGAUAGCAGUGCAAAGAGGUGCAACAUGUGCAGAGAAUUGCUAAUGCUAUCAUGUCAAAUGGAUACGUAACAAUGUAAGUAUUUGUAUCGACUCUUCGUACAAACAUCUCCAAGACACAUCUGAUUAGAGCAUUUUGAAACUAUUUCUACCAUCAGAGCAGUACUAAUUUUCACACAAGCAAAACCACAAACACCUUGCGUGCAAAUUUAUCAACCAUUUUCCAUACUCUUCAAAGUCACGUGUUUGAGCCAGCAGUUGGCAACUCACAAACAGGUCGAGGUGGAGAUGGAGGCGGAGGCUAGUGUCUAUGUUUAUCAUAAGCCCACUGUUAAAAGAUCCAUGUUAAGGAUAAUUCUAUAACAGGAAUGAUACCGAGUAAAUUGGCAGAUAGUAGGGGGUGUUUGGCUAAGCUUUUGAAAGGCAAAAGUCCUUUUAGGAAAAGUUGCAAAAAAUCAGGAUUCUGUAACUUUUCCAAAAAGUACAUUUUUCCUUAUAUAAAAAAGUAACUUUUACAACAUUGCCAAAUAUCUUUUGCCUUUUUAUCUUUUCCUAAAAACUAAAAGUUAUUUUUAAAGAUAAAACAAGCACCCCGUAGUAGAGCUUACCCUUGGUUUCUUCUUCUGUUUUUCUUCAUCUGUUUUUUUUACCUUCAUUUCUUCUUGUAUCAAUGCAAAUGCUUCAUCAAUUAUUUCUUCUUCUGUUUUUAUGAUAUUAUCAGAAUUGAGAAACAAUUUAAGUGACAUAGUAUUGAAUGAAAUGACAUAACCAUAGAUGGAAAUGUUUUAAGUAAAAUUAAGAAGAAAUUGAUGUAUCUGUUUUGUUUGAAAAUGAAAAAUUACGUUCAUUCUUGUAUCAAUGCGAAUUCAUUCAUCAAUUAUAGCUCCUAAUGCCAUUGGUAUGAAUUCAACUUUGGAAUUAUGAAAACUACUCGCACUAUCAAUACUUACACCAAUCAUUUACGAACAAGUUAAAAAGUAAAUUACUAAAAUCGUUCCUAUGGUUUUGUCAAAAUUUCAUGUUUGGUCCCUAACUUUUUCUUUGCACUCGGACCAUCCCUAUGGUUUGAUUUCGUUGCGUUUUUCGUCCCUAUGGUUUGGUCAAAAUUGCACGUUUGGUCCUUAAUUUUAUGUAUGUAAGGGACGAAAAACGCAACAAAAUCAAACCAUAGGGACGAUCCGAGUGCAAAAAAAAAAGUUAGGGACCAAACGUGAAAUUCUAACCAAACCAUAGGGACGAUUUUAGUAAUUUACUCAAGUUAAAAUUAAAAAAAGAAUUAAACUAUAAGGAUCUGUGACUCUGCAGAUAGCAUAAAAGAAACCAACCUUACACACCCGAUGGCAUAUGCAUUAGCAUUGAAUGCUACAAUUGUGAAUCAUAAGGGUGGGUCAUGAAUCCUGCAAAAAUAAAUCAACAUAAGUUUUUCAUUCCAAAAUGACUACCGGAUACAUCAUGUCAAAUUAAUUAUGUGAGCAAAAUUCAUCAAUUAUUUUACCAAAUAACAAAAGAACACAUAAUUGAACAAUGAAUCAUAAACAGUAACACGCAUAUCAUGGUCACUCCAAAGUACACUAAAUAGAAAUACCAAAUAUUCUCUAAAAGGGAAAAACCAUGGAGCUAGUAAAUAGAUGGCAGUGAAGAUAAAUAGCAUUUUUGUUCACAAUUUCACAAAUAUAGAAUCAUAUUUAGCUGUGUCAAAAUCGAUCCACUUAAUAAAAAUUCCAUCCACUUAACCAUAAUGCCUUAAUGGGUUUAAUCAGUGUGUUAAUCGGCAUUGUCAUAUGGGUACAAUAGUAGGUUGAUAUUAGGCAGUACAUAAUCAUAAUGAUUCAUUAUUUGAACGUAUUUAGCCUGUUUGUUUGUUCACCGUUAAUUUUCGAUAUUUUACAACGUAAUAAUGUACUCAUUUCUAGAUGUUUGGUUUGGUAAACAGUUUAAUUCAGUAAGCACGCCAUGUUAACAAACAAAUAUUGAGAAACAAAUAAAACUUUUGUUGUAAAAAUACAUAGGUACUUGGAUUGAGAUAAUAUUUAAAAAAUUUGUUCGAUUUACAGUUAUUUAAUUUUAUACAUUACGAAACAAAAACAAGUUAAAAGACAUAGAGAAGGCCGGACCUUCACAAUAAGAUAUAGUCAUCCUCGUAGAUGCAGGGGAAUUAGGGGAACGACGCGCCAAUAGGAGACUCCUAUACUAGUCUUUUUUUUUUCAGAUUCGGGCAUUCAUUAAUUCCCAAACUCAAAAGCGAAGGCAACAGCUUUUCUGGUAGAUCCAUCAUCUUUCGGCACUUGACAAUGAAGAGAUGCUGGAGAAAGGUGAGGUGUUGGAGUCCCGUUGAAAUUGAUUCCAAUUUCUCAAAUCAUUCUAUGCGAAGAGAAGUAAGAGAUGAAGGAAAAAGACCGGACAACCGACUAAAAUCAGUCACUUCUUCAUAUGGUCCGCCAUAUAGAUGUAGGUUAAAAAGUGAGGUUGGAAAACUCUAUGGGCCCCACUCUGACAUGGGCUUCUUCAAUCCUCCUAUGGUAAGAGGACCCAGUUUUGGAGGCCAAAGCCCACCAGGAAAGAAAGCAUCCAUACUUGUACAGUUUUUUAUUUGCAAAUGUGUUAACCAAUAUUUUAAAACCCGGGUUGACCCGACCGGUUCAACUGGUUGGACCGUGAUCCGGGGUAGAAAGCGGGUUAAUUGAGAACGGUUUUUUGUAAAAAUACGGACUUGAUCGAACCGGCCGGGUUUCCCCUAAACCGCGGUUCGACCGGUUAUGUUGAACCGGUUAAAACCGGAUUGACCCGUUUUAAUAGAACUUUGAUAGUUGGAUACAAGUAGCGGACGCCAAAACAACGAAUUGUUUGCGGUUUCUUUAAUGUUUUUCAAUGUUUAAACUUUGUGGACAUCAAAUUAUUGGUUUUAUAUGUUUAUGCAUUAUGUAGGAAAGUAAAAAUAUAUAAAAAUAAAAAAAGACCAUAAACAGGGUUGACCCGACGGUUCAACUGGUUGAACCGGUUAACCCGUGAACCGGUUAUUACACCGGGUCAACAAAAAACCCGGGCUUUAAAACAUUGGUGUUAAAGAGGCAAGAUGCGGCAACUCAUGGUCAGGAAAUGGAAGUGAAUCCAGACUUGGACACUCUUCUAUUCUGAAUACGGUCAAAUGGAUGAAGUACUUUAAUUCAUUCAUCGAUUUAAGUUUCUUGCAGUUCCAGAUGGAAAGUGACUUGACGUUCUGCCCUCCUCCUGUUGGGAAAGACACAAACGUAAUUGAUUUGAAUCACAGGUAAAAAUAAGCAAUGACUCAAGGCUAUCUGGACAACUGGAAUGUUGUAAGGGAAUGGUGUAGCGUUGGGCGAGCACCAUGGUACUUGUUUUAGUGACAAGGCGGCCAAGUAGAUUUCCUUGGAUAAGGAAAGGGAAAAGUAUGUAGCUCCGAGAGGGAGUGUAAGUUCACGGAAGCGAAAGCAGUAGCGCGGAGGUAUGAUUGAGGUGUUCCAAUCAUGGUUAUUGAGCAGAGUGUUUGCGGCGGUGGUAUGGAAUCACAUCCGGGUUGGAUAUCUGCGGAGGUCACGGAAGGAGUUCCGCGAGUGUAGAGCCAAAGAGGCUCUGAAGGGAUGCAAGGAUGGAGCCUUGGAUUCCUAGUUUGGUGUGAACAAGGAAUUAUGCUUGUAGCGGUAAUUCAUCCUGGGGGGAUGUUUGGAGGUGUCGUCAGUGCGUCGGGUUUUCCCAACCCGAGAAUGCUAGAGCUAGUUCAGCAUGUGUAUGUGAUGGCAGAGAAGAACUCAUGGGAGUUGCUCUAAAGCUGAAGGAUGUGUUGUCCUGUCAACAUGGAAGGGAUAGAGUUGGACUCAGUAAGGGAGCAGGUUAAGUCUUAGUAGUGAAUUCGGCGAAGGAUAUAUCUGACGAGGAAAAUGAUAGCAGUGUGGUACCGGGUCGGGAUCCUGGUGGUUCAAGGUUAUAUCUAGCUCGUAAGAGUCAAGUGAUUGUUGUGAUCUGGAACGAGUGAAGUACCAUGGAGUGGUACUCGGUUGAUAAAUGUGGUUAUCAGAGGAUGAAACCGGUGGCUGGCUUGAGGCGGUGGUCAGGACAUCGCAGGGGAAGAGUUGGGUUUCGGGUUUCGAUGGUAGUGUUUUGAGGAACCUGAUUUGGUUAAUGCUAGGUGGUGGAUUGCGAGAAUAAUUAUUGGAAUUGUGUGUUGCAGCAGGCUUCGGGGACGAAGCCUAAUUUAAGUGGGGGAGAAUUGCAACAUCCUGAAAAUUCAAAAAUAAAGUUGAAGGGCUAAAAGUGUAAAUAAGAAGGUCGACUCGGCGAGUCGAGUCACGUUUCAAGUCGCGUGAUAAGUGACCAACUCGGUGAGUCGCAUGUGUAGACUCGGCGAGUUGGUGCUGUAUGGAGAAAACCCUAAUCCCGGGGGUUGAGCCCUAUAUAAAGAACAUAAUACCCACUCCCCAGCCUCUUUACAUUCCCUUUGAGUUCCAGAGGCCCUAAAUUCGUGUGAGCUUUCCUUUGUGAGUAAUUAGAGCCUUGGAGGAAAUCUUGGAAGGGAAUUGAAGAGCAAGAAGAUUUGGAGCAAGGGGCUUUGCAGAGAUUUGGUUCAUUCUCCAGUAGGAGCUUGCAUUGGAGGUAAGAGAUCUGUUCUUGAGCUUUUGUGCAUCUAUAUUUAUCAAUUAUGGGAUUUUUUGGAGCAUAAAUGAGGUUCAUCUCGAGUUUAGUGUAAGAUCUGAGGUUGCUACCUCAGAUCUAGGAUUGUAGUGGUCCAGGAAGCCAUAAAGUUCAUGCCCAAGAGUUGUUAGUGAAGCCUUCUUGUCCCAAACCCUAGCCUAAGAGUGUUCUAUGCUUAGAUCUCUUUGGAUUUACGUAAAGUUUGCAACUUUACGUGAGGAAUAGCUUGUGGAAGGGUAGAUCUAUGAAUUGGAGCCCCUGCAUGGCUUGGAAAGCCACUUAAUGGAUUAAGAGCUAGUGGUACUUGGCGAGUUGCAUGAAGAUAGGCACGAACUCGGUGAGUUUGAAGAACAACUCGGCGAGUUGGAAGAACAACUCGGCGAGUUGGUUGAAGAUAGCCUUGGACUCGGUGAGUCUGUUCGUGAGGUCCUAACCUUUCCUGGUUUAGUUGUGAAUCGGUGAGUCAAGGGACGACUCGGUGAGUUGAGCAGGAAGUGACUCAGAGUUCGUGGGACUCAGCGAGGCUUAGGGCGACUCGGUGAGUCUUGGGGCGACUCGGCGAGUUGGGUCACGAUAUGGGAGUUUUCAGAGUUGAGGGACUCGACGAGUCAGCAGGCUGACUCGGCGAGUAGUGUCAGUCAGGAAGUUUGACUUUGACUGAGGACUUUGACUUUAACCAAGAGUUGACCAGUUGUCUUCCAAGGGUAAUUUGAUAGUUUUUGGUAUUUAUUGAGUUCGGUCUUUUGGUAUUGUUAGUGGUGGAGUUUGUGUCAGAGGUUGGAGCAGCGUGAUCUUAUCUUUUCAGUCAGCAGUUGCAAGGUGAGUUAUCCUCACUAUAUCGAUAGGGUCUAAGGCACCAAUGUCGGCCCUUUAUUGGAUUGUAAUCUGGGUAUCGUUGUUAUGUUGUUGCUUUGCUAUGUUUGCAUCCUGGUAGUUAGGAUGGUAUAUGUUAGAGACCUAGUUAAGGUCGGUAUCUUGGUAUAUAGGAUGAUGCUAUGCUAGUGACCGGUUAGGUCGGUAUCCUGUUUGGAGUAUGUUAUGUUAUUUGAUCUGCUAGAUCGGUUUGAUUGGAUGUGAAUUGUUAUAUGAUUGUAUGUUUAUGUGCACAUGGUUGUCGGACUGGGGUUGGGUUGAUGCGGGUCCUGCUUUGUGCUGUAGGCCAACACACCCAGGGCGGACCGGUUAUCCCGAAGGCCAGCCAGCGGUCCGGAUAGGCUGUAGGCCCCACAACGCUGGAACAGACGUGCAGAGGCUCGGAGAGUGGACCAGGCCGACUGAAGGCCCGGUGCGGGCGGACCAGUCAUACUGUAGACUUAUAGAGUGGACCAGGUGGGUGGAAGUGCCGGUGUGGGCGGACCAACCACACUGCAGACUCGAUGGAUAUCGAUAGACUCGGAGGGUGGACCAGGUGGACUGAAGGCCCGGUAGGGCGGACCAGUCACACAGUAAACCCGAAGUGCAUGGCUGUUCUGUUCGGUUAUGUUAUGUUAUGCAUGGUAUAUGUGGUUGGUAUUUUAGGGGCAUCUCACUAAGCUUCCGGGCUUACAGUUGUGGUUUAAUGUUUUUCAGGUACUUCAUGAGACCGUGGCAAGGCGAAGGCGUAAUCGUACCGCUCCUCAUGUUUAUGUUUUACGAUAUGGUUCUGGGAAGACUCUGAUAAUAAUUGUAUUGAAAACCUUUUUGUAAUGACUUAACGAAACUGAGUUGCUUUUGAAAUAUUUAAAUUGGCUUGAAUUUUUAGAGUGUUACAAGAACAUUUGUUCACCAAGGAAUGUGGAAACAUAUGAACAGUGCCGCUGGAUAAAAGAAGUUCACGAAGAGGCAUUUGCAAUAAAAAAUUUCAUCAUGAACCAUAACAUGAGGCUCUCGAUUUUCACCAAGUUUACUCCUCUUAGGCUGCUUUGUAUUGCUGACACUCGCUUUGCCAUCAUCAUUGUGAUGCUUAAGAGAUUGAAACUUAUCAAAAGGGGUCUUCAAGCUAUGGUCAUAAGCGAAGAAUGGUCUUCUUAUAGAUUAGAUGACACUGAGAAAGCAAACGCUGUGAAAGAAUAUAUUUUAAAUGAUGAUUGGUGGGAUAAAGUAACAUAUAUUCUUAGUUUCACUGGAGCUAUAUAUGAGAUGAUUAUAGCUUGUGACACUGACAAGCCAUGUUUACACUUGGUCUAUGAGAUGUGGGAUUCUAUGAUUGAGAAAGUGAAGAUUGAGAUCUACAAGAAAGAAAAACGUCCGACAUCUCAAAUAAGUUCUUUUUACGACGUUGUGCGACGUAUUUUAGUGGCUCGAUGGGCGAAGAAUAACACUCCCCUACAUUGUUUAGCUCACUCUUUACAUCCAAGGUUUAAGAUUUUAAAUUAUACACUUGAUUUGUAUUAUAUAUUUAUGUUUUAACUUUUGGAUGUUUGUAGAUAUUAUAGUGAUGCAUGGUUAAUGGAGGAUUCUACAAGAUGCGCUCCACAUAGGGAUGGAGAUGGGAUAAGGGAGAUGUGGGGCCAAUAGGAGCUUCUUCUAAUGCUCCUUUCUUUUAAAUUUGGGCAUCUAUCGAUUUUCAAAGAAAAAAAGUGAAGGAAACACCUUUUCUGGUAGAUGUAACGUUUUUGGGGAGUUGGAAACAGAGAGAUGUUGGAGAGAGGUGAGGUGUUGGAGUCUCCCUUUGAUUUUCAAAUUCCUUUUUUCCUUUAUGGAAACAGAAGCAAGAGAUGAAGGAAGAAGAUGUGACAAUUGAUUACAGUUUUUCACAUCAUUAUAUAGUCCGCGAUAGAGUAAAUUACACGAAUGGUCCCUAUGGUUUAGGGUAAUUUGCGCGUUUGGUCCCUAACUUAUUUUUUUAACUCGGAAGGGCCUUACUGUUUGUUUUUGUUACGCGCUUGGUCCCUAUCUUACCUAAAAAGACUAUUAUGCCCUUGAUUUUUUUAAUUUAUUUAAAUAAACACACCCCUAAUCCCACCCUCUCACCUUACCUCACCUACCCCCAUCAUUUUUUCCUUUUGAAAUAAUAGUCAUUUUAGAUAAUACAGGGACCAAACACAUAACAAAAAUAAACAGUAGGGAUCAAACGCGUAACAAAAACAAACCAUAGGGACCUUCCGAGUUAAAAAAAUAAAUCAGGGACCAAACAUGCAAAUUACCCCAAACCACAGGGACCAUUCGUGUAAUUUACUCGUCCGCGAUAUAAUAUUAAGUUAUCUAGUGUAGGGGUGUUCAAAACCGAAUAUCCGAAAAUUUGGAUAUCCGAAUUUCAGAUAUCCGAAAAUUCAAAUAGUGUAUUAUUGGUAUCCGAAUCCAUAUCCGAAAUUUCAGAUAUCCGAAUUUUCGGAUACGAAUUCGGAUAUCAAUACGGAUAUCCAAAUUUUUUUGGCUUUUUUGUUAUUAUCAAAUAUCGAUUAACUUAAAAUAACCUAUUUUAAAAUAUAUUAAGUUGUUAAUUGUCUAUAAGAUGCAACUCAACCCAACAGUUACAAACCACUUGCAAUUCAAAAGAAAAAAGACGUUGAACCAUCUUAUAACAAAAAUAUAAAUCAUACAUUCCAUAUUAAAAGUAAACCUAUUAAUUAUAUAAAAGCAUUUAGUUUACCUUGUGAAUAAUAAAUAAAAUAUUAUAAAAAUAAUAAAAAAUAAAUUUUUGGAUAUCGGAUAUCCGAAAUAUUCAAAAUUUUAGAAAACGAGUAUUUGUAUCCGAAAGUGAUAGCAGUACAAAGAGGUGCAACAUGUGCAGAGAAUUGCUAAUGCUAUCCUGUCACUUGGAUACGUAGCAAUGUAAGUAUCUGUAUGACUUUUCGUACAAACAUCUCCAAAACACUUCUGAUUAGAGCAUUUUAAAACUAUUUCUACUGUCAAAGCAGUACUAAUUUUCUCACAAGCAAAACCACAAACACCUUGUGUGCAAACUUAUCAACCACUUUCCAUAGUCUUCAACGUCCCUGUGUUUGAACCAGCAGUUGGCAACUCACAGACAGGUCGAGGUGGAGAUGGAGGCGGAGGCUAGUUUCUAUGUUUUAUCAUAAGUCCACUGUUAAAAGAUACAUGUUAAGGAUAAUUUUAUAACAGGAAUGAUACAGAGUAAAUUGGCACAUAGUAGUAGAGAGCUUACCCUUUGCAAUUUUUCCCCCAUUAUUUCUGUUGUUUGAUCAUUACAAAUUGUCCAAAAAGAUCAUGCUUAUAAAUUUAUAAUCCAUCUCUAAGAUUUGAUCCCAGCUAUUCCCUUGACACCACUGCCAAUCCACUUUGCUGUGGAUUUUUGCAGAUAUGUGGUUGAAGGUGUGAUUCUUCUAAUGGCAAUCUUGUCCACACCAAUGAAAGUGCCAAGCACCAUUAACCCAGCGAUUGGUGUUUAUAUGGCAUUUAGCUAUUAAGAUUCAUAAAUUCCAAGCUCCUACAUCUCCAAAUUUAUGAAAAACAAACAGAAGUCAGAAAGUCUAUAAUGAGAAGUUGUUUAUUCGGAAAUGACUACCGGAUACAUUAUGUCAAAUAAAUUAUACGAGCACAAUUCAGCAAUUAGUUCACCAAAUAACAAAAGAAAACAUAAUUGAACAAUGAAUCAUAAACAAUAAAACACAUAUCAUGGUCCCUCCAAAGAAGUACGCUAAAUAGAAAUAUCAAAUAUGCUCUGAAGGAAAAAACGUGGAGCUAAUAAAUAUAUGGCAGUGAAAGAUAAAUAGCCUUUCUGUUCACCAUACUUCACAAAUGGAAAGUGAUUCGUACACAACAAUUUUUUUAUCAUACACAAUAAUUUAUGCAUUAUAUAGUUGUACAAUACAACAUUUUAAAACAUUAAUUGUUGUGUAUGGAAAAAAAAAUUGUUGUGAACGGAUGAAAAUUACAUCAACUUAAUGAAAAUUAAGUCAACUUAACCUUGAUGGGUUUAAUUAGUAUUAAUGCCGGUCAGAAGUCAUGCAUAAGACUACAUUAAAUUAGGCGGUAUAUUAUCAAAAUGACUCUGUGAUUUGAAAGUAUUUAACUUGUUUGUUUGUACUACAUUAAGUUAUUAUUAUUAUUAUUAUUAUUAUUAUUAUUAUUAUUAUUAUUAUUAUGCUUGUGAUUUCAUAUUGAAGCUGUACAACUUUAAAAGACAAUGAUAACUUUACAACCAAUCCUAGUCCACCAUACACCAACUUAAUUCAUUUUGCAAUCUAUUGUGGCACUCUCACGUUUUAAAGCCCUAAUUAUAUUAAAUCAGUAAACAUACCAUGUCAACAAACGAAUAUCCAGACAUAAAUAGAACUUUUAUUGAAAUACAUCCUUGGAUAUUUAAAAUGUUGGUUGAUUGGCAGUUAUUUAAUUUAUACAUUAUGGAACUAAAAGAAGUCAAAAGACAAAAGGCAUAGAUAAUGGCGCACCUUCACAAAAAAAAUAUACUCAUCCUCGUGGAGGUGUGGGGUUAGAGAGACGAUGGGCCAAUAGGAGCCUCCUAUACUAGUCUUUUUUUUCAGAAUUGAGCAUUCACUAAUUCCCAAACUCAAAAGUGAAGACAACUUUUCAGGUAGAUCCAGCAUCUUUUGGCACUUGACAAUGCUGAGAUGCUGGAGGGAGGUGAGGUGUUGGAGUUCCGUUGAAACUGAUUCCAAUUUCUCAAAUCUUUCAAUUCGAAGCGUAGUAAGAGAUGAAGGAAAAAGACCGGACAACCGACUAAAAUCAGUCACAUCUUCAUAUGGUCCGCCAUAUAGAUUUAGGUCAAAAAGUGAGGUUGGAAAACUCUGUAGGCCCCACUCUGACAUGGGCUUCUUCAACCCUCCUAUUCCAAGGGAACACAAUUUCGGAGGCCAAAGCCCACGAAGAAAGGAAGCAUCCAUACUUGUACAGUUUUUUACUUCCAAAAAUCUUAACGAGGCAAGAUCCAGCAACUCUUGGUCAGGAAAUGGAAAUGACUCCAGACUUGGACACUCUUCUAUUCUGAAUGUGAUCAGAUGGACGAAGUACUUCAAUUCAUUCAUCGAUUUAAGUUUCUUGCAGUCCCGGAUGAAAACUGACUUGAGAUUCUGCCCUCCUCCUGUUCGGAAAGACACAGAUGUAACUGAAUCACAACGACUAAUAAACAAUGACUCAAGGGUAUCUGGACAGCUGCAAUGCUGUAAGCUGGCACAAAGAGAUACCGACAACCACCUAAGAGAUGUUAGGUUGCUCCCACAAUUAUCCUCCUCUUUCUCUCCUAAACUCACCAAAUUUGAACAAUAACGUACCUCCAACCUCCUUAAAUUCGCAAGAAGCUUACCUGCCUCUGCUUCAGAUUCCCACAGGUAUCUUAUUUCACUACACCUUUCUAUCGUUACUUCUUCAACUUCCCCAAGAUACUUCAUAACACCUCCCCACACCUCAUGAGUAAGACCUGAAAUAUCAUGUAAUAUCAACUUGGUGACUGAUGAAGCGACAUGAACCAGGCUUGUCAACACACCAUGACCACAUCCUUUUACUGUCAUAACUCUGAGUAAAGGUAGUUUUUCAAGUGAGACUUCAACCAGAUUAGGACAAAAUAGAAUAAUAAGCUCUUUAAGGCAUGGAAACACUGCUGCAUCUACAACCCCAUUGUUAUUGAUUGACCAUUCCUUCCAUGAUGGCAUAGUAUCAAAAGUUAGAAUUUCAAGGGAAGGGAAUGCAACACCUGUUCCAAGCAACUCCCAACCCACAACUUUCACCUUACUCAUCUUCCCAAUAUACAACUCCUUAAGUGAUGGUAGUUGCCCAAGUUCUGGUAGAGAUGUACAUUCUUCGCACCCAUAUAUUGACACGUGAGUCAACCCAAGAAACGAAGGAUCCCCAACCCAAUUAGGAAACUCUAUAACCGCAUAUGACACAAUUUUAAGCUUCUUCAAACUAUCAGUUUGAGGCUUCAACUCUGUAAGGACCUCCUUAUCAUGUGUCUCCUUUCGAAAAACGUUUAACCCGGUAUCACUAUGACACAACCUAAGCCCCUUUUGCAAUAAUCCAUAACCCCAAUCCAACUCCAACUCACUAAGCCUUUUUUGUGAUAAGUGUGCAUUGCAUGCCUCCAUUGCAUUUUGUACAUUGCCCAGCCCCCAAAUGGAAAUUUUCCCAUGGAGAUUUUGCAAGUUCUUAAGCUCGGUUAUUGCAAAUCCGUUUUCACCUCCAAUUAUGAUCUUGGAGAGAGUUUGUAGGCCUUUCAACUCACCAAUCCCUAAGGGCAUCUUCUUCAAACCUGGAGUAUCCCUAAUGUCCAAAUGCCUCAAAUUUUUAAGCUUUAAGAAGCUGUUGGGCAAGUUAAUUAAACUUUUACAGCCAAAAAGGAUCAAUGUCUGGAGAUUAUAAAGAUUGCAGACAUUUUCUGGUAAAAGCUUGAUAUCAGUUCGAGAUAAAUUCAGAUACCGCAAGUGCUUUAGACUGCCAAUGAAUUCGGGUACCUCGCUUAUGCUAAGAUUACUCAAACUUAGGACCCUUAACAAUGGUAACUCCUGAAGUAAGUUCUCCAGGACCUUGUUUGAUAAGUAGAAUCUUUGCCAACUGUCUAUCACCCCAACAGAUACCGCUAUCAACGUUCUCAAACUUUUAGCUCCUUUGAGUGGCUCGAACCUUCCGGAAACCAUGUAUUCCUCACGAACAAAUGACAGAUGGCGGUACUUUUCGAAUGAUUCAUUCCUAUGUUCUUUCUCCGUCCCAAUGUCUACCCUUGAAAAAAACUCCCCAGCAACAGAUGUGGCCAAGUCACUCAUGAGAUCAUGCAUCACAAACAACGAUCUGUCAUUUGGUGCAGGUUGAAAAAAUGACCUUGACCACAACGCAUUAAAAUACUCGAGACCCAAGCGUUCCAUUGUCUUGUUUGUCGUUGAUUGCAAAAAACCUUCUGCCAUCCACAACAAAAUCAACUUCUCCUUGUCAAACUCAAAGUCCUUGGGGAACAAGGAGCAGUAUGCAAACAACUGCUUCAAACAUGGAGAGAGAUCAUGGUAGCUUAAUUUGAGAGCCGGAACAAUCCCAUCUCCCUUUUCUAGACUCCAUAUCUCACUAUUCAGCACUUCUUUCCAGUCUUCCUCAUCUAUUUUUGUCCUUAAUAACCUUCCAAGUGCUUUCAAAGCCAACGGCAACCCAUUACAUUUUCUAACAAUACCUUCACCAUGUGGUUUAAGUAGCGGAUGUGAAUCAAAGUUUUUUUCUCCCAAUGCAUGCUGACAAAAUAAGGAUAAAGCACUUUCAUCUGAUAGAAUAGGCAAAUGAUAAGGUUCAUUGUUACCAAGUUGGGUUAACAACGACAUCUUCCUGGUUGUCAUGAUAACUUUACUUCCGGGUGCCCCUGCAAGAAAUGGCCCUGCUAGGAUUUCCCAAUCCGUAUAGCUUUCACUCCACACAUCAUCUAAAACAAGCAGAAAUCGCUUAUUUGAGAUCUUCUCUCUUAAAGCUACUUGCAGCAGAUUUAAAUCCUUAAAUACUUGGUUUCCCCCACCUAUUGAUUGAAAAAUAAUACUGCUUAUAUUGAAAAUAUCAAACUCAUCAGAAACACAGACCCACGCCAUGAGUUCAAAACGAUCCUUCCCUUGCAUCUCAUCAUACAAAAGUCUAGCGAGAGUGGUCUUACCUACCCCACCCAUACCAACUAUUGGCACGAUGCUAACGUUUCUAUCACAUGGUUCAUAUAGCUUGAGAAGCAACGCUUCCUUAUCAUCUUUGCGCCCAACAAUACUAGAUGGAUCUACCAAAGAGGUCUCUAACCUUCUAUUUCUAUGUUUUGGGCUUUCACCUAUCACACUUAAGCCAAGCUUAUAUUUUUCCUCAAACAGUUCUUGUAACUUGAUGGUGAUAUUUUCAAACUUGUCAUGCAUCCUAGCACUUGGUAACAGCUUUCUUACCUUGCUUGAGGUUCCAGAUUCCUCUGUGAACUCACGAUGCAUAGCUUCUGUUGACAAUUCGUCAAGUAGAUCGUCUAUGUCGUAAGCCAAAUGUUGGAGACUAUUCAGCCAUUCUUUAACAGCUUCCUGACGUAUUUCCUUCUGAGAAGCAUCAUUAAGCAGAUCUUUGAUCUUGAUUAAUGACAUCUUUAAUUUUUCCACGUCAUCGUCAUCGAUUUUCUUGAAACGAGCAAACUGCCUGAAGGCUUCGGAGGCCAGCUUGUCACAGAACAAAGAGUACAGGGCAGAAAUGAUUCCAGCCAUUGCUUACGGUGAAGGCGUAGGUAUGAAUGAUAGAGAUGAAGAUGAAGUGAGCGUGACUUUUGAUUGAAAAGAACGAUCCAAGCCCUAGUUGUCCAUUGUUUUUUGGUCAACGCCUUUUUGCCACCGCUUUACUUUUAAAUAGUCCAGCGGAUCAUCAAGGACAAGUUUAUGUUAUUUUUGAUUGGUCCUCCUAAAUACACGAAUGAAUUCGUGUAGUGCAUAAAAUUUAGUAGUUUUACUUGACUUACGUCAAAUCAAUUUCAUUUGUCAAUUAUUUUUAUUUAAAACCUUAUAACUUAAAGCAAUAACAUAUUUGGCCCUUUAACUUUAUAAUCCUUCGUUCCAAUCCAUUUUAGUUGUAAAUCACUUUUAUUUGAAAUCUUAUAUGGCCCAUUAACUUUUAAAUAUUGUCAUUUUAUCUUUAUAAUAAUAAUAAUAAUAAUAAUAAUACAAGAAAAUUUCUGAAUAGCUACGGAAAAUAUUUACGGAAUCAAAAUCCGUAGCAAUUUUAGUAUGGAAUAUGUUGCGGAAUGGCUUGUCGUAGCUAUAAUGCUACGGAAACGGUUACGAAAUUGUAUUGUAUAGCUAAAUCCUAAAUAGCUACGUAAAGUUUCUACGGAAUCAUGAUCCGUAGCUAUUCUACUAUAAAAUAUGCUACAAAAUGAUUGGUCGUAGCUAAUUUGCUACAAAAAUAACUACGGAAUUGCAGUCCGUAGCUAAAUCAUGAAUAGUUGUUACGAAAUCGAAACCCGUAGCUAUUUUACUAUAAAAUAUGCUAUAUAAUUUUUUGUUGUAACUAGUUCGUUAUGGAACUUAUUGUGGAACUCAAAUUGUAACGAAUAGAUGUCGUAGAAACUAUCAUAGCAAAAUUGCUAUGAAAUUAUAAUUUCGUAGCUAAACAGUUUGCUACAAGAAAUAAAACUACGGAGUCUAAUUGAAAUUUUAUGUAGCGAAUUCCAUAGUUAUUUGGCUUUAGCUACGAAAUUUCAUGUUUUUGCUAUGGAAUUUUUCCAUAUUUAAAUCGUUUACAAAUAAUUAAAUAUAUAGGAUUAUUGACUCGGUUUCCCUGUAAAACAAAAGUAUGAGGAAAAAAAUUAACUUGAUGGGAAACUGUUUAUGCUGCUUUGGCGUCACAACAGAUCAUUACGGUCUGAUGGAUGGAAAACUGUUUAUGUUGCUCGUGUGAAUUCAUACAUUUCUCCAUUUGCAACACACAGUAAUUGUAACAAUUCUACAGUUAUAAUAUCUGAUAAUUAAUAAAAUCAAGUUUAUGUUUUGUUGUUUAUAAUUAUUAAGAUCUUUAACAAAAUUGUUUUUUUUUUCCAUUGAUAAAUUUUAGAAAGAUUCUUUUCAUCUCGCUUUUAAAAUUAUACAAAUAUUAAACAUAAUUGGUUUCUAAUAACGGUCAAACCAUAUGGUUAAAUGGCUAUCUGAUUAAAUAGUCGACCAUUUGAGUUAUCAAUUUAUAAUAGUUAAUAAUUGAAUAAUGAGUUAUCAAAAUCUUUUUUGGUAACUAAUCCAUAAGUUUAAAUAUAAAAUGUUUAUUUAUAGAUAUAAAUUAUAAAAAAUAUAUAUUAACUAAAUAGUUUAUUCAGUUUUAUUAGUUUAACCAAAUAAGGUAUCUUUAUUUGGUUAAUCAAACCGAAUAAACCAAAUAUCCGAGUAACUCGAGCCAAAUCAACCAACCAUCAUUUGGUUUUGUUCAGUUAUUCAAUUUAAGCUAUUUUUAUCACACCCUUUUAUUUUAUGAUCAUGAUACAAAAAUUUUAAAAUAUCUUUUUAUUUGUUUAAUACAAAUAAAAUGACUAUUUUGUUAACGUCUAUAGUAUACAUACUAAUUCUUAGAGGUUUUCAUUGAAAAAAAAAAUAAAAGUAACAACCAUCAUUAGUAAUUAGCAUAUACAUCAUGUGAAAUUAAAAAAAAAACAUUUGGAAAAUGAUAAGAAAAUUAGGACUAUACAAAAACAUAAUAAAAUAAAUUAAAAACCUAAACUAGUAACUUAAUUAUUAUUUGAGUUUAAUUUUAUUAAAAAAAAUUAAAAAUUUUAUUAAGUUAAUAUUAUAUCAUUUAGAAGUUAUCUUUUGCAAUUUAAUAUAUUAAUUUAAACUAAAAUAAUAAUAUAAAAUAUAGUAUAGAGAUUGAAAUGGUAAAAACAACAUAUUGAAAGUUUAAUAAAAAUGGAAGGAUAAGAACUGCAAAUUGAUAUUGAUUGAAAUAGUAAAACAAACCUGUUGAAAACUUAAUAAAAGGAUCCUCCUAUUCGCACGAAACAAAUCGUGUAAUUGUUUUGGUAUUUGUGCCUGAAGUUUGAAAACUGACAAUUUGUCACAACGNCCUAUACUUUUUCGACUUUUAAAAAUUCCCUAUAUUAAUCUAUUCUAUUAGAAAUAUGUUCAUAUGUGUAUGAUAAUAUUUAAAAAUAUAUAUACAUAAUUUUUAACCUAUAGUAUGAGUCUAAUUCAUUUGUAAACUCAAUCAACAUUUAAAAAUUAGUUUUUAAAAACUCAAUUAGUAUUUAAAAUUAAUUGAUGUUUUAAAAAAUUAGCAUUUAGAGUUGGUGUUUAAAAGCUCAAGUAGUGUUUAAAAUUAACAUUUACAAACUCAAUUAACGUAUUAGAACUCAAUUGGCGUUUAAAAACUCAAUUAGUGUUAAUUAGAAAAUUACACUUUCAUAAGUUUAAAAUUAUACAACUAUUGAAGCAUCAUAAACCGUUAUUAAAUUAGUGUUUUUUUUUAACAUGGGAAAUCCAUCGGCAUUUUGUUUUUUUAAUAUGUAUAUAAAUAAAAAAGAAAGCUAUAAAUAAAAUGGGAAAAAUACAAAUCUAGCAAUUUUUGUUAAUUACUUAUCAAAAAAUAGCAAAAGAAAAUAAUACUUAGCCAAAAAUAGCCCUUAAAAAGGUUGUCAACUUUUGGUUGACUACGGUCAACAUUGUUGACUAUUAUUUUAUGCCUUAAAGUAGUGUUUCGUGCUAAUAGGCUACUGUUUCACAGACUCAUUUACUUUUUCAUGGCUCAUUAGCCCAAAGUAGUGUUUCGGUUAAGCUACGGUAUCCCAAACCGUAGGUUUUUUCACAAAAAAGUAGAGGAAACCCCAAAAACAGUAGAUUUAAAAAAAAACGUAUUUUCCCCCCAAAACCGUAACCUACGGUUUGGGAUACCGAGCUUAACCGAGAGGAAACUAUAGGUUUCCCUAAACCUACGGUUUUGUAUGUUACAAAUGAAAAAAACAAUUCUUUUAUACAAAACACGAAAUAGUAGACGAUAUGGCGAAACAGUAGACGAUUUUAGAAACCUAUAGUUUCAUGGGCUAUAUUCGGACAUACUAAUUUUUGGCUAAAAAUUGAUAAUCACUUCCUUAAUUUGGUUAGAUUAGUAAUUACCCCUAAAUAAAAGUAUAUUUUGUUGAAAUAAUGGAUGUGUGGAAUAUAUUUUAAACAAGUAAAAGGUGAAUUUUGAAAUACAUAGUUAAGUAGAAGGGUGACAAAUGAAAAUUCCUAUUAUGUAAACAGUUUGUUUAAAUUUAAAAAUAAAAUUUGACUGAAUAAACAGAAUCAAUCAAAUCAUCGUGCAUUUAGACUUUUGUUCGUGUAUAUAGAAUUACCCUUUUGAUUAAGUAUUAAACAUAAAAUUUUAUGAAAACUAGAUGAAAUCUCAUAAAUGAUUCCUUAGUUUGUCAAAGACUAUAAUUUUAGUUCAAAUUUUUUAUUUGUAUCAAUUGGGUCAUUGUGGUUUUCAGUUUCGCAAAAUCAAUCCAUCUUUCGUUCAGUCUGGUCUAUAGUUAGACUUUUCUUUAUGACAUUGUACCCUUGAACCAAAUUUGCAAUUGAUUAUUUAUUAGAGUAAAUUACAUGAAUCGUCUUUUAUUCAAGUGUCAAAAGAUAUGUUCAGUCUCUCUUUCAAAAAUUAACUCGGAUUAUCAUUGUAUUUUUUUUUUCAAUCGGGUCGUCCCGGCGGACAUAAAAUGACUAAAACAUGCUAGUCUUCAUUUGUAUUAAGUUGUUCUUAAGCUAUUAAGACAUAUACUAAAAUAUGCUUAAGUAGAAGCAGCUUAUAAGACCUUAAACUCUACACUACUCAAAGCAAGAGAGGAGAAGGAAAAGCACCAUGGUGCUCUCGGUUUUUCAAGAAGAAAAAGAAAAAAAAAAUACUAAAUAGUUCAAGCCUCAUCUCUCCUUUAAUACUCAUGUACUUAGAUGAAAGCCCAUUCUUUCAUUUAAUGAGAUCAUGAUUUACAGGCAACUCAUGAAGUAUAAGAACAUAAAAGUCAAAGAAACAACCACCAUAUCUCCCUAAACAUGUAGUAGGAAAGAGUAUGAGUGGAAUCCACAUCAUCACUCUUAUAAAUAUAAAUCAUAUAUAAAAUGGUCUUUUAUAAGUCCAAUAUUAUAUACAUGACAUUUUAAUCAUACCAUAUGUAACGUCUUAAACACCAAGGUAAACGUUUUUCAAAUUUUAAAAGGAAUUAAAAGUCAUUUCAUAAAAGUUAAACACCAUAAAUUCAUUCUUUUACAACAUGGAGUCAAAAUCAGAGUAUCAAAUCAUAAAGUCUAUUGGAUUUUGUGUAUUGUCACGCCUUCGCUGUCACAAUUGGAAAUUUCAAGUCCAAAAGCUAAGCUAAAGGAGUCCUGUAUAUGUAAUCGUUAUAGUUAUACUAUUAUUGCGUUCUUGGUAAUGUAAUCUUUGAUAAUUAGACUACCCUGAAGCCUCCUAAGUCAAUGCAAACCAAUAAGAAAUUAAGUUAUGUCAAGACAUUAGCCAUAUUACAUAAAGCAAAUACAUUAAAGUUCAUAUGCACUUCAGGACUAUGAACUUUUCCCUAGAAACAAACAUGAUCGUGAACCACCAUAAACUUCAAAAGAAUGGCCAUGAACACCUAAGGAGAAGGAAUCUAGGCCGUGAACAACUUUCGAGGGGCCACUUUGGCCGUGAAUUACUUAGCUAAUCAAAACCUUGACCAUGAACACAUUCCUAGGCAUCAUAUUGAGCGUAAAAUCCUCCCCAUGAGCACCUUUAGGCCGUAAACCCCUCCACAUGAGCAUAUUAGGUUGUAAACUCAAAAGAGAAAAGGAAUAUGGAACCGUGAACUCCUUUUCAAUUCAAGGUGUUUAGGGAUUGUGAGCUGUAAUUGAUUAUUUCCAAUACAAAUCUCAGUAACCUAUGCAUUGCCUACCAGCAAACCAAGCACAUACCAAAUCAAUUUCCUUAUUCUCGUAUAAAGGGGGCGUAAACCCCAUUUCUCAUUCCACAAACAUAUUUCACAUUCUGUGAGAUCUCAGUAAACCAUCCCAAUGAUUCAACCACGAACUCCAGAAGCCAUUUCUUCACAACUCCUAAUAUUUAGUAAGUAAUUCGUGCCUAGCUAGAUAUUUCAUACAUUUAGUUGUUACAACUCUUUUUAAUCACACAUAACUUCAUGUGUUAACAACAUUAGGAUACCAAAAUAUCCAAGGGAUUUGUGACAUCCCCUAAUUUCUCGGCCAGAAAAGACCGAUUUAAUUUAUGUUUUUUAAAAUAAAAUCAGAGAAAUCUUUUUAAAAGAUGUUGCGGAAUUGGUCCCCAAACAAAAUAUGAUAAAAGUUUAUCAAAACCCUUCAUUAAGAAGGUAUAUGUUUUCCAUAUAUAUAUAUAUAUAUAUAUAUANAUGUCAUGUUCCGAUACAGAUCAAAAGCAUAAACAAGACAUUAUAAGCCUUUCAACAGUUAUUUACAACUACUGGCCUAUAAUCCAAAAAUCUCUCGUUGUCCUCCGACUAUGCUCGGGGUCCACUACCUGUAACAUAAAAAGCUGAGUGGGUCAGGCUUGGGAGCCUGGUGAGCAUAUAGGGUUUUCAACCCACAAUAAUAAUAAACUUACUAAGUUCAUCGAUCAACAAUAACCCUGAUUACCCGUUCCCGUUAUCCUCACUUUACGUCCCUAAACACUUAUCACAAGGGACCUAGCCUAAAGAAUAUCAUCAGGAUGGACACUACUGCUAAGGGGUUUCCUCAGCCAUACAUGUCCUAAAGGCAACCAUGAGGGGGAUGGAGUACAGCGAAUGAACACUCUCAGUUCAUUAACACCUACAGGUUGCGGACCUGCGAAUGUUUCCCACUAAACUGUCUAGAAAGUCCAUGGUCAUCAUCCAAACUCCGCUAGAUGACUGGAUCUCAAAACACAUUGAGGCCUAUCAUCAAUUUUAUUUUAUCACACAUCACUAUCUACCCAUGUUCUACCCAACAUAUUUGUAGAUAAAAAUACUUAUGUAGUUUAAAACUUGUAUAAAACAUCAACUCAGCAGUUACCUCAAAUAAACAAUUAAUAUAUCUACACAUAGCACGUAUUAUAAGGUAAAUACUUCAUAUUUAUGUGUAAAAUGAAAGUGACUAUACACUCACUUGGUUUGAUGAUAAUCGGGCAAUAAUUCGUUUCCUAAAACGAUCGUUUCUAAUAAAACCGGGAGUUUUAUUGAGAAACCGGGCUUUGCAAAAGUCGGGCUUCGAAACCGAAAAGAUAAAUUUUCCGGGCUUCUCGGGCACUCCGUGGAGUACUCCGGGCUUUACAAUCGAUAUCGGGGCUUUGCGGGAUGUUAAGAUGAAGAAAAUAUGGGUUUAGGGGUUAAAAUUGACAAAUUUUCAAAGUUACCCGGGAGGUCUCGCACCCUUCUAUUUAUAGGGGCGAGGCUUCUAAUCGGACGGUCAGGAAGAAGACACGCCUCGUAGAUCCAAGGGUUCGCAGGGAAGGCUUGCACGAGGGUAGCAUGUGCGAAGGGCUCGGUGUCGGCCUUUGAUUGGACUGCGGUCUACUAGUCCACAUGCGAGGUUCGGAGGCUAGGCAAUGCGAGGCUCGGUCCAGCUGCGAGCUUCGGUUGGGCCUCCCUUUGGUCGAAUCAGAAGAGGACACGGGGCGACACGGGGCAGUCUCGCAUGCGAGGGAAGGCAACACGUCUUGCCAGGUGGCUCGGUGAAUCAGAAGGUUCCGGAUACGUGGCACAUGCGAAGCGAGGACACAUGGCACUUCCGGGUGAAGCUUAUCUAUGCGAAAUUUCUCGAAUUUUGUGCCAAAAUCUUCUAAAAUUCAUAACUUUCGCAUACGGGCUCCAUUUUUGACGUUCUUUAUAUGCACGCGUAGCUAAAAUUACGCUCUACAACUUCCAUUUAGACUUCGUCGGUUAAUUUUGACUUUAAAUUUUAUAUUAUUAUUUUUAACAGACCGGGACAGGAAAUUCGUUAAAAAUUCAUAACUUCUUCAUCCGACAUCCGUUUUUGUCAGACUUUUUACUGUUGUGCUCCUAAUGACGAGACCUUCAAUUCUAGUUUAGGUUGUGUCGGCUAAAAAUCGCUCGAUCUAAAUUUCGAGUUUUUAGCUGUCUACUGCUAAGAUGAAACUUCGAAAAAUCAUAACUUCCUCAUAUGAAGUCAGAUUUGGGCGUUCUUUUUAUCGAACUUCUCAGUUUGACAAAUACUACGACUUUGUUUUAGAUUACUAAGGCUAAAAAGUAGUUUAUCAAAAACUCACUUUUUACGACAUUCAGCACCAUGUCAGUUUUGUCGCGAAACUUCGACAGGUCAUAACUUCUUCGUUAUAACUUGGAUUUUAGUAUUCUUUAUAUCCUCGAAAUUCUUGUUUCGAGCACUAAAACUUUAUGUAAAGAUAUCAGGCUUAUCUCAUACUUUAAUAUUGACACUUAUUUUAUUCUUAAUUAAAUAAACGCUAAUAAUUAAGCAUAAAACACAUAAUUCACAUAAUAUUCACAUAAUUCCUUUUCAUUUCUUCAAAAUGAGUUACAAAGGUUAACCUAGACUAUCACCUCAAUAUAAAUGCCUAGGCUAGAAACACGAGUGUUACAAUUCUCUCCCCCUUAGGAUGAUUUCGUCCCCGGAAUCACAUAUCACCAAACAACUGCGGGUAGCGACUCAUCAUGUUACUCUCUGUUUCCAAAGUGAGAUUUGGUCCAUUCAUAUGUUUCCAACGCACAAGCACUAAAUCGACCAUCGUGCGUCGCAACUUCAUAGUCUUACGGUUAAUGAUUGCCUCAUGUUCUUCGAUCAACCUCUUAUUUUCAUCUAACCUUAACUCAGAAGUUGGAAUUAUGUCGGGCACAUCUCCCGUGAACUUUCUCAAGUAACACACAUGAAAGGUGUUAUGAAUACCCUCCAGUUCUUCCGGUAACUCUAGCUUGUAAGCUUGAUUCCCGAUCCUCUGAAGAACUUUAAAUGGUCCAAUAAACCUUGGACUCAACUUCCCUCUCUUACCAAAUCUUAUAAGUCCCUUCCACGGCGAGACUUUAAGUAAAACCGAAUCUCCAACAUCGAAGGAUAUCGGUUGUCUUUUCUUGUCAGCAUAACUCUUUUGUCGAUCUUGAGCAGCUAACAUCCUUUCCCUUAUCACUUUCAACUUUUCAGCAGUCUCAUGGACUAUUUCAGGUCCCAUAAACUGCUUUUCCCCAGCUUCCAGCCAACAUGAUGGCGUUCGACACUUUUCCCCAUACAAAGCGUGAUAAGGUGCCAUCUUAAUGCUUGAGUGGAAACUAUUAUUAUAGGAGAAUUCUACUAGAGGUAAGUGUUCAUCCCAGUUACCUUGGAAUUCUAGGGUACAUGCUCUCAGCAUAUCCUCCAAUGUUUGAAUUGUUCGUUUGCUAUGACCAUCGAUUUGUGGAUGAUAAGCUAUACUUAAACACAACUUGGUGCCCAAUUCCUCUUGUAGACUCCUCCAAAACCUUGAGGUAAAAUGGCUGUCACGAUCGGAUACAAUUGUUAGCGGAACACCGUGAAGCCUCACAAGUUCCUUCACGUAAGAAUUCGCAGGUUUAUCCAUAGACCAUUUCUCUUUGGCUGCUAUAAAAUGCAAACUCUUAGUGAAGCGAUCAACGACCACCCAAAUCAUGUCGUGACUGUUCCUUGUUCUGGGCAGUUUAGUCACAAAAUCCAUGGUGACGUCUUCCCAUUUACCCAUGGGUACGGGUAAAGGUUCUAAACUCCCAUACGGUUUCUGAUGUUGUGCCUUAACCCUAGCACAAGUUACACACUCGGCCACAUACUUAGCAACAUCGAGCUUCAUCGUCGGCCACUAAUAAUAGGGUUUUAGAUCCCUAUACAUUUUUGUACUGCCGAGAUGAAUCGAGUACAUGGUCUUGUGAGCUUCUUUCAUCAAAAGAUCUCUUACUCCGCCUGUCUUAGGUACCCAAAUCGUAUCUUGGAAUACCCUCAACCCUUGGUUGUUUGUACUGAAUACUAAAGUUUUGCCCAAGCGUUCUUCCUUUCGGUCAUUUGUCUCUAAAUCUCCCUCUUGAGCUUUCUUUAUACUUUCCACAAUUGUCAAGACAACUUCAAUUCUCAACGCUCUUGGCCUUUUCUUUUCAAGGUUUACCUUCCGACUGAGAGCAUCAGCAACAACAUUUGCUUUACCAGGGUGGUAAAGUAUCUCACAGUCGUAGUCCUUGAGUAACUCUAGCCAGCGUCGUUGCCUCAUGUUCAAUUCCUUCUGAUUAAAGAGAUAUUGGAGACUCUUAUGAUCAGUGAAAAGUUUACACUUUGUGCCAUAAAGAUAAUGCCUCCAUAUCUUUAGGGCGAAUACUACCGCUGCCAACUCCAAAUCGUGAGUGGGGUAGUUCUUUUCAUGCUCCUUCAAUUGCCUCGAUGCAUACGCUAUCACUUUAUCCCUUUGGGUCAGAACACAACCUAACCCAACUCCAGAUGCAUCGCUAUAAACUGCGAAGUCAUCAACUCCUUCAGGCAAUGAAAGAAUCGGUGCUUCACACAAUCUCUUCUUCAACUUCUCAAAGGCUUCCUUAUGCUUCUCAUUCCAAGCAUAAGUGGCUCCUUUGUGGGUCAAAGCUGUUAAUGGAGUAGCAAUCGAAGAAAAGCCUUGGAUAAACCUUCGGUAAUAUCCAGCUAAUCCUAAAAAGCUUCGAAUCUCCGUAGGACUUUUUGGUUGUUCCCACUUCAUUACAGCUUCAAUCUUUGCUGGGUCAACCAUUAUUCCUUCUUGGUUAACCACAUGACCUAAAAAUUGGACUUCUUGAAUCCAAAAUUCACACUUGGAGAACUUUGCAUACAACUUCUCCUUUUUCAGGACUUCUAGCACUUCACGCAGAUGCUUUUCAUGCUCCUGCUUGCUUUUCGAAUAAAUCAAGAUAUCAUCUAUGAAUACUAUCACGGAUUUAUCUAAGAAUGGUUUACAAACCCUAUUCAUCAAAUCCAUGAAAGCUGCUGGGGCAUUGGUUAGUCCGAACGACAUAACCAAAAAUUCAUAGUGUCCAUAUCUUGUUCUAAACGCAGUCUUUUCGAUAUCCUGCUCUCUCACCUUUAGUUGAUGGUAUCCCAACCUAAGAUCGAUCUUCGAGAAAUAGUUCGAACCUUGUAACUGGUCGAACAAGUCAUCGAUCCUUGGCAACGGGUACUUGUUCUUUAUCGUCACUUUGUUUAGCUCUUUGUAAUCGAUGCACAUUCUAAUGCUUCCGUCUUUCUUCUUUACAAAUAACAUAGGGGCUCCCCAGGGCAAUGAACUAGGUCGAAUGAAACCUUUGUCCAAUAACUCCUGAAGUUGUGUCAUAAGUUCUUUCAUUUUUGUUGGUNCUUUCAUUUCGGUUGGCGCUAAUCGAUAAGGUGCUUUCGCUAUCGGCGUCGUUCCUGGUAACAAGUCGAUACGAAAUUCUACUUGUCGAUCAGGGGGCAAUCCGGGAAGAUCUUCGGGAAAGACUUCCGGAUAAUCACACACCACUGGAAUAUUCUGCACCUCCUUCUUUUCCAUCUUAGCAUCGAUCACGAACGCUAGAUAUGAUGUACAUCCCUUGGCCAAACACUUUCUGGCUUUCAUUAGGGAAAUGAUUCCAGAGUUUACUCUGCGUUUGUCUCCGUACACCAUAAACGACUCUUUCCCUGGCGGGUUUACUUUUACUAUCUUCUUUCUACAUAGUAUUUCUGCAUCGUUGGCGCUAAGCCAAUCCAUUCCUAAAACUAUGUCGAAUCCAUUUAACUCGAUAGGCAAUAAUUCCUCUUGGAACUUAUUCCCAUCCAAGUCAAUGAGGAUGUUUUUCAUACGAUGGCUAACAGGUACAAACUUGCCACUAGCAAUCUCGACUAAUAAGGCAUUAACUAGCCUAUCUACGGGAAAAGCUAGCUUUCUACCAAAUUCAUGCGAUAUAAAGGAGUAAUUGGCUCCAGAAUCAAACAAAAUUUGGGCAGGCAAUUCGUUUACGAGAAAGGUACCUGAAGCGACAUCGACUUCUUCUUUUGCAGCUUCAACUGUCAUCUGAAAGGCUCUCGCCUUCGGCUUUGGUGGUAGAUUCGGCUUUGCGGCAUCCUUCCUCUUUGGACAGUCUUUAAGAACAUGCCCUACUUCGUGGCACUCAAAACAUACCCUCUUGUCGGACAGACACUGUAACACCGUAAAUUUCAAAAAUAAUUUUUCGCAUUUUUAUAAUAACAUAAUUCAUUUAAUAUUCAUAAAAACACCCAUGUUUUAAAUACAAUUCAUGUCAUACAAAAAUCCCAAGAUCUCAUAACAUAAAAUCUCGUGUGUGUGUACUGAUCAAGCCAGCGCCUUCCCACGGUCGUCACUAGUACCUGAAACAAAUAACACCAAAACACUGUAAGCACAAAGCUUAGCGAGUUCCCCAAAAUAUCACAUAUAACACAUAUUAGCCACUCGAGGCUAUAACUCUAUGGGUCGUACCCCGAAACUCUGUGAACCCUCAGGUUAUAACUCUGUAGACAUGCACAACAUAAAUCACAUAGAAUAAUGCAGCGCAACACAUAACACACGCAUAGCAUACAAGCAUUGUAUCACAUAACUCUAGUUGCCUACUCAAGGUAAAGUAUAGUGAGAAGACCCACCUCGUGUAUCUCGAUAACCCGCAAAUCCCUAAAAUCACUUGUGCUCGUUCCUCCGCACUAUAAUCUUCCUAUAAUACAAGACUAAUCCUAUCAAGUCAACAUUGGUCAACUCUAAUCAACGGUCAACUUUGACCGGACUCGACGAGUGCACCAAAGCAACUUGGCGAGUCUAACGCAUUCACUGACUCCCUCGGAUCUUUCUUGGCACGUCAAGCACUCCCCUAACUCGACGAGUUUCCACCUGGCUUGAAUCGCACGAUAACCACGACUCAACUCGCCGAGUCUCAAGAACAACUCGGCGAGUUCUGGCUUGACUCAACCCUAUAUUAACUCUUCCUGACUCACUGGGUUAUCCCCCAACCCGACGAGUCCACUCACUGAACAUAUUACAUGAAACCCCAACCCUACUCUUCGAGUCCCAAGAACAACUCGGCGAGUUCAUGCCAUGCACACACUUUUAUUGACCUUCUGAGGUCAGAUCUGCUUUCCCAAACCCUAGAUCUAUCCUUCCCAAGCAUGAAUGUCACGUAAAGUUCGAAGCUUGAUGCUUGUUUAACCCCCACAAGGCAUCAAAAGGAUAUUUUGUCCCAAAAAUAACCACCUAGGUCCAAAGACUCCAUAAUCACCCAAAAAGCUCCAAUGGUUAAGGUCUCUGGACCUCUUUGAGUCCAGAUCCAAGGCACAAACUCGAAAAAGGACUAUUUGCUUCACAUAAUCACUCUGCAAAAGGGGUAUAAAACCCUAACUCUAAAGAUCAUCCCUAUAACUGAAGGAGAUUCGAACCCUUACCUCAAAAUGAAGCCUCUGGAAUACAAAGGCCCAAAAGUGACUUCCUCUUGCCACCCUCCUCUUGCUAAAGAAGGAAUACAAAGGCCCAAAAGUGACUUCCUCUUUCCCAAAAUGAACUAGCUCUCUUAGGGUUCUCUCAAGGGACUAGUAGCCGCAAAUAGGAGGCUAUAAGUGCCUUUAAAUAGGCUCCAAACCCGGGGAAUUAGGGUUUCAUUAAACAGCGUCAACUCGCUGAGUCCAGACGCGAAUCCUUGCCCAAAUCGCGAUCCUACUCGACGAGUUUGAGCUCCAACUCGCCGAGUCUCCUCACAAAAUACUAAAAAUAUAAAAAUGAAUAAUACCUGGGAAUCCGGGCUGUUACAAUUCUCCCCCACUAGAACUAGACUUCGCCCUCGAAGUCUCGCUCUGCAAAUAGCUCCGGAUGCUGCUCGCGCAUCUCACCCUCCGGCUCCCAAGUCAUAUCGGAUCCCUUCCGAUGCUGCCACUGGACCAAAACCAAGGGUACCUCCUUGUUCCUCAGAACCUUGAUUUUCCGAUCUUUGAUUGCCACUGGUCUCUCAGCAUAAUUCAGGCUCGCAUCCACCUGAAUAUCCUCUAAUGGAACCACUACCGACUCGUCGGCUAUACAUUUCCGCAAUUGCGAAACAUGGAAAGUGUCGUGAAUCUGCCCCAACUCUGCUGGCAAUUCCAAUCGAUAGGUUACCCUGCCUAUCCUCGCGAUCACCCGAAAUGCACCAAUAUAUCGGGGCCCCAACUUGCCCCUCUUCCUGAAUCGAAUCACUCCUUUCCAAGGAGAGACCUUCAGGAGCACAAAGUCGCCGACUUGAAACUCAAGCGCAGACCGGCGUCUGUCCGCAUAGCUCUUCUGUCGACUCUGAGCGGUCAAUAACCUCUGUCUAACCUGCUGGAUCUGCUCUGUUGUCUGAAGUAUGAUCUCAGUGUUGCCCAUAACAUGCUGUCCGACUUCUCCCCAGCAAAUGGGCGUCCGACACCUCCUCCCAUACAACAGCUCAAAGGGUGGCAUACCAAUGCUCGAAUGAUGGUUGUUGUUGUAAGAAAACUCUGCUAAGGGCAAGUACGUAUCCCAACUUCCCCCGAAAUCCAAUACACAUUCCCGGAGCAUGUCCUCGAGUGUCUGAAUCGUCCGCUCACUCUGUGCUUCUGUCUGGGGGUGAUAUGCGGUACUAAAAUGCAGCCUAGUACCCAGCUCCUCAUGAAACUUCUUCCAUAAUCUGGAAGUGAAACGUACAUCUCGGUCUGAGACAAUCGAGAUCGGCACCCCAUGCCGAGAUACCACUUCCCUCACGUACAUCUCUGCUAACUUUUCUGCGGAGGAGCUCUCACUAAUAGCAAGGAAGUGAGCGCUCUUCGUCAAUCUGUCCACAAUCACCCAAAUUGCAUCAACUCCCCUCGCAGUCCUUGGCAACUUGGUGAUAAAAUCCAUGGUAAUCUGUUCCCACUUCCAUUCGGGAACCUCCAACGACUGCAACCUACCAUGCGGUCUCUGGUGCUCGGCCUUAACCCUNUCCAACGGCUGCAACUUACCGUGCGGUCUCUGGUGCUCGGCCUUAACCCUACAACAGGUUAAGCACCUCUCAGCAAACCACGUAACAUCCCUCUUCAUACAGGGCCACCAAUAUUACUUUCUCAGGUCCAAAUACAUCUUAGUGGCCCCAGGAUGGAUCGAUAAUUUCGACCGAUGAGCCUCUUCCAUCAAGAUGGUAUGUGUCCCUCCCACAAACGGUACCCAAAUCCGCCCCUGAAAUGUCAUAAGUCCCCGACCAUCGGUAACAAACUCCGAUACUAAUCCUACAACUUGCUCUUUCUUCUGGUUCUCUGAUCUCGCUGCCUCAGCCUGUGCUCCACGAAUGUUGUCCAACACCGGAGCCAUCACGGUCAAACGCAAACAGACACCUCACAACGGGGCGCUCUUCGCCCUGCGACUCAGGGCGUCGGCUACCACAUUAGCCUUGCCCGGAUGGUACAGGAUCCCAACUUCCCCCGAAAUCCAAUACACAUCCCCGGAGCAUGUCCUCAAGUGUCUGAAUCGUCCACUCACUCUGUCCGUCUGUCUGGGGGUGAUAUGCGGUACUAAAAUGCAGCCUAGUACCCAGCUCCUCAUGAAACUUCUUCCAGAAUCUGGAAGUGAAACGUACAUCCCGGGCUGAGACAAUCGAGAUUGGCACCCCAUUCCGAGAUACCACUUCCCUGACGUACAUCUCUGCUAACGUUUCUGCGGAGGAGCUCUCACUAAUAGCAAGGAAGUGAGCGCUCUUCGUCAAUCUGUCUACAAUCACCCAAAUUGCAUCGACUCCCCUCGCAGUCCUUGGCAACUUGGUGACAAAAUCCAUGGUAAUCUGUUCCCACUUCCAUUCGGGAUCCUCCAACGGCUGCAACCUACCAUGCGGUCUCUGGUGCUCGGCCUUAACCCUACGACAUGUUAAGCACCUCUCAACAAACCACGCAACAUCCCUCUUCAUACAGGGCCACCAAUACUCCUUCCUCAGAUCCAAAUACAUCUUAGUGGCCCCGGGAUGGAUCGAUAAUUUCGACCGAUAAGCCUCUUCCAUUAAGAUGGUACGUGUCCCUCCCACAAACGGUACCCAAAUCCGCCCCUGAAAUGUCAUAAGUCCCCGACCAUCGCUAACAAACUCCGAUACUAAUCCUACAACUCGCUCUUUCUUCUGGUUCUCUAAUCUUGCUGCCUCAGCCUGUGCUCCACGAAUGGUGUCCAACACCAGAGCCAUCACUGUCAAACGCAAACAGACACCUCGCAACGGGGCGCUCUUCGCCCUGCGACUCAAGGCGUCGGCUACCACAUUAGCCUUGCCCGGAUGGUACAGGAUCUCACAAUCAUAAUCCUUAACCACAUCUAACCACCUCCUCUGCCGCAUAUUUAGGUUGGGCUGAUACAUCAAAUACUUCAGACUCUUAUGGUCCGCCUAUAUUGUACAUCGAACCCCAUACAGAUAGUGAUGCCAAAUCUUGAGAGCAAACACCACUGCCCCUAACUCUAGGUCAUGGGUGAGAUACCUAAUCUCAUGUGGCUUCAGCUGCCUCGAUGCGUAUGCUAUUACAUGCCCUCUCUGCAUCAGCACCGCUCCCAUCCCCAGGAUCGAUGCAUCACAGUAUACCACAAAGUCCUCCAUUCCCUCCGGGAGGGCUAACACCGGGGCCUCGCAUAACCUUUGGCGAAGCGUCUCAAAGGAGGCCUGCUGCUCGAGGCCCCAUGAAAAAGCUACACCCUUCCGGGUCAAUCUGGUGAGUGGUACUGCGAUCUUAGAGAAAUCCUUGAUAAAUCUACGACAAUAACCGGCCAACCCUAGAAAACUCCUGAUCUCGGAGGGUGACCUCGGCACCUCCCAUCUCAUCACUGCCUCAACUUUGUCCGGGUCGACCAAUAUCCCUUUCUGGUUAACGAGAUGUCCCAGGAACUGGACCUCUCGCAACCAGAAAUCACACUUGGAGAAUUUGGCAUAAAGCCUCUCCAAUCUCAGAACUCCGAGGAUCUCCCUCAAAUGCUCCUCAUGCUGCUCCCUAGAUCUCGAAUAUACCAAGAUGUCAUCGAUGAAUACAAUCACUGACCGAUCCAGCAUCAGCCUACACACUCUGUUCAUGAGAUCCAUGAACACUGUCGGGGCAUUGGUGAGCCCGAAAGUCAUCACCACAAACUCGUAAUGCCCAUAACGUGUCCUGAAUGUUGUCUUCUGGAUGUCCUCAUCUCGCACCCUCACCUAAUGGUAUCCAGACCUCAAAUCGAUCUUGGAGACCCAAGAUGCUCCCUAUAACUGAUCGAACAAAUCGUCGAUCCUCGGCAACGGGUCACGGUUCUUGACCGUCAGGUUUUUCAANACGAUAAUCAAUGCACAUCCGGUGUGAACCAUCCUUUUUCUUGACAAAAAGGAUAGGCGCUCCCCACGGUGAGCUGCUCGGCCGAAUAAACCCCUUUCCCAACAGCUCCUGAAGCUGUGAGGACAACUCUUGCAUCUCUGAAGGUACAAGGUGAUAAGGCACCUUGACAAUAGGCGCGGCUCCCGGAACCAAGUCGAUACUGAACUCCACUUGCCUCUCAGGAGGCACACCCGACAACUCCUCAGGAAAGACAUAUGGGGACUCACGCACUAUCAGAACCUCAUCCACUGACCUCGGUCUCUCGGAAUUAACCCGCGUAUCCAUAACGUAUGCCACAAAACCCUUACAGCCCUGUUGUAGACACUGCGUCACCCUAGCUGCUGAACAAAACCCCGAUCUAGAACGUGUACCCUCGCCGUACACCGUAAGAACUCCCCCACUAGGGUCUCGUAUGGUCACCAGUUGUCGCUUGCAGUUGAUAACCGCACCGAAUUUGCUCAACCUGUCCAUGCCCACAAUGACACAGACAUCACCCAUCGCAAUAGGAACCAAAUCAAUCAGGAACUCAACACCGAAAAUCUCGAGUAUGCACCCGCAGAUCACCUCUGUGGCAUAUAUCACCCUCUCUUCAGUUAUGGAAACUCUCAGAGGCCGACUCAGCGCUGCGCGACUAGCACUAAUAUGCUGACUAAAAGCCAAAGAUACAAAAGACCGACUCGCACCUGAGUCAAAUAACACCAAGGCAGGUACAGAAUUCACAAGAAAAGUACCUACACAUAACAUAAUAUAAGCAUAAUAUCUCAAUUAUCAAAAUAAAUACACGAAAGAAUACAUACCAGCCACGACAUUGGGCGCUGCGCGGACCUCCUCCGCGGUUAACUGAAAGACUCUCCCUCGUGCCCUCGGUGCCUCGGCCUUCACUGGCCUACUAUCGGUAGCUCUGAUGGUGGCAGGGGCAGAUCCCUGAGGUGCUCCCUGAGAUGAUCCUCGCAAUUACGGACACUCUGCCUUNGCAGUCCUUGGCCAUAUGCCCCUCCUUGCCACAUUUUUAGCAAGAUCCAGCUCUACAUACUCCAUCAUGACCCUUGCCGCACUUUCCACAAGUGCGGCCCUUCUGGCUCCCAGAUUUAGGAUCAGCGGGCUUGGCCCGCUAGUCGCCGAUCCCUCACCUGAGACUCCGCCUCCUCCCUGGCCUGAGUCUCUAGCUCAAUCUCCCUCUUCCGGGAAUUUUCCUGAAGCUCGGCAAAUGUUCGGUACGAGGAGUUCGCCACGAACUCCUGAAUGUCUCGCCUCAAAAUACUCAAAUAUCGGCUCAUGCGUGCCUGCUCUGUGGACACGUGCUCAGGGCAGAACAUCGCCCUCUCGUGGAACAUCCUGGUAAUCACUGUAACAGACUCAGUACCCUGCUUGAGGGUUAGAAACUCUUGGGCCAAAUGCUCCCUCUCCACCUGGGGAACAUACUCAUCUCAGAACAUGGCAGUGAACCUUUCCCAGGUCACUGCUGCAAGCUCAGCAGGUGAAAAGUGCACUGUCACAAACUUCCACCAGUCCUUCGCUCCCAAGCGAAGCUGGUUCAGCGCGAACCGGACUCUCAAAUGCUCAGGAGAUGAGCAAGUGAAGAAACACCCAUCCAUGUCUAAAAUCCACCUCAUAGCCGCCACUGGGUCCUGGGUCCCAUCAAACUCUGGCGGUUUCGUGUUGCUGAACUCCCAGAAUAGCAACGCAUCACCACCCUGUGGCCUCGCAGCAGCAACAGCUGAAGUGGCCGCCGCAACAACAGCCUCAGAAAGAGCAGCAUAACACUCAUCGAAAGUCUCAAUCAGCAUGGUCUUAAUAGACCCGAACAUCUUUGGUAUCUCUGCCUUGAUGGCCGCAGGCACCUCCUCGUGGAUGAUCCGGCGGAUCUGCUCAUCACUAGCCCCACUGCUCUCUGGCAUAAGACGUGACCUCACCAUGAUCUACCUUUGAAAUACAACAUCCAUUCGAGCAUACUCACACUCGAUAACUCUUCCCUCCUUGAUCCUUGGCAUUCCGAAGGUUCUUACUUGAACUGUACACCGCCCCAGUGCUUUCAGUAGUACGGGCCCAAUACUACUGUCCACACCGUUUCAGUAUACACCCCAAAUCCUCCUCGUCGGAUCCCAAAUUCCAAGUACUCUAUCACUCUCUAACAUAUCUCUAAUAAGCUCCUCGCUGCUACCUAUUCACUCUCAAGCAUCUCAUAACAGCUCACCUCUCCCUAGGCUAAGGCAUCACAAAUCAGGGCACUCUAGUCCUAAUAGGAAUACCUAGCCUACUCUAGCAAGAGAAUACAUCAUAUCAAUCUCAUAAACAUAUAAUAUAAGGGUAUUUUGGGAAUUCACCGUUCGGGCGCUGACUGAUCGUACAGACGUUUCUACUCUGGGUUUCUCUAAAAUCUUAUACUUCUUUUAGAAAAUUUGGUUCUCUUUUGAAAAUAUUUUCCAAAUCCUCAGUUUGAGUUCAAAUACUCCCGAAGGUGUACCCGAAUCCCUCAAACCAAGGCUCUGAUACCAACUUGUAACACCGUAAAUUUCAAAAAUAAUUUUUUGCAUUUUUAUAAAAACAUAAUUCAUUUAAUAUUCAUAAAAACACCCAUGUUUGAAAUACAAUUCAUGUCAUACAAAAAUCCCAAGAUCUCAUAACAUAGAAUCCCGUGUGUGUGUACUGAUCAAGUCGGCACCUUCCCACGGUCGUCACUGGUACCUGAAACAAAUAACACCAAAACACUGUAAGCACAAAGCUUAGUGAGUUCCCCAAAAUACCACAUAUAACACAUAUUAGCCACUCGAGGCUAUAACUCUAUGGGUCCGUGCACCCGAACUCUAUGAACCCUCAGGUUCUAACUCUGUAAACAUGCACAACAUAAAUCACAUAGAAUAAUGCAGUGUAACACAUAACACAAGCAUAGUAUACAAGCACUGUAUCACAUAACUCUAGUUACCUACUCAAGGUAAAGUAUAGUGAGAAGACUCACCUCGUGUAUCUCGAUAACUCGCAAAUCCCUAGAAUCACUUGUGCUCGUUCCUCCGCACUAUAAUCUUCCUAUAAUACAAUAUAUCUCUAAUUAACACUUUUACAACAAAAGGUUGACUAAUCGUAUCAAGUCAACAUUGGUCAACUCUGGUCAACGGUCAACUUUUACCGGACUCGACGAGUGCACCAAAGCAACUUGGCGAGUCUAACGCAUUCACUGACUCCCUCGGAUCUUUCUUGGCACGUCAAGCACUCCCCUAACUCGACGAGUUUCCACCUGGCUUGAAUCGCACGACAACCACGACUCAACUUGCCGAAUCUCAAGAACAACUCGACAAGUUCCGGCUUGACUCAACCCCAUAUUAACUCUUCAUGACCCACUGGGUUAUCCCCUAACCCAACGAGUCCACUCACUGAACAUAUUACGUGAAACCCCAACCCUACUCUCCGAGUCCCAAGAACAACUCGGCGAGUUCAUGCCAUGCACACACUUUUAUUGACCUUCUGAGGUCAGAUCUGCUUUCCCAAACCCUAGAUCUAUCCUUCCCAAGCAUGAAUGUCACGUAAAGUUCGAAGCUUGAUGCUUGUUUAACCCCCACAAGGCAUCAAAAGGAUAUUUUGUCCCAAAAAUAACCACCUAGGUCCAAAGACUCCAUAAUCACCCAAAAAGCUCCAAUGGUUAAGGUCUCUGGACCUCUUUGAGUCCAGAUCCAAGGCACAAACUCGAAGAGGGACUAUUUGCUUCACAUAAUCACUCUCCAAAAGGGGUAUAAAACCAUAACUCUAAAGAUCAUCCCUAUAACUGAAGGAGAUUCAAACCCUUACCUCAAAAUGAAGCCUCUGGACUUUGGAUUUUCUGUAAUCUCACCUCCUCCUUGCUCUUGCCACCUUCCUCUUGCUAAACAAGGAAUACAAAGGCCCAAAAGUGACUUCCUCUUUCCCAAAACAAACUAGCUCUCUUAGGGUUCUCUCAAGGGACUAGUAGCCAUAAAUGGGAGGAUAUAAGUGCCUUUAAAUAGGCUCCAAAACCGGGGAAUUAGGGUUUCAUUAAACAGCAUGGACUCGCCGAGUCCAGAUGCGAAUCCUUGCCCAAAUCGCGAUCCUACUCGGCGAGUUUGAGCUCUAACUCGCCGAGUCUCCUCACAAAAUACUAAAAAUAUAAAAAUGAAUAAUACCUGGGAAUCUGCGUUGUUACAGACACAUGUUGGCAUAAUGCCCAGCCUUUCCACAAUUGAAGCAAGUCACCUCCUCACCAUAUCUCCCAGAGUGAUUUUUCUUGCACUUCUCACAACAUUUCACUUCACCUCCUCCUCCUCCAAACUUCUUGGACUUAGAACAUUUGCUUUUCUUGUUGGAACCUGAAGUUCCUUCAAAUUUUCUCUUUUCACCAACUUCUGGCCUCUCCAGACCCUUUUCUCCGAUCUGAACCUCGAUAUUCUUAGCAGCCAAGAUGGCGGCUUUCAAAGUGGUUGCUUGCUUAACCAUCGGACCAAAGUCUGCUGGUAAUCCGACGACAAACUUGUUGACCUUAGAGAGUUUAGUUGAAACUAGAUGAGGAACAAGCUUCAUCUUUUCCAUAAAACUAGUAGUAUAUUCAGUAACGCUCAUAUUUCCUUUCUUUAAAUUCUGGAACUCAUUGUUGAUUUCCAGAAGAUCCUGCUUAGAGCAGUACUGCAAUUUCAAUUGUACCACAAAAUCUUCCCAAGACAUCUUACUAGCCUCACCCUUGGGCAUCGAAUCAGCUAGUAACUUCCACCAGCUCAACACACCAGACUUUAACAGAGGGAUUGCAAGUGCGGUCUUUUGUUUGUUGCUGCACUCGCAACUUUCAAACAUCGUCUCCAUUUCGGAGAUCCAAUUCAUGACUUCCACCGGUGUCGGACUCCCAGAUAGACACGACGGUUUAGAUGCCAUGAAAUCUUUGUAUUUGCAUCCGCGUCCAUCAACUCCUCCAUCCUGGUUGUUUUGUCUAACUAUCGGUGGGUUGGCUUGACCAAGAGUCCCACUGUAGUUCCCUCCUACUGAUUGCCCUUCAUUCAAUACGGGCUGUUCAACAGGCAUCGUGGUCUCUUCCCUAUGCUGUUGUAGUAAUCGCCUUGUCUCCUCCAUUUGGAGAUCUAACAUCAUCUGUAUCAUUGCUUGUAUCCCAGCCAUCGUCAUUGGCUCAGGUGCAGCUCCUACAACAGGUACUUGCUCAACUACUUGAGGUUGAGGCUGUUGAUCCCUGUUUCCAUUUGCAUUUGCAGCUCCACUACGAGUUCUGGCCAUUACAAUCUAUAUAACGAAUAAGGCGAAUUUAGGUCUUUAUCCUUGUUAGACAUGUCAAUUCCCUUAUCACUACGAAACGUUUACAUGUAAGUUCUAAUCUCAUAAUCGUACUCUUAGAAUCCUACACACAUAAGGUUUCCAGAUCCGGUCGACAACAGACCAUAGAUCCGAACAAAUAAUGGCACACAUGGCAAACACAUAGCAUAUAUCACAUAAGGGCAAUUUAGGCAUCUUCCCUAACAUAAACUAGUGCUUGUGUCUAAAAUAUGGUAGACACUCAUCUCACAGUCAUCACUUAGCAUUCUAAGUUCAAGUCUAGAAAUUCUACAAUUUCUUAGUUCGCUUAAACUAAUGCUCUGAUACCAACUGUGACAUCCCCUAAUUUCUCGGCCAGAAAAGACCGAUUUAAUUUAUGCUUUUUAAAAUAAAAUCAGAGAAAUCUUUUUAAAAGAUGUUGCGGAAUUGGUCCCCAAACAAAAUAUGAUAAAAGUUUAUCAAAACCCUUCAUUAAGAAGGUAUAUGUUUUCCAUAUAUAUAUCAAAACCUCGGGAUGUCAUGUUCCGAUACAGAUCAAAAGCAUAAACAAGACAUUAUAAGCCUUUCAACAGUUAUUUACAACUACUGGCCUAUAAUCCAAAAAUCUCUCGUUGUCCUCCGACUAUGCUCGGGGUCCACUACCUGUAACAUAAAAAGCUGAGUGGGUCAGGCUUGGGAGCCUGGUGAGCAUAUAGGGUUUUCAACCCACAAUAAUAAUAAACUUACUAAGUUCAUCAAUCAACAAUAACCCUGAUUACCCGUUCCCGUUAUCCUCACUUUAUGUCCCUAAACACUUAUCACAAGGGACCUAGCCUAAAGAAUAUCAUCGGGAUGGACACUACUGCUAAGGGGUUUCCUCAGCCAUACAUGUCCUAAAGGCAACCAUGAGGGGGAUGGAGUACAGCGAAUGAACACUCUCAGUUCAUUAACACCUACAGGUUGCAGACCUGCUAAUGUUUCCCAUUGGACUGUCUAGAAAGUCCGUGGUUGUCAUCCAAACUCCGCUAGAUGACUGGAUCUCAAAACAUAUCGAGGCCUCUCAUCAAUUUUAUUUUAUCACACAUCACUAUCUACCCAUGUUCUACCCAACAUAUUUGUAGAUAAAAAUACUUAUAUAGUUUAAAACUUGUAUAAAACAUCAACUCAACAGUUACCUCAAAUAAACAAUUAAUAUAUCUACACAUAACACGUAUUAUAAGGUAAAUACUUCAUAUCUAUGUGUAAAAUGAAAGUGACUAUACACUCACUUGGUUUGAUGAUAAUCGGGCAGCAAUUCGUUUCCUAAAACGAUCGUUUCUAAUAAAACCGGGAGUUUUAUUGAGAAACCGGGCUUUGCAAAAGUCAGGCUUCGAAACCGAAAAGAUAAAUUUUCCGGGCUUCUCGGGCACUUCGUGGAGUAUUCCGGGCUUUACAAUCGAUACCGUGGCUUUGCGAGAUGUUAAGAUGAAGAAAAUAUUAUUUUUGGGGUUAAAAUUGACAAAUUUUCAAAGUUACCCGGGAGGUCUCGCACCCUUCUAUUUAUAGGGGCGAGGCUUCUGAUCGGACGGUCAGGAAGAAGACACGCGUCGCAGAUCCAAGGGUUCGCAGGGAAGGCUCGUACAAGGGUAGCAUGUGCGAAGGGCUCGGUGUGGGCCUCUGAUUGGACUGCGGUCUACUGGUCCACAUGCGAGGUUCGGAGGCUAGGCGGUGCGAGGCUCGGUCCAGCUGCGAGCUUCGGAUUGGGCAUCCCUUUGGUCGAAUCAGAAGAGGACACAGGGCGACACGGGGCAGUCUCGCAUGCGAGGGAAGGCAACACGUCUUUCCAGGUGGCUCGGUGACACAUCAGGUUCCAGAUACGUGGCACAUGCGAUGCGAGGACACGUGGCACUUCCGGGUUAAGCUUAUCUAUGCGAAAUUUCUCGAAUUUUGUGCCAAAAUCUUCUAAAAUUCAUAACUUUCGCAUACGGGCUCCAUUUUUGACGUUCUUUAUAUGCACGCGUAGCUAAAAUUACGCUCUACAGCUUCUAUUUAGACUUCGUUGGCUAAUUUUGACUUAAAAUUUUGAUAUUCUUAUUUUUAACAGACCGGGACAGGAAAUCCGUUAAAAAUUCAUAACUUCUUCAUCCGACAUCCGUUUUUGUCAGACUUUUUACCGUUGUGCUCCUGCUCCUAAUGAAGAGACCUUCAAUUCUCAUUUAGGUUGUGCUGGCUAAAAAUCGUUGAUCUAAAAUUCAAGUUUUUAGCUGUCUACUGCUUAGCUGAAACUUCGAAAAAUCAUAACUUCCUCAUACGAAGUCAGAUUUGGGCGUUCUUUUUAUCGAACUUCUAGGUUUGACAAAUACUACGACUUUUGUUUAGAUUACUAAGGCUAAAAAGUAGUUUAUCAAAAACUCACUUUUUACGACAUUCAACACCGUGUCGGUUUUGUCGCGAAACUUCGACAGGUCAUAACUUCUUCGUUAUAACUCGGAUUUUGGUAUUCUUUAUAUCCCCGAAAUCCUUGUUUCGAGCACUACAACUUUAUGUAAAGAUAUCAGGAUUAUCUCAUACUUUAAUUUUGACGCUUAUUUUAUUCUUAAUUAAAUAAAUGUUAAUAAUUAAGCAUAAAACACCUAAUUAACAUAAUAUUCACAUAAUUCCUUUUCAUUUCUUCAAAAUGAGUUACAAAGGUUAACCUAGACUAUCACCUCAAUAUAAAUUCCUAGGCUAGAAAGAUGAGUGUUACAGGAUUCAUCCAACAUUUCAAGUGUUCUAGGCUCCAAUUUCUCACCCCACCUCUUCAACCACACUUUCUCCUACCCAAGGUGAGCUUCAAAUCCCUCUUUUGAGUUUCAUUGUUUUUGGGGGAUGAUACAAGUCAAGGGUCUUGUGAAAUCAUUGCAUAUUUGCUUGUCUAUAAUUGUAUGUUGUGAUGUAUGUGUGUUAAUAUCAUGAAACUCCUUAUAGAAGUCCACAAUUCGAGAUUUUACAACAUCUAUGAACUUCUCUUGAUGAUUUAGUAUACGAGACCAUGAAUCAAAAACACUAACAUGCAAAUGGGGGUUUUUAUAAAGACUUUCAUAAUUAGCUCUAAAACCAAUAAUAUCUGUUUCCAUAAGCAAUACAAUAUCACUGUAUAUAUUUAUUUCAAUGUUAUUUAAAAUAAAAAGUUAUAAUUAUAAUUAUAAAAAUAAAAAAUUAUAUUAAAUAAUUACCCUGGAUUUCCUUGAAGAUUGAGAAGCCAUUCACAAACAACAUUUUCUACUUGUGUCAAACUAGGUUUAAAAUCUAUUAACCUUUCCUUAAAUGUUGACUUAUAAACAUAAGAAAUCUUCAUUUGUUUCUUUCCUUUGACAUCCACUACUGAUGUUGCUUCUUCAUUUAUAUCUUUAGGUUUGCCUGAAACAAGUUUUGAUGGUCCUUCUAAUGUACCCAAAGGGGGUGCAAAAGAAACUGGACUAGCAUCAAUAACAUCAACAUUUGGAAUAAUACACUCUAGACCAGCACUUGGUGUGCUUUUCCCAAAAUAACUAUAUCCUUAAUCUUUUUCUUUGUCAUCUGUUCAGAAGAAAUUUGAGUUUGAGAUGACUUCUUGGAACCUUCAGAAUCUUCACUAAAUCCAAGACUAAAACUUGGAACAAUAUCAUUUUUCAAUGAUCGAGUCUCAUUUGAAUCCUUCUUUUUAUUUGAACAAUCUUCAACAUUUUCUACCCAAUAAAAUUAUAAAAAUCAUAUGUGAAUAAACAAUAAUUAUAAACACAAUUAUAUAUAAAUAAAAAAUAAUUAUAAACAAAUUACCUCCAUCUUUAUUUUUAUUUGAACAAUCUUCAACAUCUCCACCUUCUCCAUCCUUCUUUACUACAAUAACUGUAUCAACAGUAUGAUCUGAAAUUAUUUUAUUCUUAUGAUCAUCCUCACCCAAAUUUACAGUCGCUAAAUUAUUAAAAUCAUAAAUGAAUCAUGUAUAUAACACAUACACACACACACACACACAUAUAUAUAUAUAAUGUAUUAAAAAUACAUAAAUAAAUACUUACCAUCAUCAACAUCAGUCAAAUUUAAAUUCACAUCAUCUUCAACUAGUUUCUGAUUUAGACAACCAUUAGUACCUAUAAAAUUCAAAUAUAAAAAAUUAAAACAUAGAUGAUUAAACUAUAUAUAUAAUAAUAAAAUAUGCCUACCUUAAUCCAAAGUUUUAAGAAAACUUUCAACAACUGGAUCGCUAAUAAAUUGACUAAAAGAUUCACCUUCUUGGCUAUCAAUUAGACCCACACUCUUAGUAACAUUUUCGACAACAGAAUUUAAAUUCAUGGCCUCUUCGUUAUUACAUCCACUUCCAUUUCCUUGUUCAUCAUCUUCAUCAUCAUCACCUUUACCUUCAACAUGAUUUUUACGAAUAUUUCCCUCAUGUGAACCACUUCCAUUCCCCUGACCACUAAAACAUUUCCCUUGAUCAUAAUCUUCAACAUUUUCAUCAUCAUUAAGAAAAUCAUUCCCAUAAUCUUCAUCAUUAACUUGAACAAAACCAGGUGUUAAUAUCGGUUCUUUCUAUUUUUGUGAAACAUAAUGGAAAACAAAACUUUUUGUGCUUAAAUCUUCAACAAGAAAUAAUAAUUUCGAAUUUUUCAAAUUUUGACUUUGAGGAAACUUCAACACUCCCUCAACUAUCUUUACAACAAAAUCCUUUUUCAAAUCCUCCAUCUUCUGAUACAUAUAUGAAAUUUUACUUUCAUACACCUACAUAAGAAUAAAGAUACUUACAACUAAAAUACUUAAACAUAAAAAGUCAUAAAUGAAUAAACUAAUUAAAUCAUAAAUGAAUAAAACUAUAGAAUUACCUCCACAUCACUAACUUUAUUAACUUCAAAAUCUUCUUCAUCCUCAUCACAUAAAUCCUCUUUGCCGUCAGAUUCAACCUCAUCACCACCAGAUUCCUCCUCAUUAUACUCAAAUUCUUGAAAUUCUUCUUCAACAUAUGCUUCAUUAACAUGUUCACAUCCAAAUCCUCCACUCUCUUCAAAAAUAUCUUCAAGAAACCUUAUCUUCUCUGACAUCCAAUUAAGAAAACAGUUGGACGUUUAUGUGUGAUUUGCAAAUGAUCAAACUUGAAAGUAUCCACAUACAACAACUGCAAAAACAUAUAUAUCAUCAUAACAUAUAUAACAUCAUAUACGAUUUUGAUGUGUAAUAUAUAAUUAAACAAAAAUUAUACAACAUAAUCAUAUGUAGUAAAAUCAUAUAUGAUUUAUUACAAAAACAAACAUAUUUUUACAACUAAAAAGAAUAAUUAAUAUCAAAAAAUAGCUCACGUACCAUAAGGUAUGUUGUUGUUCCAUAAAAGAAAGAAGAUUAUUUCUCUGGAUUGUAAACCUUCUUCAUCCUUACAAAAUAAUCCACAAUGUAAUCGCACCAGUCAAUGCUACUUAAAUCAGUAUCUCUUCUGAUUAAAUACAAUGGAUUCAGAUUACAUUUACCCAUGCUUGUAGACUCACCGAAAGUAUUAAUAAAAAGAACCAAAAAAUUGAUUAUGUAGUUGUCAUCUGUAGCCCUAGUUUGAACAAGUUGAUUCUUUAGUUGUUUCAAUCUCAAUUUAUCAAUAUUCUCAUAUUGUUUCUUCCACUCAAACACACAACUCUCUUCAUUAUUCUCCGAAAUGUAAUCCAUGUUUGAAAGUAAUGAGCCACCAGAUGGUAAUCCUAGCAUCUCUUGAAUAGACUUACUAUCAACACUAUCUUCACAAUUAUCAAACUCCACCUUCAAAGAUUCAAAAUUAAAACGGUCAAGAACAUAAUAAACAAUCUUCAACGGUACGUCAAUCAUCUCCAUACCUAAGAUACUCCCAAUCCCAUAGCCCUAACACAAUCCUUCUGCUCUCUAUUUAAACCUUGAAUAACACCCAACAAUGACCCGGGUGAACAUCUAUUCUUUAGUGAAGGAAAUUCUUUUAUAACAGCAACUUUUUUUUAUCUUUCUUCAAAACUUUAGUUUCUCUCUUUGGUUUCUUUGAAGAUCCAGGACGACUCUGAAAAUCUAAAUCAUCUUUAUCGGAUAGUUCACGUUUCUUACUUACAGGUUUGACCUUAACCCCCAGUUCACUUUUAGUUGUUCAAUAACUGUUUUUUUGGAUGUCUUUGAACGUGUUUGCAACACCUCAUUCGCUUUUUCUCUUUUGGAAGAUGAUCGUGUCUUCCUUGAGCUAUCCACAUUCCCUUUUUAACUACAAUUUUCAUUACAAACAUAGUGUUAUUAAAAAAUAAAACAUAUAUUUAUCAUUACUAUUCACUAAUGAUUAUAAACAGACAUAUAAAAUCAUUUAUGAUUAGAACAAUAAAUAAAAAUACAACUAAAUGUUAUAUACAAUCCACUUAAAAUAACCACAAAAUCAGUUAUGAUUACAAAAAUAACUAUAUAUUCAUGUUUGAUACAUAAAAAUACAUUUAUCAUUACUAUUUAACAAUGGUUAUAAACAAACGUAUAAAAUCAUCUAUAAUUAGAAACAAAAAUAAACAUAUAACUAAAUGUUAUGUUCAGGACACUAGAAAAAUCAAAAAAUAAGUUAUGAUUACAACAAAUAACUUCCAACAUUAAGUUACAUGUUUAUUUAUACUUCUAAUCAUAGUUGAUUUUUUUUGAACUGUACCUUCGGAAAUAACACGACUUCUACCGCAUUCGAUAUUUUUUUGAUUUUUGAAUUUUUUUCGAACAUAGUUUCUCUUGAAAUCCUUAUAUGUGAAAAAAAAAUAAACAAAAACUUACAUCAGAAAACACCACAAACAAACAAACAUAAUAAAAAACAUUACGAGACAAUAAUCAAAAUCAAGUUAAAAUGACAAAAAAAACCUACUGAAUCAAAACAAAAAAAACACCAUUAUCAACAUAAAAUGACAUUUAACUAAUUAAUAAAAACAUGCAUAGUUUGUAAAAUUCAUAGCCUGCAAAAUCCAUAUCAAUCUUUUUAAAAUUACAACAAUAGCCCCACAAUCGUAAAUUAACGGCGUUAGUUUAAUAAGUUACCAAUAUAAUUACAAAUAUGUCAUCGCAUAGUUUCAGAAACAAACAUAAGGACAUCAAACGGUUAUACACAUAUCUCACAAUCUCUAAUGUUUUUUAUCUCAAGGGAACCACCAUCUAUAUAUAUAUAUAUAUAUACAGAGAGAGUUAGGUUUAAAUGUUUAUAGCAACUAUUGUGUGCAUGAAUGUACCAAUAGAAAUUAAUAAAAAAAAUAAAUAAUUAAAUAAAUAGUAAAAUGGUAUGAUAGUAAUCUAACACUAUUUAAUUAUAGUAGGAAUUUUAAAACAUUUAAUAUCUCCUAAAAAUAGGGAAAUCGGUAUUAAAAUCCUUUUACGCGUCUUUUUCAUCUUAGUAACCCUACACCAUCGGUUUUUCCUUAGCCGUACAUCACCAACACCUUCAGCCACAUGCUCAUUCAAUCGUCGUCUAAAGAAACUCGAUGACCCUCUUCACAGCCAGUGCUACACCACCCGCUGUCAUUCCCCUGUUAUUACGGUGUGGAUCUUGUUCAAAAAUUAAUCAUCUUAUUUCUACCGGUGUGAUUAACUUUUGAUCUUCAUUUUUUGAUUUUAUAAAAACUGGUUUUGGAUGAUUAGCUGCCACCAAUACCAUUGAGGGUUUAUCGAUCAAUACAAUAGCUUUCAUGGUUUUUCACUUUCAUCUUUUUUUUUUUUGGUUUUUCUUCCCUUUUCUAAUCCGGAAUUGUUCACCUUGGUAGCAGGGGCCAUCGUAUCCUUCAAUCAGGUAAUCGUCUCAUUUCUUUUAAUUUUAAAAUAUCGUUCAGUUGCACCCUAUAACUACUUCUCCUUUAAUUUGGGAUUCCUUUGUUUUUAGGUGGGGCCAAUUGGAAUUAUACAAUAGAUGAAUUAGGCUACAUGGGAUUGUAAGUUUCAUUUAAUCCAUUUUUUUAAUGUAUUUCUUGAUAUGUGAAUUGGAACUUGAAUAUCUUGGAACAUACACGACAUAUAUAACAUAUUGUUCACCAUUCUUUAAAAAUUUGGUUAUAUUGUUCAAAAAAUAAUGUGUCAAUUGCAUUGUUUAAGAAUUCUUCAAACUGUAGUGGUACAUGUCAUUUGUCUUUGAUGAAAAGGGUUAAGCUAGCAUUCUGUCAAAAUUUGCAAACACAUGGAACACUUUCUAUUGCUAUAAUUUACACAAGUUGUAGGUGCAAACAAAGGUGGUUUUUUACACCUGGUGGAAUAGAUACUAUCUAUUUGGACCUUUUUACCCUUGCAGGGCUUUCUUCCUACAUAUUGCCCCCUUAUUGUGUUCCAUGUGGUUUGGAUACUUGUUUUUUUUCUUGUAACAGGAUUUAUUAUACGUAAAGAGAAACUGGAUAGGAAUAUAAUGCAUUUGGAAUACAUACAGGGAGUCUUCAUCCUGGUGCUUUCAUAGAUCAUCAUUUUUCACAACAAAAAACUUGUGAGCCGAAGAUGGUUUAUAUAUUCCAAUUGUUUUUUUUUCUUAGUCACCUUUUGUGUUAACAUGAUCUUUUCAUGCAUUUAUAUUUCAAAUGUUUUUGUUCGUUGGGUCUAUUCUUAAUAAUACAAAUUCUUUUAAUAAUAUACAAAACCACUCUGCAAGAAUAGUUUAUUGUGUAAGAAUAUUAUUGUUGUAUUCUAAUAGAAUAGUAGUUAAUUAUUUAUAUGUUUAAUGUGCAGUUGUUACAAGUGUAUCACUACAAAAUAUUUGGUAAUGAAUUUUUCAUAGAAAUGGUUUGAAGAAUGGCUUGAAAACCUGAUGUAAAAGGCUUGAAGAAUGAAUUAAAGAAUGAUCACACUCAUUGUUUAAUAAUGUUGUUACUUUUUAAAAAUUACACUUGUUAUUCUUUCACAAUAUUGUUAUUAUUCAAUGAAUCAGAAUCAUACAAUGUAAUUAUUUGGUAUAUUAUUAGUUCAAGAAUCGAUUUUGUGUAUUCUUUCAUAAUGUAUUUACUAGUUUAUGGUUGGGAUUCUGUCAUUCUGAUAGAAUAAAAUCGAAAAUAUAUUUACUAGUUUAUGGUUGGCAUGCUGUCAUUCUGACAGAAUAAAAUCGGAUUUUUAAAUUUGAAUUAAUUUAAAAUAUUCAGAUUUUUAAAAAUAAAGGAAUUAAUUAUCCAAAAAAUUCGAAAAUUUCCUUUUUUAAUAUAACCUAAUUGACUAAAAUACCCUUAUGCUGAAAAUUGUUUAAUAAUAUGGUACAUGUUAUCCUAUUCUAAUAUCAUAGACCCUUAGAUCAUGACAUUUGAUUAUAUUCCAUCCGGUGAUCCAGAUCUGUGCAAUCUGGAACACAAUAGUUAAUAAAUACAUAAUAACCUAAGCCUAUAUAUAUAUAUAUAUAUAUAUNAACAUGAAAUGAUGAUUUUUCCCACAUAAUGAGAUUUUUAUGUUAAAAAAGACAUUUAGGACCCUAUAAAAAAAUUCCAAAAAUUAUAAGAUUUUUCUUAGAUAUCCUUUGUAUAGAAAAGUAGGAUGUUACAGUUUUAGCGGUACGUCUUAACAUUUUUUUUAAUCAAAUUGGUUAUCCCUUCGUUUAAAAAACAAGGAACUUUUGAGUUGAUACAUGGUGUAAUAUAUAAAAAUCUUUGAAAAAGUGGGAGUUUUAGGUACGUCAUGACAUUUUUUUAAUGGUUCUUCCUUAGUGUAGAAAAAAAAAUGAAAAUUUUAAGUUGGUACAUGUUUUAAUAUAUAAAAAUCUUUGAGUUAUGUAAAACGAGCUAAAAGAUAGUCUAAUAAAUAUAUCUUUGAGUUGUGGUCUACUAAGCCUAACAUCUAUAUUAUAACCGUGUAAUAUCGCUAUAUAAAGGGACAAUGAUUUAUAUGGGUAACUAUGUUUCAAAAUUGUUCAAAAAAUACCAUUCAAGUUUGAUGUAUCCAAAAAACACCAUCCAAGUAAAGCAUUUGUACAAAAAACACCAACGAAGUACAUUUUGUGUUCAAAUUUGACCUUGUGGUAACCGGAUAUUACCGGAAAAAAUAACUAAAGGAAAAAAAGAAAGAGGAAAUGACUCAAAGGGGUAACUAUGUUUUAAAAUCAUUCAAAAAACACCAUCUAAGUAUACUUUUGUACAAAAAAACACCAACAAACUAUAUGUUUUGUUCAAAUAUUACCUACCGGUAACUAACUCUUACAGGUUAAAUGAUGACUUGGCUUUAACUAUUAUGACAUGACAUAAUAAUUGUCACAACUAGCAAUUUAGGGUUGAGAUUGUGAUUCAUGUAGAAAAUAAUUUCCUCUAUGUAACCUUGCAACAUCAAAUUAAUGAAAUUCAAACUACAAUGUUAUUUGAAUUCAUGUGAGCGUACAUAUAAAAUCCAGUAGAAAUAGCCUCUUACAAGCCCAAAAAUUGAUCCAAUAGCUAAGCCCAAUCGAUUUUGGGCCUUGGCCCAAGAAUUCUAAACCCAACACCCUAUUGGACCGAAAACCUUUCUUUGGGCCUUAUUGGGUUGGAAACUUUUCUUUGGGCCUUAUUGGGCUGAAAAUUUUUCUUUGGGACAUAUUAGGCCGAUAACCCUUUUAUUGGACCCAAUUAAACCCAAAAAGCCGAUACGUACUCCAAAACGAAAACCCUUCUAUCUUUGGGCUUUAAUAGACCGAAAACCUCUUAAUGGGCCAAGCCAAAACCAAAAACCCAUUUAAGAAUCCCAUGAAAUCCGAAAACCCAAAAAGGCCUCUUUGUCUCACUAGUGUAGCUGAUUUUGGUUGCUCUAAGUAUGCUUAUAUAGUAUGUUGCAUUAGGGUUACACCAUGUAAACCCUAAUGUAACAUGGCUCUUCAUUUCCAUAACCCAUGGGUUUGUAACUCCCAUGGAGCAUCCUAUGGAACUUAGCCCAACUAGAUAAUCCACGGAGCAUCUAGCCCCUACGAUGCUUGGAAACGCCAUACGAAUAGCCGCUCCAGUAUCUUAAACGCCUAGGAAACGGAAACGCCAGUGAAACGGUCGGGAAACGUUUCUGGCAAAUAUCAGUAAUCCCUAAAAUGUUUCUCGCACGUUUCGUUCACCUUUCCCUUUUUUAUUUUUAUUUGCAUGGGCUUUUAAUAUGUAGAAAUAGAGUAAUGGGCUUAGUCCUAUGUCGGUUGCCAAUGCUAUUACCCUACAAUUAGUCAAUCAGUCAAUUAGAAUUUAGAAGUUUGUAAACGUAAGGCUGCUGCGUACUCUUUUCAUUGGUUCUCAUCGACUUUUAUAGUUUUUUUAUUGCCUCUCUGUGUCGUCGAUCAAGAAGACAAGAACAAGAAAAAAAUUCAAAACUCAUUCACACAUUCACCACUCACCAAUUCGAUUAUUAUGGCUUCUUCUCAAGAACAAGAAACACAAGGAUCAUCUACAUCAUUAGACCAACCUCCAUUGUGGGACUUUGUGACUAAACUUGAUAAACUUGUUGGAGCAGGAGGAUGUUGGAAGUUCAAGUGUAACCUUUGCAGUGAAACCAGACAAGGAUCAUAUUCUAGAGUUAGAGCACAUUUGCUUCGCAUAAAAGGUAAUCUAUUAUUCAAAUUAGUGUGUGUGUGUCUAUGUAAUUUUCGAUUUUUGAUUUAUGUUGUUGACUUAUUGUAUUGAUUCAUGAAAAAUUGUAAAGAAAAAAAAUUAGAGGCAACGAUUUUUGUUUCGAUUCAUCAUUCAUGUAUUUGUUGUAAUUUUUUUAUUCUUGUUAUUGUAUUGAAGUAUUGAAAUAUUGAUUCAUUAAAAAAUGUAAUGAAAUAAGAGGCUGUGAUUUUUUUUUUGAUUCAUGUAUUUGUUGCACUUUUGAUUCAUGUUAUUCAAUAGAACUAUUUAUUCAUGAACAAUGGUAAAGUGAAAUAAAUAAGAGGUUUUUGAUUCACUUUCUUGUUUUGAUUAAUGUAAUGUAAUUGAAUUUAUAAUGUUAGUGAUGACCUUAUUUUUUUCAUGUUGUGUAAUUGAGAAUGUCAAUGUUAUUAUGUUGUUUAAUAUAGGUACUGGGAUUUCUAUUUGCGAGAAAGCAAUAACAGCUGACAAACUUAACAUCACACAAUUAGAAGAUGCAUAUGAAAAGAAGAAAACUGAGUCACAAGCGAAAGAAGUCCAGUUGCCAUGUGAAGCUGGUGUUGGAUUUAAGAAAAGAAAAGGUAUUCCAAGACCUAUUGAAAGAGCUUUUGGUGUAGAAAUUAGGGACCAACUGGAUCAAAAAAUAGCUAGAAUGUUUUAUACCGAAGGUUUACCUUUUAAUCUUGCAAGAAAUCCACACUAUGUCAGGGCUUUUCAGUUUGCUGCUAACAAAAAAAUUGAUGGUUAUGUACCUCUUGGUUAUAAUAAGCUAAGAACAACAUUACUACAAAAAGAAAAAGAUAUUGUUCAAAAGCUAUUGGAGCCACUUACGUCUACAUGGAAAGAAAAAAGUGUGACUAUUGUGAGUGAUGGUUGGAGUGAUCCUACAAGAAAACCUCUAAUCAACUUCAUGGCUACCUCAGGUAAUGGUCCUUUGUUUCUAAAGGCAGUAAAUUGUUUUGGGGAAGUGAAAGAUAGAUUUUUUAUUGUCGAAGUGAUGAAGGAAGUCAUACAUUGAAUUGGUCAUGAAAAUGUUGUGCAAAUAAUUACUAACAAUGCAACAAAUUGUAAGACGGAUGGAGAGAUUAUAGAGAGUCAAUUUCCUCACAUUUAUUGGACACCAUGUGUUGUUCAUAAGCAUAAUCUCGCUUUAAAGAACUGUAACAUCCCGGAAAUUUAGAAGUAAAGUUGAAGGGCUAAAAGUGUAAAUAAGAAGGUCGACUCGGAGAAUCAAGUGGUGUUUCAGGUCGCGUGAUAAGUGACCAACUCGGCGAGUCGCAUGGGUAGACUCGGCAAGUUGGUGUUGUAUGGAGAAAACCCUAAUCCCGAGGGUUGAGCCCUAUAUAAAGAACAUAAUACCCCCUCCCCAGCCUCUUUACCUUCCCUUUGAGUUCCAGAGGCCCUAAAUUCGUGUGAGCUUUCCUUUGUGAGUAAUUAGAGCCUUGGAGGAGGAAAUCUUGGAGGGGAAUUGAAGAGCAAGAAGAUUUGGAGCAAGGGUCUUUGCAGAGAUUUGGUUCAUUCUCCAGUAGGAGCUUGCAUUGGAGGUAAGAGAUCUGUUCUUGAGCUUUUGUGCAUCUAGAUCUAUCAAUUGUAGGGUUUUUGGAGCAUAAAUGAGGUUCAUCUCGAGUUUGGUGUAAGAUGUUGCUACCUUAGAUCUAGGAUUGUAGUGGUCCAGGAAGCCAUAAAGUUCAUGCCCAAGAGUUUUUAGUGAAGCCUUCUUGUCCUAAACCCUAUCCCAAGAGUGUUCGAUGCUUAGAUCUCUUUGGAUUCACGUAAAGUUUGCAACUUUACGUGAGGAAUAGCUUGUGGAAGGGUAGAUCUAUGGAUUGGAGCCCCUGCAUGGCUUGGAAAGCCACUGAAUGGAUUAAGAGCUUGUGGUACUCGGCGAGUCACAUGGGUGUACUUGGCGAGUUGCAUGAAGAUAGGCAGAAACUUGGCGAGUUGAAAGAACAACUCGGCGAGUUGGUUGAAGAUAGCCUGGGACUCGGCGAGUCUGUUCUUGGACUCGGCGAGUCUGGUCGUGAGGUCCUAACCUUUCCUGGCUGAGCUGUGAAUCGGUGAGUCAAGGGACGACUCGGUGAGUUGAGCAGGAAGUGACUCAGAGUUCGUGGGACUCGGCGAGUCUUGGGGCGACUCGGUGAGUUGGGUCACGAUAUGGGAGUUUUCAGAGUUGAGGGACUCAACGAGUUAGCGGUGUUAAUAUCGGUUCUUUCUAUUUUUGUGAAACAUAAUGGAAAACAAAACUUUUUGUGCUUAAAUCUUCAACAGGAAAUAAUAAUUUCGAAUUUUUCAAAUUUUGACUUUGAGGAAACUUCAACAUUCCCUCAACUAUCUUUACAACAAGAUCCUUUUUCAAAUCCUCCAUCUUCUGAUACAUAUAUGAAAUUUUACUUUCAUACACCUACAUAAGAAUAAAGAUACUUACAACUAAAAUACUUAAACAUAAAAAGUCAUAAAUGAAUAAACUAAUUAAAUCAUAAAUGAAUAAAACUAUAGAAUUACCUCCACAUCACUAACUUUAUUAACUUCAAAAUCUUCUUCAUCCUCAUCACAUAAAUCCUCUUUGCCGUCAGAUUCAACCUCAUCACCACCAGAUUCCUCCUCAUUAUACUCAGAUUCUUGAAAUUCUUCUUCAACAUAUGCUUCAUUAACAUGUUCACAUCCAAAUCCUCCACUCUCUUCAAAAAUAUCUUCAAGAAACCUUAUCUUCUCUGACAUCCAAUUAAGAAAACAGUUGGACGUUUAUGUGUGAUUUGCAAAUGAUCAAACUUGAAAGUAUCCACAUACAACAACUGCAAAAACAUAUAUAUCAUCAUAACAUAUAUAACAUCAUAUACGAUUUUGAUGUGUAAUAUAUAAUUAAACAAAAAUUAUACAACAUAAUCAUAUGUAGUAAAAUCAUAUAUGAUUUAUUACAAAAACAAACAUAUUUUUACAACUAAAAAGAAUAAUUAAUAUCAAAAAAUAGCUCACGUACCAUAAGGUAUGUUGUUGUUCCAUAAAAGAAAGAAGAUUAUUUCUCUGGAUUGUAAACCUUCUUCAUCCUUACAAAAUAAUCCACAAUGUAAUCGCACCAGUCAAUGCUACUUAAAUCAGUAUCUCUUCUGAUUAAAUACAAUGGAUUCAGAUUACAUUUACCCAUGCUUGUAGACUCACCGAAAGUAUUAAUAAAAAGAACCAAAAAAUUGAUUAUGUAGUUGUCAUCUGUAGCCCUAGUUUGAACAAGUUGAUUCUUUAGUUGUUUCAAUCUCAAUUUAUCAAUAUUCUCAUAUUGUUUCUUCCACUCAAACACACAACUCUCUUCAUUAUUCUCCGAAAUGUAAUCCAUGUUUGAAAGUAAUGAGCCACCAGAUGGUAAUCCUAGCAUCUCUUGAAUAGACUUACUAUCAACACUAUCUUCACAAUUAUCAAACUCCACCUUCAAAGAUUCAAAAUUAAAACGGUCAAGAACAUAAUAAACAAUCUUCAACGGUACGUCAAUCAUCUCCAUACCUAAGAUACUCCCAAUCCCAUAGCCCUAACACAAUCCUUCUGCUCUCUAUUUAAACCUUGAAUAACACCCAACAAUGACCCGGGUGAACAUCUAUUCUUUAGUGAAGGAAAUUCUUUUAUAACAGCAACUUUUUUUUAUCUUUCUUCAAAACUUUAGUUUCUCUCUUUGGUUUCUUUGAAGAUCCAGGACGACUCUGAAAAUCUAAAUCAUCUUUAUCGGAUAGUUCACGUUUCUUACUUACAGGUUUGACCUUAACCCCCAGUUCACUUUUAGUUGUUCAAUAACUGUUUUUUUGGAUGUCUUUGAACGUGUUUGCAACACCUCAUUCGCUUUUUCUCUUUUGGAAGAUGAUCGUGUCUUCCUUGAGNNNNNNNNNNNNNNNNNNNNNNNNNNNNNNNNNNNNNNNNNNNNNNNNNNNNNNNNNNNNNNNNNNNNNNNNNNNNNNNNNNNNNNNNNNNNNNNNNNNNNNNNNNNNNNNNNNNNNNNNNNNNNNNNNNNNNNNNNNNNNNNNNNNNNNNNNNNNNNNNNNNNNNNNNNNNNNNNNNNNNNNNNNNNNNNNNNNNNNNNNNNNNNNNNNNNNNNNNNNNNNNNNNNNNNNNNNNNNNNNNNNNNNNNNNNNNNNNNNNNNNNNNNNNNNNNNNNNNNNNNNNNNNNNNNNNNNNNNNNNNNNNNNNNNNNNNNNNNNNNNNNNNNNNNNNNNNNNNNNNNNNNNNNNNNNNNNNNNNNNNNNNNNNNNNNNNNNNNNNNNNNNNNNNNNNNNNNNNNNNNNNNNNNNNNNNNNNNNNNNNNNNNNNNNNNNNNNNNNNNNNNNNNNNNNNNNNNNNNNNNNNNNNNNNNNNNNNNNNNNNNNNNNNNNNNNNNNNNNNNNNNNNNNNNNNNNNNNNNNNNNNNNNNNNNNNNNNNNNNNNNNNNNNNNNNNNNNNNNNNNNNNNNNNNNNNNNNNNNNNNNNNNNNNNNNNNNNNNNNNNNNNNNNNNNNNNNNNNNNNNNNNNNNNNNNNNNNNNNNNNNNNNNNNNNNNNNNNNNNNNNNNNNNNNNNNNNNNNNNNNNNNNNNNNNNNNNNNNNNNNNNNNNNNNNNNNNNNNNNNNNNNNNNNNNNNNNNNNNNNNNNNNNNNNNNNNNNNNNNNNNNNNNNNNNNNNNNNNNNNNNNNNNNNNNNNNNNNNNNNNNNNNNNNNNNNNNNNNNNNNNNNNNNNNNNNNNNNNNNNNNNNNNNNNNNNNNNNNNNNNNNNNNNNNNNNNNNNNNNNNNNNNNNNNNNNNNNNNNNNNNNNNNNNNNNNNNNNNNNNNNNNNNNNNNNNNNNNNNNNNNNNNNNNNNNNNNNNNNNNNNNNNNNNNNNNNNNNNNNNNNNNNNNNNNNNNNNNNNNNNNNNNNNNNNNNNNNNNNNNNNNNNNNNNNNNNNNNNNNNNNNNNNNNNNNNNNNNNNNNNNNNNNNNNNNNNNNNNNNNNNNNNNNNNNNNNNNNNNNNNNNNNNNNNNNNNNNNNNNNNNNNNNNNNNNNNNNNNNNNNNNNNNNNNNNNNNNNNNNNNNNNNNNNNNNNNNNNNNNNNNNNNNNNNNNNNNNNNNNNNNNNNNNNNNNNNNNNNNNNNNNNNNNNNNNNNNNNNNNNNNNNNNNNNNNNNNNNNNNNNNNNNNNNNNNNNNNNNNNNNNNNNNNNNNNNNNNNNNNNNNNNNNNNNNNNNNNNNNNNNNNNNNNNNNNNNNNNNNNNNNNNNNNNNNNNNNNNNNNNNNNNNNNNNNNNNNNNNNNNNNNNNNNNNNNNNNNNNNNNNNNNNNNNNNNNNNNNNNNNNNNNNNNNNNNNNNNNNNNNNNNNNNNNNNNNNNNNNNNNNNNNNNNNNNNNNNNNNNNNNNNNNNNNNNNNNNNNNNNNNNNNNNNNNNNNNNNNNNNNNNNNNNNNNNNNNNNNNNNNNNNNNNNNNNNNNNNNNNNNNNNNNNNNNNNNNNNNNNNNNNNNNNNNNNNNNNNNNNNNNNNNNNNNNNNNNNNNNNNNNNNNNNNNNNNNNNNNNNNNNNNNNNNNNNNNNNNNNNNNNNNNNNNNNNNNNNNNNNNNNNNNNNNNNNNNNNNNNNNNNNNNNNNNNNNNNNNNNNNNNNNNNNNNNNNNNNNNNNNNNNNNNNNNNNNNNNNNNNNNNNNNNNNNNNNNNNNNNNNNNNNNNNNNNNNNNNNNNNNNNNNNNNNNNNNNNNNNNNNNNNNNNNNNNNNNNNNNNNNNNNNNNNNNNNNNNNNNNNNNNNNNNNNNNNNNNNNNNNNNNNNNNNNNNNNNNNNNNNNNNNNNNNNNNNNNNNNNNNNNNNNNNNNNNNNNNNNNNNNNNNNNNNNNNNNNNNNNNNNNNNNNNNNNNNNNNNNNNNNNNNNNNNNNNNNNNNNNNNNNNNNNNNNNNNNNNNNNNNNNNNNNNNNNNNNNNNNNNNNNNNNNNNNNNNNNNNNNNNNNNNNNNNNNNNNNNNNNNNNNNNNNNNNNNNNNNNNNNNNNNNNNNNNNNNNNNNNNNNNNNNNNNNNNNNNNNNNNNNNNNNNNNNNNNNNNNNNNNNNNNNNNNNNNNNNNNNNNNNNNNNNNNNNNNNNNNNNNNNNNNNNNNNNNNNNNNNNNNNNNNNNNNNNNNNNNNNNNNNNNNNNNNNNNNNNNNNNNNNNNNNNNNNNNNNNNNNNNNNNNNNNNNNNNNNNNNNNNNNNNNNNNNNNNNNNNNNNNNNNNNNNNNNNNNNNNNNNNNNNNNNNNNNNNNNNNNNNNNNNNNNNNNNNNNNNNNNNNNNNNNNNNNNNNNNNNNNNNNNNNNNNNNNNNNNNNNNNNNNNNNNNNNNNNNNNNNNNNNNNNNNNNNNNNNNNNNNNNNNNNNNNNNNNNNNNNNNNNNNNNNNNNNNNNNNNNNNNNNNNNNNNNNNNNNNNNNNNNNNNNNNNNNNNNNNNNNNNNNNNNNNNNNNNNNNNNNNNNNNNNNNNNNNNNNNNNNNNNNNNNNNNNNNNNNNNNNNNNNNNNNNNNNNNNNNNNNNNNNNNNNNNNNNNNNNNNNNNNNNNNNNNNNNNNNNNNNNNNNNNNNNNNNNNNNNNNNNNNNNNNNNNNNNNNNNNNNNNNNNNNNNNNNNNNNNNNNNNNNNNNNNNNNNNNNNNNNNNNNNNNNNNNNNNNNNNNNNNNNNNNNNNNNNNNNNNNNNNNNNNNNNNNNNNNNNNNNNNNNNNNNNNNNNNNNNNNNNNNNNNNNNNNNNNNNNNNNNNNNNNNNNNNNNNNNNNNNNNNNNNNNNNNNNNNNNNNNNNNNNNNNNNNNNNNNNNNNNNNNNNNNNNNNNNNNNNNNNNNNNNNNNNNNNNNNNNNNNNNNNNNNNNNNNNNNNNNNNNNNNNNNNNNNNNNNNNNNNNNNNNNNNNNNNNNNNNNNNNNNNNNNNNNNNNNNNNNNNNNNNNNNNNNNNNNNNNNNNNNNNNNNNNNNNNNNNNNNNNNNNNNNNNNNNNNNNNNNNNNNNNNNNNNNNNNNNNNNNNNNNNNNNNNNNNNNNNNNNNNNNNNNNNNNNNNNNNNNNNNNNNNNNNNNNNNNNNNNNNNNNNNNNNNNNNNNNNNNNNNNNNNNNNNNNNNNNNNNNNNNNNNNNNNNNNNNNNNNNNNNNNNNNNNNNNNNNNNNNNNNNNNNNNNNNNNNNNNNNNNNNNNNNNNNNNNNNNNNNNNNNNNNNNNNNNNNNNNNNNNNNNNNNNNNNNNNNNNNNNNNNNNNNNNNNNNNNNNNNNNNNNNNNNNNNNNNNNNNNNNNNNNNNNNNNNNNNNNNNNNNNNNNNNNNNNNNNNNNNNNNNNNNNNNNNNNNNNNNNNNNNNNNNNNNNNNNNNNNNNNNNNNNNNNNNNNNNNNNNNNNNNNNNNNNNNNNNNNNNNNNNNNNNNNNNNNNNNNNNNNNNNNNNNNNNNNNNNNNNNNNNNNNNNNNNNNNNNNNNNNNNNNNNNNNNNNNNNNNNNNNNNNNNNNNNNNNNNNNNNNNNNNNNNNNNNNNNNNNAAAAAAAGACAAACUUACCCAUGAACUGACUUUUUGUUAGGCUUUGAAAGUUCUGAACAAAUUGACCCAAGCACUUUAAUGUCUGAUAGAGGAAUAGAAAGUGAAAAGUGAGUGUACAAUCACAUAAAUGGAAAGUUUGACUUAUAAGUUAAAAUUUAUAAAAUAGAGUUGACCUGUGGUGAGGAAACAUUAGCAUUAAUUUUUUAUCAUUUUUUAUCUUAGUAAGCUUAUUUACACUUUAAUGAAUAGAUUGAAAAUGAAUUUGUUACUUUCUUUCAUAAUGAUCAAAAACUACCUCAAUAGAUAUGGAAUUAAAUUACCUUGCAAUAGAGGAAGCUGACAUAUGCCUUCUUUCAUAUUCAUUAGCUAGGCAGGUAAAAAACUGCAAAAGAGUAAAUUUCUAGUGAGGGCCAUAAAUUCACAGUCAUGUGUACGUCAGGUGAUGUUAUAAGGUCUGACUUAGGUGAGAUGGCUCUUUCAAGCAUUUCGUCAAACAGUUGGAGUGCAUAGCUCCUCCCCUUUCUUUUUUGAUCUAUUUAUUGGAAUUAUCACCACUUUGAGAGCAUACAACUCCAUUCUUCUUUUCAAAACAUAUAAUUCAGCAAAUAAGUUAACAUAUAAGGGUAGGAAUACGAACUUAAGACUAAAACUGAAAACAAAAUGACAAACCCCAUCUCUCUUUGUAAUCUUGAAUUGGCUCAAUAGCUAGAAAAAAAAAGAAUUAAAAUUGAUCAAAAACUACCUCAAUAGCUUAUUUACAUCACAUAUAAGAGACUAUAUAACGUUAGUUUAAAUAGUUGGUUCUUGAUUUUAAGAAGUUAUUUUUGUAACCUAGUUGUAUAUAUUAAUAAUUGGAUACCUGUUACAUGUGGUUGAUAGAUAGCUUCCCAAACAGCAGCUAGUUCUAAGCCAAUAGCUAUAAGCUGAAACGUGAAAUAAAGUUGUUUACAGAGAUGAGAAGUAGAUACAGGAAAAAAUCAGAGGCAUAAAGUAGAAAUUGACAAUACUAGAUGAAAUCGCACAUUUAGGGAAAAAUCAUAAUCCUUUUUCUUGAUUGAGAAGAUGAAGUCGAGAUAUGAAUGAGAAAUUGCGUGCCCCCUUAUUUGUUGAAUGACUGAAGAAAUAGGGCAGGGUAGAAGCGUCCUUUUCAUACCUUAGUGCAAUCAAACCUUGGGCUUGUAAACCUGAGGAGUCUUAGUAAAUGUAUUAGGGUGGGGAAGAGGUGGAACGGUGAGCCUGAGGAGUUGAUAUCUAAUCUUAUGUACCAAUGGUGAUAUAUGUCAUUCUUCUAUGACGAGUAUGAGAGAUAUUAUUUGAUAGGUGUGUAGUCGCCGAUGUUCUAGCCUGAGGAGUCACAACACCAUUACUAUUUCAAAUGUGUUAUGUUUGAUUAGGGUUUGCACAUAGAAGGAAGUGAAAGUCGAUCGGAGAGGAAGGGGUUUGCAGAGAGAAAGAAGGGAGAGAAUGAAGUCGAUUUUGGAGGGUAGAGAGCAGAGAGGAAGAGGAAGCGGGUGUUCAAAAUUUUGGGGGAUUUAGUUUCCCCCCUUACCUAUCAAGGAGGCGCGUUUAUUAAAAUUAUAAAGCGACAUUUGUAGAGGACGCUCUUUUUAUUAUAGGUGCCCUCCGUGUUUUUAAUAUUUUUACACCAGACACUAAUUUAAGGGCACUCAGUAAUGCGCGACCUAAAUCCUUAAAAUUUUUGAAGAGAUGACACUUUUUUAAUGUCGCUCUCUAAUGCGUAACAUAAAUCAAAGAGCGUCGUGUUUUGCGCGUCGUAAAAGGCCUUUUUUCUUGUAGUGAUUGUAAACCUUCUUCAUCCUUACCAAACAAUCCACAAUGUAAUCGCACCAGUCAAUGCUACUUAAAUUAGUAUCUCUUCUGAUUAAAUACAAUGGAUUCAGAUUACAUUUACCCAUGCUUGUAGACUCACCGAAAGUAUUAAUAAAAAGAACCAAAAAAUUGAUUAUGUAGUUGUUAUCUGUAGCCCUAGUUUGAACAAGUUGAUUCUUUAGUUGUUUCAAUCUCAAUUUAUCAAUAUUCUCAUAUUGUUUCUUCCACUCAAUCACACAACUCUCUUCAUUAUUCUCCGAAAUGUAAUCCAUGUUUGAAAGUAAUGAGCCACCAGAUGGUAAUCCUAGCAUCUCUUGAAUAGACUUACUAUCAACACUAUCUUCACAAUUAUCAAACUCCACCUUCAAAGAUUCAAAAUUAAAACGGUCAAGAACAUAAUAAACAAUCUUCAACGGUACGUCAAUCAUCUCCAUACCUAAGAUACUCCCAAUCCCAUAGCCCUAACACAAUCCUUCUGCUCUCUAUUUAAACCUUGAAUAACACCCAACAAUGACCCGAGUGAACAUCUAUUCUUUAGUGAAGGAAAUUCUUUUAUAACAGCAACUUUUUUUAUCUUUCUUCAAAACUUUAGUUUCUCUAUUUGGUUUCUUUGAAGAUCCAGGACGACUCUGAAAAUCUAAAUCAUCUUUAUCGGAUAGUUCACGUUUCUUACUUACAGGUUUGACCUUAACCCCCAGUUCACUUUUAGUUGUUCAAUAACUGUUUUUUUGGAUGUCUUUGAACGUGUUUGCAACACCUCAUUCGCUUUUUCUCUUUUGGAAGAUGAUCGUGUCUUCCUUGAGAUAUCUACAUUCCCUUUUUAACUACAAUUUUCAUUACAAACAUAGUGUUAGUAAAAAAUAAUACAUACAUUUAUCAUUACUAUUCACUAAUGAUUAUAAACAGACAUAUAAAAUCAUUUAUGAUUAGAGCAAUAAAUAAAAAUACAACUAAAUGUUAUAUACAAUCCACUUAAAAUAACCACAAAAUCAGUUAUGAUUACAAAAAUAAUUUUAUAUUCAUGUUUGAUACAUAAAAAUACAUUUAUCAUUACUAUUUAACAAUGAUUAUAAACAAACGUAUAAAAUCAUCUAUGAUUAGAAAUAAAAAUAAACAUAUAACUACAUGUUAUGUUCAAUACACUAAAAAAAUCAAAAAAUCAGUUAUGAUUACAACAAAUAACUUCCAACAUUAAGUUAUAUGUUUAUUUAUACUUCUAAUCAUAGAUGAUUUUUUUUUGAACUGUACCUUCGGAAAUAACAGCACUUCUACCGCAUUCGAUAUUUUUUUGAUUUUUGAAUUUUUUUCGAUCGUAGUUUCUUUUGAAAUCCUUAUAUGUGAAAAAUAAACAAAAGCUUACAUCAGAAAACACCACAAACAAACAUAAUAAAAAACAAUACGAGACAAUAAUCAAAAUCAAGUUAAAAUGACGAAAAACCUACUGAAUCAAAAAAAAAACACCAUUAUCAACAUAAAACGACAUUUAACUAGUUAAUAAAAACAUGCAUAGUUUGUAAAAUUCAUAGCCUUCAAAAUCCAUAUCAAUUUUUAUAAAAUUACAACAAUAGUCCCACAAUUGUAAAUUAACGGCGUUAGUUUCAUAAGUUACCAAUAUAAUUAUGAAUAUGUCAUCACAUAGUUUUAGAAACAAACAUAAGCACAUCAAACGGUUAUACAUAUAUCUCACAUUCUCUAAAUUUUUUUUUAUCUCAAGGGAACCACCAUAUAUAUAUGUAUAUAUAUAUAUAUAUAUAUAUAUAGAGAGAGAGAGAGAGAGUGAUAGGUUUAAAUGUGUAUAGCAACUAUUGUGUGCAUGAAUGCACCAAUAGGAAUUUAGGAAAAAAUAAAUAAUUAAAUAAAUAGUAAUAAAUAGUAAAAUGGUAUGAUAGUAAUCUAACACAAUUUAAUUAUAGUAGGAAUUUUAAAACAUUUAAUAUCUCCUAAAAAUAGGGAAAUCGGUAUUAAAAGCCUUUUAAACGUCUUUUUCAUCUUUGUAACCCUACACCACUUGUUUUUCCUUAGCCGUACAUCACCAACACCUUUGGCCAUAUGCUCAUUCAAUCGUCGUCCAAAGAAACUCGAUGACCCUCUUCACCGCCAGUGCUACACCACCCGCUGCCAUUCCCAUGUUAUUACGGUGUGGAUCUUGUUCAAAAAUUAAUCAUCUUAUUUCUACUGGUGCGAUUAACUUUCGAUCUUCAUUUUUUGAUUUUAUAAAACUGGUUUUGGAUGAUUAGCUGUCACCAAUACCAUUGAGGGUUUAUCGAUCAAUACAAUAACUUUCAUGGUUUUUCCCUUUCAUCUUUUUUUUGGUUUUGCUUCCCUUUUCUGAUCCGGAAUUGUUCACCUUGGUGGCAGGGCCAUCGUAUCCCUCAAUCAGGUAAUCGUCUCAUUUCUUUUAAUUUUAAAAUAUCCUUCAGUUGCACCCCAUUCCUACUUCUCCUUUAAUUUGGGAUUCCUUUGUUUUUAGGUGGGGCCAAUUGGAAUUAUACAACAGAUGAAUGAGGCUACAUGGGAUUGUAAGUUUCAGUUAAUCCAUUUUUUAAUGUAUUUCUUGAUAUGUGAAUUGGAACUUGAAUAUCUUGGAACAUACACGACAUAUAUAACAUAUUGCUCACCAUUCUUUAAAAAUUUCGUUAUAUUGUUCAAAAAAUAAUGUGUCGAUUGCACUGUUUAAGAAUUAUACUGUAGUGGUACAUGUCAUUUGUCUUUGAUGAAAAGGGUUAAGCUAGCAUUCUGUCAAAAUUUGCAAACACAUGGACCACUUUUCUAUUGCUAUAAUUUACACAAGUUGUAGGUGCAAACAAAGGUGGUUUUUUACACCUGGUGGAAUAGAUACUAUCUAUUUGGACUUUUUUACCCUUGGAGGGCCUUCUUCCUACUUAUUGCCCCCUUAUUGUGUUCCAUGUGGUUUGGAUACUUGUUUUUUUUCUUGUUACAAGAUUUAUUAUACGUAAAGAGAAACUGAAUAGGAAUAUAAUGCAUUUGGAAUACAUACAGGGAGUCUUCAUCCUAGUGCUUUCACAGAUCAUCGUUUUUCACAACAAAAAACUUGUGAGCCGAAGAUGCUUUAUAUAUUCUAAUUGUUUUUUUUCUUAGUCACCUUUUGUCUUAACAUGAUCUUUUCAUGCAUUUAUAUUUCAAAUGCUUUUGUUCGUUAGAUCUAUUCUUGAUAAUACAAAUUCUUUUAAUAAUAUUCAAAACCACUCUGCAAGAAUAGUUUAUUGUGUAAGAAUAUUAUUGUUGUAUUCUAAUAGAAUAAUAGUUAAUUAUUUAUAUGUUUAAUGUGCAGUUGUUACAAGUGUAUCACCACAAAAUAUUUAGCAAUGAAUUUGUGACAGAAAUGGUUUGAAGAAUGGCUUAAAGACCUGAUGGGAAAGGCUUGAAGAAUGAAUUAAAAAAUGAUCACACUCAUUGUUUAAUAAUGUUGUUACUUAUAAAAUUACACUUGUUAUUCUUUUAGAAUGUUUUUAUUAUUCAAUGAAUCACAAUCAUACAAUGUAAUUAUUUGGUAUAUUAUUAGUUCAAGAAUCGAUUUUGUGUAUUCUUUCAGAAUGCAUUUACUAGUUUAUGGUUGGGAUUCUGUCAUUCUGACAGAAUAAAAUCGAAAAUAUAUUUACUAGUUUAUAGUUGGCAUUCUGUCAUUUUGACAGAAUAAAAUCGGAUUUUUAAAUUUGAAUUAGUUUAAAAUAUUCAGAUUUUUAAAAAUAAAGGAAUUAAUUAUCCAAAAAAUCCGAAAAUUUCCUUUUUUAAUAUAACUUAAUUGACUAAAAUGCCCUUAUGCUGAAAUUUGUUUGAUUAUAUGGUACAUGUUAUCAUAUUCUAAUGUUAUAGACCGUCAGAUCAUGGUAUUUGAUUAUAUUCCAUCCGGUGGUCCAGAUCUGUGCAUUCUGGAACACAAUAGUUAAUAAANGAUUUUUAACAAAUAAUAAGAUUUUUAUGUUAAAAAAACAUUAGGACCCUAUAAAAAAAAUAAGAUUUUUCUUAGAUAUCAUUUGCAUAGAAAAGUAGGAUGUUACAGUUUUAACGGUACAUCUUAUCAUUUUUUUUAAUCAAAUUGGUUAUCCCUUGGUUUAAAAAUAAGGAACUUUUGAGUUGAUACAUGGUUUAAUAUAUAAAUAUCUUUGAAAAAGUGGGAGUUUUAGGUACGUCAUGACAUUUUUUUAAUGGUUCUCCCUUAGUUUAGAAAAAAGAAAUGAAAAUAUUGAGUUGGUACAUGUUUUAAUAUAUAAAAAUCUUUGAGUUAUGUAAAACGAGCUUAAAGAUAGUCUAAUAAAUAUAUCUUUGAGUUGUGGUCUACUAAGCCUAACAUCUAUAUUAUAACCGUGUAAUAUCGCUAUAUAAAGGGACAAUGAUUUAUAUGGGUAACUAUGUUUCAAAAUUGUUCACAAAAUACCAUUCAAGUUUGAUGUAUCCAAAAAACACCAUCCAAGUAAAGCAUUUGUACAAAAAACACCAACAAAGUACAUUUUUUGUUCAAAUUUGACCUUGUGGUAACCGGAUAUUACCGGUAAAAAAUAACUAAAGGAAAAAAAGCAAGAGGAAAUGACUCAAAGGGGUAACUAUGUUUUAAAAUCGUUCAAAAAACACCAUCUAAGUAUACUUUUGUACAAAAAAACACCAAUAAACUAUAUGUUUUGUUCAAAUAUUACCUACCGGUAACUAACUCUUACAGGUUAAAUGAUGACUUGGCUUUAACUAUUAUGACAUGACAUAAUAAUUGUCACAACUAGCAAUUUAGGGUUGAGAUUGUGAUUCAUGUACAAAAUAAUUUCCUCUAUGUAACCUUACAACAUCAAAUUAAUGAAAUUCAAACUACAAUGUUAUUUGAAUUCAUGUGAGCGUACAUAUAAAAUCCAGUAGAAAUAGCCUAUUACAAGCCCAAAAAUCGAUCCAAUAGCUAAGCCCAAUCGAUUUUGGGCCUUGGCCCAAGAAUUCUAAACCCAACACCCUAUUGGACCGAAAACCUUUCUUUGGGCCUUAUUGGGUUGGAAACUUUUCUUUGGGCCUUAUUGGGCUAAAAAAGUUUCUUUGGGCCAUAUUGGGCCGAUAACCCUUUUAUUGGACCCAAUUAAACCCAAAAAGCCCAUACGUACUCCAAAACGAAAACCCUUCUAUCUUUGGGCUUUAAUGGACCGAAAACCUCUUAAUGGGCCAAGCCAAAACCAAAAACCCAUUUAAGAAUCCCAUGAAAUCCGAAAACCCAAAAAGCCCUCUUUGUCUCACUAGUGUAGCCGAUUUUGGUUGCUCUAAGUAUGCUUAUAUAGUAUGUUGCAUUAGGGUUACACCAUGUAAACCCUAAUGAAACAUGGCUCUUCAUUUCCAUGACCCAUGAGUUUGUAACUCCCAUGGAGCAUCCUAUGGACCUUAGCCCAACUAGAUAAUCCACGGAGCAUCUAGCCCCUACGAUGCUUGGAAACGCCAUACGAAUAGCCGCUCCCGCAUCUGGAACGCCUAGGAAACGGAAAUGCCAGUGAAACGGUCAGGAAACGUUUCCGGCAAAUAUCAGUAAUCCCUGAAAUGUUUCUCGCACGUUUCGUUCAUGUUUCCUUUUUUUAUUUUUAUUUCCAUGGGAUUUUAAUAUGCAGAAAUAGAGUAAUGGGCUUUGUCCUAUGUCAGUUGCCAAUGCUAUUACCCUACAAUUAGUCAAUUAGUCGAUUAGAAUUUAGAAGUUUGUAAACAUAAGGCUGCUGCGUACUCUUUUCAUUGUUGCUCAUCGACUUUUAUAGUUUUUUUUAUUGCCUCUCUGUGUCGUCGAUCAAGAAGACAAGAACAAGAAAAAAAAUUCAAAACUCAUUCACACAUUCACCACUCACCAAUUCGAUUAUUAUGGCUUCUUCUCAAGAACAAGAAACACAAGGAUCAUCUACAUCAGUAGACCAACCUCCAUUGUGGGACUUUGUGACUAAACUCAAUAAACUUGUUGGAGCAGGAGGAUGUUGGAAGUUCAAGUGUAACCUUUGCAGUGAUACCAGACAAGGAUCAUAUUCUAGAGUUAGAGCACAUUUACUUGGCAUAAAAGGUAAUCUAUUAUUCAAAUUAGUGUGUGUGUCUAUGUAAUUUUCGAUUUUUGAUUUAUGUUAUUGACUUGUUGUAUUGAUUCAUGAAAAUUUGUAAAGAAAAAAGAAUAGAGGCAACGAUUUUUGUUUCGAUUCAUCAUUCAUGUAUUUGUUAUAAUUUUUUAUUCAUGUUAUUGUAUUAAAGUAUUAAACUAUUGAUUCAUUAAAAAUGUAAUGAAAUAAGAGGCUGUGAUUUUUGUUUUGAUUCAUGUAUUUGUUGCACUUUUGAUCCAUGUUAUUCAAUAGAACUAUUUAUUCAUGAACAAUGGUAAAGUCAAAUAAAUAAGAGGUUUUUGAUUCACUUUCUUAUUUUGAUUAAUGUAAUGUAAUUGAAUUUAUAAUGUCAAUGAUGACCUUAUUUUUUUCAUGUUGUGUAAUUGAGAAUGUCAAUGUUAUUAUGUUGUUUAAUAUAGGUACCGGGAUUUCUAUUUGCAAGAAAGCAACAACAGCUGACAAACUUAACAUCACACAAUUAGAAGAUGCAUAUGAAAAGAAGAAAACUGAGUCACAAGCGAAAGAAGUCCGGUUGCGAUGUGAAGCUAGUGUUGGAUUUAAAAAAAGAAAAGGUAUUUCAAGACCUAUUGAAAGAGCUUUUGGUGUUGAAAUUAGGGACCAACUGGAUCAAGAAAUAGCUAGAAUGUUUUAUACCGGAGGUUUACCUUUUAAUCUUGCAAGAAAUCCACACUAUGUCAGGGCUUUUCAGUUUGCUGCUAACAACAAAAUUGAUGGUUAUGUACCUCCUGGUUAUAAUAAGCUAAGAACAACAUUACUACAAAAAGAAAAAGAUAUUGUUCAAAAGCUAUUGGAGCCACUUAGGUCUACAUGGAAAGAAAAAAGUGUGACUAUUGUGAGUGAUGGUUGGAGUGAUCCUACAAGAAAACCUCUAAUCAACUUCAUGGUUACCUCGGGUAAUGGUCCUUUGUUUCUAAAGGCAGUAAAUUGUUUUGGGGAAGUGAAAGAUAGAUUUUUUAUUGUCGAAGAGAUGAAGGAAGUCAUACAUUGAAUUGGUCAUGAAAAUGUUGUGCAAAUAAUUACUAACAAUGCAACAAAUUGUAAGGCGGCUGGAGAGAUUAUAGAGAGUCAAUUUCCUCACAUUUAUUGGACACCAUGUGUUGUUCAUAAGCAUAAUCUUGCUUUAAAGAACUGUAACAUCCCGGAAAUUUAGAAGUAAAGUUGAAGGGCUAAAAGUGUAAAUAAGAAGGUCGACUCGGCGAAUCGAGUGGUGUUUCAGGUCGCGUGAUAAGUGACCAACUCGGCGAGUCGCAUGGGUAGACUCGGCGAGUUGGUGUUGUAUGGAGAAAACCCUAAUCCAGGGGGUUGAGCCCUAUAUAAAGAAAAUAAUACCCCCUCCCUAGCCUCUUUACCUUCCCUUUGAGUUCCAGAGGCCCUAAAUUCGUGUGAGCUUUCCUUUGUGAGUAAUUAGAGCCUUGGAGGAGGAUUUCUUGGAAGGGAAUUGAAGAGAUAGAAGAUUUGGAGCAAGGGUCUUUGUAGAGAUUUGGUUCAUUCUCCAGUAGGAGCUUGCAUUGGAGGUAAGAGAUCUGUUCUUGAGCUUUUGUGCAUCUAGAUCUAUCAAUUGUGGGGUUUUUGGAGCAUAAAUGAGGUUUAUCUCGAGUUUGGUGUAAGAUCUGAGGUUGCUACCUCAGAUCUAGGAUUGUAGUCGUCCAGGAAGCCAUAAAGUUCAUUCCCAAGAGUUUUUAGUGAAGCCUUCUUGUCCCAAACCCUAUCCCAAGAGUUUUCUAUGCUUAGAUCUCUUUGGAUUCACGUAAAGUUUGCAACUUUACGUGAGGAAUAGCUUGUGGAAGGGUAGAUUUAUGGAUUCGAGCCCCUGCAUGGCUUGGAAAGCCACUGAAUGGAUUAAGAGCUAAUGGUACUCAACGAGUCACAUGAGUGUACUCGGCGAGUCGCAUGAAGAUAGGCAGAAACUCGGCGAGUUGGUUGAAGAUAGCCUUGGACUCGGCGAGUAUGUUCUUGGACUCGGUGAGUCUGGUCGUGAGGUCCUAACCUUUCCUGGUUGAGCUGUGAAUCGGUGAGUCAAGGGAUGACUCAGUGAGUUGAGCAGGAAGUGACUCAGAGUUCUUGGGACUCAGCGAGUCUUCGGGCGACUCGGCGAGUUGGGUCGCGAUAUGGGAGUUUUCAGAGUUGAGGGACUCGACGAGUCAGAGGGCUGACUCGGCGAGUAGGGUCAAUCAGGAAGUUUGACUUUGACUGAGGACUUUGACUUUGACCAAGAGUUGACUAGUUGUCUUCCAAGGGUAAUUUGGUAAUUUUUGGUAUUUAUUGAGUUCGGUCUUUUGGUAUUGUCAGUGGUGGAGUUUGUGUCAGAGGUUGGAGUAGCGUGAUCUUAUCUUUUCAGUCAGCAGUUGCAUGGUGAGUUAUCCUCACUAUAUUGAUAGGCUCUAAGGCACCAAGGUCGGCCCUUUAUCGGAUUGUAAUCUGGGUAUCGUUGUUAUGUUGUUGCUUUGCUAUGUUUGCAUCUUGGUAAUUACGUUGGUAUAUGUUAGAGACCUGGUUAAGGUUGGUAUCCUAGUAUAUAGGAUGAUGCUAUGCUAGUGACCAGUUAGGUCGGUAUCCUGUUUGGAGUAUGUUAUGUUAUGUUAUCUGCUAGAUCGGUUUGAUUAGAUGUGAAUUGUUAUAUGAUUGUUUGUUUAUGUGCACAUGGUUGUCGGACUAGGGUUAGGUUGAGGUGGGUCCUGCUUUGUGCUGUAGGCCAACACACCCAGGGCGGACCGGUUAUCCCGAAGGCCAGUGAGUGGCCGGAUAGGCUGUAGGCCCUAUGAGGGCGGACCAGACGUGUCGCGACUCGGAGAGUGGACCAGGCCGACUAAAGGCCCGGUGCGGGAGGACCAGUCAUACUGUAGACUCAGAGAGUGGACCAGCUAGGUUGAAGGCCCAGUGUGGGUGGACCAACCACACUGCAGACUCGAUGGAUAUCGAUAGACUCGGAGGGUGGACCAGGUGGAUUGAAGGCCCGAUAGGGCAGACCAAUCACACAGUAGACCCGAAGUGCAUGGCUAUUCUGUUCGGUUAUGUAAUGUUAUGCGUGGUAUAUGUGGUUGGUGUUUUGGGGGUAUCUCACUAAGCUUUCGGGCUUACAGUUGUGGUUUAAUGUUUUUCAGGUACUUCAGGAGACCGUGGCAAGGAGAAGGCGUGAUCAUACAGUUCCUCAUGUUUAUGUUUUACGAUAGGGUUCUGGGAAGACUCUGAUAAUAAUUGUAUUGAAAACCUUUUUGUAAUGACUUAACGAAACUGGGUUGUUUUUUGAAAAUUUUAAAUUGGCUUCAAUUUUUAGAGUGUUACCAGUUGGUAUCAGAGCCUUGGUUUGAGUGAAUUGGAGGAACAUUCAUUUGAAUAUAGUCUCAAAUCAAGGAGAGUUUUCAAAGGAGAAAUUAAAAUGGUUUUCAAAAUGAGUAAAAGAGGACGCGGAGGUACGAUCAGCCGAAGCUAGUAAGUAGCCCCUAAAUACCAUGCAAGUUAUUUGUUUAUGUAAUAUGAUAGAACAACAUGCUAGUACUAGGCUAGGGAUCUUCAAGAAUUUCAUGAUAGUGUUGCCUGAUUUGUGAUGCCUGCUAGCCUAGGGUUUCUUUCUGUAUGAGAUAUCCAGUGUUCCUCUAGGAGUGAGGGUUGAGUGCUUGGUAUGCCUGUUCUUCACUAGGAUGUUGUCGUGAUACUUGGUAUAAAUAUGGGUAGGUGAGGAAGGUAGUAUGGGCCCGUACUACUGAAAGCACAUGACCCAUACGCGUAUCAAGGAAGUCACAACCCUAGGGCGGUGUUGAGAGUCGGCUCCCGGGUUAGUGGGAGGUAUCUGAUGUUGCGGUAUUUUCUUUCAGUAUGGUGGUUGCAAGGCAUGCUGGGAGCGGAUCCGGAUUAGGAUCGGGAGCAAGAAAGGGCGGUCAGGGUGGGUCAGCACCACCCGAGGUUAUCGGUCAGACGAGCACAAAUGAGUUGAAUGCUAGGAUUCGUGAGAUCCUACAUGAUGAGGUUGUUGCGAUGUUACGGGCUGAGUUGCCGGAACUGUUUGGGUCGAUCAAGACUGCUAUGGUUAAGUAUUUUGAUGACCGUUAUGCAUCUCUUACAGAGACGGCUACCGCGGCAGCUACAGCGGCUGUAGCAGCGGCAGGGGGAGGAGCUGGUAGAGGUUUUCAGUAUCGGGACUUCGAUAAUACGAAGCCCUUACCUUCGAUGGAGUUCAGGACCUGAUUGUUGCUAUGAGAUGGUUGUCAGACAUUGACGGGUGUUUCUUCACGUGCUCAUGCCCUGAUGAUCAGAGGGUGAGUGUGAUCUGAACCUUUUGAGGCUCGAGGUGAAGGAUUGGUCGAGGUUGACCACGGGAUCGUAUUCGGAUGUGCAGCGAGUUGCGGUUUCUUGGGAUCAGUUCAGUGAGAUGUUCAGUACCCGCUAUGUUCCACGAGUUGAGAGGGAGAGAUUAGCUCAGAAGUUCCUGGAGCUGAAGCAGGAUUCCGAGUUGGUGACGGAGAUCACAAGGAUGUUCACUAAGAGGGCGAUGUUUUGCCCUGAGUUUGCUUCUGAACAAGCCCAGAUGUCCCGAUAUUUGAGUAUGCUGAAGAGGGAUAUCAGGCAGUUUGUGUCUAUGAAUAGGUGCGAGACAUUUUUGGAGUUGCAGGAAGCCGCUAGGCGGUGGGAGUUGGAGAUCGAGUUACAGUUGAGAGAGCAGAGGCAGGCUCCGGUAUAGUCGCAACCGGCGCCGAACAGUCUAAGACCGUUGAUGUCAGUUCGAGCAGUCAGAGCAGACGCACUUGUGAGAAGUGCGGGAAGGGUCAUGUCGGAGCUUGUAGGUCCGAUGGUGCGUGCCACAAGUGCGGCAGAGAGGGGCACUACGCGAGGGAUUGUCGUCAGUCAGCCCCAGUCCAAGAUAUGAGGAUUUGCUAUCAGUGUCAUCAGGUUGGCCACAUGAGGGCCAACUGUCCACAGCUAGUUGGGAGGUUGGUGUAGGCUCCAACACCGGCCACAUUAAGGAUUACGGGUGGAGGUCAAGGUGGAGCAGAGCCCCUGAGGGCUUAGGGUCGUGCUUUUCAUCUUACAAUAGAGGAGGUCAAGGCAGUUCCGGAUGUAACUACGGGUACGUUUCCUUUUUGAUAUUUUGUUAUCCUGUGAUUAUUAUGGAGUAUUGUAUAUCUGCUAGUUUCGUUGUGUGAUUUUUGGUAUUGUAUCUGUUGCUCCUUGAGGAUUAUGGUAUGGUUAAGGGUUUGGCAUUGGGAGUGUUGUUGGUUAUCAUCCAUGGGGAUUAUUAGUGGGAAAUCAGGCUUUUGGUCUGAAUCUCGGGUAGCAUCUGCAGUUUGAAGAGUGGUUAGCUGAAGGUCGGGCUUCUUUCAAGUCCGAGAUGAUCAGUGUUGAUAUGUGAUUUUGUGAAGGUUGUUUGUUCUAGUGGGAAUCAGUUCGCGUGUAAAGGAAUGUGCUGUGCAGGGAUGUUAAGGGAGGUCGGUUAUGGCGACUGGUGGUUGAUAGUCAGAGCUCUAAGUGGGGAGAAUUGGAAAAUUCUCUGGAAGAUCGACAAGCAUGAGAGGUUGAUUAGCUGUCUGGGAUUCAACAGCGGUUCUAUCAACCAAGAGCGUAGGCUGGUAUGAGCAAGUGACAGGCAAGCGGGGCAGGUUACAGACCAAGGGUUUUGUAAAAAGGGUGAUUUAGUGUGGAAGGCCUAGGAUUAGGCCGGAAUUGAGUAUGUAGGAUGGAGUUAGAGUUCGGAACCCCCGAGAGGGCUAGACCUGUAUGCAUGGAAGAGUUUUCCAAAGGGAUAAUUUGGGAUGAUAAAUGUUGGAAUAGUGUCUAAGGCUGCAACUAUAUUAGGCAAGUAUUUGACUCGAUUGUACAUGGUCCUUUUAGGUUGCCUUCACCAUAGCAACUUGACAGGAUGAUUUAUUAUGAGAGAAUAGAUAUUAUUAAUAUAUUAUGAGAAUAAUAUAAGGAAUAAUAAUAUUGUUAUUUGAUUAAUAUAAGUCAUAGAUUAAUUAGUAUUAAUUUGGUGACUUAAAGAGAUUAAUUAAAUAAGAGGGUAUAAAUUGUCAAUUGUUUGAUAGUUACACUUUGGGCUAUGAAUCCUUAAGAGAUAGGGUAUGGCCGAUUUCUAGGGCUAGGAUAAGCCUCAAAUCGUCCAAGGAUUAUCUAAGGAAAGGAUUAGGAUUGCUUAGAGUCUAAGUUAUCCAAUUAGGGUUUAAGGGUGAAACCCUAGGAGCCUUACAAGUAUAAAUAGACCCCUUGGGAUAGGGAAAUCGACAUCUCUUCUACAGCAAGAAAACCCUGGCCGAUUUCCUCCUCUCUCCUCUCUCUCAAAUCAUUCUCUUUGCUAGUUGGUGUUUGUAAGCCAUUAGAGGAGUGACAAUUGUGACUCUAAAGCUCCAAGAAAACAAGAUCAAACAAGAGAUUCAAAGGUAAACUUCUAGAUCUGAUUUUGUAUUGUUCUUAUACCUAAUUAGUCNNNNNNNNNNNNNNNNNNNNNNNNNNNNNNNNNNNNNNNNNNNNNNNNNNNNNNNNNNNNNNNNNNNNNNNNNNNNNNNNNNNNNNNNNNNNNNNNNNNNNNNNNNNNNNNNNNNNNNNNNNNNNNNNNNNNNNNNNNNNNNNNNNNNNNNNNNNNNNNNNNNNNNNNNNNNNNNNUUUCAUAUUUAUCUUAUGGAAACUUACCUUUAUCAUAUUAGAUCAACCCAAAUCCGAUUUUAUGAUAUAUAUGACUAUAUUUUUGAUCUAAUUGAAGAUAUUUAUCAAUUAAUAAAAUAUUUAAUUUCCUUAUAUGAUAAUUAUUAAUUAUUUUGAUUAAAUUGGUAAAUUGUUUUUUCAAGAAAUCAUAAAUAAAUCAAAUAUGGAUAAUUAUGUGAUUAAUUGUUAAUUUGAAUUAUUUGUUGUUUGAUCCUUUAUGUUUUAAAUGUUUAAAAAACUUGCCCUCAAGUUUUGAAAUUUAUGUUUUGUGAUUAAAAGUUUAAUUUAGACAAUUUAAAUUUCAAACCCUAGAAUUUUACAAGUUUAAAAUCCAACCCUAUACUAAUAUAAUAUUACAAGAUUAAUAUCUAUAUAUGUAUAACUUAAAUGCUAGUCUUACCGUUAGUAGGCCUCAUUCACGAAGUCGCUCUAUAAGGUGGGUAUAAGGUUGUGGCGUAUAAAAUGGCGCUUAAUGGAUGUACACUCACACCCACCGCUUGAUUGAUCGGUGGAGGGUUGUUAGUCGAACAGGUAGGAUAGGGCAACCUCAUCCUCUCAUUAAAAUUUCCCAAUCUUAGUUACUUUAGGAAAAGUGAAUUGAUGCAAUCCCAUGAAAUUACACUUUGCACCUUGCUAAGAAGUUAGUGGAGCGUGUGUGGUUUACCGGCACACUAAUUGGUUCUAAGCGAAGGUGGCAAAGGGUGAUUCAUUGUUUAUCAUAGUUCGAAGGAGCGUGUGUGGUUUACCGGCACAUCGAAUAUGUGAUCGUUGCAAUGAAGGCACCAUGUGAAUUUGCAUGGUAGUUCACCCCCGCUUUGUGAUCCUCGGUAUCCCAGUCACAAACAAGAGGGGCAUAUCGAGAUUUAAACAUGCCAUUGAAAAGUUCAAUGAAUCUCAUCCAAAACUAGGAAUUCUCAAUACAUUUAGGACUUAAAGUUAUGUUUUUCAUGGUGGAGAAUUAGUGAAUCAUCAUUCACUUACCUUCAAAUUGUUUGCAUGUUAGAUUACGGCAUCCCUUUUCUAAUAUGUAAAUAUUGUUGUUGGAUCCUAGCCCUAAUUUUUCUUAUUGGGUGAUAAUUAGGGAUUCAUAUUCUAAUCUAUCUUUGUCCUUUCUAUUUGUAGAUGUCGAACGCAAACAACGCUGCUGCUAGUUCUUUCACAUUGAUGAGCCUUUGUCAAAAGGUCACUUUCGAUGGGACGAACUUUAGCGAAUGGAUAAGAUACAUUCGCACCAUUGCUCGCUAUGAGGACAAGGAGUAUGUCCUUGAUGAGAAGCUCGAGAAAAUCAACCCUGAAAUCGCUACUCCGGCUGAAAUGACCGCUUUUGAAACUCACGAGCGUGAUGCAACGAAGGUACAUUGCAUCAUGAUAGCCACUAUGAACUCCGAAUUCCAAAAGUCCUAUGAGGACAUGUACCCGUACGAGAUGCAUCAAGACUUAUUGGAGAGAUACCACCAAAACGCGAGACAAGAGCGUUAUGAGAUUUUCACUAACAUGAUUUCCGCUAAGAUGGGUCAUGGAGAGUCUCUUACCGUGCACCUGCAAAAGAUGCAAAGGUAUGUCGACCGCCUUCGCAAGUUAAAUGUUGACUUUGGGGAAGACUUGGCGAUCGACAUGGUGCUUCACUCUUUGCCUCCGAGGUACAAUCAAUUUAGGAUGACCUACCACAUGAACAAAGAGGAGGUCACCCUAAGCAAACUCCAAGGUCUCUUGAGGGUCGCUGAGAGCAACUUCAAGGACAAGUCUGUUGCACCAACUCCCAAUCCACCCGCUGCUCCUGUCUUGGCUAUUGGACAAGGAAAGGGAAAGAAGAGGAAGGCUUCGUCUAAGAACUAUCGCAAGGUUAAAGCCCGAGAUGGUGCCUCUUCUAGUGGGACCAAAGUUGAUCCUGCUAAGCCCUGCCCUAACCCAAAGGAGGCAGAGUGCCACCACUGCCACAAGAUAGGACAUUGGAAGAGAAGCUGCCCAGAGUACCUGCAAGCCAUCAAGGAAGGAAAGAUCAAGCCAUCUUUCGCAGGUAUAUACACAAUUAAAUCUAACGAUUCUAAUCAUGCUAUUUCUUGGGUUCUUGAUACCGGUUGUGGUUACCACAUUUGUUCUAAUGUGCAGGGACUAAGAAGAAGUAGGGAUGUGGAGCAAGGAAGGAUCAAUCUAAUCAUGGGGAACAGAAGAUCGUCGCCUGUGACCAAGAUUGGAGUGUAUUCUUUAGUGCUUAGGAAUAGUUUAUGUUUAGAUUUGAACAAUUGUUGCUAUUCGCCAGAAAUGGCUAGAAACAUCAUUUCAUUUCAUGGUUUAUUUAGACAAGGUUUUAGAUUUUCUUUUAAUAAUGAGAAUGGUUCUAUUUUGGCUUAUCUAAAUGGUGUCUUUUACUUUGAAGCUAUACCAUGUAAUGGAAUUUAUGAAACUGUUAUGAUUGUUGAUAACUUAGGAAAUGAUGUUUUGAACAUAGAUUCUUCCACUAGUAUGGAUAAAGCAUCCUUGUGGCAUUGUCGUCUUGGACAUGUCAACAAGAAACGCAUAGCCCAACUCCAAAAGGAUGGAGUGUUGGAGUCAUUCGACCUUAGGGAAGAUGACACAUGCGAGUCUUUAUUACUUGGAAAGAUGACUAAGUCACCAUUCGCUGGAACGUGCGAAAGGGGCGAGGGUCUGUUGGACCUCAUACAUACCGAUGUGUGCGGAUCGUUUAGAUCUACCACGAAGGAUGGAAACCGCUUCUACGUGACUUUUACCGAUGAUUAUAGUAGAUAUGGGUAUAUCUANUAACAUAAAUUGGAGACUUUUGAAAAGUUUAAAGAGUUUAAAGAUGAAGUCAAGAAUCAAUUAGGCAUGAAGAAAAAGAUGCUCCAACCAGAUAGAGGCGAGGAGUAUCUUAGUAUUGAGUUCCACGACUACCUCAAGGAAUGUGGAAUAGUUUCACAAUUGACCCCUCCUAGGACACCACAACCUAAUGGUAUGGCUAAGAGGAGCAAUCGAACCUUGUUAGACAUGGUUCGUUCCAUGAUGAGUCGAGCUUCUCUUCCAAUUUUGUUCUCGAGGUAUGCCUUAGAUACUGCCGCCCAUAUCCUUAACCGAGUCCCUACUAAGAAGGUUUCCAAUACACCUCACGAGAUGUGGAUGGGGAAAGCUCCUUCGUUGGCACAUAUCAAGGUUUGGGGUUGCGAGGCUUUCGUAAGACGAGAUACUCACGACAAGCUCGAACCUCGAAGUGAGCGAUGUAUUUUCAUCGGCUACCCGCAGACAUCCUUUGGAUAUCUCUUCUAUAGACCGAAGGACAAUGUUGUCUUCGUUGCGAGGAGAGGAGUUUUCCGAGAGCGAGAACUCAUAAGCCAAGGAGACAGUGGGAGGCAAAUCGAGCUUGAAGAGAUUCAAGAGUCGAUAGAUGAAGGAACCUCUACCGCUGGCACUCAACCCGAGGAGGAAACUCCGGUUGAACCGAUUGACGAAUCCUUACCUCUUAGACGUUCCGAUAGAGUUAGAGUUCAACCCCAGUUUUAUGGUUUUCAUAUUACUACCGAAGGGGACACGUAUAUUAGUGAUGGUACACUAAUAAAUCUUGAUGAACCUAAUAGCUAUAAGGAAGCCAUGGCAGGCCCGGAGUCUGCAAAAUGGAAAGAGGCAAUGGAUAGCGAGAUCCAAUCCAUGUAUGAUAACCAAGUUUGGAAUUUGGUUGAUUAUGUGCCCGGACGUAAGACCGUUGGGUGCAAAUGGAUCUUCAAGAAGAAGACCGACGUGGAUGGAAACGUACACACAUAUAAAGCGCGAUUGGUUGCGAAGGGCUUUACUCAAACUCCCGGAGUUGACUAUGAUGAGACCUUCUCACCAGUUGCGAAGAUUAAAUCUAUUAGAGUGAUGCUAGCAAUUGCCGCAUUUCAUGAUUAUGAGAUUUGGCAAAUGGAUGUCAAGACCGCUUUCCUUAACGGAAAGUUGGCUGAGGAUGUUUACAUGGCUCAGCCAGAGGGGUUUGUGGAUCCGAAGCAUCCGAAUAGAGUGUGUAAGCUUGAGAAGUCCAUUUAUGGACUUAAGCAAGCGUCUCGCAGAUGGAAUCUUUGCUUCGAUGAGAAAGUCAAAGAGUUUGGAUUUGUACGAAGCGAAGACGAAUCUUGUGUAUAUGUCAAAGCCAGUGGGAGUAUAGUAAGCUUCCUCGUUCUAUAUGUCGAUGACAUAUUACUCAUAGGAAACGACAUCCCGACUCUGCAGGAGGUUAAGUCCUGGCUCGGGAAGUGCUUCGCUAUGAAGGACCUCGGAGAGGCUUCUUACAUUUUGGGAAUAAGGAUAGUAAGAGAAAGAAGUAAGAGACUAAUUGGACUUAGUCAGAAUACUUACUUAGAGAAGGUACUAAAACGUUUUAGUAUGGAAAACUCAAAGAAGGGAGAACUACCGAUACAAAGUAAUGCCAAAUUGAGUAAGACUCAAAGUCCGAGUACCGAAGCUGAGAUAGCAGAAAUGAGCCGAGUACCAUACGCUUCCGCAGUUGGCUCAAUCAUGUACGCUAUGACUUGUACUCGCCCUGAUGUAGCCUUCGCUUUGAGCAUGGUUAGCAGAUAUCAAGGGAAUCCUGGCAGAGCACAUUGGAUUGCGGUGAAGAAUAUCCUUAAGUACCUUCGGAGGACGAAGGAAUGGUUCUUAGUCCUCGGAGGGAGUGAUGACUUGAAGGUGCGAGGGUAUAGUGACGCCAGUUUUCAGACCGACAGGGACAACUACCGUUCGCAGUCGGGCUGGGUCUUUACCCUAAAUGGAGGAGCAGUGACAUGGAAGAGUUCCAAGCAGGAAACCGUAGCUGAUUCAACGUGCGAAUCAGAGUACAUUGCAGCGAGCGAAGCGUCGAAGGAGGCAAUAUGGCUAAAGAACUUCAUCGGUGAUCUUGGAGUUGUACCUGCCAUAAAGGAGCCCAUGGAGAUUUUCUGUGAUAACGAAGGAGCGGUUGCCUUGACCAAGGAACCGAGGGAUCAUGGUAGAUCAAGACAUAUCGACAGAAAAUAUCACUUCAUUAGACAUCGUGUAGAAGAAGGACAACUCGUAGUGAAGAGGAUAUCAUCAGAAGAUAACCCAGCAGAUCCGCUUACGAAGGGACUGAGUAGGGUUAAGCACUUGCAGCAUGCUAGGAGUAUUGGGCUGAAGGAUGAUAUUAGCAUAGAUUAGAUAGUAUUAGAAACGUGUAAUAGAUAAAUGUAAUUAACAUUUGAUGAUUAAAUAAAGGAGUUUUAUUUAUGAGUAAUGUUACUGUCUUAUGUUAAUUGUUUAACUAUUGUUUCACUUUGCAUGUUUUGACUUCCAGAAUAAUUGAGUUUAUUAAGAAUAAUCGAAUUAUUCAAAUUGUCCACAAUCGUUCAUAUGUUGGAAGUAGAUAUGAAUGAAGAUUGUCAUGAAUUGGUGUGUAGAUUGUCUAAAUGGUGUUAGACAUAGCAAAAGAUUGCUGCAACGUUCAUGAGUGCUUAUGAACUAGUUUUGAGCAUUGGAACAAACCCGCGCUUGCUGGAAUCACCUUAUGGAAUAUGAUAUAAAAGGGUGAUCGCAAGACGAUAAUAUCAUAUAGUCUUAAAACCUAGAUAUAUGGUUUGUUAUUUGUUAAUUGAUUGUACAUUGAUAAUGCGAAAACGCAUCAGUAACUCGGUGUUAUAAAACGCAUUGUUGUGUAUAGUUGAUUAAUGAAUAAGUAAAUGCAUAUAAGUCGAAGUUUAUCUGUAACUUUUAUCCUAAGAAGGUAAAAGCGAUAUCUCGGCCGCUCGAUGAUUUGAUUUGACUUAUGUGUUGGGCCCGGUCAGAACUGAAUUGAUGUGUUCGAUUAAGUUCUAUGUCAAAUAAAUCGGCGAUCGAGAAACCAAAUGCUAGACUAAUCAUUCCAUAGAAUUGUCAGCAUGAUAUCUAACAGAGGACUGUACGAUCCCUUAUCUAAAGGACAAGAUUGAUUAGAUCAGAUUUGGACAGCGUCUUUGAGAGCUACGAUUGCAAAUUGGAUUGUACUUGUGCAUAUAGUUACUAGACUUAUCCAAGUGGGAGACUGUUGGAAUAGUGUCUAAGGUUGCAACUAUAUUAGGCAAGUAUUUGACCCGAUUGUUCAUGGUCCUUUUGGGUUGCCUUCACCAUAGCAACUUGACAGGAUGAUUUAUUAUGAGAGAAUAUAUAUUAUUAAUAUAUUAUGAGAAUAAUAUAAGAAAUAAUAAUAUUGUUAUUUGAUUAAUAUAAGUCAUAGAUUAAUUAGUAUUAAUUUGGUGACUUAAAGAGAUUAAUUAAAUAAGAGGGUAUAAACUAUGAAUUGUUUGAUAGUUACACUUUGGGCUAUGAAUCCUUAAGAGAUAGGGUAUGGACGAUUUCUAGGGCUACGAUAAGCCUCAAAUCAUCCAAGGAUUAUCUAAGGUAAGGAUUAGGAUUGCUUAGAGUCUAAGUUAUCCAAUUAGGGUUUAAGGGUGAAACCCUAGGAGCCUUACAAGUAUAAAUAGACCCCUUGGGAUAGGGAAAUCGGCAUCUCUUCUACAGCAAGGAAAACUUGGCCGAUUUCCUCCUCUCUCCUCUCUCUCAAAUCAUUCACUUUGCUAGUUGGUGUUUGUAAGCCAUUAGAGGGGUGACAAUUGUGACUCUAAAGCUCCAAGAACAAGAAGAUCAAACAAGUGCUUCAAGGUAAGCUUCUAAUUCUGGUUUUGUAUUGUUCUUAUACCUAAUUAGCCAUUAGAAGUCUUGGAUUCAGUGCAUGUUUAAUUAGAGAAACUUAGAUCCAAACAUUAGGGUUUGUAUGUGCACAUAGGAAUGUUCAUAUGUCUAAAACCCAUCAAUAAAUGCUAGUCGAGAGGUCCGGAUAGACUGAAGGCCGGUGGGCAUACCAGUCAGGCUGAAGGCCCUGGAGGGCGGUCCAGACAUGCUGAAGGUUCUGAGAGUGGUCUAGAUUGGCUGAAGGCUUGGUAAGGCGGUCCAGUCAUGUUGAAGACUUCGCAUGUGUCAAUAGAUAUGUAUGAAGAGAUGGAAUGAGCAUGUUGCGAUAUGAUAGCAUCAGAAGGUCUGGCCCCGGGCAUUGAUCAUGAUUAGUGGAAGGUAGUGCAUGGACUUGAGAGUACUGGCGAGCAGAUUUAGAGCAUGUGUGGUGCAUGGGAUAGCAGUUAUGCUAUAAGGGAAUGGUGUAGCGUUGGGCGAGCACCAUGGCACUUGUUGUAGUGACAAGGCGGCCAAGUAGAUUUCCUUGGAUAAGGAAAGGGAAAGGUAUGUAGCUCUGAGAGGGAGUGUAAGUUAAUGGAAGCGAAAGCAGUAGCGCAGAGGUAUGAUUGAGGUGUUUGAAUCAUGGUUAUUGAGCAGAGUGUUUGCGGCAGUGUUAUGGAAUCACAUACGGGUUGGAUGGCUGCGUAGGUCACGGAAGGAGUUCCGCGGGUGUAGAGCCAAAGAGGCUUUGAAGGGAUGCAAGGAUGGAGCCUUAGAUUCCCAGUUUGGUGUGAACAAGGAAUUAUGCUUGUAGCGGUAAUUCAUCCUAGGGGGGAUGUUUGGAGGUGUCAUCAGUGCGUCGGGUUUUCCCAACCCGAGAAUGCUAGAGCUAGUUCAACAUGUGUAUGUGAUGACAGAGAAGAACUCAUGGGAGUUGCUCUAAAGCUGAAGGAAGUGUUGUCAUGUCAGCAUGGAAGGGAUAGAGUUGGACUCAGUAAAGGAUCAAGUUAAGUCUUAGUAGUGAAUUCGGUGAAGGAUAUGUCUGACGAGGAAAAUGAUAGCAGUGCGGUACUGGGUCGGGAUCCCGGUGGUUCAAGGUUAUAUCUAGCUCGUAAGAGUCAAGUGAUUAUUGUGAUCUGGAACGAGUAAAGUACCAUGAAGUGGUACUCGGUUGAUAGGUGUGGUUAUCAAAGGAUGAAACCGGUGGCCGGCUUGAGGCGGUGGUCAGGACACUGCAGGGGAAGAGUUGGGUUUCGGGUUUCGAUGGUAGUGUUUUGAGGAACCUGGUUUGGUUAAUGCUAGGUUGUGCAUUGCAAGAAUAGUUAUUGGAAUUGUGUGUUGCAGCAGGCUUCGGGGACGAAGCCUAAUUUAAGUGGGGGAGAAUUGUAACAUCCCGGAAAUUCAUAAGUAAAGUUGAAGGGCUAAAAGUGUAAAUAAGAAGGUCGACUUAGCGAGCCUAUGGAUAGACUUGGCGAGUCGAGUCACGUUUCAGGUCGCGUGAUAAGUGACCAACUCGGCGAGUCACAUGGGUAGACUCGGCGAGUUGGUGUUGUAUGGAGAAAACCCUAAUCCCGGGGGUUGAGCCCUAUAUAAAGAACAUAAUACCCCCUCCCCAGCCUUUUUACCUUCCCUUUGAGUUCCAGAGGCCUAAAUUCGUGUGAGCUUUCCUUUGUGAGUAAUUAGAGCCUUGGAGGAAAUCUUGGAAGGGAAUUAAAGAGCAAGAAGAUUUGGAACAAGGGGCUUUGCAGAGAUUUAGUUCAUUCUCCAGUGGAAGCUUGCAUUGGAGGUAAGAGAUCUGCUCUUGAGCUUUUGUGCAUCUAGAUCUAUCAAUUGUGGGGUUUUUGGAGCAUAAAUGAGGUUCAUCUCGAGUUUGGUGUAAGAUCUGAGGUUGCUACCUCAGAUCUAGGAUUGUAGUGAUCCAGGAAGCCAUAAAGUUCAUGCCCAAGAGUUGUUAGUGAAGCCUUCUUGUCCCAAACCUUAUCCCAAGAGUGUUCUAUUCUUAGAUCUCUUUGGAUUCACGUAAAGUUUGCAACUUUACGUGAGGAAUAGCUUGUGGAAGGGUAGAUCUAUGAAUUGGAGCCCCUGCAUGGCUUGGAAAGCCACUCAAUGGAUUAAGAGCUAGUGGUACUCAGCGAGUUGCAUGAAGAUAGGCAGAAACUCGGCGAGUUUGAAGAACAACUCGACAAGUUGGAAGAACAACUCAGCGAGUUGGUUGAAGAUAGCCUUGGACUCGGUGAGUCUAUUCGUGAGGUCCUAACCUUUCCUGGUUGAGCUGUGAAUCGGUGAGUCAAGGGACGACUCGGUGAGUUUGAGCGGGAAGUGACUCAGAGUUCUUGGGACUCAGCGAGUCUUCGGGCGACUCGACGAGUUGGGUCGCGAUAUGGGAGUUUUCAGAGUUGAGGGACUCGACGAGUCAGAGGGCUGACUCGGCGAGUAGGGUCAAUCAGGAAGUUUGACUUUGACUGAGGACUUUGACUUUGACCAAGAGUUGACUAGUUGUCUUCCAAGGGUAAUUUGGUAAUUUUUGGUAUUUAUUGAGUUCGGUCUUUUGGUAUUGUCAGUGGUGGAGUUUGUGUCAGAGGUUGGAGUAGCGUGAUCUUAUCUUUUCAGUCAGCAGUUGCAAGGUGAGUUAUCCUCACUAUAUCGACAGGGUCUAAGGCACCAAUGCCGGCCCUUUAUUGGAUUGUAAUCUGGGUAUCGUUGUUAUGUUGUUGCUUUGCUAUGUUUGCAUCAUGGUAGUUAGGAUGGUAUAUGUUAGAGACCUGGUUAAGGUCAAUAGCUUGGUAUAUAGGAUGAUGCUAUGCUAGUGACCGGUUAGGUCAGUAUCAUGUUUGGAGUAUGUUAUGUUAUUUGAUCUGCUAGAUCGGUUUGAUUGGAUGUGAAUUGUUAUAUGAUUGUAUGUUUAUGUGCACAUGGUUAUCGGACUGGAGUUGGGUUGAGGCGGGUCCUGCUUUGCGUUGUAGGCCAACACACCCAAGGAGGACCGGUUAUCCCGAAGGCCAACGAGCGGUCCGAAUAGGCUGUAGGCCCCACGAGGGCAGACCAGACGUGCCGAGGCUCGGAGAGUGGACCAGGCCGACUGAAGGCCCGGUGCAGGCGGACCAGUCAUACUGUAGACUUAGAGAGUGGACCAGGUGGGUUGAAGGCCCGGUGUGGGCGGAUCAACCACACUGCAUACUCGAUGGAUAUCGAUAGACUCAUAGGGUGGACCAGGUGGAUUGAAGGCCCGGUAGGGCGGACCAGUCACACAGUAGACCCGAAGUGCAUAGAUAUUCUGUUCGGUUAUGUUAUGUUAUGCGUGGUAUAUGUGGUUGGUAUUUUGGGGGUAUCUCACUAAGCUUUCGGGGGCUUACAGUUGUGGUUUAUAUUUUUCAAGUACUUCAGGAGACUGUGGCAAGGCGAAGGCGUGAUCGUACCGCUCCUCAUGUUUUUGUUUUACGAUAUGGUUCUGGGAAGACUCUGAUAAUAAUUGUAUUGAAAACCUUUUUGUAAUGACUUAAUGAAAGUGGGUUGUUUUUGAAAUAUUUAAAUUGGCUUGAACUUUUAGAGUGUUACAAGAACAUUUGUUCACCAAGGAAUGUAAAAACAAAUGAACUAACAUAUGAACAGUGCCGCUGAAUAAAAGAAGUUCACGAAGAGGCAUUUGCAAUAUUAAAUUUCAUCAUGAACCAUAACAUGAGGCUCUCGAUUUUCACCAAGUUUACUCCUCUUAGGCUGCUUUGUGUUGCUGACACUCGCUUUGCCUCCAUUAUUGUGAUGCUUAAGAGAUUGAAACUUAUCAAAAAGGGUCUUCAAGCUAUGGUCAUAAGCGAAGAAUAGUGUUCUUAUAGAUUAGAUGACACUGAGAAAGCAAACGCUGUGAAAGAGUAUAUUUUGAAUGAUGAUUGGUGGGAUAAAGUAACAUAUAUUCUUAGUUUCACUGGAGCUAUAUAUGAGAUGAUUAGAGCUUGUGACACUGAAAAGCCAUGUUUACACUUGGUCUAUGAGAUGUGGGAUUCUAAGAUUGAGAAAGUGAAGAUUGAGAUCUACAAGAAAGAAAAACGUCCGAAAUCUCAAAUAAGUUGUUUUUACAAUGUUGUGCAUCGUAUUUUAAUUGCUCGAUGGGCGAAGAAUAACACUCCCCUACAUUGUUUAGCUCACUCUUUACAUCCAAUGUAUAAGAUUUUAAAUUAUACACUUGAUUUGUAUUAUAUAUUUAUGUUUUAACUUUUGGAUGUUUGUAGAUAUUAUAGUGAUGCAUGGUUAAUGGAGGAUUCUACAAGAUGCGCUCCACAUAGGGAUGAAGAUGGGAUAAGGGAGAUGUGGGGCCAAUAAGAGCUUCUUCUAAUGCUCAUUUCUUUUGAAUUUGGGCAUUUAUCGAUUUUCAAAGAAAAAAGUGAAGGAAACACCUUUUCUGGUAGAUGUAACGUUUUUGGGCAGUUGGAAACAGAGAGAUGCUGGAGAGAGGUGAGGUGUUGGAGUCUCCCAUUGAAACUGAUUCCGGUUUCCCAAAUUCCAGUUUCCCAAAUUCCUUUUUUCCUUUAUGGAAACAGAAGCAAGAGAUGAAGGAAGAAGAUGUGACAAUUGAUUACAGUUUUUCACAUCAUUAUAUAGUCCGCGAUAUAAUAUUAAGUUAUCUAGUGUAGGAGUGUUCAAAACCGGAUAUCCGAAAAUUUGGAUAUCCGAAUUUCGGAUAUCCCAAAAUUCAGAUAGUGUAUUAUUGGUAUCUAAAUCCGUAUCCGAAAUUUCAGAUAUCCGAAUUUUCGGAUACGAAUUCGGAUAUCAAUAUCGGAUAUCCAAAUUUUUUGGCUUUUUUGUUAUUAUCAAAUAUCGAUUAACUUAAAAUAACCUAUUUUAAAAUAUAUUAAGUUGUUAAUUGUCUAUAAGAUGCAACUCAACCCAACAGUUACAAACCACUUGCAAUUCAAAACAAAAAAGACGUUGAGCCAUCAUGUAUUAAAUGUUAAAACAUUUGUAACCACAAUUAGACUCAUUGUUCGGAUAGACCUAAAAAGAUAAAAACAUUUCGCUCUUAAUGUCCUAAUAAAUAAAACAUAACCACCUUAAAAAAAACUAUAAUUUCAGUUUUAGUUGCAAGUCAUCAUAUGUAUCGAUUUUGAAAGUAAUCCUAUAAGCUCCUUUAUAUUUGUUUUAUGUGGAAAAAGAAAAGACACUUCCAUUUGUCAUGAAGAUUAUGUUCAUCUGUUUCAAGUUAAUAAUAUUAUUAGUUAACAGAUUCGUACUUAACAUUUUGCCUUUUCAAAAUGUUCAUAACCAUCUUAUAACAAAAAUAUAAAUCAUACAUUCCAUAUUAAAAGUAAACCUAUUUAUUAUAUAAAAGCAUUUAGUUUACCUUGUGAAUAAUAAAUAAAAUAUGAUAAAAAUAAUAAAAAAUAAAUUUUUGGAUAUCGGAUAUCCGAAAUAUUCAAAAUUUUAGAAAACGAGUAUUUGUAUCCGAAAGUGAUAGCAGUACAAAGAGGUGCAACAUGUGCAGAGAGAGAAUUGCUAAUGCUAUCAUGUCACAUGGAUACGUAACAAUGUAAGUAUUUGUAUGACUUUUCGUACAAACAUCUCCAAAACACUUCUGAUUAGAGCAUUUUAAAACUAUUUCUACUGUCAAAGCAGUACUAAUUUUCUCACAAGCAAAGCCACAAACACCUUGUGUGCAAACUUAUCAACCACUUUCCAUAGUCUUCAAAGUCCCUCUGUUUGAACCAGCAGUUGGCAACUCACAGACAGGUCGAGGUGGAAAUGGAGGCGGAGGCUAGUUUCUAUGUUUUAUCAUAAGCCCACUGUUAAAAGAUCCAUGUUAAUAAUAAUUUUAUAACAGGAAUGAUACUGAGUAAAUUGGCACAUAGUAGUAGAGAGCUUACCCUUUGCAAUUUUUCCCCCAUUGUUUCUGUUGUUCGAUCAUUACAGAUUGUCCAAAAAGAUCAAGCUGAUAAAUUUAUAAUCCAUCUCCAAGAUUUGAUCCCACAUAAAUUACAAACUCCUACAUCUCCAAAUUUAUGAAAAACAUACAAAAGUCAGAAAGUCUAUAAAGAGAAGUUGUUCAUUCGGAAAUGACUACCGGAUACAUUAUGACAAAUUAAUUAUACGAGUACAAUUCAGCAAUUAUUCACCAAAUAACAAAAGAAAAAAUAAUUGAAAAAUGAAUCAUAAACAAUAAAACACAUAUCAUGGUCCCUCCAAAGAAGUACACUAAAUAGAAAUACCAAAUAUGCUCUGAAAGGAAAAAACAUGGAGCUAAUAAAUAUAUGGCAGUGAAAGAUAAAUAGCAUUUCUGUUCACGAUAAUUCACAAAUAUAGAAUCAUAUUUAGCCGUGUUAAUAUCGAUCUACUUAAUGAAAAUUACAUCAACAUAAUCUUAAUGGGUUUAAUUAGUAUUAAAGCGGGUCAGAAGUCAUGCAUAAGACUACAUUAAAUUAGGCGGUAUAUUAUCAAAAUGACUCAUGAUUUGAAAGUAUUUAACUUGUUUGUUUGUACUACAUUAAGUUAUUAUUAUUCUUAUCCUUGUGAUUUCUUCUACAACUUUAAAAGACAAUGAUAACUUUAGUCUUCACAACCAAUCCUAGUCCACCAUACACCAACUUAAUUCCUUUUGCAAUCCAUUGUGGUACUCUCACGUUUUACAGCCCUAAUCAUAUUAAAUCAGUAAACAUACCAUGUUAACAAACGAAUAUCUAGACGUAAAUAGAACUUUUAUCGAAAUACAUCCUUGGAUAUCUAAAAUGUUGGUUGAAUGGCAGUAAUUUAAUUUAUACGUUAUGGAAGUAAAAGAAGUCAAAAGGCAUAGAUAAUGGCGCACCUUCACAAAAAAAUAUAGUCAUCCUCGUGGAGGCGUGGGAUUAGAGAGACGACGGGCCAAUAGGAGCCUCCUAUACUAGUCUUUUUUUUCAAAUUUGGGCAUUCAAUAAUUCCCAAACUCAAAAGUGAAGACAACUUUUCAGGUAGAUCCAUCAUCUUUGGGCACUUGACAAUGGUGAGAUGUUGGAGGGAGGUGAGGUGUUGGAGUCCCGUUGAAACUGAUUCCAGUUUCUCAAAUCUUUCUAUGCAAAGCUUAGUAAGAGAUGAAGGAAAAAGACCGGACAACCGACUAAAAUCAGUCACAUCUUCAUAUGGUCCGCCAUAUAGAUGUAGGUAACCAAGUGAGGUUGGAAAACUCUGUGGGCCCCACUCUGACAUGGGCUUCUUCAACCCUCCUAUGGUAAGGUGACACAGUUUUGGUGGCCAAAGCCCACCAGGAAAGGAAGCAUCCAUACUUGUACAGUUUUGUAUUUGCAAAUGUGUUAACGAGGCAAGAUUCGGCAACUCAUGGUCAGGAAAUGGAAAUGACUCCAGACUUGGACACUCUUCUAUUCUGAAUGUGGUCAGAUGGAUGAAGUACUUCAAUUCAUUCAUCGAUUUAAGUUUCUUGCAGUUCCAGAUGGAAAGUGACUUGAGCUUCUGCCCUCCUCCUGUUGGGAAAGACACAGAUGUAAUUGAAUCACAGGUAAAAAUAAACAAUGACUGAAGACUAUCUGGACAGCUGCAAUGCUGUAAGCUGUCACAAUCAGAUACCCACAACCACCUAAGAGAUUUUAGGUUGCUCCCACAAUUAUCCUCCUCUUUCUCUCCUAAACUCACCAAAUUUGAACAAUAAAGUACCUUCAACCUCCUUAAAUUCGCAAGAAGCUUACCUGCCUCUGCUUCAGAUUCCCACAGGUAUCUUAUUUCACUACAGCAUUCUAUUCUUACUUCUUCAACUUCCCUAAGAUACUUCAUAACACCUCCCCACACCUCAUGAGUAAGACCUGAAAUAUCAUAUAAUAUCAACUUGGUGACUGAUGAAGCGACAUGAACCAGGCUUGUCAACACACCAUGACCACAUCCUUUUACUGUCAUAACUCUGAGUAAAGGUAGUUUUUCAAGUGAGACUUCAACCAGAUUAGGACAAAAUAGAAUAAUAAGCUCUUUAAGGCAUGGAAACACUGCUGCAUCUACAACCCCAUUGUUAUUGGUUGACCAUACCCCCCAUGAUGGCAUACUAUCAAAAGUUAGAAUUUCAAGGGAUGGGAAUGCAACACCUGUUCCAAGCAACUCCCAACCUACAACUUUCACCUUACUCAUCUUCCCAAUAUACAACUCCUUAAGUGAUGGUAGCUGCCCAAGUCUUGGUAGAGAUGUACAUUCUUCACACCCAUAUAUCGACACGUGAGUCAACCUAAGAAACGAAGGAUCCCCAACCCAAUUAGGAAACUCUAUACCCGCAUAUGACACAAUUUCAAGCUUCUUCAAACUAUCAGUUUGAGGCUUCAGCUCAGUAAGGACCUCCUUAUCAUGUGUCUCCUUUCGAAAAACAUUCAACUCAGACAACCCAAAACUCACAGCAAACUCCAACAUAUGAAGCCUCUUUUGCAAUAACCCAUAACCCCAAUCCAACUCUAACUCGGUAAGCCUCUUUUGUGAUAAGUGUGAGCCGCGUGCCUCCGUUUCAUUUUGUACAUUGCCCAACCCCCAAAUGGAAAUUUUCCCAUGGAGAUUUUGCAAGUUUUUAAGCUCGGUUAUUGCAAAUCCGUUUUCACCACCAAUUAUGAUCUUGGAGAGAGUUUGUAGGCCUUUCAACUCACCAAUCCCUAAGGGCAUCUUCUUCAAACAAGGAGUAUCCCUAAUGUCCAAAUGCCUCAAAUUUUUAAGCUUUAAGAAGCUAUUGGGCAACUUAGUUAAACAUCUACAGCCAAAAAGGAUCAAUGUCUGGAGAUUAUAAAGCUUGUAGACAUUUUCUGGUAAAAGUUUGAUAUAAGUUCGAGAUAAAUUCAGAUACCGCAAGUGCUUUAAACUGCCAAUGAAUUCGGGUACCUCGCUUAUGCCAAGAUGACUCAAACUUAGGACCCUUAACAAUGGUAACUCCUGAAGUAAGUUAUCCAGGACCUUAUUUGAUAAGUAGAAUGUUUCCCUCUUUCUUAUCGCCCCAACAGAUAAGGCUAAUAAUGUUCUCAAACUUUUAGCUCCUUUUAGUGGCUCGAACCUUCCGGAAACCAUGUAUUCCUCACGAACAAAUGACAGAUGACGGUACUUUUCGAAUGAUUCAUUCCUAUAUUCUUUCUCCAUCCCAAUGUCUACCCUUGAAAAAAACUCUCCAGCAACAGAUGUGGCCAAGUCACUCAUGAGAUCAUGCAUCACAAACAACGAUUUGUCAUUUGGUGCAGCUUGAAAAAAUGACCUUGACCACAACGCAUUAAAAUACUCGAGACCCAAGCGUUCCAUUGUCUUGUUUGUCGUUGAUUGCAAAAAACCUUCUGCCAUCCACAACAGAAUCAACUUCUCCUUGUCAAACUCAAAGUCCUUGGGGAACAAGGAGCAGUAUGCAAACAACUGCUUCAAACAUGGAGAGAGAUCAUGGUAGCUUAAUUUGAGAGCUGGAACAAUCCCAUCUCCCUUUUCUAGACUCCAUAUCUCACUAUUCAGCACUUCUUUCCAGUCUUCCUCAUCUAUUUUUGUCCUUAAUAACCUUCCAAGUGCUUUCAAAGCCAACGGCAACCCAUUACAUUUUCUGACAAUACCUUCACCAUGUGGUUUAAGUAGCGGAUGUGAAUCAAAGUUUUUUUCUCCCAAUGCAUGCUGACAAAAUAAGGAUAAAGCACUUUCAUCUGAUAGAAUAGGCAAAUGAUAAGGUUCAUUGUUACCAAGUUGGGUUAACAACGACAUCUUCCUGGUUGUCAUGAUAACUUUACUUCCGGGUGCCCCUGCAAGAAAUGGCCCUGCUAGGAUUUCCCAAUCCGUAUAGCUUUCACUCCACACAUCAUCUAAAACAAGCAGAAAUCGCUUAUUUGAGAUCUUCUCUCUUAAAGCUACUUGCAGCAGAUUUAAAUCCUUAAAUACUUGGUUUCCCCCACCUACUGAUUGAAAAAUAAUAUUGCUUAUAUUGAAGAUAUCAAACUCAUCAGAAACACAGACCCACGCCAUGAGUUCGAAAUCAUCCUUCCCUUGCAUUUCAUUAUACAAAAGUCUAGCGAGAGUGGUCUUACCUACCCCACCCAUACCAACUAUGGGCACGAUGCUAAAGUUUCUAUCACAUGGUUCAUAUAGCUUGUGGAUCAAAGCAUCCUUUUCAUCUUUGCGUCCAAUAAUACUAGAUGCAUCUACCAGAGAGGUCUCUAACCUUCUAUUUCUAUGUUUUGGGCUUUCACCUAUCACACUCAAACCAAGCUUAUAUUUUUCCUCAAACAGUUCUUCUAACUUGGUGAUAAUAUUUUCAAACCUGUCGUGCAUCCUAACACUUUCGGGUGAGAUAGUAAACAUACUUGGUAAGAGCUUUCUUAACUUGCUCGGGGUUUCAGAUUCCUCUGAGAAUUCACGAUGCAUAGCUUCAGUUUCCAAUUCGUCAAGUAGGUCGUCUAUGUCGUAAGCCAAAUGUUGGAGACUAUUCAGCCAUUCUUUAACAGCUUCCUGACGUAUUUCCUUCUCAGAAGCAUCAUUAAGCAGAUCUUUGAUCUUGAUUAACGACAUCUUUAAUUUCUCCAUGUCGUCGUCAUCGAUUUUCUUGAAACGAGCAAACUGCUUGAAGGUAUCAGAGGCCAGCUUGUCACAAAACAAAGAGUACAAGGCAGAAAUGAUUCCAGCCAUUGCUUGUGGUGAAGGCGUAGGUAUGAAUGAUCGGGAUGAAGAUGAAUUAAGUGUGACUGUGGAUUGAAAAGAACGAUUCAAGCCUUAGUUCAGUUAGUUGUCCAUUGUUUUGGUCAACGUCUUUUUACCACUGCUUUACUUUUGUACUACCUCCGUCCCAAAUUGAUAGUCCACUUUUGACUUUUGAAGUCUUUUUCCUUCAAUUUUGACCUUAAAUAUUUUUGUUUUUUAUAGAUAAUACUUGAUGCAAAAUAUAUGAAUGGAUUAUAUUUUAAAUGUUUUUUCAUUGUUAUAAGUUUUAUCAAGUAAUAUAUAACACAAAUAAAACUAUUUAAGGUCAAAGUUGAAGAAAAAAGACUUCAAAAAUCAAAAGUGGACUAUCAAUUUGGGACGGAGGGAGUAUUAUAAAUAUAAAGUGAUAUUUCCACUAGUAAUUUUAAAUUUUUAAUUCAUCCACUUAACAAAUAUGUAAUCAUUUUAUAUAUAAAGUGAUAUUUCCACUUGUGAAUUAAAAUUUUUAAUUCAUCCACUUAACAAAUAUGUAAUCAUUUUAAAUAUAAAGUGAUAUUUCCACUUGUGAUUUUCAAUUCUUAAUUCAUCCACUUAACAAAUAUGUAAUCAAAUGACUCAACAAAUUUUCACAUCUCUGUUCCUAUAACUGAUGUCUACUUGGACCUGAGCCCAUUUAUUUUUAACUGCUGUCAUACACAUGUCAUAUAAUACAAAAUUUCUGUAGUGAGAUAUAUUUUCUAGGUGGCCCACAAAGAUUAGCAUUAUGCCAUUAUACAGAACUUGUGCUGUGUAUGCUAGAAAACACGUUUAAAAUGUACAAAACUGUUGCUAACACUACAGGAAAGUGAUAGCAGUACAAAGAGGUGCAACAUGUGCAGAGAAUUGCUAAUGCUAUCAUGUCACAUGGAUAAGUAACAAUGUAAGUAUUGGUAUCGACUCUUCGUACAAACAUCUCCAAAACACUUCUGAUUAGAGCAUUUUAAAACUAUUUCUACCAUCAGAGCAGUACUAAUUUUCACACAAGCAAAACCACAAACACCUUGCGUGCAAACUUAUCAACCAUUUUCCAUACUCUUCAAAGUCACGUGUUUGAGACAGCAGUUGGCAUUUGGCAACUCACAAACAGGUCGAGGUGGAGAUGGAGGCGGAGGCUAGUGUCUAUGUUUAUCAUAAGCCCACUGUUAAAAGAUCCAUGUUAAGGAUAAUUCUAUAACAGGAAGGAUACCGAGUAAAUUGGCACAUAGUAGUAGAGCUUACCCUUGGUUUCUUCUUCUGUUUUUCUUCAUCUGUUUUUUUUUUACCUUCAUUUCUUCUUGUAUCAAUGCAAAUGCUUCAUCAAUUAUUUCUUCUUCUGUUUUUAUGAUAUUAUCAGAAUUGAGAAACAAUUUAAGUGACACAGUAUUGAAUGAAAUGAUAUAACCAUAGAUGGAAAUGUUUUAAGUAAAAUUAAGAAGAAAUUGAUGUAUCUGUUUUGUUUGAAAAUGAAAAAUUACGUUCAUUCUUGUAUCAAUGCGAACUCAUUCAUCAAUUAUAGCUCCUAAUGCCAUUGGUAUGAAUUUAACUUUAGAAUUAUGAAAACUACUCGCACUAUCAAUACUUACACCAAUCAUUUACGAACAAGUUAAAAAGUAAAUUACUAAAAUCGUUCCUAUGGUUUUGUCAAAAUUUGGUCCCUAACUUUUUCUUUGCACUCGGACCAUCCCUAUGGUUUGAUUUCGUUGUGUUUUUCGUCCCUAUGGUUUGGUCAAAAUUGCACGUUUGGUCCUUAAUUUUAUGUAUGUAAGGGAAAAAACACGCAACAAAAUCAAACCAUAGGGACGAUCCGAGUGCAAAAGAAAAGUUAGGAACCAAACGUGAAAUUCUAACCAAACCAUAGGGACGAUUUUAGUAAUUUACUCAAGUUAAAAUUAAAAAAAGAAUUAAACUAUAAGGAUCUGUGACUCUGCAGAUAGCAUAAAAGAAACCAACCUUACACACCCGAUGGCAUAUGCAUUAGCAUUGAAUGCUACAAUUGUGAAUCAUAAGGGUGGGUCAUGAAUCCUGCAAAAAUAAAUCAACAUAAGUUUUUCAUUCCAAAAUGACUACCGGAUACAUCAUGUCAAAUUAAUUAUGUGAGCAAAAUUCAUCAAUUAUUUUACCAAAUAACAAAAGAACACAUAAUUUAACAAUGAAUCAUAAACAGUAACACGCAUAUCAAGAUCACUCCAAAGUACACUAAAUAGAAAUACCAAAUAUUCUCUAAAAGGGAAAAACAAUGGAGCUAAUAAAUAGAUGGCAGUAAAGAUAAAUAGCAUUUUUGUUCACAAUAAUUUCACAAAUAUAGAAUCAUAUUUAGCUGUGUCAAAAUUGAUCUACUUAAUAAAAAUUCCAUUCACUUCACCUUAAUGGGUUUAAUCAGUGUUAGUACUCGGUACUUAAAUCAUAUGGGUACAACAGUAGGUUGAUAUUAGGCAGUACAUAAUCAAAAUGAUUCAUUAUUUGAACGUAUUUAGCCUGUUUGUUUGUUCACCAUUAAUUUUGGAUAUUUUACAACGUAAUAAUGUACUGAUUUCUAGAUGUUUGGUUUGGUAACCAGUUUAAUUCAGUAAGCAUGCCAUGUUAACAAACAAAUAUUGAGACACAAAUAAAACUUUUGUUGUAAAAAUACAUAGGCACUUGGAUUGAGAUAAUAUUUAAAAAUUUUGUUCGAUUUACAGUUAUUUAAUUUAUACAUUACGAAAUAAAAAGAAGUUAAAAGACAUAGAGAAGGCCGGACCUUCACAAUAAGAUAUAGUCAUCCUCGGAGAUGCAGGGGAAUUAGGGAAACGACGGGCCAAUAGGAGCCUCCUAUACUAGUCUUUUUUUUCAGAUUUGGGCAUUCACUAAUUUUCAAACUCAAAAGCGAAGGCAACAACUUUUCUGGUAGAUCCAUCAUCUUUGGGCACUUGACAAUGCUGAGAUGUUGGAGGGAGGCGAGGUGUUGGAGUCCCGUUGAAACUGAUUCCAAUUUCUCAAAUCUUUCUAUGCGAAGAGAAGUAAGAGAUGAAGGAAAAAGACCGGACAACCGACUAAAAUCAGUCACAUCUUCAUAUGGUCCGCCAUAUAGAUUCGGCAACUCAUGGUCAGGAAAUGGAAAUGACUCCAGACUUGGACACUCUUCUAUUCUGAAUGCGGUCAGAUGGAUGAAGUACUUCAAUUCAUUCAUCGAUUUAAGUUUCUUGCAGUUCCACAUGGAAAGUAACUUGAGCUUCUGCCCUCCUCCUGUUGGGAAAGUGACUUGAGCUUCUGGAGGAAUCCUAAUCACCUCCAGCUAACAUGAUCAACCCUUCCACACCUGCAGCAGCCUAAACCCUUGGAGUGGCAGACUCCCUUGUGCACUCCCCCAUACAUGUUGCACUGCCUCUAGCCCUGUUGUCCUUUCACCCGAUGAUCAGAAGUCUUGGGUCUCUCCUCGGGACCCUCUACUAUACACACCUGGCAUGACCCUCUCUUCCCAUGGUACUCUAAGUCAAUCUCGCAUCUGCAACCCUUACGUAUCUAUGACAUCCCCAUUUUCACGGCCAGAAAAGAUUGAUUUUGUUUAUGCUUUAUAAAAAUCAGAGUAUCUCUUUCAAUAAAAACGUUGCGGAAUUUGUUCCCAGAAAAACAUCAUAAUUUCAUUAUCAAACCAUUUUCGAAGAAAUAUAUUUUUAUUCCUUUUAAAACAUUUGGGAUGUCGCAUCAAUACAGAAACAUAAGCAUAAACAUAACUUACAUUCAUUUACACUAGUGAUCUAUAUCCCCUUAAUCUCUUAGUGUAAUGUAACUUCACAUCAUCACCCGUGACACAAGUAAACUAAGUGAGUCAGGUUGGGAAACCUAGUGGGUACAUAGGGUUUUCAACCCACAAUAAUAUAAUUAUUAUGCUUAAUCAUCAAAUAAUUAACCCAAUUACUCAUCCCCAUUAUCUUCUUUAUUCCUAAGUACCUUCCCUAAGGAUUUAUCCUAAGGAUUGUCUCCUACAUCAUAUUUACAUCUCAUCUCCUUACAUCACAUUUCCUUAUAUGUUUGUUCCUAAGGACUCCCCUAAGGAUCAUUGCCUACAUCGCAUAGACAGUAUUGAUUCAGGGAUUACUCCCUCAAUACGUGCCAAACAAGGGUUAGGGUAUCAUCGUAUGAAUACGUAGAUACAACAUCGCCUGAACUCGUAAUUCAUAGUAAGGGGUCAGAGUAUCAUCGCAUGAAUACGUAGUUACAACAUCGUCUAAACUCGUAAUUCAUCACUUAUAGGCUAUGAGUCUGCUGGUGUUUCCACGAGGUUGUCUAUAAUAGUCCAUGGUCGCCAUCUAUACUCUGGUAGACGACUACAUCUCUAAAUUGCUGGACAAGGUUAUAGUAUCUUUCAUCUUACAUGACUGAUUCAUCAUCACCUAUCUAUCCUCAUCUAAUUAUCAUCACCUAUCUCGCAUCAUUUUAUUUAAUCACACAUCAACUAUUUCAUCUACCCAUGUUUUAUCCCAACAUAUUUGUAGAUAUCAAAUAAAUAUAUAGUUUAAAUCAUUUAAAACAUGUAUAAAUUCAUUCAUCCAGCUAGAUAGCAAGUAUCCAGAUAAUAUGCAGACAUGACAUGUAAUUUAUAUAAAAUACUCCAUAUCUAUGUGUAAGAUGAAAGUAACUAUACCCUCACAGCACAUAAUUUAUAUUAAAUACUUCAUAUCUAUGUGUAAGAUGAAAGGAACUAUGCACUCACAACACAUAAUUUAUAUUAAAUACUUCAUAUCUAUGUGUAAGAUGAAAGGGACUAUGCACUCACUUGUUAAAGUGAUGAUUCCAAACUCGGACAGCGCUUCGCUUCUUAACAAUAUAAUUUCCUUCGACGAAACCUAGUAUUAUUACCACUAGAUUUUAGUCUAAUAUUUACCGUGACUAAUUAUUAGUCUUAGCAUUAUUAUUAUUAUUAUACGGUCCUAAUAACAUUACUAUAUUUAAAUAAAAGUUAUAUUAUAAAUAGUGUAGGCGUAGCUCACUCACAACGGAUUUUUAUUAUAAAAAAAAAGGGCUUCGCUGGAGCAGCGUUUCCGAGCCGAAAGCUUUUCUUCUCGGAGCCAUCGGGCGCUCCGGGGCUUCCUUAUCACAAAGAAAAUCAUCUCAUACAUAGUCACCUACUAGUGGGCCGGCAUUGGUGCCUUAGACCCACCUCUACUGGAAGGUAACUCAACUCACACUGCUGAAGUCCCGUAGACAUAAUCCCCAGCUGUUGGAUGAUAGAUUCUCAAAGUGUUAAUAUCAAAACACCAAUUAAUAAUUGGGUUCCAACACAUAACCACAAAUACAUAUGUGGGGGUAAAUUCUACUUUACCCCUAACUUAGCUUUAUUCAAGCCCAAGUCCCAAUCCAAAGGCCCAAAAGUCAACUAUAAGUCAAAGCCCAACAUAUGGAAAAUUGGGCCCAAACCUUUACAAGGUCUUACCAUAAGGCCCAACCAUUUAUUUCAAUCUAACAUUCAACAUUAUAGUGGCCCAAUAUCACAUAAUCCUAAAGGUCCAAACUAUGGCCCAUCUAUGGCCUAAUUUUCCAAAUUAGGCCCAACUCCUCAUAUGGGCCUUACAUCGAAGCCUAUUAAUUAUUCUAGUCUAUUUGCUUGAUCUUGGAUGGCCCAUUAAUAAUCUAAUCAUCAAGGCCCAAUAAAAGGCCAAACAAUAAACCCAAGUGAAAUUAGGGUUUUCACAUAAAAUGACGAUUAAGGUUAAGUGUUUCUCACUUAACCUAUUAAGGACUUAAUCCAUUAAGUCCAUCAUUCUUCUAAAUAACUCGUAUGGUGUGAUUGGGCUUAACACACAAUUACAUUCCCAUGGCCCAAAUGUGGGUCCCGAUAAGUCCAACCCAUAAAUCCAAUAUUAGGGUUUUCUAAACCCUAAUUAGGGUUUCCAACCCCAUCUUAGUCCUAUAGGCCCAAUAGCUAGGUCUUUUGACUAGUUAAGGUUCAUUAGGCCCAUUAGAGUUAACUAGGUCCAUUAGUCAUGUGUUUGGGCUUUUUAGGUCAACUAGGGCUUCAUUGGUCCCAUUGAGGUUUAUUAGGCCCAUUAGGGUUUUAGUCCCUUGUCCAAACAUCUAAACGAGUCACAAUCCAAAUAAGGCACAUUGCCAGUCGACACUGUGGCCGAUGGCGGUAGCAGGCGGCAGCCACCACCUCACGGUGGUGGUUUUUAGUUUUCCUUUCAUUAUUCCAAUUUGUAAUUACACUUUACAAUGCUAAAUCACAAAUAAACACACACACAUACACACGGUAGUGCAUGGUGGCAGCCACCACUUUACAGUGGUGGUGGUGGUUGUUCUUAAUUUCCUGGCCAGACAAAACCACUCACGAUACACACACAAUAGAAAUAACACACACACACACACACACACACACACUUCAGACUUCACUAUACAUUGCAGCCACCCACUUGGUGGCUCACAGCGGCAAUAACAAUGAACUUAGGAUGCUAGGCACCACCUCACGGUGGUGGUGGUGAUUUCUUGUGGUUUCCAGUCAAGCACACACACUAACCAGCAAUCCUUGCUUGGAAAACGAACCCAACACCCACCUGUGGUAGGUGGCGACGCUGACAGCAACCCAGGAAGGCAGCAGCAGCGGGGAACCGCAGUGCGUACGGCGGCUAAAGCAGCNNNNNNNNNNNNNNNNNNNNNNNNNNNNNNNNNNNNNNNNNNNNNNNNNNNNNNCACAACGGCGGUGUGAGCUGUAAUAGUGGCAACAGACGAAGGAAUGCCCGCCAGCGGAUGAGAGCUUGACAUUGCGACCGCAAACUAAUCAAAAAACGAAUGGAGGAUGGUGGCAACAACGCUGGAGACGAAGUGGGGGUAUAAGGAUGAAGAGGUGGCAGCGAACGUCGGCCACUGUGGUGCCUACAACCGGCAACAGCCACACGAUGGUGAGAUACCCGACUGAUCUACGUCCUAAGGUGGGUCCUUGACCCGCACAACACCGGAGCAAUAACGGACGUCUUCAACUUGGUGGCUCCCGGCUUCGNNNNNNNNNNNNNNNNNNNNNNNNNNNNNNNNNNNNNNNNNNNNNNNNNNNNNNNNNNNNNNNNNNNNNNNNNNNNNNNNNNNNNNNNNNNNNNNNNNNNNNNNNNNNNNNNNNNNNNNNNNNNNNNNNNNNNNNNNNNNNNNNNNNNNNNNNNNNNNNNNNNNNNNNNNNNNNNNNNNNNNNNNNNNNNNNNNNNNNNNNNNNNNNNNNNNNNNNNNNNNNNNNNNNNNNNNNNNNNNNNNNNNNNNNNNNNNNNNNNNNNNNNNNNNNNNNNNNNNNNNNNNNNNNNNNNNNNNNNNNNNNNNNNNNNNNNNNNNNNNNNNNNNNNNNNNNNNNNNNNNNNNNNNNNNNNNNNNNNNNNNNNNNNNNNNNNNNNNNNNNNNNNNNNNNNNNNNNNNNNNNNNNNNNNNNNNNNNNNNNNNNNNNNNNNNNNNNNNNNNNNNNNNNNNNNNNNNNNNNNNNNNNNNNNNNNNNNNNNNNNNNNNNNNNNNNNNNNNNNNNNNNNNNNNNNNNNNNNNNNNNNNNNNNNNNNNNNNNNNNNNNNNNNNNNNNNNNNNNNNNNNNNNNNNNNNNNNNNNNNNNNNNNNNNNNNNNNNNNNNNNNNNNNNNNNNNNNNNNNNNNNNNNNNNNNNNNNNNNNNNNNNNNNNNNNNNNNNNNNNNNNNNNNNNNNNNNNNNNNNNNNNNNNNNNNNNNNNNNNNNNNNNNNNNNNNNNNNNNNNNNNNNNNNNNNNNNNNNNNNNNNNNNNNNNNNNNNNNNNNNNNNNNNNNNNNNNNNNNNNNNNNNNNNNNNNNNNNNNNNNNNNNNNNNNNNNNNNNNNNNNNNNNNNNNNNNNNNNNNNNNNNNNNNNNNNNNNNNNNNNNNNNNNNNNNNNNNNNNNNNNNNNNNNNNNNNNNNNNNNNNNNNNNNNNNNNNNNNNNNNNNNNNNNNNNNNNNNNNNNNNNNNNNNNNNNNNNNNNNNNNNNNNNNNNNNNNNNNNNNNNNNNNNNNNNNNNNNNNNNNNNNNNNNNNNNNNNNNNNNNNNNNNNNNNNNNNNNNNNNNNNNNNNNNNNNNNNNNNNNNNNNNNNNNNNNNNNNNNNNNNNNNNNNNNNNNNNNNNNNNNNNNNNNNNNNNNNNNNNNNNNNNNNNNNNNNNNNNNNNNNNNNNNNNNNNNNNNNNNNNNNNNNNNNNNNNNNNNNNNNNNNNNNNNNNNNNNNNNNNNNNNNNNNNNNNNNNNNNNNNNNNNNNNNNNNNNNNNNNNNNNNNNNNNNNNNNNNNNNNNNNNNNNNNNNNNNNNNNNNNNNNNNNNNNNNNNNNNNNNNNNNNNNNNNNNNNNNNNNNNNNNNNNNNNNNNNNNNNNNNNNNNNNNNNNNNNNNNNNNNNNNNNNNNNNNNNNNNNNNNNNNNNNNNNNNNNNNNNNNNNNNNNNNNNNNNNNNNNNNNNNNNNNNNNNNNNNNNNNNNNNNNNNNNNNNNNNNNNNNNNNNNNNNNNNNNNNNNNNNNNNNNNNNNNNNNNNNNNNNNNNNNNNNNNNNNNNNNNNNNNNNNNNNNNNNNNNNNNNNNNNNNNNNNNNNNNNNNNNNNNNNNNNNNNNNNNNNNNNNNNNNNNNNNNNNNNNNNNNNNNNNNNNNNNNNNNNNNNNNNNNNNNNNNNNNNNNNNNNNNNNNNNNNNNNNNNNNNNNNNNNNNNNNNNNNNNNNNNNNNNNNNNNNNNNNNNNNNNNNNNNNNNNNNNNNNNNNNNNNNNNNNNNNNNNNNNNNNNNNNNNNNNNNNNNNNNNNNNNNNNNNNNNNNNNNNNNNNNNNNNNNNNNNNNNNNNNNNNNNNNNNNNNNNNNNNNNNNNNNNNNNNNNNNNNNNNNNNNNNNNNNNNNNNNNNNNNNNNNNNNNNNNNNNNNNNNNNNNNNNNNNNNNNNNNNNNNNNNNNNNNNNNNNNNNNNNNNNNNNNNNNNNNNNNNNNNNNNNNNNNNNNNNNNNNNNNNNNNNNNNNNNNNNNNNNNNNNNNNNNNNNNNNNNNNNNNNNNNNNNNNNNNNNNNNNNNNNNNNNNNNNNNNNNNNNNNNNNNNNNNNNNNNNNNNNNNNNNNNNNNNNNNNNNNNNNNNNNNNNNNNNNNNNNNNNNNNNNNNNNNNNNNNNNNNNNNNNNNNNNNNNNNNNNNNNNNNNNNNNNNNNNNNNNNNNNNNNNNNNNNNNNNNNNNNNNNNNNNNNNNNNNNNNNNNNNNNNNNNNNNNNNNNNNNNNNNNNNNNNNNNNNNNNNNNNNNNNNNNNNNNNNNNNNNNNNNNNNNNNNNNNNNNNNNNNNNNNNNNNNNNNNNNNNNNNNNNNNNNNNNNNNNNNNNNNNGGGGUGGCAACCGACGAACGGAGCCACUGAAACGAUCCACACAACGGCGGUGUGAGCUGUAAUAGUGGCAACAGACGAAGGAAUGCCCGCCAGCGGAUGAGAGCUUGACAUUGCGACCGCAAACUAAUCAAAAAACGAAUGGAGGAUGGUGGCAACAACGCUGGAGACGAAGUGGGGGUAUAAGGAUGAAGAGGUGGCAGCAGACGUCGGCCACUGUGGUGCCUACAACCGGCAACAGCCACACGACGGUGAGAUACCCGACUGAUCUACGUCCUAAGGUGGGUCCUCGAUCCGCACAACGCCUGAGCAAUAAUGAAACGACCCAAAAUUACAACCCAAAAAAAAUUUUGUUUUUAAUAUAAUUAAAACCGUAAUCAGAGUACCAUAUAAUAAAACCAUGCGUGAUGUAUUCCAAAACAUAAUAAAAUACUGUGCGGAAAACUGUAUCAUACUACAUCAAAUCAAACAACUAAAUCAAUCCCAGGCUAAAGCUGAGGCGGUGGUGUGUGCGAUGCCGUCAUCCCGAGCUCUUCCCUUUGCUUGCGGAAGUACCUGAAACCAAAACUGAAACUGUAAGCACGAAGCUUAGUGAGCUCCCCCAAAAUACCACAUACCAUACAAUAGCAAUAUCAUAUAAACACAUAUCGGGCCUUGCCCACUGCAUCGGGCCGAAGCCCGGAAACUGCAUCGGACCGAAGUCCGGAACUGACUGGGACCUUGUCCCCUGCAUCGGACCAAAGUCCGGAACUAACUGCAUCGGACCGAAGUCCGGAACUGACUGGGACCUUGUCCCCUGCAUCGGACCAAAGUCCGGAACUAACUGCAUCGGACCGAAGUCCGGAACUGGCUGCAUCGGACCGAAGUCCGGAACUGACUGCAUCGGACCGAAGUCCGGAACUGAGCAUAGCAUAGCAUAUCAUAACAACUAGUAUGAACACACAUACUGCAUACUACAUCGGGCCGUAGCCCGGAACACAUAAAACGUAGCUCACAAAUCCUGUCUGAGCCACGAAGGCAUCGAACAUACUAACUACGGCAUCGGAUCAAGUCCGGAAACUACUGCUAACUGGACGGGCCGGCAUUGUGGCCUUAGACCCGUCCCUACUGGAAGGAAACUCACCUCGUAAACUGGCGACUGAGUGUGUGGCUCUGAAAGCUAACGGUUGCUGCUCCUGAAUCACCUCGGCUACAAGUCCAUGAACACACUCAAUCAAAUACUAAACACUGCACUUGGGGUAAAAUGACUCUUUUACCCUUGGUCAAAGUCAACUUACUUUUGGGGCUGACUCGCCGAGUUGGGCCACCCAACUCGCCGAGUCCUACUCUCACUUCUCAGUUCUACACGCUGCUACUCGUCGAGUGUGGCAUCGACUCGACGAGUACCCUCUUGAUCCAAGAACUCAGACAAUCUUCAUCCGACUCGCCGAGNNNNNNNNNNNNNNNNNNNNNNNNNNNNNNNNNNNNNNNNNNNNNNNNNNNNNNNNNNNNNNNNNNNNNNNNNNNNNNNNNNNNNNNNNNNNNNNNNNNNNNNNNNNNNNNNNNNNNNNNNNNNNNNNNNNNNNNNNNNNNNNNNNNNNNNNNNNNNNNNNNNNNNNNNNNNNNNNNNNNNNNNNNNNNNNNNNNNNNNNNNNNNNNNNNNNNNNNNNNNNNNNNNNNNNNNNNNNNNNNNNNNNNNNNNNNNNNNNNNNNNNNNNNNNNNNNNNNNNNNNNNNNNNNNNNNNNNNNNNNNNNNNNNNNNNNNNNNNNNNNNNNNNNNNNNNNNNNNNNNNNNNNNNNNNNNNNNNNNNNNNNNNNNNNNNNNNNNNNNNNNNNNNNNNNNNNNNNNNNNNNNNNNNNNNNNNNNNNNNNNNNNNNNNNNNNNNNNNNNNNNNNNNNNNNNNNNNNNNNNNNNNNNNNNNNNNNNNNNNNNNNNNNNNNNNNNNNNNNNNNNNNNNNNNNNNNNNNNNNNNNNNNNNNNNNNNNNNNNNNNNNNNNNNNNNNNNNNNNNNNNNNNNNNNNNNNNNNNNNNNNNNNNNNNNNNNNNNNNNNNNNNNNNNNNNNNNNNNNNNNNNNNNNNNNNNNNNNNNNNNNNNNNNNNNNNNNNNNNNNNNNNNNNNNNNNNNNNNNNNNNNNNNNNNNNNNNNNNNNNNNNNNNNNNNNNNNNNNNNNNNNNNNNNNNNNNNNNNNNNNNNNNNNNNNNNNNNNNNNNNNNNNNNNNNNNNNNNNNNNNNNNNNNNNNNNNNNNNNNNNNNNNNNNNNNNNNNNNNNNNNNNNNNNNNNNNNNNNNNNNNNNNNNNNNNNNNNNNNNNNNNNNNNNNNNNNNNNNNNNNNNNNNNNNNNNNNNNNNNNNNNNNNNNNNNNNNNNNNNNNNNNNNNNNNNNNNNNNNNNNNNNNNNNNNNNNNNNNNNNNNNNNNNNNNNNNNNNNNNNNNNNNNNNNNNNNNNNNNNNNNNNNNNNNNNNNNNNNNNNNNNNNNNNNNNNNNNNNNNNNNNNNNNNNNNNNNNNNNNNNNNNNNNNNNNNNNNNNNNNNNNNNNNNNNNNNNNNNNNNNNNNNNNNNNNNNNNNNNNNNNNNNNNNNNNNNNNNNNNNNNNNNNNNNNNNNNNNNNNNNNNNNNNNNNNNNNNNNNNNNNNNNNNNNNNNNNNNNNNNNNNNNNNNNNNNNNNNNNNNNNNNNNNNNNNNNNNNNNNNNNNNNNNNNNNNNNNNNNNNNNNNNNNNNNNNNNNNNNNNNNNNNNNNNNNNNNNNNNNNNNNNNNNNNNNNNNNNNNNNNNNNNNNNNNNNNNNNNNNNNNNNNNNNNNNNNNNNNNNNNNNNNNNNNNNNNNNNNNNNNNNNNNNNNNNNNNNNNNNNNNNNNNNNNNNNNNNNNNNNNNNNNNNNNNNNNNNNNNNNNNNNNNNNNNNNNNNNNNNNNNNNNNNNNNNNNNNNNNNNNNNNNNNNNNNNNNNNNNNNNNNNNNNNNNNNNNNNNNNNNNNNNNNNNNNNNNNNNNNNNNNNNNNNNNNNNNNNNNNNNNNNNNNNNNNNNNNNNNNNNNNNNNNNNNNNNNNNNNNNNNNNNNNNNNNNNNNNNNNNNNNNNNNNNNNNNNNNNNNNNNNNNNNNNNNNNNNNNNNNNNNNNNNNNNNNNNNNNNNNNNNNNNNNNNNNNNNNNNNNNNNNNNNNNNNNNNNNNNNNNNNNNNNNNNNNCCUGGGUGGAUAGAAAAUCGAGACUUAUGAGCCUCGUCCAUCAAUACCUGCCGUACCCCACCCCAGUACGGUACCCAUACCCUACCAUGAAGCGUCAACAAACCCCGACUGUCGUACUCAAAUGAAGCUACUCGGCCUACUAUCCUUUCACACUUCUGCCUCUCCUCCUUGAGGCCCUCCAUCUGAGCCUCCUUGAUCCGCUCCAACAGUGGAGUGAUCACUGUCAUCCUCAUACACAGAUCUCUGAUAGGGGCCGUCGACACCUUGCGGCUUAGGGCGUCGGCCACCACGUUGGCCUUCCCUGGAUGAUAAAGGAUCUCACAGUCAUAGUCCUUCAGCACGUCUAACCAUCUCCCCUGUCUCAUGUUUAAACUUGGCUGAUCCAUAAGAUAUCGCAAACUCUUGUGAUCCGUGUAAAUAGUACAGCGGACCCCAUAAAGGUAAUGUCUCCAAAUCUUGAGGGCGAACACAACUGCCCCCAGUUCCAAAUCGUGGGUAGGAUAAUUAGCCUCGUGAGGCUUCAACUGUCUCGAGGCAUAAGCUAUCACAUGGCCUCGCUGCAUCAAAACUGCUCCCAUACCUGUGAUCGAGGCAUCACAAUAGACUACAAAGUCCUCUACUCCCUCUGGCAAGGUAAGGAUCGGAGCCUCGCAUAAUCUCUGCCUGAGGGUCUCGAACGCUGCCUGCUGCUCAGGCACCCAACGAAAUACCACCGACUUCUUGGUCAGUCGGGUGAGCGGCACUGCUAUCUUGGAGAAAUCCUGAAUGAAUCUCCGAUAAUACCCUGCCAACCCUAGGAAGCUCCGAAUCUCAGAUGGAGACUUCGGGACCUCCCACUGCAUCACGGCCUCUAUCUUGGCCGGAUCUACCAAAAUACCCUUCUGGUUGACGAGGUGACCAAGGAACUGCACCUCGCGCAACCAGAACUCACAUUUGGAGAACUUUGCGAAAAGUCUCUCCCUCCUCAAAACCUCCAGCACCUCCCGCAGGUGCUCCUCGUGCUGCUCCUGCGUCUUGGAAUAUACCAAGAUGUCAUCUAUGAACACUAUCACUGACCGAUCCAGCAUCGGCCUACACACGCGGUUCAUGAGAUCCAUGAACGCGGCUGGAGCAUUGGUGAGCCCAAAUGGCAUCACCACAAACUCAUAAUGACCAUACCUGGUCCUGAAAGCAGUCUUCUGUACAUCCUCAUCUCUAACCCGCAUCUGAUGAUAACCGGAGCGUAGAUCGAUCUUGGAGAACCAAGACGCUCCCUGAAGCUGAUCAAACAAAUCAUCUAUCCUCGGAAGUGGGUAACGGUUCUUCACCGUUACUUUGUUCAACUCCCGAUAGUCAAUGCACAUCCGAUGCGACCCAUCCUUCUUCCUCACAAAUAAGAUCGGCGCUCCCCAAGGCGAACUACUCGGCCGAAUGAAACCUUUGUCUAACAGCUCCUGAAGCUGUGUAGACAACUCCUGCAUCUCAGGGGGAGCUAGCCGAUAUGAUGCUUUGGCUAUCGGAGCCGCACCAGGAACUAGAUCGAUCCUGAACUCAACCUGUCUCUCUGGAGGUAUCCCCGGCAAAUCCUCGGGAAACACAUCCGGGUAAUCUCGAACAAUAGGAACAUCAUCAAUCGUCGCCUUGCCCUUCUCCCGGGCAUCCAAGACGUAUGCGAUNACCCUGCUGAACAUAGUGCCUCGCCCUUGCGGCGGAACAAAAGAUCGGACCACGCUGUGGCCUCUCGCCCUGAAUCACUAACUCUCCCCCACUGGGAGUGCGAACCCUCACUAGCUGAAGCUCACAAUCAAUCACCGCCCCAUUGGGGCUUAGCCAAUCCAUGCCCACGAUAACUUUAUUCCCUCGCAGGGGAAUAGGAACCAGGUCCACUGAAAACUGCUCAUCGAAUAUCUGAAGAGAACACCCUCUAUGCACUCUGCCGACCCUCACGGUCCUAUCAUCUGCUAUCUCAACCUCUAACGGACAAUCCAGCUCCCCUGGAGCUCCGCUAAAUUUCUUGCUAAGCGCAAGCGAUACAAAUGAUCGGGUAGCUCCCGAAUCGAACAAUACCAAAGCAGAAAUGCCGUUCACCGAGAACGACCCUAAAUAAUGCAUAUCAUCAAGAAAUAUACAAACGAUAAUAAUAAUAAUCAAAUGGUGAAGGAAAGAUACAUACCCGUCACCACAUCAGGAGUCGCUCGCGCCUCCUCUGCUGUCAUCUGAAAUGCCCUGCUCUUCGCUGCUGGUGCAUCAGAUCGGCCCUGCCGGCCAUCUGUACCUCAAGGUGNNNNNNNNNNNNNNNNNNNNNNNNNNNNNNNNNNNNNNNNNNNNNNNNNNNNNNNNNNNNNNNNNNNNNNNNNNNNNNNNNNNNNNNNNNNNNNNNNNNNNNNNNNNNNNNNNNNNNNNNNNNNNNNNNNNNNNNNNNNNNNNNNNNNNNNNNNNNNNNNNNNNNNNNNNNNNNNNNNNNNNNNNNNNNNNNNNNNNNNNNNNNNNNNNNNNNNNNNNNNNNNNNNNNNNNNNNNNNNNNNNNNNNNNNNNNNNNNNNNNNNNNNNNNNNNNNNNNNNNNNNNNNNNNNNNNNNNNNNNNNNNNNNNNNNNNNNNNNNNNNNNNNNNNNNNNNNNNNNNNNNNNNNNNNNNNNNNNNNNNNNNNNNNNNNNNNNNNNNNNNNNNNNNNNNNNNNNNNNNNNNNNNNNNNNNNNNNNNNNNNNNNNNNNNNNNNNNNNNNNNNNNNNNNNNNNNNNNNNNNNNNNNNNNNNNNNNNNNNNNNNNNNNNNNNNNNNNNNNNNNNNNNNNUCCAGCGUUUUACAGCUGGACCGGCUCACAAACUGGCGGAUAUCACUCCGCAACAUCUCAUGAUAACGGGCCUUCUUCAUCUCCUCAUCGGCUGCAUACUGAGGAACAAGAAGAGCCCUCUCCCUGAACUUGGCGGUGAUCUCCGCCACUGACUCGGUAGUCUGAGUAAGAUCCUGGAACUCCCUGGCUAGCUUCUGCACCUCAAUGACCGGUGCAAUCUCCGCCCUGAACCUGGUAGAUAAAUCAGUCCAGGUCAUAGCAUCCAACGCCGCAUCAUCCCCGAUGGCGUGUCCGACCUCCUCCCACCAAUCCCGUGCCCUGUCCUUCAGUAGAUAGGACGCCAAUCUGACCUUGUCCCCCUCGGGACACCUGCUAGUGCGGAAGGCGUUAGCCACAUCUGCCAACCAUCUAGUACUCGCUAUGGGGUCCCGCGCCCCAUGAUAGUCUGGAGCUCCGCACGCCCUGAACUCCCUAGAUGUAAGAGUGCGCGACCCCAUCACGGCCGCCAUCUCAGCAUGGAAAGUACUUAGUCUCUCAUCCAUCAUCUCUAAAAUACCCUCCUUGAUCGAACCGAAGAUCACAGGAGUCUGCUCCAAUAUGAUGCGGGUAACCUCAGAAGAAAGGAACUCUCUGGUCUGCUCAUCCAUCUGCCCGACCUCCGGGCCUGAUCCCGAUCCUGAUCCCCCUCCGGCAUCUGAGCUGCUGCCUGCUGGUCUCGGGCGCAAAACUACCAUUCUGAAACAUAUCAUAACAACAUCAGAACACUGAAAUAUCUCAAGGGAUCAUGAUACUACUACUAGCUUCCUGGUCUUGUCUUGGCCUUCCUUAAUUCGAGUACGGAUCCUCUGCUUUCAGUAGUAUGGGCCCCUACUACCUUCCACAUCUAUCCGUACUUUCCUCAGGAACUGCCUUGACUCCACCAAGUCACUUCUACCACUGCUAUUCUCUGCUACUCUCAUCCUAGGCUUGCCCUAGGGAAACUUCAAGCUCAACGCGACUGGUCCUCAGCUGCUGUAGGUCUCCUCAUAAUGCCAGUUAGCCACCACCUAAACACCAUCACAUGUGAUGAGGGUCAGAUAAUCCUUCAAGUAAAGGAUCCGUCCCUACAACGGUUGGACUCAAACAAGAGCUGCGCAGUAGAGCCAGUUCCAACACUUCUGGGAUUAUUCAAACCUGAUCACAUGUGGUGUGACGUGUUCACCUAAUGGCUAACUCCCACUACUCAGAAUCCCACUAAGCACGAAGCAAGUAGCAUUCGGACACGGGAAACAGACUCAGGCAAAACUAUUCUUAUAACAAGAAACUGCACUAGCAUAGAAUGCUAAGCUCGUACUAUCAGGCAUAACCUAAACAGGCUAUCCUACUGCUGUAUACUCAAUUCUAGCAUGCAAUACUCAUAAAGCUGUAACACAUAAACAGGCACAUAAGGCAUUCUCCUAGAUCCUUAGCCCUAUACUAGCAUGCUGUUCUACUGAAACUGAAACUGAACAAAUAAUUUGUAUGGGUAAUUUGGGAGUACUUACUUGAGCUCGGCUGACCGCAUGCACACACCUCUAUCUUGUUAAAACAAUUCUUUCUUUCUAAGUGUUUUCAAAAUUCUGUUUGUAAAACAUUUUUAUUUUAUUAAAAUCUUUUAUUUCCCUUAGUUUGAGUUCAGAUACACCCGAAAGUGUAUCCGAAUCCCUCAAACCAGGGCUCUGAUACCAACUUGAAACGACCCAAAAUUACAACCCAAAUUUUUUUUUUUUUAAUAUAAUCAAAACCGUAAUCAGAGUACCAUAUAAUAAAACCAUGCGUGAUGUAUUCCAAAACAUACUAAAAUACUGUGCGGAAAACUGUAUCAUACUACAUCAAAUCAAACAACUAAAUCAAUCCCAGGCUAAAGUUGAGGCAGUGGUGUGUGCGAUGCCGUCAUCCCGAGCUCUUCCCUUUGCUUGCGGAAGUACCUGAAACCAAAACUGAAACUGUAAGCACGAAGCUUAGUGAGCUCCCCCAAAAUACCACAUACCAUACAAUAACUAUAUCAUGUAAACACAUAUUGGGCCUUGCCCACUGCAUCGGGACGAAACCCGGAAACUGCANUUGAAACGACCCAAAAAUACGACCCAAAAAUUUUUGUUUUUAAUAUAAUCAAAACUGCAAUCAGAGCAUCAUAUAAUAAAACCAUACGUGAUGUAUUCCAAAACAUAAUAAAAUACUGUGCGGAAAAACUGUAUCAUACUACAUCAGAUCAAAACAUCUAAAUCAAUCCCAGGCUAAAGCUGAGGCGGUGGUGUGUGCGAUGCCAUCAUCCCGAGCUCUUCCCUUUGCUUGCGGAAGUACCUGAAACCAAAACUGAAACUGUAAGCACGAAGCUUAGUGAGCUCCCCCAAAAUACCACAUACCAUACAAUAGCAAUAUCAUAUAAACACAUAUCGGGCCUUGCCCACUGCAUCGGGACGAAGCCCGGAAACUGCAUCGGACCGAAGUCCGGAACUGACUGGGACCUUGUCCCCUGCAUCGGACCAAAGUCCGGAACUAACUGCAUCGGACCGAAGUCCGGAACUGGCUGCAUCGGACCGAAGUCCGGAACUGACUGCAUCGGACCGAAGUCCGGAACUGAGCAUAGCAUAGCAUAUCAUAACAACUAGUAUGAACACACAUACUGCAUACUACAUCGGGCCGUAGCCCGGAACACAUAAAACGUAGCUCACAAAUCCUGUCUGAGCCACGAAGGCAUCGAACAUACUAACUACGGCAUCGGAUCAAGUCCGGAAACUACUGCUAACUGGACGGGCCGGCAUUGUGGCCUUAGACCCGUCCCUACUGGAAGGAAACUCACCUCGUAAACUGGCGACUGAGUGUGUGGCUCUGAAAGCUAACGGUUGCUGCUCCUGAAUCUCCUCGGCUACAAGUCCAUGAACACACUCAAUCAAAUACUAAACACUGCACUUGGGGUAAAAUGACUCUUUUACCCUUGGUCAAAGUCAACUUGCUUUCGGGGCUGACUCGCCGAGUUGGGCCGCCCAACUCGCCGAGUCUCACUCUCACUUCCAGCUCAUACUCACUGCGACUCGUCGAAUGUGGCAUCGACUCGACGAGUACCCUCUUGAUCCAAGAACUCAGACAAUCUUCAUCCGACUCGCCGAGUCGUAUGAACAGACUCGCCGAGUUGUUCUUGAUCCCAAAGAGAUUGCCUUGGACUCGCCGAGUUGUAUGAACAACUCGUCGAGUCCCUCCAUCACUGAGUCUACCCUCAACUCGCUGAGUCCACUCUCUAACUCACUGGGUGCACUCGACACUGCUAAAAACGAAGGAAUCGGGGACUCGCGACCCGACUCGCCGAGUCGCUCAUCCCGACUCGCCGAGUCGCUGCCAUGCAGCUAGUUUUUACUCGAUUUCUCUUGAAUCCAACACAUGCAAAAGAUAGAUCUGGGUCCAAUAAGCUGUUUUACCACGUAAAGUUUCCAACUUUACGUGCACAACCUCAUGAAUAAGGGAAAUAAGGCUAAAAGAUGCACAAAAUGAGUAGAUCCAUGGCUAAUAUGCAAUGUAACUCCAAAAAGACAGUAGAUCUGGGCUCUACAACACCCCAACAUUCAGAUCCAAAGGUAUUUCGACUUAUUAAGACAUUCAUGCAAACAUAAAGCUUGGAACAAACAUCAAAUAGCUCUUAGAAGAGCUCUAAUGGAAGUUUAAAGCAUCUAACAAGAAGGGAACUCCGAAAAUACCUCAAUAAACUCAUAUUUGCCCUUGGAUCUUUGCACCACAACUUGUUUCCAAGCUUCUUUCCUCUUCUCCUUCUUCACACCUUCACAAAAAUGGCACCAAAACACUUAUAAGCUCUCAAGGGAGGAUUAGGGUUCUCUCACUGUGUUCUCAGGGUGAAAGUGGCGAGAAUGAGGCUAUAAUGGGGUUUAAAUAGUGGGCAAACCCGGGGAUUUAGGGUUUCACCCAGACGGACGGACUCGCCGAGUCCGGGAUAUGGACUCGCCGAGUCCCCGGCUCCCGCGUGCACAAAAUGCGCGACCCAACUCGGUGAGUCAGGCUAGAACUCGCCGAGUCCCUCUUGAAACUUAGACAAUUAACAAUUAAUUAACAUACCGGGAACGGGUCGUUACAAAUAACGAACGUCUUCAACUUGGUGGCUCGUGGCUUCGCUGUCGACUGGAAAAGAUGAUGGCGAUAGAGCAACGGCAGAGGGAGUGAGAGUGGUGAAGAUGGCGGUUGAAGGUGAUUCUUUAGGUUUAGGGUUUGAUAACGGCAACACAUAGUAUAUAUACCUGGUCCCAAGACAAAUUUCCAUAAUGCCAAGAAUAACCCCUCUCUUCACAUUUUCUUUCAAAGCAAGGCCGACACUUACCAUUUAAACCCUGAAUCCAUAAAUUUCUUUCAUAAUAAGUCCGGAUUUACUAGACAGCCCCCAUCUUCUAAAAUCUUUACAAAACUAAUCCAAAAUUUACAAAACCACCCCUUGCUUGACAAAUUCUUUUCAAUUAAAGUCCAUAAUUUACCAUUUAGCCCUAAACUUCUAAAUUUAUGACAAUUAGACUUGAUAGACCAUCCUUUUACAUAUAAUUAUUUAUUUUAGGGCUACUAUUCUCUCAUUAGUUUAUUUAUAUAUUAAAUAAAUACACAGGGUGUUGUGUUACAAGCAGGUUUUGAAUAUGAUAGGAUAAAUUGUAAGAGUUUAAAACCCUUGAGGAUUUAUUUGGAGCCUAUAACCCUAUUGGUUCUUUUUCCAUCUCAUAACCAUCCAUAUGCUCCCUUUCUCUCCUAUAUACAAAAUUCAUAACCCCACGCCUAGACUUACUGGAUUUCGUAUAAACCCUAAUUUAGGGUUUCUCCUUAUUAGCUUUUGGUGUUUCUGACCUGACUACAUUUGAGGGAAACCAUUAGACACCACUGAUAUGUUCUUUAUGGUCAUCGAUCUGCAGAUUUGUAUAUCAAGGAAGAUUAGCAACGAUUGAUUCUUACGUCGUAAAUCACUAGAUGUUGCUUGGAAACCAUCAUACACCUAACCCUAAAAUCGUCGUUACCAUUUUCAUUUUGCAAACCAUAGAUGGUAGUGGGCCGGUGGGGUGUUGACUUAAAAGGGUGGCUGUUUUUUUUAAUUAAAAUAAUAAGAAAUUAAUUAAAAAAGGAAUCAAUUAAAGGCAUAUUUGUCAUUUCAAGUAUGGUAUGGACCAAAACUAUGGAGAAAAAAAAAAGAUAACCAUUAGGACCAAAACCAUACAAAGAAUCCAAACUUAACUUUUGCACCAUACUUUUUAUGACAACCUGAAAUUUAUUCCGUCAUUGUAACCCAUUUCCGUUAAUAAAAUUUAUUUUUAUUAAAAUUUUCCAUUAACUUUUGGGUUAGGCAAAUAAAUUAAUGUUUUAUUUUAUUUUCUUAAGUUUCGGAACGAAAUAAAAUCACGUGAAAACACCCUCGAUAUUUAUUUGGAAAAUUUUUAGUUACAACUAAGUCGGGUUACGACAAUUUAAUCGGGUAAAAUUGUAAACCCCAUUUAACGUCGGUAUCGGGUAGAUUUCCUCUGGGCCACAAACUCAAGCCUUAUAUAAAGGAUGAGUAACCUUCACUUAAGCUUUUUCCCACCUCCUCAAAACUUUCUCUCUCUACACUCUCUCUAAAACUCGAGUUUUGAUCCAAAAAAUGCCCCUUCAAGCUCCAAAAGCAUAAGUGAUCUAUCCUAGCUUAUUGUUUGACUUGUUAAGAAUGAAAAUAUGUGUUUAAACCAUCCAAAACUCUCAAAAUCAUGUGUUUAUGGUUUGGGAACACCUCCCAAAACCGUAAACUCCUAUAAGAGGGUUUUGAAUCCCCAAAACCCUUCCAAAUCCCUUCUAGUGCUUAGAUAUGACUUAAGGACUUGCAUGUACGAGUCUAGAACACCAAAAUCAUGUCAUUUGGGUAGUAAACAUGAGUUUACGGCCCAAGAACAUUCUUGGACCGUAAACACACCUUCAUAGACCAUAAACACCUUUUAAGGUGUUAAAUUGCCCCUUAAACACCUCCAAAACCUUCCAUGAGUGCCUAGAACCUUAUAUUCCUUCAUGUGAUGCACCAAAUCAUGCACAAAUGAGACACACUUGAGUUUACGGUUUGGGAAGGUCUCCCAAAACUGUAAACACCUCCAAAGGGUGUUUAAGUUCCCUUAACACCUUGCAUGGCUUAUAUUUAGGUCUAGAACAUUGCAUGCUUAACCUACAACUACCAAAACACAUGAAGAAUGAACCAAGCAUGAGUUUACAGCUGUAAACUCAUGUGUUUACGACAGUAAACUCCCCAAGUGUCCUUCAAGAACCGUAAACCCCUUUUCCAAGGUCAUUUCAAGUCCCAAUCACUUCCUAAGCCAUGGAAUCAACCCUAUAACCUUCCCUUAUGCAUUAUAAGACCUUUGGACACCCAAAAACACCCCAUCCAUGAGUUGACGGCCAUAAACUCAUGGGGGAUAUGGUCUUUGGACCGUAAACACCCCUAAGGGUUUACACUUGAAGAGUAAACUCCUUAUCUAGGCCCUACACUCCUUAGAUGCAACCCGUAUCACUUCCAACACUUGAGAUAAAGUGUUUUCGUGCAUCGGAGUGUAUUAUCUCACUUAAUUAGUAGUUCAAAGUCUAAUUAGAUACAAUUGUGUAUCACUUCAUGUUACAUAGGAUCCUCGCGUGUGUUCAAGCCUUAAACUAACACUUAGCAUCCUAACCGGCACAUUUCCCGUCUGGUGAGUUCAUACCUCUACACAUUUUUCCGUGUUUUUCAUGUUUUCAGGGGGUGGGGAAUACAAGCAAAAGUACAAGGAAAUCUUGUACUCAAACUUAUUAUUUCGUAUGAAAUGUUCCAUGUUCAGUAUGUUUAUAACAUUGAUAACCGUAUUAACCAACCGUUUGACUUGUAGAGUUAGUUUUCAAACUAAUUGCGAAACCCAAUAUAAAAUGUUAUAUUUUAUAUUUCACAAAUGAUUUUCCACAUCAUUACUAUUAAAAUCAUUAAUCUUAGAACUUUUGAUACGUCCUCUGAAACACUCCACAGAGAUACGGGAGUGGAGGACCGCCUUUGUAACUAGAAUCUAAAACAGGAUUUUCCGCAUUAUUACUUGUAAAUUCGCUAUUCUUAAGAUUGGAGACACGUCCUCUGUAACACUCCACGGAGAUACGCGAGUGGAGGACCGCCCCUGUAACCAGAAUCUCUUAGAAGGAGAGUGUGACGUGAGUGUAUAUAUCUAUACGGGGCUGACUACCCCGCACCUUGCUGCUAGCUACAGUGGGACCGGUAGGUCUACGGGUGACAAAAAUUAUAAAAUGAUACUGGCCUUUUGCCAUAUCUAGUUUAUCGUAUGGUUAUGGAACUCGCAACUUAGAUAAUGGAGAUUUACUUUUAAGUAAUAAAGAACUUAGUAAAUUAAUACUCUUAGGAAAUUAGUUUACAACCUACUUAUUAGUUUUAUAUACGUGUUAAAACUAAUGUACUUUUCAAGGAUAACUGGACUUUCAGGAUACUUCACUUAAACGCUACAAGUAUGGUAGAUACUUGUACACUGCAUUCCAAAUCGAUAACCAACCACCAACUUUUAAGGAAAAUAAGGGUUUUUCCUGGGAUAACUUAACUUCUCUUAACCGGGUUGUUUAACAAAUGGAUAACUAAAUUUCUCUUAUAAGAAAAUAUGGGAUUUUCUUGGAUAACAACUUUUUCAUAAAACCAAAGGAAAACUUAUUCUUUCACUAGAAAUAAACCGCUUAUGAACUCACCAGCUUUAUGCUGAUAUUUCUAAAACUGCUUGUAUUCUCAGGUUUCCAAUAGACAGGUAUCUUGCGUUCUUUUGGAGAAGACGGAGCGUUCAGACGUCUCGUCUUUACUUUUGUUCGUACUGAUAUAUAUAAAACAUGUAUUUUUUUACUUUCAAACAAAUGUAAAUAUUCCUAUGUAAUGUAAUGGUUGUGUUACUAUGCUUACUAUGUACAUUGAUUGUGAUAUUUUACAUAACAUCCUCUGCCCCGGAACGUUUCCGUCAUCGGUUUCGGGGUGUGGUACUUUUUUGGACCAAAACCACAGACUUUUGACAACCACAAUGAGAGUUUGUAAUUUUAUGAAAUUUAUAACAUAAAAGUUAAAACAAGAGUCAGAUAAAGAGAAAUAAGAACCAUGCAUCCACACUAAACCUACACUAAACCUGCACUACAAAUGGCUGGAUAUACUUGCGAAGAAGCAUAUGCACAAAUCAAUGCAUCACUUGUGAAGGUAAAAUGAAUAAUGCCAAUUUUGCACUCACAUUUCUAUGCUGAGAUUUGAAAUUGUAACAAAAAUCUAUAAUGAAGAGGAUAGGGAAAAAAAAUCAUGCAAAUAACACUCAACAGGAGUUAGAUAACAUGAAACAAGUUUUUACAUGCUGAUCUAUGAAUAACUGAACUUAAAAUACAUUGAUCGACUGUACAUGCUUCUUCAGUAGUGCUAUUUGGCCCUCUCUUCUCAUUCUUAAAUAUCUUCAUAUUCCAAAGAAAAAAAAACAGAAACCAGAUUCGCCUUUCUUCACAAUCCUGCUGAAGCAACUGUUUCAUCACCAACACAGAUCUCGCUUUUGUAACCUUAAUCAUCACAAACAACAGUUUUUCCCUUGUCUCUUCUGCUGUUUUUCUGUUAUUAGAAUUUAGAAACAGUUCAUGUCAGUUAUAUAGUAUUGUAUAAAAUAAGUUGUAACUCAAUAUAGUGUAAUCAAGAUACCAUUCCUAUGUUAGAUCCAGUUGUAAUCAGUAAAGUGAAGAUGAGAUUCAUGUAUUUGUUUUCCUGCAAUUGUAACUGUUUCUAAUUUGUAUUGUGAAGUCUAAUAAUUGAAGCAGUGAUUAAAGACUCUAUCACUACAAAUAUUGUUCAGCCACAACAAACAGAAUGGUGAAAAAUAUUUGGUGGGAGCAUCAAAUUGCAACUAUUUUGAAAACCAUGGACAAUUAUGAUAACUCCCACAAAUUUCAAAAUUGGCUGAAAUGAAUAAUUACUUUCAUUAUUGUAUUAAUGCACCCCUUCAUCAAUCGAUUGCUCCUAGUGUCAUAGAGUUAUGGAAACUACUCAAAAUUUCAUACUUACAGAAAGCCUUUGCAAAGAUACAUUUACAAAAAAAAAAAAAAAACAAAUUAAAGACAUUCAAACAAGGAACAUGAAUGUCAAUAUAUAAUGUGAAAAGAUUAAGCAACUACAUGAGCAACUGAAAUCAGUAAGCAAUUUUGUACCUAAUUGAGAUUUAGUGAAACGACCCAAAAUACGACCCGAAAAUUUUUGUUUUUAAUACCAUCAAAAAUAUAAUCAGAGUAUCAUAUAAAUAAACCAUGCGUGAUAUGUCCCAAAAAUAUAAUAGAGUACUGUGCGGAAACUGCAUCAUACUACAUCGAAAACAAUAACUAAAUCAAAUCCAGACUAAGCUGCAGCGGUGGUGUGUGCGAUGCCGUCACCCAGAGCUCUUCCCUUUGCUUGCGGAAGUACCUGAAACCAAAACUGAAACUGUAAGCACGAAGCUUAGUGAGCUCCCCCAACUUACCACAUACCAUACAAAACAUAUAAACACAUACUNCCCUCUGCAUCGGACCGAAGUCCGGAAACUGCAACGGACCGAAGUCCGGAACUGACUGGGACCUUGUCCCCUGCAUCGGACCAAAGUCCGGAACUAACUGCAUCGGACCGGAGUCCGGAACUAACUGCAUCGGACCGAAAUCCGGAACUGACUGCAUCGGACCGAAGUCCGGAACUGACUGGGACCGUGUCCCCUGCAUCGGACCGGGGUCCGGAACUGGCUGAGCAUAGCAUAGCAUAUCAUAACAACAUACUGCAUACUGCAUCGGGCCGUAGCCCGGAACAUAAAACACAUAACACAUAGCACAUGAAUUAUGUCUGAACCACGAAGGCAUCAAACAUACUAACUACUACAUCGGACCGAAGUCCGGAAACUACUACUAACUGGACGGGCCGGCGUUGUGGCCUUAAACCCGCCCCUACGGGAAGGAAACUCACCUCGUAAGCUAGCGGAUGAGUGUGUGGCUCGGAAAGCUAACGGCUGCUGCUCCUGAAUCUCCUCGGCUACAAAUCCAUAAACACACUCGAUCAUUCACUAACACUACACUCAGGGUAAAAUGACUCUUUUACCCUUGGUCAAAGUCAACUUACUCAGGGCUGACUCGCCGAGUCGGGAUACCCAACUCGCCGAGUCCUAGACUCUCCGCUCAACUCUUACACGCUGAUACUCGUCGAGUGUGGCAUCGACUCGACGAGUACCCUCUGGAUCCAAGAACUCAGAUGAUCUUCAUCCGACUCGCCGAGUCAGAUGAACAGACUCGACGAGUUGUUCUUAAUCCUCAAGGAGAUUGCCUUGGACUCGCCGAGUUGUAUGAACAAACUCGCCGAGUCCCUCCAUUACUGAGUCUACUCUUAACUCGCUGAGUCCACUCCCUAACUCACCUCGUACACUCGACACUGAAGAAACUGAAGAACUCGGGACUCGCGACCUGACUCGUCGAGUCGUUCCUCCGACUCGCCGAGUCGCCGCCAUGCAACAUAUUUUUACUCGAUUUCUCUUGAAUCCAACACAUGCAAAUGAUAGAUCUAGGUCCAUUAAGCUGUUUUACCACGUAAAGUUUCCAACUUUACGUGCACAACCACAUGAAUGAGGGAAAUAAGACUAAAAUAUGCACAAUAAGGGUAGAUCCAUGGCUAAUAUGCAAUGUAACUCCAAAAAGGCAGUGGGUCUGGACUCUACAACACCCCAACACUCAGAUCUAAAGGUAUUUCGGCUUAAUAACACAUUCAAGCAAGCAUAAAGCUUGGAACAAGCAUCAAAUAGCCCUAAAAGAGCUCUAAUGGAAGUUUAAGCAUGAAACCAGAAGGGAACUCCGAAAAUACCUCAAUAAGUUCACACUUGACCUUGGAUCUUGGCACUAGAACACGUUUCCUUGCUUCCUUCUUCUUCUCCUUCUUCACCCCUUCACAAAAUGGAACAAGAUCACUUAUAAGCUCACAAGAGGAAGGUUUAGGGUUUCUCACAGUGCUCUCAGGGGGAAAGUGACGAGAUGGAGGCUAUAAUGGGGUUUAAAUAGUGAGCAAACCCGGGGAGUUAGGGUUUCACCCAGACGGAUGGACUCGCCGAGUCCAGGAUAUGGACUCGCCGAGUCGCCGGCUCCCGCGUGCCCAAGAUGCGCGACCCGACUCGGCGAGUCAGGCUAGAACUCGCCGAGUCCCUCUUGAAAACUUAGCCCAAAACAAAUUAAUUAACAUACCGGAAACGGGUCGUUACAAUUCUCCCCCACUUGUUUCAGACUUCGUCCUCGAAGUCUGCUACAACUGGAUCUGCGAAUAACUCCGGGUAGUGCGUUCUCAUUUCUUCUUCAGCCUCCCAUGUCCAUUCAGACCCCUUCCGGUGCUGCCACUGCACCCUUACCAGCUGGAUCACCUUGUUCCUCAAGGCCUUGGUCUUCCGUUCCAGAAUUGCUAUCGGCUUCUCGAUAUAAUUCAGGCCGCUAUCAACCUGGAUGUCCUCCAAGGGAACGACUGCUGUCUCGUCCACUAAACACUUCCUCAACUGCGACACGUGGAAGGUGUUGUGUAUCAAACUGAGCUCCUCAGGAAGAUCUAACCGGUAAGCAACCCGACCCACCCGGGCCAAAACCCUGAAAGGACCAAUAAAUCUGGGGCCCAAUUUGCCCCUCUUCCGGAACCUGAUGACACCUUUCCAAGGUGAGACUUUCAGAAGAACCAUGUCUCCUACCUGGAACUCCAAGUCUGAACGCCUCUUGUCGGCGUAGCUCUUCUGCCGACUCUGCGCAGUCUGCAGUCUACUACGGACCUGCUGGAUCAGUUCCGUCGUCUUGAGCACCACUUCAGUGCUCCCCAUAACCCGCUGACCGACCUCGCCCCAACAAAUCGGGGUCCUGCACUUCCUGCCAUAUAACAUCUCAAAAGGAGGUCGAUCAAUGCUCGCAUGAUAGCUGUUGUUAUACGAGAAUUCCGCUAAGGGAAGAUACGUAUCCCAACAGCCCCCAAAAUCCAGAACACAUGCCCUAAGCAUGUCCUCGAGAGUCUGAAUCGUCCUCUCACUCUGCCCGUCAGUCUAAGGAUGGAAAGCGGUGCUGAAAUGGAGACGAGUACCCAUCUCGUCGUGAAACCGCUUCCAAAAUCUGGACGUGAAGCGAACAUCUCGGUCCGACACUACCGAUACCGGCACUCCAUGACGUGCCACAAUCUCUCGCACAUAGAUAUCGGCUAACCUUUCCGCCGAUAUACUCUCCUGGAUCGGAAUAAAAUGGGCACUCUUCGUCAACCGAUCCACCACUACCCAUAUCGAAUCUACUCCACGUGCGGUCCUGGGAAGUUUGGUGAUAAAAUCCAUGGUGAUGUCCUCCCAUUUCCACACGGGAAUAUCCAACGGCUGCAUCUUGCCGUGAGGUCUCUGGUGCUCCGCCUUGACCUUCCGGCAGGUCAAGCACCUCUCAACGUACCAAGCGACGUCCCGCUUCAUGCAGGGCCACCAAUAAUCAGGUCGGAGAUCUCGAUACAUCUUCGUCGCCCCUGGAUGGAUAGAAAAUCGAGACUUAUGAGCCUCGUCCAUCAAUACCUGCCGUACCCCACCCCAGUACGGUACCCACACCCUACCAUGAAGCGUCAUCAAACCCCGACUGUCGUAGUCGAACGAAGCUACUCGACCCACUAUCCUCUCGCACUUCUGCCUUUCCUCCUUGAGACCCUCCAUCUGAGNCUGAGCCUCCUUGAUCCGCUCCAACAAAGGAGUGAUUACCGUCAUCCUCAUACACAAAUCCCUGAUAGGGGCCGCCGACGCCUUACGGCUCAGGGCAUCGGCCACCACGUUGGCCUUCCUUGGAUGAUACAGGAUCUCACAGUCAUAGUCCUUCAGCACGUCCAANNNNNNNNNNNNNNNNNNNNNNNNNNNNNNNNNNNNNNNNNNNNNNNNNNNNNNNNNNNNNNNNNNNNNNNNNNNNNNNNNNNNNNNNNNNNNNNNNNNNAUGACUCAAUGAGUCAUAAACAAUAAAACACAUCUCAUGGUCCCUUCAAAGAAGUAAGCUAAAAAGAAAUACCAAAUAUGGUAUAAAAGGAAAAACUAUGCAACAAAUAAAUAUAUGGAAGUGAAAGAUAAAUAGCAUUUCUGUUCACAAUAGUUUCACAGAUAUACAAUAAUAUUUAGCCGAGUCAAAAUCGAUCUACUAGAUGAGAAUUCCAUCUACUAAACCUUAAUGGGUUUAAUUAGUAUUAAUUCCGUUUAAAAAUCAGUGCUUAAAAGUGCUACUAAUAUUUAAUUGUGGAUCUAAUUGAUCAAAAGAUUCAUGUUUUGCACGUAUUUAAACCGCUUCAAUAAGAUAUUAUUAUUAUCAUCGUCAUUCCAAAUGGAAGUUGUGUAAUUUUAACAGACAACAACAAGUGUACACACCAACCCUAGUUCACCAUUUAUUUUGGAUAUCCGAAUGGAAUGAUUUUUUAAUUUCAAAGUAUUUGACUUGUUAACCAAUUUAAAUCAUUUUGCAGGCCAUUGUGACACUUCCAUGUUGACAACCCUAGUCAUAUUAAAUCCACGUUAACAAAAAAGUAUUGAGUCCCAAAUAGAACUUUUAUUGAAAAAUACGCUUGGAUUAAGGAGAUAAUAUUUAAAUUUUUUGUUUGAUUGACGGUUAUUUAAUUUAGACAUUAUGAAACAAAAAGAAGUUAAAAUACAUAGAGAAGGACACACCUUCAAAUUAAAAUAAAGUCAAUCCCAGAGGCAGGGGAUUAGAGAGACGACUGGCCAAUACGAGCCUCCUAUAUUACUCUUUGUUUUCAGAUUUGGGGAUUCAAUAAUUCCCAAACUCAAAAGCGAAGGCAGCAACUUUUCUGGUAGAUCCAUCAUCUUUGGGCACUUGACAAUCCUGAGAUGUUGGAGGGAGGCGAGGUGUUGGAGUCCCGUUGAAACUGAUUCCAGUUUCUCAAAUCUUUCUAUCCAAAGAGAAGUAAGAGAUGAAGGAAAAAGACCGGACAACCGACUAAAAUCAGUCACUUCUUCAUAUGGUCCGCCAUAUAGACUUAGGUCAACAAGUGAGGUUGGAAAACUCUGUGGGUCCCACUUAGACAUGGGCUUCUUCAACCCUCCUAUGGUAAGGUAACACAGUUUUGGAGGCCAAAGCCCACCAGCAAAGGAAGCAUCCAGACUUGUACAGUUUUUUAUUUCCAAAUGUGUUAACGAGGCAAGAUUCGGCAACUCAUGGUCAGGAAAUGGAAAUGACUCCAGACUUGGAAAUUGCUACAAAGGGUUUCUGAUGUUUGUCAAAAGGCCAUAAAGGACUCUGGUCUAAGUGCAGAUAAGAUACAUAGUAUUGAGGUUGUUGGUUCUGGAUCCCGCAUACCUGCUAUUAUGAGAAAGUUAACUUCAGUUUUUGAUAAAGAACCAAUGAGAACACUAAAUGGAAGUGAAUGUGUUGCUAGAGGAUGUGCUCUUUCAUGUGUGAUGCUUAGCCCCACUUGCCGAGUCAAAGAUUAUAAGGUUUUUUCUUAUACUCUUAUAUAUAUAUAUAUAUAUAUAUNNNNNNNNNNNNNNNNNNNNNNNNNNNNNNNNNNNNNNUAUAUAUAUAUAUAUAUAUUCAAAUUCUUGGUGCAUGUCUGUUCUUGUGUUUUUGAUGAAGAACUUCAAUUCAUUCAUCGAUUUAAGUUUCUUGCAGUCCCGGAUGAAAACUGACUUGAGCUUCUGCCCUCCUCCUGUUGGGAAAGACACAGAUGUAAUUGAAUCACAGGUCAAAAUAGUCAAUGACUCAAGGCUAUCUGGACAGCUGCAAUGCUGUAAGCUGGCACAAAGAGAUACCCACAACCACCUAAGAGAUGUUAGGUUGCUCCCACAAUUAUCCUCCUCUUUCUCUCCUAAACUCACCAAAUUUGAACAAUAACGUACCUCCAACCUCCUUAAAUUCGCAAGAAGCUUACCUGCCUCUGCUUCAGAUUCCCACAGGUAUCUUAUUUCACUACACCUUUCUAUCGUUACUUCUUCAACUUCCCCAAGAUACUUCAUAACACCUCCCCACACCUCAUGAGUAAGACCUGAAAUAUCAUAUAAUAUCAACUCAGUGACUGAUGAAGCGACAUGAACCAGGCUUGUCAACACACCAUGACCACAUCCUUUUACUGUCAUAACUCUGAGUAAAGGUAGUUUUUCAAGUGAGACUUCAACCAGAUUAGGACAAAAUAGAAUAAUAAGCUCUUUAAGGCAUGGAAACACUGCUGCAUCUACAACCCCAUUGUUAUCGGCUGACCAUACCCCCCAUGAUAGCAUACUAUCAAAAGUUAGAAUUUCAAGGGAUGGGAAUGCAACACCUGUUCCAAGCAACUCCCAACCUACAACUUUCACCUUACUCAUCUUCCCAAUAUACAACUCCUUAAGUGAUGGUAGCUGCCCAAGUCUUGGUAGAGAUGUACAUUCUUCACACCCAUAUAUCGACACGUGAGUCAACCCAAGAAACAAAGGAUCCCCAACCCAAUUAGGAAACUCUAUACCCGCAUAUGACACAAUUUCAAGCUUCUUCAAACUAUCAGCUUGAGGCUUCAGCUCAGUAAGGACCUCCUU